RNAcentral lists this long non-coding RNA (226813 nucleotides) under Citrus maxima (pomelo). Its description in RNAcentral is "long non-coding RNA (CMAX_LNC001460)". Lineage: Eukaryota; Viridiplantae; Streptophyta; Magnoliopsida; Sapindales; Rutaceae. The record is from RNAcentral.
AAUAAAGUCACAAAUAACCAUUCAUAUUGAUCUACUAUCACACAGCAUGCUUUAUGCAUACAACAGCUGUAUGUAUACCAACUCCUAACCUUAUCAAUACAUUUGGCAAAAACUUAAGAAGAAAACUAUUUCUCCAUCUCUUUUUUGAAAUUUCACAAUAACCAGCACAAUGUGAAAGCUAUGUUCUAACCUUAUGAUAAAUGCUCUAGACUCCAAAAGGAUUUUAUAUAUGAGACUUUGUUGCAGCAGAUAUAUUGACUUAUCAAGUAUGAAUCAUUGUCUGGAUGAACUAUCUUUAGAUAAAAGAAUAUUAGAACCACUGUAGAAUAUCUUUACGCUGCUGGUUCUAACAGGAAUCUGCAUGUGGCAACAAUUGCUAGAUCCACAAUUCCCCAACUUGAAAUACAUAGUUGCACACCAUGAGAUAGUGCUACAAUCUACUGAGAUCUAACUUAUAUGGUACUUUAAGCUACUAAUGUUUGCAUAUUUCUACAUGUUAAAUUAACACUAUCAUCUAUAAUCACUCCAAAACAACAAAUGAUAAGCAGCUUUUGGCCACUUAUUACUAGCAUCCACAAUUAUAAAUAAGAGAUCAUGGGUUUACUUGUUGCACCUACUUAAUUAUCUGCAGUUGACAUCCUGACGCAAGGUUUAAAUAGUGACUGCUUAGAACCCUUGUAGUUGGAUCUUGACCUCUCCCAUUGUAGCCAAGAUUGGUUACUCUGGUAAUGAAUCAACACUCUCCUGCUCAGGGCCAUGAAGAUCUGAAAGCUCAGCUCUAGUGGAGAACUUCAUCAAUCUCUUCUUCUCAGCAUACUUGAGACAAGGUUGCCUUACGAGACCAAUCACCACAGCACCAACGCUUAAAACUGCAACUUUUAAAGAAGAAAGAGCCAACACAACACAACACAAAUCAAUAUGGUUGGAGGAAUACACAUGAUAAUGGCUCCAACAGUGACAGUGGGUAUCUUGUAGGGACGAGAUGCAGCAGGAUAUUGCAUCCUUAACCAUACAAAUGCUAUGAACUCCAUAAUCAUUCCAAAACAGUACAGGAAGUUCUCUGCAGCUACAAUAUCUCAAAAGCUCAGCCAUGAUAGCAAAACCACACCAGAUGCUGAGAAUAUGAUUCCAAUCAAAGGAGUCCCAUAUCAAGACCUCUUAGCAAAAAACUCAGGUAGCAUUCCACGCUCAGCCAUCCCCAAAAGUUGGAAGAGUCGCUGCUCAUCUCAGCCACAAACAUGCCCAUAUUGGACAUUGCUGCAGCCCCCUGGAUGCACCAUCUCAACCAAACUCCUCCAAGCACUUUAGCGAUAUCUGAAAAGUAACCAUCGGUCCACAAGUCGCGAUCUAAUGGAAUAGCUCCAGUUCCAACUAGAAGGGGAAAGAAAUAUCCAAAAACGACCAAGAUCAAAGCAUAAAACAAAGCCUUUGGAAGAGUCUUCUUUGGGUUAUCCACCUCUCCAGCUAGUGUACUUAUUGAGUCCCAGUAGUUGGAGAUUCCAAAACAGGGUGUUCAAAUACAAAUUCCAGUCCACUUCACCUAAAUUUACUACAAGCCAUCUUGAAGGCUCUAACUUGGGAAGGGACACAAGUCCCAUAACCGCAAAAGGAAGGAAUGAGAAAAUCCCUAAAAGAACAGCAGCCCAUCCCACAAUGGUUAGACCCCUAUAGUUCAUGAAAGUGAGAACAAAAGUCAAAGCUAACGCCGCAAAGGCUCUAGGUAACCCAUCGCCCAAAGCAGGGAUACCAGACUUCAAGUAGUCAAGAAACAGAACUGGGUAUAAAGCAUUAUCAAUAACCCCACUAAGCCAUUUCAUCCAAACUUGCUGAAAACCCCAAUAUGGGCCUAAGGCAGAUGAAACCCAAACCACAUAACCACAAUUUUCAGGAAACACGGUACCCAUCUCGGCAGUAAUUAAAGCUUCAGGGACACUCCAUAUAAUCGGAAACACCAAGAAACCAAGAAGUGCUAAAAGAGGACCAGCUGCCUUUACACUAUCCUCAACACCAAACGGCCCCCCAGAAACCUCAUAGAAUAUAAGGAAAAUAAGUGGCAAGAUUGAUACUUUUUUAGCGCCAUGGACUCUAGGAGAAGAUGGUUGGUCAUUGAUAUUAACAUAUUCAACAGCAUCAGACUGCCCCAUUUCUACUGAAAGUUGCCUAUUCACAGUGUUCCUCAAUUUCUGCAUCAAGUUUAAGCAUAACUAUCAAAAGGGUAUCGGCAUCUAAAUUAUGAAACAAAAUGAGCAUUUACUUAUUAAAAAAAAUCAAAAAAACAGAAAUGGAUUUCACAGAACACAUGAAUUUAAGUUCAACAUUAAACAGGCGCUUAAGAAAACAAAAGGGUCUGGUCGUAAAGCCAUCAGAUUGCAAGAUUGAACAACAUUAACGGAAUCAAUAGAAUCGAUGUAAAGAGAUCUGAAAAGAAAAUAAAAUAAAAGAUGAAGAGAGAUAAAACGACCCAUCAAAUAAGUGCAUGCAGAGCAGAGAGGCAGAUACUAGAGAAGCUCCGUCAUGUUAGAGAGAGCCUAAAUCAAUCAGAGCUCACUGAGUUUCUUUUCAACUGACCGGCAAAUUUGGAGUAGCAUGACAUAAUAUUUUUGCUUUUAAUUUUCGGAACACUUUUGAAUGGAAUUUUUUGUUUUUCAAAACUAACGAAAUCGUAAAAAUAAAUAAACACGUGUUUGGUUUUGGGCUUCUUCUUUUGUUCAUUUAAUAUCAUUUGGUUCCCUGAUUUUUGACUAAUUAUCAACGGUAUCCUGUUAGUUUCCAAAUUGAAAUAAUAUUAGGUCAUGAGAUUAUUUACUCCAUUUAGCACUGUAGACUUAAUAGUAUAUUGAAAAAGCUUUGUCAAAUAGUAGUAAUAGGGGCAUAAGAAAUAAGUUCUUCAGAAUUUAGAUAAUAUACUUGGCUCUAGGAAGAUUCCCCUCUUAUCGCUCAAGUUAGGCUUUUACCUUAGAGUUGAGUAAAUCAUUAAAAUAAAUUAUAGCUAUCACAAAUUCGUCAGGGGACUUUCAAUUUUUUUCCAUCAAAUGGAAAUGAGGCAAAAUUACCUCAGCUUAUAUUGCAAAACUAAUACUUCAAAUUCUGACAAUAAAUUUGAUGACAGUCGAUUUUAUGUAUAGUAAUUUUGACUCUUUUGUUUGGUCUAAAAGUAGUUAUUUAAAAUGGCAAUGAUGACUUAUUUAGAAGAAAUGAUAAACUUAUAGUUCGUAAUAUUAUUUACGCAACUAAUAAAGACUAAUUUGAUAAUAAUCUUUCAAAUAAUAAUGAAGUGUUAAUUACUAUUUAAUAUUUUUUAUUAAUUUCUAAAUUUAAAACAAAUAUGAAAGUUGAUUGCUUCGAAGGUUGGAUCGUGACAAAUUGACAAAUGAAAAGAGAAGUAGAGAAUAUAUAUUCUGAUGAAAGGGACAAGAUUAAGCAAGGGGACAAUAUUCUCUAUUGGACCGACAAAUGGGGGAAAAGAAUAUAUAUAUAUAUAAUUUCUUAUUUGUGGAUUGGCCAACACGUGUAACAAAUAUGAAAAGAUAAAAUUUGGCGUGGUUUUAACCGAUAUAAGACAAGAAGAACAAAGCAAAGCCCAUGAAAAUUCACCUUUCAUGUGGGUUGGAUCGGAUAAAAUCAAUAUCUUGAAUCAAACAAAAUGUUUGGUACAUAAAGUUUUUUUUUUUUUUUUUACAUGAUAUUCGAUUUUUAUCCCUCGAAUUUUUACAUGAUAUUAGAUUUUUAACCCUCACUAAUAAUCGAGAGAUGUCUACUCCUCAUUUUUGGGUAAGGGAGAAAACUACAUUCACUUAAUUAUAAUUGAGGAAGGAAAUACCCCCCAUUACACUUGUGGGGGUUCAAACUGUUGCCCUCCAACUUGGAGUGCAGCAGCACUGACCACUCGGCCAAAGUCUGAGUGGCUGGUACAUGAAGGUUUUGAGUGUGUGUAAUGAGCAAGAAUUUACAUAACGAUAUUUUAGUAAAUAUAAGAAAAAAAGGCUCAGGGAAUGGCCUAUAGAUAGAAGCACGCAGCCCAUGAGUGAUGAGAAUACAAUUUAACUGUUCAAACUAAUUAGAAGCAAAUUCUUUCAUAUCUUUCUUUAAUUUUUCCGCUUAGUUCCUUAGCAUCCAAUCAAGUUCAAGUUAAAACACUGUUGAGACAACAAUAUGCAGGCAUCAAUAAGCAUAGUAGUUUUUUAUAUGUAUUCUAUACGAUAUUUGAGGGAUGUCAAUUGUAGAACAUUUUGCAGCAACUUUUUUACAUUAACUAAUGUUUGAAGAACUUGUUAAAAAAAAUGGUAAUUUUAUAAUUUUGAAAAAAAAAGAGUGAAAGUGACGUUACCUCAUUGUCAUUAGAGACUUGUUGCAAUGAUAGCUCAAAAUUAAAAUUUUUGAAGAAUUAGUAGACAACGAUGACGUAAUAUUUAUACAGUCACCAACAUGUUGAUUUUUGUUUAAUGUUUGAUCGAUAGAAAUGUUUGUCGUCGUUGCUGUUGUUGAAUUCAUACUUAGAACACAGAAGAGAAGAAGGGAAGAAAGGGAAGAGAAGAAGAGAGAAGUGGCAUAUAGCAAAUAUGAUAUGCUAGCUACAUACCAGCCUUAGAGAGAUUUUUUUUAAUAUUUAUUAUAUUUUUGUUUUUGUUAUUGGUUUGUCAUAUGCUUCCAGGGAAGCAAUACGUUACAUCAUAAAUUGCACCUUUUAGGGGAGGUGGUAAAAAACGUGAGAGCACUACGCUCCAGCGCAUACAUAUAGAAAGAGUUUCCGAAUUUUAAAAAGUUUCUUUAUUUCUUCCAUGUUUUUGUGCUUAAAAUAAAAUUUAAUUGUAUUUUGCAUUAACUUAGAAAAGAAAAGCCAAUUCUAUAUAUAAACUCAUGCAUUAAUUAGAAGAGUUGAACUAUUGGCACCCCUCUAUUAUCUUUAUAAAAUUCCUCUCCUAUUGUAAUUACAUUAAAGGACAAAAUAAAUCUAAUUAUAUCAUUAUAUUUCUCUUUUCAACUCUUUACACCCGUGCAACUACACCAAAGUCUUUUACAAUUUUUGUUUCCUCACAAACAUUAUUUAAAAGGUAGAAAGAUGGUUAGUGCACAAUCAAAUUUUAAGCCGCUACCUCCUCGGCCCAAAAUUCAAACUUAGAUGAUAAGCCAAAUAAAAUUAUUUGAAAAUCAUUCAAUCAGGUUCCCGGGGCAAAAAUACAAGAUCCUUAUUUGCAUGAUAUAUAUGAAUUAAUGUAAUUUAUUUGAAUUAUCCAAAUUCAUUAGAGAUAAAACUAUAAAAUAUACCAAAAAAGUUAGAAGGAAGGAUGUGUUGGGAUAUUUUACAAACUAUAGGAAUCUGGUGAGAUUUUGAGCCAAACUGUAGGGAGUUGAAGGCAUUUGCCCAAUAUGUUUAGACGUACACUAACCGUUAUUUGCUCUUGUUGUUGGUCCCGGAUGAGCUGUAGUCUUAUUUUAAUUUUAUUUAAACUCACCAUAAGAUUCGCGGAGCUCCUAACUAACUUAAAUGACUCUGCAGAGCAUGUCAACACAUAGCAUGUUUAACCGUUUUAUUUGUAGAAGAAUUUAUGAUUUCCCAUUAGCAUUAUUAUUAAAGAAGUGGGGCGGGUCAAAUCUCAAUUGCUUGAAAAUUUUAUUUAUUAUUAUUAGUCUUGAAGUGGGGUGGGUAACGGUUCGCUCAAUUUGAUUUGAGGGAAUCAAAUAUAUCAUCCAAGGUAGAAUUGUGGAAAAUUAAAGCAAAAUAAGAAAUAUGGAAAGAAAAGAAGAAAGUUAAUGCAUGAAAGACAUAUACAGUUGAAAUUGAUAAUCAUGUUUCUAUUUUGUUAACUAAUCAAAUGGAAAGCUGAACUGUAAACAAACAUUAAAACGUGUGGACCAAGCUAGCUGCCCUACAAGUUUACAAUAAUAAUUGAGUACUUUGAUUCAUCCUUCUAUGAAUUUCUACCCAUAUUGACUCCACCGAAAUUUCCACAAAAUAAAAAAAAAAAAAAACUGAAUUUCCACAAAAUGCAAAACCCGUAGAACUUAAUUUUUGGUCAUGUGAACUAAGAUGUAAAUUAAAGAAAAAGUAUAAAAUUAAAAAAGAUAAGAUUUCUAAAAUGUGUGGAAGGUGAUUCAUGAUUCACUGAAAUUACUUACCCCAGAUAUAAAUGUAAACCUAUCUAAUUUCAUUAAAAAUAGUUGGAAAAAAUUAACUAAUAGAAAGCUACGGAAAUUAACCCCCCACAAAAAUGACUUUUUAUAGAAGAAUUUAUGUUUUUUAAAAUAUGUUAUCAAAGUGUAUUUGAUCAAAUCUCAAUUGCUUAGUAUGGUUAGGAUUUUGUGAACAUCACUAAAAAGUGAAAACUAUGAAUGAUAGGGGUGAUGCUUGCAAUAUGAAUAAAUAAUGGACUGAUUCAAUUGAUGAUUACAUUUAUAUAUUAUUGAUUAUUUAUGAAUUUUCAGAUUUUCGAGUGAUCAACUUAAAUCUAUAUGAAUUUAUUGUCAAAGAUGGUGAUCAUGAUGGGCAUGUGAAUAUGUUAGAAAAAACUUGCACUUGUCGGGAAUUCCAACUUGAACAAUUACCAUGUGUACAUGUUGUGGCGGUGUGUAGGCAUCGAGAUUUUUCAAUCUAUGAUUACUGCUCCUAUUACUAUUCAAGUGAUGCAUGGGUGUUAGCAUAUUCUGAGACUAUUUAUCCUGUUGGUCCUCAAGAGGGGUGGGAUGUUUCUAGUGAUGUAUGUGCCCGCGAAGUACAUCCUCCUCUAGAAAAGCGGUCAAGUGGGCGUCCAAAAAAUAAUAGAAUACCAUCUAGGGGUAAGGAAAAGGUGCCUCGUAAAUGCAGUCGGUGUGGUGGUCGUGGACACAAUCGACUCAAAUGCAUGACGCCAAUGCCGUUACAUGAGUGAUACCUUGUUUUAAAUUUAUAUGCAAUGUAAGUGUCUCAAUUCUUGGUAUUCAUUUAUGUUUUAUUUAUUUCGUUAAUGCUGUUUAAAUAUGUACUAAAUUUAACACUAUGUGUACAAGGCUUGACGGAGGAUUUAGCUUGUAUGUUGUCUUUAAAUGGUGGCAUCGUAGAUUUUUGGGUUAUGGCUUGAGUUCUUGGAGCAAUUAAAGGACUAUGCUAAGUCAUUGUAUAAGGAUUUUCGUAUUGAAAUUGCAUAAGGAUGAAUUUACUAGUUGCUAUUUAAUGUUUCUUGGAUAAGGAUCAAUUUACUAGUUGCUAUUUACUAGUUGAAAUUAUAUAAGGAUGAAAUAGAAUUGUAUUUAAUGUUUCCUGGAUAAUUUAAAGUUGUUGCAUAAAAAAGUCGAGUGUUUCCUGUUAUUUACCCGACUGCACUGAAAAAAGUCGAGUAUUUCCCGUUAUUUACUCAACUUCGAUGAAAAUAAUCUACAUUUACCCAACUUCGAGGAGAUGAGAAUUUUUGUUCAAUAUUUUGCAAGGUCACAUCAAAGUCGAGUAUUCUCGACCUCAUACCCGACUUGGAUGAGUCGAGAAUUUUCAUUUAAUCUGACGCAAUGUUACAUUAAAGCCGAGUAUUCUCGACCUCAUACCCGACUUUGGUGAGAGGAGAAUUUUCGUUCAAUGUUAGAGAAGAUUGCAAUAUAAGUCGAGUUUUCUCAACUGUUUACCUGACUUCAAUGUGGAGAAAUUUUAUUUAAUGUUAGGCAAUAUUACAUUAAAAGUCGAGUUUUCUCGACUGUUUAAGUCGAGUUUUCUCGACUGUUUAAGUCGAGUUUUCUCGACUGUUUACCCGACUUCGAUGAGGAGAAAUUUUGUUCAGUGUUAGGCAAGAUUACAUUAAAAGUCGAGUAUUCCUGACUAUUUUCCUAACUUUGCUUAAGGAAGUCGAGAGUUAAGUCAAUCAGAGGAGAAUUUUUUAGGCAAGCGUACAUUGAAGUAUGGGAAUCAAAAUACCAGACUUUGAUGAAAUAAUAACAAAAACCAAAAUAUUUAACUUAUUCACACAUUUACAACAAUACAAGUCAGUUCAUAAGGUUUUGAUUAACAUUAUCCCAAAAGUUAAACUACAAACUAAUACGAAGUCGAGUAUUCUUGAUUAUCCAAAACAAUGAACUUCUUGUCAUCAUCAAUCGUACUCCUCUAUCAACUUCUUGUCAGAAAACAACCUUGUUGCCACUUGUUUUCGGUAUGAGUUAAUGCCUGCUUGUGUACGAACGUCAUAUGGAAUGUCUAGACCAUAUACAAGUGCCUCCAAAUAAAACAUAACAAAAACCCCACAAUCAUUGCUGCAAGAGAAAAAUAGAAAGUGAUAGUUAUUUGAUAUUACAUAACUCAAGGGAUAAUAUAAGAGAGGCAACACUAUUUCUUACUUGUUUUUUUGUUGUGGGAUGUCUGAAACUCGCACAGCCUUCCACUUACGAGUUAGAGAAUUAUCAUAAGAAUGUGAAGUAUACCAUGAUAUCCUAUCUAGAAUCAAUGGCAUCAUAACUACAAACGGCAACAAUUCCUUCUCAAAUGCACUGUCAUUCAUAUAAUCUAACAUGGAGUCAUACACAAAAAUUAUCUCCUUUUGAAGGUCAAACUGUGCUAGUGCCCAAUGAUCUUGCUUAGGAUGAAGCGGAAUAUAUACCUACAGAAAAAACCAUGUAAACCACUAAAUGGAGAAAAAAAAUUAUAGUCAACAUGUCAAAUAAAUAUAAGCAACUUACUUUGGAAACAUCUUUCCAAUGAACAACACAUUUAAGUUUUUCACCCUUGGCAUAAUCAACGACAUAAUUAGUAGCAUUAUUUGUCCAUACUUUUUCAGGGUUGAUCACGUAAACUGAAUACAGAUGCUCUAACUUUCGCUAUCAUUACAAAAAACAAAAGUGUAAGUGUCUUAUAUAUUUUAUAUUUUCCUAUAUGUUUUAUAAAUGUAAUAACAAACUUACUUGAUAUAUAGUGUCCAUUAUGGCACAUCGUUGCAUACUACAAGAUGGGGAGUUGACCAAGAUGUGUCGUACAACAUAAAAAAAAGAGUCCAAGUGUUGUAUAUAAUAAACAAUAGUUAUUAUAUGCAUUGUUUAACAUAUUCAUUAAAGUACCUAACAAAAAUUAUUACUAAACAAUAUGUUUAUAACAAAAUUCAAAACAAUAUAUAGAUUCUUACACUACAAUCCUUAAUUUCAUAAAUUUACAGAACAAUAUGUUUAUAACAAAAUUCAAAACAAUAAUCAAUAAAAGGCAAAUCCAAUGAACACAAUCAAAUAACCUUUAAAAUUGAAUCAUAAUGUUUCAAAACUAAACACAUCAUUUCUCCAACCGCAAAGCCAAAAUUGGGAAAACUAACCCACAUGAUUCUUUAAUCAACUUUUCUUUAACCACAUUGUUGCCAAAUCUUAAUUGUUGCACUCAAACAAAAAUAAGAAUACAAAAUCCAUAGAGGAAAUAAAAUAAAUUUGAAGUUCUUCAAAUAAAAAUAUGCUGUCUAACAUUUGUUUUUGUAUGUCUCUUCGUGAUAUAUUGUAUUACAUUGUUCAUGUUAUACUUCUAAUUCUUUUCAUUUUCAGUAAUCCCAUAAAUUAUACCCAAUUCACUAAAUCACUUACCAUUUUCAAGCAAAACCCUAAAAUUUUUCUUUGAAUAUUUGUAGGAGAAAGAAGAAAAUGAAAAUUACUUACCUAGUAACCAAUGACGGAGGCAAGACAAGGUGGUGGUGACACGGCUGAGGCAAUGGUGAUAGCUGAAGUGCAGAAUGGGCAGGGAGCCGCUUGUUCUUCAAGGAGUUUUCUCUCUUAUUUUGUUUACUCGACUUUGUGAUUUUGGGUGGGAAUCGAUUCUGUUUUGUUGGCUUUUAUUAAGGUUAUUUUUGUAUUUUCCAUGAUCUUUUUAAGUAUAUAUGUGUAAAGUUAGUAAUUUUAAUAUAUAGAGGUAUAUUUUAGGUAUUUUGAGGAAACCAGGUAUAUCCCACGCAAUUCGGGGUUUUUUUAUUUAAAUAUCCUCAAUUUACCCUUAAAUGCCAAAUUUAUACCCUAUUACAUACAUAUACCUUAUGAAGAUAGGAAAAGUCAAAAAUAACCUUAAAAAAACUAAGAAUUCACAUCUCUCUUCUCCCAUUGCUUCUCUUUUUCGGGCUUCUCUCACCAUUCUCUAUUUUUCUUAUAAGUGUAUUUCCUAAUGAUUUAUGAAUUUUAGUAGUACAUUAUUCAUUUUUUGUGCUUGCACACACACACACUAUUUCAAUGUAGGGAUUUAAGACUACAUUUAAGUUACGAGUGAUUGAAGAAUCAGUGCAGGAAGAAGUCGGGUACGAAGUCAGGUAAAUCGAGAAUUUAGUCGAGUAAGAAUUAGAGAUAAGUAAGUCGAGUAUAUGGUCGGGUAAGAAGUCGAGUAAGCAUAUUAAAUAAGUCGAGUAUAUGGUCGGGUAAGAAGUCGAGUAAGAAAAUUAAAUGAGUCGAGUAAGCAUAUUAAAGAAGUCGAGUAUAUGGUCGGGUAAGAAGUCGAGUAAGAAUAUUAAAUGAGUCGAGUAAGCAUAUUAAAUAAGUCGAGUAUAUGGUCGAGUAAGAAGUCGAGUAAGAAUAUUAAAUGAGUCGAGUAAGCAUAUUAAAUAAGUUGAGUAUAUGGUCGGGUUCAAGAAGUUGAGUAAGAAUAUUAAAUAAGUCGAGUAAGCAUAUUAAAUAAGUCGAGUAAGCAUAUUAACUAAGUCGAGUAUAUGGUCCGGUAAGAAGUCGAGUACGAAUAUUAAAUGAGUCGAGUAAGCAUAUUAAAUAAGUAGAAUAUAUGAUCGGGUAAGAAGUCGAGUAAAAAUAUUAAAUGAGUCGAGUAAGCAUAUUAAAUAAGUCGAGUAUAUGGUCGGGUAAGAAGUCGAGUAAGAAUAUUAAAUGAGUCGAGUAAGCAUAUUAAAUAAACCGAGUAUAUGGUCGGGUAAAAAGUCGAGUAAGAAUAUUAAAUAAGUCGAGUAAGCAUAUUAACUAAGUCGAGUAUAUGGUCCGGUAAGAAGUCGGGUAAGAAUAUUAAAUGAGUCGAGUAAGUAUAUUAAAUAAGUCGAGUAUUUUUAUUAAGGUUAUUUUUGUAUUUUCUCUGAUCUUUUUAAGUAUAUAUGUGUAAAGUUAGCAAUUUUAAUAUAUGGAGGUAUAUUUUGGGUAUUUUGAGGGAAAACAGGUAUAUCCCACGCAAUUCGCUCCGCAAUUCGCUCCCAUCUCAUCAUCUUCUUCAGUUGUACUAACAUUAAAUUCUUCUUAUUCCCUUUCUCAACUGUCAUACCCUAUCCCUAUUCCCUGUGUCCCCACUAAACCACGCUCAAUUCAGUCCAUCAGAUUCUCUCGGAACCACAUUAAUCCAACGGCUCACAAUGACCGACAGCCUCUGCAUCUCCAUUUCAAGCUCCCUCUUCAACUGGCCUCUGCUUCCGUUGUACUCUUUCUCGGAUUCUCGGUGGUCCCACACAGCUCCAUCUCGCUCCAAUUGUCACCCAACAAGACCAAUUGCUUAAUCAAGUCACAGAACAAAAAGAGGAUGAGAAAUUGGAACAAGAAUUUGAGAAUUGGAAAUCGAAAAUGUACAAAUUGACCGUGCCUUUGAGAGUUGUUUCUCUUCAGAAUUCAAUACCUCAAUCUUGGAUUAAGGAUUUUAUGCGAAGUCAAGGAAAGAUAUUGAAUUUUCAGAUGAAUUUGUGUGCUAGCAUUGAUGGGAUCUCAACAAUUUAUCUGUGCCUUUUAACAAAGUUAAGGCUAAAUCAGCUCUUAUAUGGGUGCUGAUUUGGUUAGUGUUGGUGAUUCAUGUCUCAGUUUUGCGAUUAAAAAGAGAUUGAUUGAACCAAUAGUUGGAGCUGAAGAUGAAGAUUGGUUCAAAUGCUUAAGUCACAAAUGGAAGGUAACAUCUUUAUCAUUGUCCAGAUAUUUUUUAAUCAUUGUCCCGAUAUGUUUUAUUGUCUUACAUUGAAGUUUGGUAAUGUAAUUUGUUCUCUAUCUGUGUUCCCUUUGUAGUCAUUUUAUUUAUUUUUUUGUUUGCAUUUAUUUGCACUUACGAAGUCUCAGGUAUAUCUAUGCAGGAAUGAUGCAGAAGAAAUUGAUCCUUGAGGUAAAAUAUGCGCAGCACCAUAUCAGUGGGGCACAGUGGUGAUAGCUUACAAGAAAAGUAAAUUUUGAAAGCAUAAUUUGGCUCCGAUUGAGGUAAUAAUUGUCUUUAAACUCAUUUAGUUUUAUAUCAAACAAAAUCAAGACUGCCCUUCUCUUCAAUAUUUUUUAUGAUAAUAUCUUUAGAAGCAGCUAAUUGACGGGUAAUCAAGGUAUUCCUUAAAGGGUCUACAAACUCAAUGAUAUUAUCUUCUGCAAAUGGUUCAUUAGACCUCUUAGUUGUAGUCAAAUGUCCACUAAGGACAGCAAGAAGCUAUGCCACUGUAGCAUGGUAAUGAUGGCCCUCAAUAAGUGAGUUGGUAGGAUGUGAAGCAGAAAAAUUAAUUAAUGUCUCCCUGGCUAUGCCAGCUCAUAAGUUAGGGUUAAUAUUAGAGCUUGAGUAACUAUAACCUUGAGAAGCUAUUGACUGCAAAUUAAAAUAUCCAUUAAAAUGUUUAGGGAGUUAUGAAGGUGGAAGUAUCUUCCAAUUUCUAAGGCCAUAUUGUAGACAUCAUCCAGGAUCCUAUUAAAGUGCAGUUAGCCUCCUGCUUGAUGCUAAUGUCAAACAAUUAAUAAAUUUGGUCAAUGUAACUGAAACUUGCUAACUGACAUCAGAUUGCAACUUAAAAUGGGAUAGAUGAUUAGUAGCACUGAAUUCUUCUUGCCUAAGAUUGAGCAAUUGUUCUAACUACUAUCUCCUAUUGUAGGUUGAUUAUUAUGUUCUAAUUAGGUCCAUUUUGACCCAAAAAAUUACAUAAUCUUGAUCUGCAUAUUGUCACUGAACAGUGUCAAUAUCGUUCACCAACUAACUUGAGUUUGAUAUAACAAACACACGGUGUGUCUCUCAUGUCUCACCAUGAUGGAGAAUUUUUCUAAUGCAUGAAGUAAGCUUCGAUAUGUGGGUUAGCUUGGAGAAGAUAUCUCAAAAUGAAGAAUAUGGGGAGUUAAUGGGAAGAAACAGUUCAUUAGUUGAUAAUUCUGUCAUCGAGCUGUAUCUCUAACAUGGUCAAAUUUUAUGUGAAUAAGGACAGGGAAUCUUCAUUCCUCUUUUCCUUUCUAUACCCAGAUAUCUCUCAACCUUUAUAUGUUGCCCACUGGAGAUCUGCUUCUAAUAACUAAAAUAAAAAUUUCAUCCACUCAAUAAAUGCUGACCAACCUUUCACAAGAAAAAGUAACAUCUUUAGUGAAGUAAUUUACAGUUCCUUAUCAUCUUCGUGUGAGUCUAUCAGUAUGAUCCAAAAACAUAAUACAUCUUGUUAGAUCUUGUUUAUUGAUGUUUAAAUGUUGUUCAUUGUGAAAUGUAGAAAUGAUGACGUGAAGUUUCUUUGGUCAUCAGUUAGUGAGAUCUUGUCUGAAGUUGUUUUCUGAAAUGAACUGCCAAAUGGUAGUUUUUUUUUUUGGGUGCAUUUGAUGGCUCUUUUCUCCUCAUUUUAAGUGGGUGCCUGCUUGGAAUGGGAAGGAAUAGGCUUCAGAGUUGUUAUAUAUGUUGACAUGCUCUAGUCUUUACACAAUAUGUUCAAAUUGGAAAUUAGAAUGAGAUAUUUGUCGAUGCUUUUUGAGAGAUCUGCAUUCUAAGCACCAUAACAUGAUUAAUGAAAACGGGUUUAAAGACUGGAAAGAUCUGUGGCGGCCCGAGCUUGCAGGAAGGAUUUCAAUGGUUAAUUCUCUCAGAGAGGUUAUUGGUACAGUUUUGAAGUAUAUGGGAGCAUCAUACAAUUGAAACGACAUUGAUUAGCAAGUUGCUGCUGGGAGGAUUGCUGUUCAGCAGAAUCUGGCAUUACUGGGAAACCAGGUACUCUUAACGAAACGAUAUCUGGUCAAUGCAUAUUAUUGCCUGACAGCUGAUUUUGUUUGUAAAGUCUGCCUUUUCAUACAUAUGAAUGCAUAUGUUAGUGUUUUACGAAUGCAUAUGUUGGUUUUAUUUUCUGAGAUGGAUGCAAAUAAAGGCUUUUUCUUCUAAAUUUAGCUGAAGAAAUGGCAAGGAAUGUGAGAUUAUAUCUCAUUAAAUUAUCAAAACCCAAAACAAUGAAAACUCAUAUUAAUGUGAUGUGGAUAAAUUGGCAACAUUUGGCUUGUUUCCUCCACGCGAAUUAGCAAGCAAUAGAGACUAAAAAAAUGGAGUGAUAAUAACAAGUCAUUGUCGUUUGAUGAAUGCAUUUUUAAGCAAAAAUAGGAUUGUAACUGAACAAAUUUUUCUGGCAUGCCAAUUUCAAAAAAUUAAAUUAUGUGGUUAUUAGUAAUGAAGGGGAAUUGUAGGUGCAAUCAGGUCAAUCCAGUAAAGUUCAACAAAGUUCUGGUUUGGUGUAGUGAAAUUGGUUUAUGCAACUUGAGUCUUUCAGAUGAACAAUGAUGAGUUUUCAUUUAAAAAUGUUAUAAAUCUGCUGUGCAUAGUAUUCUAGUGGAAUCAUCUAUAAAUUCAAGUUAUUGAAAUUGUCUAUUUUGUCUGGUCUGAGUUAAGGAGGCAUGUAAUUUAUGAAAAAUAGUUGUCGAAUAUUGUAGGUUACCUAACAUUUGAUCAAUCCUGUGGUGAGGGCUUUAAGAUGUCUAACAGCAUGUAGAAUGCCCCUGCUCCCCUCACAUUGUUUAUCUUAUACAAUAAUCCAUUAUAGAUGCUAAUAUCUUUGUCAAUACCUAAAACAGUAUUACAAAAUCUGAGUUUAUUGGGUUUUAUAUAGGUUCAACUGUUUGACAGUACACACUAUCUGAAGGCAUUUGGAAUUGGAGAUGUCUGGGUUGCUGUUGGGUGGAGUAGCGAUGUUCUUCCUGCUGUCAAACGUAUGUCUAAUGUUGCAGUUGUUGUUCCCAAGUCAGGUGCUAGCUUAUGGGCUGAUCUUUGGGUAUGCCCAUGCUUACCAUUCUACUUUGAUAUUCACUUUGUUAUCUCCAUCAUAGUAAUGAUCAGUAAAUACGAGAAUGUGUGACUGAUAAGUUUGUAUUCUCUUUUUAGGCAAUCCCUGCUGCGUCAAGACUUGAAACAAACCAAAUUGGAGGGUGAGUCAGAGGUCCAUCUCCAUUAAUCCAUCAAUGGAUAGUGUUCUGCUUGCAAACAGCAAGAGCAUUGCCUUUCAAACAAGAGGUUAUCCCUGGCGUACUGAGAUGGCUAAAGUUCUUGAAGUUUUGUUAGAAAUGAAAGAUGAGUGGUUGUUUGAAUAAAGUUGUGGCCAAUCUCGCAAAGGUUAAAAAGGAACAUCACGGAGCUAAUGCCACCGAUUUCUUCAUCAUUGUAGCCUCUAUAGUUGAAGUUUCCUCAUUUGAAGCUCUUUAUGCAUUAUCCCUGCUCAAGUACAAUUGAAGAACUAACCAGAUGUGAUAUGCUGAAAGAGGGAAGUUUUCUUCCUUGAAUGUGGCCUUGUGAUUUGUCAGGGAAUAGGAUGAUCACUAGCAAGAACCCUGUCAAGGUAGAUUUUAUGAUAUUAACAUAUUAUUAAGCAUUUGCCACUUUAGCAACGAUACAUUCAUAGCGUGAAAGUGUUCAAAUUUAACCUAAUGAUCCUGAUUAAUCAAUUAAUUUUCAUGAGUUGUAACCGGAGUUAAAGCUAAGUACAAUCAUCGUUAACAAAGACUGAAAUUUUGGGUAAAUAUGAUCUUAUAUUGAAUCAUUUGAUGACACAACUCACAUUGGAAAUUACUUAUUGCGUGGGGAUGGCGAUGUUUACUGUUGUAUUGCGAUAUAAAAUAUGUGCAAGGUAUUGUCGACUGCUUUUUGGGUUAUGGUGUGAUAGCUGCUGAUUAGUGAUAAAACAAGAAAAAUUAAUUAAACUCAGGCCUACAUGCUAAAUGUGUAUGUUAUCCUAACUUUCACUACAAGAAAAUGUCCUUAACCUGACCGUGUUAGAUGAUUGUAAGUAGCAGUGUUCGUACAAGUUUUUUUUCCUUCAUGGUAUUUACAAUUUCUUAGGAACAUCUAAAAUCUGAAAAUCCUCAUUUACUAAAAAUUAAGUUAUCAUUUACUGGCUGGCAACUUAAAGAUAAGAAUAAAUUCAAGAGCUCAUCAACCAAGUAGAGUUUUCUCAAUAGACGCCGUAGUUAAUUUCUCUCUUCAAUCUUGAUUAUGAAUGAUUGUUUUGUUGCUUUUUAAAGCGCUUUUAAAGUUUUAUUUUGCUCAUGUCUGAUAUUUAAUUACCUGAAGAAGCCUGAUGAUUUCUUGAUAUGAUUGCUCUGCCAAGCUAUCUAAGAAAUAGCUAUAGAAAUCCCUUCAUUACAUUAGAUAAUCUUCAUUAUCUGUGCAAUUUGGUGUUUUGUCUUUGAAGCCAGCCGUUUGCUUUUGAUAGAUUCCAUCUCGUAUUUAUUCCUUUUCUAUAGAUUUUGCAGGAUUGAAGCUAUAUUUCUUCUCUGUAUAUGUGAUUGAUAUUAAGAGUAUGUUUUUGUGUUGUCUCUGUUUUUUCUAUUUGAUCUAGAUUUAAUACCUGAAAGGUUACUAACAAAUUAUCUUAGGUCAAAUUCUCUUUUACGAGACUUUUUUUGCUAAAUUCUUGGAAUUAUAUAAUUAACUAAAUCUUUAGUACAAGGAGGAGUUUGCCCCUAACUUUGCUUUCUUUCUAUAAUCGCAUUAAUAAUCAAUCCCCUGCAUGUUGGUCGCAUUAAUAACCAAAUGUGCCUUUGACAUGCAACUAUACAAUCACAAACCAUCAUAGGCCAAGAUUGGUUCAAAUGCUUAAGUCACAAAUGGAAGGUAACAUCUUUGUCUUUGACCCGAUAAUUUUUAUUGUCUUACAUUGAAAUUUGGUAAUGUAAUUUGUUCUCUAUCUGUAUUACCCUUUGUAGUCGUUUUAUUUAUUUGUUUAUUUAUUUGCUUUUAUUUGCACUAACGAAGUCUCAGGUAUAUCUACGCUGGAAUGAUGCAGGAGAAAUUGAUCCUCGAGGUGCAAUAUGGGCGGCACCAUACAGGUGGGGCACAAUGGUGAUAGCCUACAAGAGAAGUAAAUUUCAAAAGCAUAAUUUGGCUCCGAUUGAGGUAAUAAUUGUCUUUAAACUCAUUUAGUUUUAGUCAAAUGUACACUAAGAACAAUUAGAAGCUAUGCCACUGUAGCAUGUAGUGAUGGCCCUUAAUAAGUGAGUUGCUAGGAUGUGAACUAGAAAAAUUAAAUAUUGUUUCCUUGGGUAUACUAGCUCGUAAGUCAGGGUAAAUAUUAGAACGUAAGAUACUAUAACCAUGGGAAGCUAUUGACAGCCAAUUAAAAUAUCCUUUAAAAUGUCUAGGAAGUUAUGAAGGUGGAGGUAUCGUCCGAUUUCUAAGGCCACAUGGUAGACAUCAUCUAGGAUCCUAGGAAAAUGCAGUUAAACUCCUGCUCAAUGCAAUUAAUAAAUUUGGUCAUUGCCACUGAAACCUGCUAACUAACGUUACAAUGCGACAUGAGCACUUCAAAAUGGGACAGACGGUCAGUAGCACUAAAUUUUUCUUGCCUAAGAUUGAGCAAUUGGCUAACUACUAACCCCUAUUGUAGAUUGAUCAUUAUUUUUUCAAUUUUGUUCAGUUUGACCCAAAAAGUUACAGAAUCUUGAUCUGAAUAUUGUCACUGAACACUGUCAAUGUCGUUUAGCAUAGCCAACUAACUUGAGUUUGGUAAAACAAACACACAGUGUGUCUCAUGUCUCACAAUUCAAAUUAUCAUCUGUAAUGAUGGGGAAUUUUUCCAAUGUAUAAAGUAUGCUUUGAUACGUGGGUUAACUUGGAGAAGAUAUCUCAAAAUAACGAAUAUGGGGAGAAAACAGUUCAGUAGUUUAUUAUUCUGUAGUCAAGUUUUGUCUCAAAAAUGGUCAAAAUUUAAAUGAAUAAGGACAGGGGAUCUUCAUUCUUUUUUCUCUUUUUAUACCAAGAUAUCUCUCAACCUUUAUAUAAUCCCCACUGGAUAUCUGCUUUUAAUAAUUAAAAUAAAAAUUUCACCCCCACAAAUAAAUACUGACCAAGCUCUAACAAUAAAAAGUAACGUCUUUAGUCAAGUAAUUUACAGUUCCUCAUCAUCUUAGUGUGAGACUAUCAGUACGUUCCAAAAACAUAAUAAAACUGGUUUGAUCCUGUUUAUUGAUUUUUAAAUGUUGUUCAUUGUGACAUGUAGAAAUGAUGAGGCGAAGUUUAUUUGGUCAUCAAUUAGUAAGAUCUUGCUUGAAGCUGUUUUACGAAAUGAACUUGCCAAGUGGUAGUUUUUUGGGGGCAUUUGAUGGCUCUUUUUUCCUCAUUUUAAACAUGUGCCUCCGUGGAACGGGAAGGAUUAGGCUGCAGAGUUGUUAGAUAUUUUGACAUGCUCUGGUCAUUGCACAAUUUGUUCACACUGGAAAUUAGAAUGAGAAAUUUGUUGAUGCUGUUCUGAGAGAUCUGCAUUCUAUGCACAAAAACAUGACUAAUGAAAAUGGAUUGUAGGACUGGAAAGAUCUGUGGCAGCUUGAGCUCGCAGGAAGAAUUUCAAUGGUUAAUUCUCCCCGAGAGGUUAUUGGUUUGGUUUUGAAGUAUAUGGGAGCAUCAUACAAUUCAAAUGAUAUUGAUUCGCAAGUUGCUGGUGGGAAGAUUGCUGUUCAGCAGAAUCUGGCAUUACUGGCAAGCCAGGUACUCUUAAAGAAGUGCUAUCUGGUCAUUGCAUGUUAUUGCCUGACAACUGAUUUUGUUUGUAAAAGUCUGCUUCUUCAUACAUAUGGAUGCAUAUGUUAGUGUUUUCUUCUCCUUUUCAUACAUAUGAAUGCAUAUGUUAGUGUUGUCUUUUCCUUUUCAUACAUAUUAAUACAUAUGUUGGUGUUCUCUCCUGAGAUGGACGCAAUAAAGGCUUUUGCUCCUAAAUUUAGGUGAAGAAAUGGUAAGGGAUGUGAGAUUCUGUCUCAUUAAAUUAACAAAACCCCAAAACAAUGAAAACCCAUAAUAAUGUGGUGUGGGUAAAUUGGCGCCAUUUGGUUCGUUUCCUUAAUGUGAAUACACGAGCAAUAGAGACUAACAAAUUGAAGUGACAAGAACAAGUCACUGUCCUUUGAUGGAUGCAGUUUUAGGCAGAAAUAGGUUUGUAAUUGACCAAAUUUGCCUGGCAUGCCAAUAUCAAAAAAAUUAAAUUAUGUGGUUAUUAGCUGUAAUGAAGGGGGAUAGUAGGUGCAAUCAGGUGGAUCCAGGAAAGUUCAACAAAGUUCUGGAAUUGCGUAGUGAAAUUGGUUUGUGCAACUCAAGAGUCUUUCAGGUGAACAAUGAUGGGUUUUGAUUUAUAAAUGUUAUAAAUCUACUGUGCAUAGUAUUCUAGUAGAAUCAUCUAUAAGUUCUAGUUAUUGAAGUUGUCUACUUUGUCCAGUUUGGUCAAUUACCUAACAUUUGAUCAAUCCUAUUAUGAGGGCUUCAAGAUGUCUAACAAUAUGUGGGAUGCCCAUGCUCCUCCCCAUUGUUUAUCUUAUACAAUAAUUUGUUUUCGAUGCUAGUAUCUCUUUCGAUACCGGUAACAAUAUUACAAUAUCUGUGUUUAUUGGGUUUUACAUAGGUUCGAAUGUUUGACAGUACACACUAUCUGAAGGCAUUUGGAAUUGGAGAUGUAUGGGUUGCUGUUGGGUGGAGUAGUGAUGUUCUUGCUGCUGUCAAACGAAUGUCUAAUGUUGCAGUUGUUGUUCCCAAGACUGGUGCUAGCUUAUGGGCCGAUCUUUGGGUAUACCCAUGCCUGCCAUUCUACUUCGAUAUUCACAUUGUUAUCUCCUUCAUAUUAGCGAUCAGUAAACACAAUAAUGUGAGAAAUAAGUUUGUAUUCUCUUUAUAGGCAAUCCCUGCUGCCUCAAGACUUGAAACAAAACAAAUUGGAGGGCGAGUCAGAGGUCCAUCUCCAUUAAUCCAUCAAUGGAUAGAGUUCUGCUUGCAAAUAGCGAGAGCAUUGCCUUUCAAGCAAGAGGUUAUCCCAGGCGCAUCUCCCUCUGCUCUUGAAAGUACUCUGGUUAAGUUGCCUGAAGAACUUCUGAAGGGUAAACCAAGUCUGGAUACUAACUUAAUUUCUGGAGUACCCCGGGCUGAAAUUCUGGCCAGAUGUGAGUUUUUGGAGCCAUUAUCUGAAGCUACUUUGUCAGAUUAUGAGUGGCUGGUUGGUAAUCUGCAAAAAACCUGCUCCUGUCUUGGUGAAAAGGGGGCAAAAUUACUUGUCAUCAUUAAUCCAAAGCUUUCUAGCAAAAGCUGCAUUGAAACGUUAAUGGCACUGCAUGCCAGUCAUUAUAAUGCAGUCAGGGCAAUUGGGUCAGGGCAAUUAGGUCAGGGCAUAACUUCAUCAGGAAAAGAGGCUUCAGCUACGUUAAAUAUUACAGUAUGUACUAAGAUGGCUGAAGUUCUUGAGGUUUUAGGAGAAACGAAAGAUGAGUCUUUGUUUGAACAAAGUUGUUGCCAAUCUUUCAGAGUUCGAGAAGAAAGAUCACGGAGCGAUGCCGCUGAUUUCUUCAUCAUUGUAGCCUCCAUAGUUGAAGUUUCCUCAUUUGAAGCUGUUUAUGCAUAUGCUUUUUCCCUGCUCAAGUACAGGAAAUUGGAGAAUUAACCAGCUGUGAUAUGCUGAAAAAGGGAAGUUUUCUUACGUGAAUGUGGCCUUGUGAUUUGUCUUGAAGGAAUAGGAUGAUCACUGGCAAGAACCCUAUGAAGGUAGAUUUUAUGAUGUUAACAUAUUAGUAAGCAUUUUGUUACAUCAGCGAUGAUGCUUUCAUUGCAUGAAAGUGUCUAAAUUUAACUGAAUGAUCUUGAUUAAUCAAUUAUGAGUUUUAAUCGAGUAAAAACUAAAUUCAAUCAUCGUUAACAAAUACUGAAAUUGGGUAAAUAUGAUCUUGAUAUUGAGGAAUUUGAAAUCACAACCCGCACAGGAAAUCACCCUUCGCGGGGGGAUGGAGAUGUUUACUGCAGCGAUAAUGAAUAUGUGCAAGGUGUUGUCCACUGCUCUUUGGGUUAUGGUGUGACUUGCGAUUUCAAGGUUGCCCUGAAACAAUGGAAAAUAUUAACAUAUCCUCCAAUGAAUAAAAACGGCUGGACUAAUUCAAAUUACUCAGCAUCAGGUGGCAAUAAUAACAGUCCAUUUACUUUUCCAGGAUCAGAUGUUGAUAAUAAUAGUUUAUUAAAUGACAAAUCAUUGUUCUUGGGGGUUAGUUGUAUACGUCCUUACUACUUCAAGGAGAAGAAAAAGGUUGUGCAGGUGAUUUCAGAAAUAAAAUACAUUCUGAGAGAUGAUGGUCCACUACUGCAUGCCCCCCAGAUUUAAGAAUCAUCACUUUUCCUUUAAAAAACUGCUACGCUUUGAUUUUAGUGCUGAAUAUUUAUUGAACUCUGAUAGAAGGAGUUUGAAGUCAAACUCGUAAUUACAGGUUAUCUAAUUGCUGAGUUGUUGUCCAUAGCUGCUGAUUUGUAGUGAUUAUCUAAUUGACUGAGGUAACAACAAUUUUUUUUUUUUAAUUUUCAAUAGCACAAUGUCGAAUUCAAUAAUUAAAUUCUCCUAUUUAAUUUGUUUCAAGUUAAAUUAUUAAUUACUUAAACUAUGUUUUAAGUCUUUAAUUUUAUGUCUUGGCGUAUAUGCAGAAUUGGAUUCUUGAGCGUGUUGGACACGACCAACAAUGAAAUUGACAGUAAACAAACAUUACAACGUGUGGACUCCGGUAGCUGCCCUACAAGUCUACAACUUCACAAAUAAUAAUUGAGUAAGCACCUUUGAUUCUCGUAACCCUUCAAUGAAUUUCUAGCCCCAUUGACUCCACUAACAAAAGUUUUGUAAAAUAAAAAAAAUACAUAAAAUUCCACCAAAUACAAAACGCGUGGAAUUUAAUUUUCGGCCGUGUGGACCAAAACAUAAUUUAACGAAAAAAGAAAAAAAUGAUAAGAUUUCUAAAAUGUGUGGAAGGUGAUUCAUAUUUUACUGAAACGACUUGUUAAAUUUUUCAAGGAUUUAGAAUAUUUGGUCGUAAAUUAGGUGCAUGUUAAUUUUUCCGCCAUUGACUAUCAUAUUCUAAACUUAAUGGUACCUUUCUUGAUGAAGGGUACUUAGUCUCCCUUCUCCUCUUAUAAAAAUUAUAUUAAUUGAUUUCUUAUUAUAGUUAAUAGUCUUUAAGAACGGAUAGCUUUAUUGUUUUCAUAACCAAAUUAUGCCUGCCUAAGAUUGCGACUAUUAAUAAAAUUAAUAUUCAAUGUUUAUGUUAAAAGAUAUAAGAUUAAUUUAUGCGUUCAUUAAUUGUUAUUAGCUAAAGGAUGAAUUAUUUUUUCAACCCAAUCAGUUGAUGCAUCUGCAAGAGUUUUUUCUUUUAGUGACCAUAAUUAUAUUCCGGGUACAAUAAAUUGUCUUUGGUGCUUGGAAAAUAUGACUUCUUACUUCAAGUUUUUGAUAUGUCUCUCUCCAUAAACUUACUGGAAAUAUAUCCUCAUCUACUGUCAUUUAUCUAAUAUCAAUUGAAAAUCUCACUUUUCCAAACUAUCACUUCCAAGUCUAAUUGUCACUUGCCAUUCUUGGACCAUUCAAAACCAAUCAAGUGUUGAAAUAAUCAAAUAUAUGCAAAAUUAGAGUCACGAUUUUUGGUCCCCCAAAUUCUAAUUAUAUAACUUCUAUGUAUCUCAUUGUCAGGUCACGAACUUGUUGGCACAUUUUCCAAAUUCCUCUUCCAUCAGCUCUCACAUGUUAACUUGAGUGUAAAGUUUCCAAGUUGAUUGCUAGAAAGCAACGCAAAAUCAGACACACUUGACCCGUCCCAUAAUUAUCUUUUCUACGUUGAAAAAGAAAAAAAAAAAGAAAAAAGAAAAUAUAUCUAUGUAAAAAUAAAUAAUAAAUUGAGUAAAAGCACAUUUGUUUAAUUAACAUCUGAUCGGGGCAUUUUUGGUGUAAUUUAGUGCUGUGUAACCCACAACUAAAAUCAAACAGCCCCUUAGCAUACUUCUUCCAUUUUAUCUGCUACUUUUGUGGAUCUGAUAGGGUGGGCAUGUGGACAGAAUUUAAAAGUUUUAAUAGUCUCAAAGAAUAAGAUAUGUUAAAGCUAAAGUUGUUGCACCUUCUUAUUAAAUAAAGUUGCACAAUUUCACCAACUUGGAAGAAUUGACAUCAAUGGACUGGUCCCUCUCCAUAUAUGAAGCCUUCUUAAAAGUAAUUUUUAUUUCAGAAAAAAAAGUUUAAGUUACAUAUAUUACAGUAAGAUUUUUUGAGACCAAAUCCCUUCAAAUAAUAAUGGAAAAGUAUUAAUUUAAAAACAAAAUGAAUAUGUAUUGAUUAUAUCCGGAUUUUCAUAGAUUAUAGUGAGAGUUUCUCCAAAUCAAUUCCCUUAUUCAAAUAAUACAGAAAAAAUAGUAAUUUAAUAGUAAAAUAAACAGGUGUUGAUUGUAUAUCCUUAGUUUCAUCGAUUAUGUGAUCAAAGUGGCAUUGAUGAUUUAUUUCUUGUUCAAUGUUAAUUUUUAGGUUAUCUAAAUUUUAAGGAUUUAAAAUCUUUGGUCAUGGAUUGCAUGCUUGUCAAUUUUUCUGUCAUUGACUGUCAUAUUCUAGACUUAAUGGUACCUUUCUUGAUCAAGGGUAAUUAUUCUCUCUCCUCCUCUUAUAAAUUCCUCUUCCAUUAACAUCACUAGGAGUUUGUUGAUCUCUAAGACGUUAACUUGAGUGGAGAGUUUCCAAAUUGAUCGUUACAAAACAGUACAAAAACUAGACACACUUGAUCUGUCUAAUAAUUCUCUUUUGGUAAAAUUAAUUAAUUUUAGGAGAAUAUUCGGCCAACCUCUAUAAUUUCAGAUUGAUCACUAAUUAAUUAAACGAUACAAAUUGCUAAAGUGAUUAGAUGUUUGCUGACAAUACAAGUUCAUGGUUUGAAAUUUGAUCUCUAUCGAUUGGUUUACAAUGGACGUACUUGUGCCUUUGUGGCGAUAAUUGAACCAGAGAUGUGAAGCUGUAAAGAUUUGGCAGUAGUAAAUUGUUAUAAAGACAUAAUGACAAGUUCCCAUGAUUAUUAUUUUUUCCAAAAACUUUUUUACAACAAAUUCAUCUCGCCCAAAAAUUCUAUUUUUCUAACCAACAAUAAUUGAGUACUUGGCCGUAUUGACUCCACGUCUCCACCUGCUUUCUAAGUAAAAACAUGGAAAUGUACUUUCCACAAAAUGCCAAAUGUGUGGAAUUUAAUUUUUGGUCUUGUGGACCAAAAUACAAAUGAAAGAAAGAAGAAAAAAAAGGCCCAAAGACUUCUAAAAGGUGUAGAAGUCUUUGGACCUUUUUACAAUAGUGGAUUUUUUAAAAGGAAAAAAUAACAACACUUUUAUGAUUUGUUUUGAUAAUCAUAUUUACAUAUACUCUCUAAUUUUCAAAAUGGACACAUAAUUUUUUUUUUUACAAAUAUACGUUAUUCGUAUUUUUUAUUAUUUUUAUUAUCGUAUUUUUAUUUAUUAUAAAUAUUUAAAGUAAAUUUUUAGGUUGAAAUAUAUUAAAAGGAUAUAAUCGUUCUCUUAUUAAACACACAUACUUUUAGUUUCUAUCCAUUUGUCAUCUCAAUCUCUCUCAAUUAUUGUUUAUUGCUAGCUCAAAGCGCGUUGCUGUGGAAAAUUGUAGCAAAAUGAAAAAUUGGAAAGAAAGGGAAGAAGAUUAAUGGGUGAAAGAAUUGGAGAAAACAACCAAAUAAGUCAACUGCUCUUUAGUGAGAACAUUUUACAAAAGGAUUGGAUCGAGUUUUUGUUUGAUAUUGAAGGACCUGCGUCCCUGUCGCGAUGUAGAAUAUGUGCAAGGAGUUGUCUACUGCUCUUUAGGCCAUAAUAAUGUGACUGGUGCAUUCCACGUUGCCCUCAAACAGUGGUCUGAAGUCAAAAGCAAUUAGUUACAUAACAAAUCAUUGUUCUUGGGUUAUACCUCGUCAUGUCUUCAAGUGCGAAGAUGAAGAUUAUGCAAGUGAAUUCAGGAAUACAAUACAUCAUUUCCAGCUCUUUGGGUUAUGGUGUGACUUGCGAUUCCCUCCAAUGAAUGAAAACGGGUGGACUAAUUCUGAUUACCUAAUUGACUCAGGAUCGGCUGGCAAUAAUAACAGUUUAUGAACAAUGCACAGUCCUAGUACUUUUCCAGGAUCUGAUACGACGUUGUCUAAUGUUGAUAAUAAUAGUUUAUUAAAUGACAAAUCAUUGAUCUUGGGUGUUGAUUUCAGAAAUAAAAUACAUUCUGAGAGAUGCUGGUCUACUGUUGCAAGCCCCCAGAUUUAAGAAUCUUCUGAUGAUAAUUUAUCACCUGCAACCGUGCCGGAAGAUUCAACUAGCACUGAAAAAGAUGAUAAUUUAAUUGAUAUGGACAGUUUCCAUAUCACUUUUAAAUCAUCCUAUGUAAUUGUGAUGUUAGGAAGCAUUAGUGAUCUAUAUGUGAACUAUUAUUGGUGCCAUUGGUGGUUUUAUCUUGUUAAAAUAUGGAUGACUUCCAGUUACUAUUUUGUAGUAUACAAUUUUAUUCAAUUAACAUAUAGCUUAAAACCAUUAUGUAUGUGCUUUAUUAAGAUUCUCAAGUACCAAUCACGUUUGCUUAAGAAAUAAAAUUUUACCAUUAAAAGCGUAGUAAUAUUUCCAAGCGCUUCGCAUUUAUCUCAACAUUUUGAAGGAAUUUUGAGAAAUACACGUGUCCAAAAGUCUAGUCAUCAUCCUUAUUUUUCUAUCGUUCUUUUGGGUUUGCAGUUGGUGGUGCUUUCAAUGUUUCCCUGAAACAUAGCAAAAGAAGGUACAUAUUCUUGGUAUGAGUUAGAUUUUUAGUGAUUAUCUAAUUGACUGGGGUGACAACAGUAGCACAACGUAGAAUUCAAUAAUAAAAUUCUCCUGUUUAAUUUGUUUUAAGUUAAAUAAUUAAUUACUUAAAACUCUGUUUUAAGUCUUUAAUUUUAUGUCUUGGCGUUUAUGCAGAGUUGGAUUCUUGAGUGAGUUGGACAUGACCUACAAUGAGAAUGACAGUAAACAAACAUUAAAACGUGUGGACUCCGGUGGCUGCCCUGCAAGUCUACAACUCUACAAGAAUAAUUUCUAGUCCCGUUGACUCCACUAACUAAAGUUUUUUAAAAUUUAAAAAGGUACAUAGAAUUCCAUGACAAGCAAAACGUGUGGAAUUUAAUUUUUUGCCGUGUGGAAAAAAAUACAAUUUAGCAAAAAAGGACAAGAAAAAUGGUAAGAUUUCUAAAAUGAGUGGAAGGUGAUCCAUAUUUUACUGAAACGACUUGUUCCGAACAUCACGACGUGAUUUUUUUUAUUUUUUAUUUUUGAAUAACAUCAACUUCCAUAUCUGUCUAACCCCCAGAAUAUGCUCACGUUCAAGUCUAUCUUGCUAAUUUAAAAAAAGAAAAUCAAAUCAACAUCUUCAGGAAGAUUUUCCUCAAUUUGCUCCAGAAGAGUUGGAGCUGUGGUUCUGAUAAACCAAAGAAUUAGUAGCAAUAUUAAUAUUGCCCACCCAAGAAAUAUGAGUGAAUUAAAGUAUUGACAAGACUUCGCUCAGAGGAGCAUUUAAACCACUUCCUUAUCAGUUGCGGCAGCCGUCUAUUAACUAAAACGCCAAUCUAAUACAAGAAGAAAGAACAUUUACAGACUUGGCAAUUGAGUUUAUUAAGAAGUAGCAUCGCAUUCGGGUGAUGAGUUUCCUUUUGUUAAUAAUUUUAGUCUAAUUUCAAUUGUACUGUGAUGGCUUCUCAAGGUAAGUGAAAGUUACAGAUGUGGCAAAAUAAAUAAUUAAAUUAACAAAAUGCUAACUGAUUUUCCUAAACACCUAGGGUUGUACAAUUUCACCAACCUGGAAGAAUUGACAUUAAUGGACUGGUCUCCUCCCCAUAUAAUUAUAAUCCUUCUAGAAAGCUAAUUUUUAUAAUUUCAAUUAAAAAAUGUUUUAAGUUAUAUAUACUCUAAUGAGAUUCUGAAUUCCUUUAUUCCAAUAAUAAUGAAAACGUAUUAAAUUAGAAAUGAAAAAAUGGGUGUUGAUGAUUCAUCCUGAUUUGGAUAGAUUACGUGAAUAAAAUUGAAAUUUUAAUAAAAAAACAAGGAAAGGUUUUUCCGAGUCAUCCAUUAUUUGAUUACCGUCAAUCAAGAAAACGACCAAAUUAAUUUCUCUCCAAAAUUUCCAAAAGCUAGAAAAUUUUGUUAUUUGAAAAUAACAUCAUUAAUUAUAGAGUGGAUCAAACCGCGUUAUUGUCUUUCAUAAAAUUGAUGUCUUUUUAAGAGUCAAUACUUUUUAUUUACGCAAACCAGUCGACAUCAACUUAAACUUCCAUAUUUUUAUUAUUAUGUUAUUGAUUUUAAUCCCUGAUUAUUUGAUUAGCCACUAUAUAUAUCAAGAAAGCGACAAAAUUUAUUUCUCAUGACUUUCAAAAACUAGAAAACAACAUCAUUUAUUAUUUUUUUGCAACCCUAAUUGACAUCAACUUUAACUUUAUUAUGUUAUUAUUUCAAUCCCCCAUUAUGACCUUUCUAAUCCUCCAUUAUGCAUCUUUUAUAGUGCAAAUUUAAUUGCACAUCUAAAUAAAUUGAUUAUUGUCACUCCACCACCAAUAUUUCAAAUAGUCACUAUACCAUUUCUGCCUUUAAUUUUCCCUUAAGUUUAACUAUUGACUGUUUUUAGCAUCUUAAAAUAUACAUUUAUUCCUUGAUUAUGUGAUAAAAUUAUGAAAAUAUCCAUUUUAGCUUAAAUUAAUUGGAAUAACCAUAAACAUAACUUAAAUUUAUAGAACAAAAUUAUCAAGUGUAUGUUCUAUCUUACUUUUUGAAGAAUUUAACAUAUAUAAUGCUAUACUAUUAAUAAAUUUAUCAUUUAAUAUAUAUUUUCAAAUAUUUUAUAUAUUUAUUAAUUGUUAUAUAGUCAAAGGAUGAAUGAUUUUUCUGGUCUACAUGAGUUGGUGCAUCUGCAAGACUCAAUUUUGACAACAAUGAUCUAAGGGGUAAUUUACCUUGGUGUUUGACAAAUUUAACCUCUCUUCAAGAUUUACUUCCAAUCUACUUACUGUAAAUAUAUCCUCAUCUCCUCUCAUUUAUAUGAUAACCCUUGAAGAUCUCACAUGUUCAAACAAUCAUAUUAGGAUUUUUAUUAUUAGCAUCAUUGUGUCAAUAAUAUAUGUUGCAGUAAGAUUUUUUCAGACCAAUUCCCUUCUUCAAAUAAUAAUGGAAAAGUAUUAAUUUAAAAAUAAAAUGAAUAUGCAUUGAUUAUAUCCUGAUUUUCAUCGAUUAUAGCGAGAGUUUCUCCAAAUCAACGCCCUUAUUCAAAUAAUACAGAAAAAAUAGUAAUUUAAUAGUAAAAUUAACAAGUGUUGAUUAUAUAUCCUAAGUUUCAUCGAUUAUGUGAUCAAAGUGGCAUUGUUGAUUUAUUUCUUGUUCAAUGUUAAUUUUUAGGUUAUCUAAAUUUCAAGGAUUUAAAAUCUUUGUUCAUGGAUUACAAGCUUAUUAAUUUUUUUGCCAUUGACUGUCAUAUUCUAGACUUACUGGUACCUUCCUUGAUCAAGGAUAAUUACUCUCUGUUCUCCUCUUAUAAAUUCCUCUUCCAUUAACAUCACUAGGAGUAUGUUGAUCUCUCAGACGUAAACUUCAGUGGAGAGUUUCCAAAUUGAUUGUUACAAAACAACACAAAAACUAGACACACUUGAUCUGUCUAAUAAUUCUCUUUCGGUAAAAUUAAUUAAUUUUAGGGGAAUAUUCGACAAAUCUAUAUAAUUUUAGAUUGAUCAUUAAUUAAUUAGACGAAAAACGUACUUGUGCUUUGUGCCGACAAUUGAACCAGAGAAGUGAAGCUGUAAAGAUUUGGCAGUAGUAAACUGUUAGAAAGACAUAAAGACAAGUUCCCAUUUUAUAAUUUUUUCAAAAAACGUUUUUACAACACAUGCACCUGGCCAAAAAUUUUAUUUUGCUAACUAACAAUAACUGAGUAGCUGACCGUACUGACUCCGCCUACUUGCUAAAGUAAAAAAAUAGAAAUAGAAUUUCCACAAAAUGUCAAACAUGUAAAAUCUAAUAUUUGGCCGUGUGGAACAAAAUACAAAUGAAAAAAAAAUAGAAAAAAGGCCUAAAGACUUUUAAAAUGUGUGGAAGUCUUUCGGCCCUUUUAUAAUGGUGUGUUUUUCAAAGGAACAAAUAAUAAUAAUGACACUUCUACGGUUUGUUUUGAUAAUCACACAUAUACUCUUUAAUUUGAUAAAUGGUUACACAAAUUUUGUUUACAAAAAUAUAUUAUUCAUGUUCUGUAUUAUUUUUUAACAUCAUAUUUUUAUUUAUUAUAAUUGUUUAAAGUUAAUUGUUAGGUUGAUAUAUAAUAAAAACGUAUAAUCCUUCUCUUACUAAACACACAUACUCGUAGUUUCUGUUCAUUUGUCAUCUCAAUCUCUCUCAUUUAUCCUUUAUUGAUAGCUCAAAAUGCGUCACUGUGGAAAAUUAUAGCAAAACGACAAAUAUGGAAAGAAUGGGAAGAAAAUUAAUGCAUGAAAGAGUUGCAGAAGACAACCAAAUAAGUCAACUAUACGCUAGCUGGGUGUAUAAAUUGUUAGAUGUGUUAUAAACAAAUAGCAUAGAGCCCUUUGGUUGGUUACAGAGAUAGAAAGAGUGUGUGUGUUUUUUAGAACUUAAAGAUACAGUUAGAAUGGGUGGUUCAAAAUCAAAAAUGGUGAUAAUGUUUGUUCUGUUAUUAAUAAUAUUAGAAGGUGGGGGGAGUGAGGGAUGUUUAGAUCAUGAGAGAUUUGCUCUUUUACGACUCAAACUUUUCUUUGAUGAUACUUAUAAUUAUCUUCACGAUUGGAUAGAUGAUGAGGGAGUUACUGAUUGUUGUCAGUGGGAAAGGGUUGAGUGCAGCAACACCACAGGCCGAGUGAUAGCGCUAGACCUUUCUGACACGUAUUCGGGAGAGUACAACUGGUAUAUGAAUGCUUCUUUUUUUACUCCCUUCCAACAACUUGAGUCACUUGAUUUACAUGGCAACAACAUAGCUGGUUGUGUUGAGAAUGAAGGUGCUUCGUCUAAUUCAAUUAAAUUACAUUUCGCUCUCCUAAUUUAAGUCGAAUAUCAAGACUGAGUAGCUAUAUGCAUAUUCAUUCAAUUGACAAUUUUUACAUAUUUUUUAAAAUGUUUAAUUUUGAAAUUACACCAAACAUCAUAUGUGAUCUUUGUUUUGAUUUUACUUGCAGGUCUAGAAAGAUUGAGCAACUUGAAGAGGCUUGAUUUAAGUUUUAACUUGUUCAACAAUAGCAUCUUAUCAUCUGUGGCUCAUCUUUCAUCACUAACAUCAUUAGAUUUAUCUGAAAAUAGAUUGGAAGGAAGUAUUAAUGUUAAAGGUACGUAAUUAAAACGUCAUCGCUUCUCCCAACUCUUGCAUUAACAUGCUAAAAUAAGAUUCAAGGCUUUGAAUUCAUUUUUUUUAUGAGUAAAUAUUAGAAAAAUAGUUUUAAGCAAUUCAUAAAUACAAUUUUCAAUGUUUCUCAUAAUUUCAUCUUGUACUUUUGUAUGUCUUGACUUUAAGAUUAAAAAAAAAAAUUACUCUAACUGUGAAGCAAAUACCCCAUGACUAAUUUAUCAUUUUGUCCAGUUAAAAAUGAUAAAAUUUAUCAUUUGUUUAUAUUGAUUAAUUAACUCUAUUUUAAGUCUUAAGUCUUGGCGUCUUGGCAUGUUUGCAGAAUUUGAUUCCUUGAGCAACUUAGAGGAGUUGGACAUGAGCGACAAUGAAAUAGACAAUUUAGAGGUUCCUCAAGGUAAACAAUUAAAAUAUUAUUCAAUUACAUUAAUUUAAUUCGUUUGAUUAGGGAAGACCCAAAAGGUACAAAAUAUAAUAAUAAUAAUAAUAAUAAUAAAAGAAACAGAGAAUCUAUAUUAUUUCAAAAAAUAAAACGUAAUACUAUUAUUUCAAAAAUAGAUUGUAAUAAAGAUUUGAUUCCGGUUCUUUAAUCUUUACAGCAAUUGAAAAACGAUGUUGCUCUUUUCCUAAAGCAUAAAAUAUGAAAUGACUCCCAAUAGAAUUAAUCAUUUAUUUCGUUUACUCUAAAUUUAAACAAUGAAUCUUGAUUUUCUUCAAUCAUAUCCUUAUUAUUAUUGUUAAACAGGUUACAGAGGUUUGAGGAAGUUGAAAAGCCUCUAUCUAUCGAAAGCUAAAAUUAGAGAUGGAAGCAAGUUGUUACAGUCAAUGGGAUCAUUCCCAUCCCUCAACACUCUUUACCUGAAGGAUAAUAAUUUUACCGAUAUAGCGACAACUACUACUCAAGGUAAGUAAAAGGUACAGAUGUGGCCAAAUUUACAAAUAAAUUGUUAAUUAAUUAAUUUUUCCGUAUUAUUAAUAAAGCUAAAUUCGUCGCUCCUUCCUUCUAAUUCUAAACAGAGUUGGCAAUUUCACCAACUUGGAGUAUUUGACAUUGGACUUGUCCUCGCUCCAUUUAAGCCUUCUACAAUUGCUUGAAGAAAGAAUUUAUUUAUUUAUUUAUUAUUGUUGUUGUUGUUGUUGUUGUUGAAGUGAGGUGGGCAAAGCGUUCACUCAAUUAAUAUGUGGGGAAUUAAUAAUUACAAUCCAAGGUAGAAUUGUGGAAAAUUAAAGCAAAAUGAGAAAUAUGGAAAGAAAGGAAGAAAAUUAAGGGCAUGAAAGACUGGGAGAAGACUAAAGACCACCAAAUAAGUCAACUGAAAACUAGCUGAGAGACAGAGAGUGUGCAUUUUGUUAAUUAAAUAUAUAUAUAUAAAAUGGGUGGUUCAAAAUCCAAAAAUGGUGAUAAUGUUAGUUUUGUUAGUAUUAAUAAUAUUAGAAGGGAGGUGGCGUGAGGGAUGUUUGGUGCAUGAGAGAUUUGGUCUUUCGAGACUUAAAACAUUUCUUCAAUUCUCCUUAUAAUUUUUGUCACGACUGACCGUUGUCAAUGGGAUGGGGCUGGGUGCAGGGUUGAUUUACGUUAGAAUAAUAUAGCCGGUAGUGUUGAGAAUGAAGGUGUUUCAUUUAAUUUAAUUAAUUUAUUUUCUCCCUCCUAAUUUAAGUGGAAUAUCAAGAUUGAACAAUUAUAUGCAUCUUCGUUCAGUUGACAAUUUUGACAUAUUUUUUAAGUGAUUAAUUUUGAAAUUACACCAAACAUUAUUUGUGAUCUCUGUUUUGACUUUACUUGCAGGUCUAGAAAGAUUGAGCAACUUGAAGAGGCUUGAUUUAAGUUAUAACUUGUUCAAUAAUAGCAUCUUGUCAUUUGUUGCUCGUCUUUCAUCAUUAACAUCAUUAGACUUAUCUUACAAUGGAUUGGAAGGAAGUAUUAAUAUUAAAGGUACGUAAUUAAAACGUCAUCGCUUCUCCCAACUCUUGCAUUAACAUGCUAAAAUAAGAUUCAAGGUUUGAAUUCAAUUUUUUUUAUGAGUAAUAUUAGAAAAAUAGUUUUAAGCAAUUCAUAAAUACACUUUUCAAUGUUUCUCAUAAUUUCAUCUUGUACUUUUGUAUGUCUUGACUUUAAGAUUAAAAAAAAAUUACUCUAACUGUGAAGCAACUACCCCAUGACUAAUUUACAAUUUUGUCCAGUUAAAAAUGAUAAAAUUUAUCAUUUGUUUAUAUUGAUUUAUUAACUCUAUUUUAAGUCUUAAGUCUUGGCGUCUUGGCAUGUUUGCAGAAUUUGAUUCCUUGAGCAACUUAGAGGAGUUGGACAUGAGCGGCAAUGAAAUAGACAAUUUCGAGGUUCCUCAAGGUACACAAUUAAAAUAUUAUUUAAUUACAUUAAUUUAAUUCGUUUGAUUAGGGAAGGCCCAAAAUGUACAAAAACAUAAUUAGAAAAAAUAAAGAAACAGAGAAUUCAUAUUAUUUCAAAUAACAAAAGGUAAUACUAUUAUUUCAAAAACAGAUUGUAAUAAAGAUUUGAUUCCAAUUCUUUAAUCUUUACAGUGAUUGAAAAACGAUACUACUUCCCAAAGCAUAAAAUACGAAUUGACUCUCAAUUAAAUUAAUCAUUUAUUUCGUUUAGGUCUAAAUUUAGAAAAAUGAAUUUUGAUUCUCUUGAAUCAUUUCCUAAUUAUUAUUAUUCAACAGGUUACAGAGGUUUGAGGAAGCUGAAAAGCCUGCAUCUAUCGGGAGUUGGAAUUAGAGAUGGAAGCAAGUUGUUACAGUCAAUGGGAUCAUUUCCAUCCCUCAACGCUCUUUACCUGAGCUAUAAUAAUUUUACCGGUACAACGUCAACUACUCAAGGUAAGUAAAAGGUACAGAUGUGGCCAAAUUUAUAAAUAAACUGUUAAUUAAUUAAUUUUCUGUAUUAUUAAUAAAGCUAAAUUUUUUGCUCAUUCCUUCUAAUUCUAAACAGAGUUGCACAAUUUCACCAACUUGGAAUAUUUGACAUUGGACGAUUCCUCUCUCCAUAUAAGCCUUCUGCAAAGCAUUGCAUCAAUAUUCCCUUCGUUGAAAAAACUGUCGAUGUCUUAUUGUGAAGUCAAUGGUGUCGUACAUGGUCAAGGUAAAAGAAAAGUGUUGGUUGUGCACUCACUCAGUGGUGUCCUACGUGUUCAAUAUUUUUAUUUAUUUAUUUUAUUGUUUAAUGAGAUGCUUCCACCCUCCCCUUUAAAUCUAUAAUAUUAAUUUUCGAUAAAUAUAUAAUUAUAGAAACCAAUCACUUAUAAAAGAAUGCUAUGCAUUUGCCAAUUUUUUUAUAUUUUACUGAUUGAUGAAUUAAUAAAUUUUCAGGCCUCUGUUCGUUGGUGCAUCUACAAGAGUUGUACAUUGCAACUCUUGUAGUAAUUAAUUAAUUAAGUAUUAGUUAAUUAAUUAAUUAAUUAAUUUUCUGUAUUAUUAAUAAAGCUAAUUUUUUUGCUCAUUCCUUCUAAUUCUGAACAGAGUUGCACAAUUUCACCAACUUGGAAUAUUUGGCAUUGGACUCUUCCUCUCUCCAUAUAAGCCUUCUGCAAAGCAUUGCAUCAUUAUUCCCUUCAUUAAAAAAUCUGUCGAUGUCUAGUUGUGAAGUCAAUGGUGUCGUACGCAGUCAAGGUAAAAGAAAAGGGUUGAAUGUGAACUCACUCAAUGGUGUCCUACGUGUUCAACAUUUUUAUUUAUUUAUUUUAUUGUUUAAUCUUUCUGCUAGGUUUUCCUCAUUUCAAGAGUUUGGAACAUUUUGACAUGGAUUUCACGCGCAUUGCACUCAACACUAGCUUUAUUGCACUCAACACUAGCUUUCUUCAAAUCAGCAGUGAAUCGAUGCCUUCUCUUAAGUACUUAUCACUAUCAUAUUAUACUCUUGGAACUAAUAGCAGCGGGACUCUUGAUCAAGGUUAACGAGAUGCUCCCACCCUCCCCUCCUAAUCUAUAAUAUUAAUUUUUUAUUUAAUAUAAUGACACAAACGAAUCACUUAUAAAAGAAUGAUAUGCAUUUGUUAAUUUUUUUAUUGUACUGAUGGAUGAAUUAAUAAAUUUUCAGGCCUCUGUUCGUUGGUGCAUCUACAAGAGUUGUACAUUGCAAGCAAUGAUUUAAGAGGUAGCUUGCCUUGGUGCAUGGCAAAUAUGACAUCCCUCAGAAUAUUAGAUGUUUCUUCUAAUCAACUUACUGGAAGCAUCUCCUCAUCUCCCCUCGUUCAUUUGACAUCCAUUGAAGAGCUGAUGCUUUCAAACAAUUACUUCCAGAUCCCAAUUUCACUUGAACCACUUUUCAAUUACUCAAGACUCAAGAUUUUCAAUGCUGAGAACAACGAAAUAAAAGCUGAAAUAACUGAGUCACAUUCUUUGAUCGCCCCAAAAUUCCAAUUAAAUACUCUCUCAUUGUCUUCCAAUUACGGAGACGGUUUCAUAUUCCCCAAAUUCCUUUACCAUCAACAUGACCUGGAGUAUGUUGAUCUCUCACACAUAAAGAUGAAUGGAGAAUUUCCAAAUUGGUUGUUGGAAAACAACACAAAAUUAGAAACUCUUUUUCUGGUUAAUGAUUCUCUUGCAGGACCUUUUCGGUUGCCAAUUCAUUCACACAAGCGGUUAAGACAGUUGGAUGUCUCCAACAACAACAUUCGAGGCCACAUUCCAGUAAAAAUUGGAGAUGUUUUACCAAGUUUAUACGUUUUCAACAAUUCCAUGAAUGCUUUAGACGGUAGCAUUCCCUCUUCAUUUGGUAAUAUGAAAUUCCUCCAAAUUCUGGACUUAUCCAACAAUCACUUGACUGGUGAAAUCCCCGAGCACUUGGCCGUGGGUUGCGUCAACUUGCAGUUUCUUGCAUUAUCAAAUAACAACCUACAAGGUCAUUUGUUCUCUAGAAAUUUUAACUUGACAAACUUGCAAUGGUUACAAUUGGAGGGCAAUCGCUUCGUAGGUGAGAUCCCACAAAGUUUGUCUAAAUGCUCCUCACUAGAAGGAUUGUACCUUAACAAUAAUAGUCUUUUAGGUAAGAUUCCACGAUGGUUGGGUAAUCUGACACGGUUACAAUAUAUUAUAAUGCCCAAUAAUCAUCUUGAAGGCCCUAUUCCAGUGGAGUUUUGCCAGCUUGAUUCGCUUCAGAUUUUGGACAUUUCAGACAACAACAUAUCUGGAAGUUUACCAUCUUGUUUCCAUCCUCUCUCUAUCAAACAAGUUCAUCUUUCAAAAAAUAUGUUACAUGGACAGCUAAAAAGAGGUACAUUCUUUAAUUGCUCUUCCCUUGUGACAUUAGAUCUUAGCUAUAACCGCUUGAAUGGCAGCAUUCCGGAUUGGGUUGAUGGGCUUUCUCAGUUAAGCCACCUUAUCUUAGGUCACAAUAAUCUUGAAGGUGAAGUGUCAGUUCAAUUGUGCGAAUUGAACCAACUACAAUUGUUAGAUCUUUCUAAUAAUAAUCUUCACGGUCCUAUUCCUCCUUGCUUUGAUAACACCACACUUCAUGAAAGUUACAGCAAUAGUUCUAGUCCUGAUGAGCAAUUUGAAAUAUUUUUUUCCAUCGAAGGCCAUCAGGGAUUUUUAGAAAAGCAAAACCAUGAAAUUUUUGAGUUCACAACAAAGAACAUUGCGUACAUUUACCAAGGAAAAGUGCUUAGCCUCCUAUCAGGACUUGAUCUUUCUUGCAACAAGCUAAUUGGUCAUAUUCCUCCUCAAAUUGGAAAUUUGACAAGGAUUCAAACAUUGAAUCUAUCACACAACAACUUGACAGGAUUGAUCCCAUCAACAUUUUCAAACUUGAAGCAUGUCGAAAGUUUGGAUCUUUCCAACAACAAAUUGAAUGGGAAAAUCCCUCAUCAACUAGUGGAGUUAAAGACAUUGGAGGUUUUCAGUGUGGCAUACAAUAACUUAUCAGGCGAAAUUCCAGAAUGGAAAGCACAAUUUGCAACCUUCAACGAGAGUAGCUAUGAGGGAAAUACUUUUCUUUGUGGACUGCCAUUGCCCAUUUGCAGAUCACCAGCAACUAUGCCGGAGGCUUCAAUUGGCAAUGAACAAGAUGAUAAUUUAAUUGAUAUGGACAGUUUCUUUAUCACAUUUACAACAUCGUACGUAAUUGUGAUAUUCGGAAUUGUUAUUGUUUUAUAUGUAAAUUCUUAUUGGCGACGUAGAUGGUUUUACUUUGUUGAAAUGUGGAUAACUUAAUGUUACUAUUUUGUUGUAAACAAUCUUAUUGCAACAAGAUAUUGUCAUUGAAAUUAAUUAGCAGUUUAAUUACGAUUCUUUAAGUUCUAAUCAAGUUUGCUUAGGAAAUAAUUUUUUUUUAUUUUUUUAUUAAAAUUGUAGUAGUAUUUAGCGCUAUAUAGCUUCCAACUUGGUAGAAAGCUCCAUUUUUUGUUGGCUACAGUAAAAGCAUGUUGUUUUAUUCUUCUUAUACUUUACGCCUGCAUCAGCUUAAAUCACUUCUUAAACGCUUGCUUUAACUGCACCGCUUCGUACUGCUCUAUAUAUGUAACGGUUAUGCGGUUGUAGCUCACGGCUCAAGCUACGCGUUUGUUUGACGUGGUAGUUACGUUACGAUGUUUCGAGUCUGUUAAACAUUCGGUGAUAAGAUUAGUUACAACAAACCUACUAGUUUUAUAAAAUUCAAGUGAGAUGGAAUAAAAUAAAAAAUAAAUAUAAAAUUGGCUUUUAUUUUUUAGGUUAACCAUAUUUUGUGUUCUCUUCGGGCACUACUACAAUUGUUCCCUAUACAUCAGUUACACUCACGUAUCAUCGACACGAAAAAUGAAAUCUAAUAUCACCUGUUUAGUUAAAGAAUCACUCAUGAAAAAAAAUUACCAUUUUGAUUUGAAGAUCCAUAUUUUGAACUACCAAUUAAUGUUCAUCAAGAACAGAGUGUGGCCGUUAAGUAGAAAAACUAUUUUUGGACAAAUUAUUAAAUUCCAAUAUUGUAUCCAUAUGCAAACGAUGCCUGAAGCAGAGCCUCCAAACAAUGACCAGGGCACAAAACAAGAGUGUAGUAAUCAAGUGUAUUGUCUCAUAAUCAAUUAAAAGCAGAUAUACAGGAUACCAUAUUCAAUUCCAAAAUAACAAAAGCAUAAUGAGGAUGAGAAGAACAAUGAUCACUCAAAUAUUUCUUCACUUUGGUUGUCAAUUAUCUAUUCAAAUUAAUCAGUGUCAUUAUGGACUUAUUUAUUUAGAAGAGCGGGUGAUAAAUAUAUUCAAUAAUGUGAACAAGAAGUUGAUUAACUUUUAUGAUCAUUUGGAAGGUCGGCGUGUCAUCACUCGUCAAACACAUUGCAUCGAUCCACCAGCAUGAACCGACCGGAUUAUGCCCAAAAGUUGAAAUAUCAAUAAAAAAAACAAUUAAUUAAAGGUCGAAGAUGGGUCCUUUACAUAUGUUUUUGUUUUCGUAUUAGGUAGGAGGUUAUUAUAUUAUAUCAUGUAAUUAAUUUAUUAUUACUCAACACUAAGUAAUAACUUAACUAUAUAAAGACAACAAGAAGAUAAAAUGAUAUAUAAAAAAAAAAAGAAUUUCAAAGAGAUAGCAACAUACAAUAGACUGAAGCCAUUUGAUCUGCUCAUUGAUUUCAGCCUUAAACUUGUAAAUAGUUACUGUCAAAUAUUCUAUUCAUACGAAAAAAAUGUUUAGAUAUCUUACUAUAAAUAUAGCCGUUUGACUGUCUUAAUAAAGUCACACACAACCAUUCUUAUUAAAUUAGCAAGAUCAAACACUGCCCUGGAUCUUGAACAGAUCAACACAAGAUGCACAACUUAUGAUUGAACCCAGAAACAAUCAAAUCUUUAGCAAGAACAAUUAAUCAGAGUCAAGAAACAAGUUUAAUGAAUAUAAACCUAUAAUUGAAACAAACAUAGCCAAGAAAAAAAUACAGAUUUUACACGGUUCAGUUGUACCUAGGAUGGCACAACCUACACCACGAGAGAAGCUUUCUGGUGAGAUUUUAUUGAUGAUCAAAGAAGAAUCUUUUGACAAAGCUAAUAAUAGAGAUUUCAGAGAAUAAGCUGUAACCCUCUCUCCCUCUUCAAUCUCUCUCUAUUUUGUUCCCAUUGAUGACCCCAAUCUGCUUAGUUAUCCAGCUUUAUAUCUGCAUCAGUAACAAACCAGCAAACCCAGAUUGAGCAGAUUGACGACACGUGGAUAACGGCUUUAACGAACCUGGUUAAGAACUGCUCACAUGUUCGUCACGCGUGCUGCUUAAAUGAUGGCCAAAACGACUUCAAACAAAUGUCGUUUUGAGGCUUAUGAAUUACAAGUGAUAACACGAGCUUGUCUCAUGACUUUUAAAUGCAACAGCGUGCCCAAAACGCCGUCGUUUUACUCUGUUGAGUUUGAUUCAUUACUAAGCUUUACGACUGGCACUGGAGAAGAUGAUAAUUUAAUUUACAUGGACAGUUUUUAUAUCACUUUUACAACAUCCUAUGCAAUUGUAAUAUUGGGAAUUAUUGAUGUUUUAUUCUGUGAAUCCUCAUUGGCAAAAACUAGUGGUUUUAUCUUUGUUGAAAUGUAAAUGACCUCUCGUUACUAUUUUAUUAUAAACAUAUAGUUUCGUAAGUGAAACUACAUGUUUAUAAUAAAAUUAACAUAUAGUUUCGUUACAUUUCUGCCUCAUUAAGAUUCUCAAAUACCAGUCAGGUUUGCUUAAGAAAUAAAAUUUUUCCAUUAAAAUUGCAGUAGUAUUUCCAAGCAUAUCGCAUUUUCUAUGAUUUUUCAUAAAUUAAUUAAUCUGCGGUGCCAAUAUCAGAUUUAGUUUUUCAAACUAAAUAAUCAAGAAAGCAAACAUACAAAUAUACAGUUUAGAGGGGUAAACUAGGUAGGUGGUUUAGAUUUUAGAACUAAGCCAGCUACCUCACUAAAUUCCGAUUCGUACAGUGAACUGCAAGAAAUUGAGAAAACAAUGAAUUUAUAAUUUAAUAGAAUCAUAAGAAAACAAUGUAGUCAUUGCUCCAUAUAAGAUGAUGAUUUCGGAGAGGCACAUUGUUUUCAAGUUAAUUUGAUCCGUUUAUAAGAGAUGAAGUGGAAUCAAGUUGAAAGUUUAAAUAACAAAUCCUUGUUCUUGAGUUUUACGACGUCGUUACUCCUUCAAGUGGCAGAUUAUGCAAGUGAAUGCAGAAACACAAUGCAUCAUCCGCGGGGAUGAUACAUCAAAAGGCGGGAUUUGUUUAUGCCUGCAGAUUAGCAAUUUCACUCAUAUAGAAAAUUAAUUUUUUAUAUAUACUAAUCAACACUAAAUUGAUUAUGUGUUGUAUGUUUAUAUGCUAAUCAACACGAAAUUAUAUUGAAUUAUUAACAUUCAUAUUCCUAAUAAAAAUUAUUUUCCAUCAGUAUUCAAAAUUUUCACUUAUGGAAAAUGCGUUUUAUGUGAAUACUAGUUAUUGUGUAAAUUUGAAUGAUAGCGAAAAAUAAACCUAUUUGAAAACUGUAAGGGUGUGUUGGGAUAUUUUACAACUGUCGGAAUCUGGUAGGAUAUUGCACCAUUUGCCCAAUAUUUUUAGACGUACUCUAACCGGUAUUCAAGAUAAGUAAAAGUUACAAGCGUGGCAAAAUAAAAAAAUAAAAUUUGUAAUUUGUAAACGAAUUUUCCUGACAUGUAUAGUAGAUGAAGUUGUUGAUCCUUUCUUUGGAUUAUUUCAGCUCUGGUUGUUGGUCACCGAUGAGCCGAAGUCUUAUUUUAAUUUUAUUUAAACUCAUCAUAAGAUUCGUGGAGCACCUAACUAACUUAACUGACUGUGCAGAGCAUCUCAACAUGGCAUAUUUAACCAUCAUUCAAGUGAUGGGUUUAAUAAGACUGCUUUUGUUCUAUCAACUAUCAAGUUCCUCUGCCUCUAAGCAGAAUUACUAUUGAAGGGCCAAAAGGAAAAUGAAAACGUGUGAGCUCCAACAACCACCCCACAAAUUCAAUGACGAUGCUCGGAGAGGGUUAGGUUGGGCCUCUGAGAAAAAAAAAAUUAUUUAGUUAAAAAGUUACCCUUAUUGAAACCUGUAUAAAAAUUUUAUAUUAAUUAGUUAUGUUGCCUCUUCAACUAUGAUCAAAUUUUUAUCCGAGCUCAUCAUUUAAUGAGUAAACAUGUAUUUUAAUGAUCUCAAUUAAUAUUUAGAACAAAUAUUUUAAGAAGUAAAGCUCAUUAUAUCUUCCAUUAUUAUGUAUUUCUUUAAUUUCUUAUUUACAUAAUUAUAUUGUACAUUAAAAAUGUAUUGAAUUUGAAGAAAAAAAAAUUCAACUCACUCAAAAAAAAAAAAAAAUGCUGGUAGCUUCGUAAUAAUUACUGUAUUGACUGCACCAGAUAAAGUUUUGUAAAAUAAUAAGUUCUCAUUAGUGGUUUUUAAUUUUUUUAAUUUUUUUUUCCGGCACACCUGAUCAAGAAUUCUAUUUUGUUAACUAAUCAAUUGCAAAGCAUAAGUGUUGAACGGCAAAAAAAUUUAAAAAAACACUUAAAACGUGGGGAAAUGAGAAAUAUAGAAAGAAAGGAAGAAAGUUGAGACAUGAAACUGAUCUGCAGUGAAAUUGAUAAUCAUGUUUCUAUUUCGUUAACUAAUCAAACGGAAAACUGAAACUGUAAACAAACAUUAACACGUGUGGACUCUGCUAGCUGCCCUACAAGUCUACAAUAGUAAUUGAGUACCUUUGAUUCAUCCUUCUAUGAAUUUCUAGCUGUAUUGACCCCAACUGCUAAAGUUUUGUAAAAAAUAAAAAUAAAAAUAAAAAAACUGGAAUUUCAACAAAAUUCAAAACGUGUGAAAUUCAAAAAUGGACUUUGGCCAUGUGGAACAAAAUGUAAAUUAAGGAAAAAGUAUAAAUCUCAAUUGCUUAGUAUGGUUAGGAUUUUGUGAGCAUCACUAAAAAGUGAAAACUAUGAAUGAUAGAGGUGAUGUUUGCAACAUGAAUAAAUGAUGAACUGAAUCAAUUGAUGAUCGUAAUUACAUAAUGAACAAAAUUUACAAAAUCAACAAAAGUUAAUAAAAAUUUAUUCAAAUAAUAAAAAAUCAAUAAAAACUUAUUAUUUAACGGCGCUCAAACCAUGGAGUACCAUAAUCAUAAUCUUCUUUUAAGAAAAUUAUAACUUAUUAUUUUACAGGUUUGAUCCAUUUGGAAUGAAGUGGUCUCAAGUUGAAAGUAAUUAAUUUAUUGAAUAACUUUCGACUUAUUAAUAGUUAUAUCAACGGGUGUUUUACCUCAUCAUGUCUUCAAGUGGAAGAUGAAGACUAUGCAAGUGAAUUCAGGAAUAUUGCAUGCCUGUUGUCUAAAGCAUUACCUCACAAGGUUUCAUGAGAAACGAAAGAUGUGUUUGCUUUGAACAAUUAAAGUUACUGCUACGAACCUCCCCAAAGGUCAAGAAGACAGAACAGGAAGCUAAUGCCAUCAAUGUCUUGUUCAUUAUAGCUGCUGGGUAGUUAGGUGUAGUUUCCUCAUUUGAAGCUGUCUAUACAUAGGCAUUUCCCCUGCUUAUGUACAAAUAAAUGAACAACCUUGAAGCUUUAUUAUUCGCAACAAAAAGGGAUUACUAAUUGGAGAAGACUAUACAGAGUUUUCUCUCACACUUGCUCUCUGUCAAUUUCAUCCAGAAGUCCCUCUGAAAGCUUCUCCCAAAACAGUUAGUCAUCUUUUAUGCUCUGUUUUCUGAAAACAGAGUCCUAACUAAAUUAAUUGACUGUACAGUGCAUUUCAACAUAGCAUAUUUAACCGUUUUAACAGUUAUUUGGACCGUCUUCAGAGGUAACAUCAACAAACUCAUUCAUAUGCUUAAUAAUGAACGAAUAGUCUUGGAUUGAUGUUUUGCAGCAAGAGCAACACGACACAAUCUGGAUUCAACCUCCUCCUUUCUAACAGGGGAUUUCGAUUUGAGUUACUUUGUGCUCAAGCAAAUUCACAUCAUAGUUUUGAUUCUUUAGAUAUGAAUUCAUCUCAUUACAUAUAUCAGAUUAAGUGUAACAAAAUUUGUAAUUUACUGCGAAAAGAAUAUGCACUAAAAAAUGAUUUCAAGACUAUUUGACUACAAAAAGCAGCUGUCAGAGUGCACUAAAAAUUUCUGUAGGAUAUUUUGUAGCUGUUUAAUAUGUUAUGAUGGGCAUAUAAUUCUCAAAUUUUGAUGCCUCUCAGCGAAAAAUAUAUCAAAGUUACGGAUGAUAUCACGUAAAACAUGCAUGGCUCAGGCUCAGGCUCAGGUAAGAAAGCCACAGAAAUGGAAAAUCUCACUGUCACGACUCACGUCACGCAUCAUUCAAGUGAUGGAUUUAACAAGACUGCUUAUGUUCUAUCAAAUUCCUCUGCCUCUCAGAAGAUAACUUUUCUGGGCCAAAUUUCUCAUCUAAAGCAUAUUAUGCCCCAAAGUCACAGAUAACAAAAUGGGGCACUACCGAUUAUGAAAGAGAACUAGUAGUUGUCAGAAGCCUAAGCCAAAUUCCGGUAGUAAGAAGAGGCCUUUCUUGAGUUUAGAUUAUGUGUUCGAGUUUUAAUAAAUGCCUAAGUUAAUAAUAAUAACAACAGUAAUAAUAAACUAAAAAGCAUAAUUACUAUUGAAUGGUAAAAAAAAAAAUGAAAAUGUGUGAACUCCAAUAACCACCCCAGUGGCGAAUUUUGGAGAGGGCUAGGCCGGGCUUCUUAGAAAUUAUUUUUAUUUAAUUACAAAAUCACCUUUACUGAAACCUAUAUAAAAUUUUUUAUAUUAAUUAAUUAUGUUGCCUCUUCAAUUAUCAUUAAAUUCUUGUCCGUUCAUAAUUUGAUGGAUAAAUGUGUAUUUCAAUAAUUUCAAAUAAUGUCUAGAACAAAUAUUUUGAAUUAUAAAACUCAUUAUGUCCUGCAUUACUAGAUGUAUCUAUAAUUUAUUAUUUACAAAUUAUAUUGUAUGAUAAAAAUGUAUUGAAUUUUUGUUUAAAAAAAAGUUCGGCUCACUCAGAAAAAAAUGUUAUUAGCUUCGCCACUGCACAAAUCUAGAAUAAUAAUUAUUCCUUAUUAUAUUGACUGCACCAAGCAAUAAACUAAUAAGUUCUCAUCAGUGGUUUUUAAUCUUUUUAAUUCUUUUUACCGCACACCUGAUCAAGAAUUUUAUUUUGUUAACUAAUCAAUUGCAAAGCAUAUAUAAGUGUUGAACGGUACACAAGAUUGGAAAAAAAAAAUCUUAAAAAACGUGCGGAUUCGGGUGGCCACACCAGAAAUCUAUUACAAUAAUUAGCUUUGAUGCUGGGAAUCUUUUAAUUUCUGGCCGUAUUGAAGUUUUUAAAAUAAUAAGUUCCCCUUCUCGUUUUUUUUUUUUUUUAAAUAUAUAUGCUUAUAACAAUUUUAGAAUAAUGAUUCAUUUGUAGAAGAACUUAUGAUUUCCCAUUAAUAUUAAUAUUGAAGUGGGGUGGGUCAAAUCUCAAUUGCUUGAAGAAUUUAUGUAUUAUUAAAUAUUACCAUCCAAGGUAGAAUUGUGGAAAAUUAAAGCAAAAUGACAAGUAUGGAAAGGAAGGCUGAAAGUAAGGCAUGACGAAAGGCUUUGAGAAGGCUGAAGACUACCAAAGAAGUCAACUGAAAACUAGCUGGGGCCUGAGUGUAUAAAUUGUUAGAUGCGUUUGUUAUAAAUAACAUAGAGCCCUUUUGUUAUUUAUAGUUAUAGAGAAAGAGAGAAUGUGUGUUUUUUAAUAGUUAGAGAUAUAGCUAGAAUGGGUUGCUCAAAAUCCAAAAUAGUGACAAUGUUAGUUCUCGUAUUGAUAAUAUUGGGGGGGGGGGGGGGGGGGGGGGGGGGGGGGGGGGGGGGGGGGGGGGGGGGGUGUUGGGAGGUCGAGUGAGGGAUGUUUGGAGCAUGAGCAAUUUGAUCUUUUGCGGCUUAAACAUUUCUUCAAUUAAUAUCGAUCUGGGAGAGUGGUAUCUGAAUGCUUCUCUAUUUACUUCCUUUCAACAACUUGGUAACAAAAUAGCCGGCUGCAUGCGUUGAGAAUGAAGGUGCUUCAUUUAAUUUAAUUUACUUAAUUUCUCCCUCCUAAUUAAUGUCUAUAAUCAUUAGGAGGAACAAGGGAUUUUAUUAACUCAAAUAUAUCUAAUGGAUCUCAUUCUUUGGUUUUACUUGCAGGGCUAGAAGCAGGUGUCAUCUAACAGCUGCUUUGAUAAUUUCCCUCCCCUUCAUCUUUGAUGGAAAGAUGAAAUAAAAACAAAUUGGUGAAAAUGGUAUUGGUACCUGAGGCUAUGUAAUCUAAUUCAAAAACUGCACCAUCAAAACGAUUACAUAAGUCUCAGAAGAAUCAAAUAUCAGUUUGCAAAAUAUCAAUUGCUGGAGGUUUGAUUCUAACUUCCGCUCUUCAUUUUAUGGGCAUAUUGUGUUGUACUUGCAUCCGAAAAUCAUAUUUUAGUUUACUUGCACUCAAUGCUUGGAUUAAAGUUUUUUGGGGGGGGGGGGGGGGGGAUUGAAGAAGACUAAAAUUACACCAAAAAAGAGUUGAGCGAGAGCGGGUUUUGUCUUCAUUUAAGGAGCUCUUUAUAAAUUUUGGGAUUUUUUUUCCUGAGAAAAUUUAUGCCAACUCAUUCUUUGCUUCUUUUCUGAAGGACACAUGCAACCGAAAGUAUAUUCUUGAAUUCUCCAGGAUAAGAGACAUACGUUUAGAUUCUGGAGCAUUUAAAACAAUGUCAAAUUUUAGAUUGCUGAAAUUUUAUAUAUCCGAGUAUGAUGGUGUUCCAAUUAUAAGCUCCAGGGUGCAACUUCACUGAGGUUUAGAAUGCCUUCCUAUAGAAUUGAGAAAUCUCCAUUGGCAUAAAUAUCUUUUGAAAAUACUGACAUCAGAUUUUGAAUUGGAGAACCUGAUUGGACUCAGCUUGCCCUGUAGUAAGGUUAAGCAAAUUUGGAAAAGAGAAAAGGUAUAAUGUAUUACUAUUACCAAAGUAUCUAUUUUUCUUUCUUUAAGUAUUUUAUAAUGAAUAACUUUGAAAUUCAAUGAUGCUCAUUUAGUAUAGUUAUGUAUCUUUGGUUAUAGGAAGCUGUCAAGUUAAAAUCUAUAGACCUUCACCACCCCUUUAUCUCAAUAGGAUCCCAGAAAUACUAAAUCUUAAAAAAAUAAAUCUUUCAAAUUGUGAAAGCAUGCUUACGUUACCCCCGUAUAUCCACAAUUUCAACUAGCUGAGUAUGUUGUGUUUCAGGGAUGCAAAAUUCAUUUUGUUUCUCAUGAAAGGAUUGACUUGUCCGGAUGUAUUAGGGUUAGUAACCAACUAAUCCCAUAAUUUGUUGAUGUAGGGUCCUAACAAAUUAUCUGCAGUAGAUUGUAGAUCACGUACACUAUUCGAAAACGUAUUUGAUCCACACAGUGAAGUGGAUAUUGGACCAAUUUGAUGAUAAUGAAUUUCUUUCAAUCUCAAUCUUUUUUCUUUUUAGCAACAUGACUAGUCAUUGUGCAAAUUCAAAACUCUGACAAUAAUUUCUCAAUCGGUUUCUAAGAUGAUGACCAUGCAUGUAUAUGUAUAUGCGUGUGUAUAUGUGUGUGUGUGUAGAGAGAGAGAGAGAGAUCACACGUGUGUGAUUUCCUUUUUGCCAAUAGGAUAUGCAGAGAGCUUGAUCUUACCCAAUAGCGAAACAAACUUCCUAAUAAGUGAAGGUAUAGUAUAAAUACUUAUACUUUCAUGUUAUUUUGUUCAUCAGUAGCUUGAUUAUUUUAUAUGCGUCUUCGAUUUUAAUUUUCUUUCCCUAUAAUCGCUAUUAUCUUUGAACUGGUCAUAAUUUGCCCAUAAGAUUUCUCAUGUUGUUUUGAGGUGCAACGGAUUUUGAAUUUAGUGACAAGCAGUGGAAGCCAGAAGGCAAAUUAUGAAAAUGGAUAAAGAUCUAUAAUUAGCUGUUAUGGGAUGUCACAUAUCAUAUUGAUGGUAACGUUAUAUAUAUGUACAUAUAAUUAAUGGGGUUGGCUCACGAGCCCAUUAAUAAUGGUAUAUUAGCUUAUAUACUUCAAACAAUGUACUAUGAAGCAAUUUCACAAAUACUUGUUAGCUUAUGUUGAGCUUUAUUGAAUCAGUAGUUCACAGUUCAAUAAAAUGCAGGUUUGCUAUUUGAAGUACAUGGUUAUGGUGCGUACAUUCUUCAUAAGGCUAACUACUAAUUUAUCAUUGAAACUUGAAAAAUGUGAUAGAGAGAUGUAGAUAACAGCCGCAAAACACUGAGAUUGAAAAUCAGGGCUACUAAAUUCUAUUAAAAGUCCUUAAAAUAGACAGCGAUCACCCUGAAAUGUAUAUACUGAAACUAAGAAAUAUUAAUCGCAAAGUUAUGCAUUAAUAGAACUAUUGACUACUUAUCUUUAGCAUAAAGUAUAUUUUUAACUACAGCUUUCUGCUUUGUUCUAAGAACUAGGCAAAAGUGGUGUAUCUUCAAUCCAAUCAACAUAUAUACCACUUAUCUUCCUCUUCACUUCUGUCUAUUUUGAUUUGCACUUCAUAUCCUGCACUUGCUGCUUAGAAAUAGUCUUUAUUCUGGACAUUGAAAGUAGAAAAAGUACUUGAAACAAUCAUUGGCACAGCCCGAGAUUCCAUUGAAUCGUGGACUCCAAGCUUUCAUAGUUCUAUAAAGAAGAUGACAAAACUUCAUACAACUGGCAUUCUGCUUUUAACAUUUGCACAACCUGAGCGAGUUAGCAAGCCCCUUGUUGCGUUCCCAUUGAAUAGACCUACUUCUGUUAUCCGCAGAAGAUCCACCACUCAAAAUGUUUAUCACCAGGCUAUUCUUAAACUGAGCCUAAACUGAGUAGAAACUUCCGCACAUCUCUCAGCAUUUACAUGAAGAAAUCGACAACUAUCCUCAUCUCUCAGCAUUCUACAAAGUUGCAUUUCACUAAGCAAUCUAUCCUCUCCAUUCCUAGCAAAGUGACAUUGAUUCCCGUAUUUGUAAUCGCCUAACUUGGGUUUUGGCAUAGCGUGGUCUUAAAAAUUACCACCCAAUACUUUGUUCAGUGCCACUGGCAUCCACAAGCUCUAGCCCUGUUAGUUGAAUCAUAUUCAAUGGGACAGUGAGGCAGCAUUUCACUAACAUAUUCAAUUUGACUACUUAUAUUGACGCAAAUAUUAGAAUUUGAAAUCACUUCUUUUAUUGGAAUAUUAUAUUAAUAUGACCCCAAAUGAAAGUUCUUGAAUGGAAAUGAUUUUUAUUUACUUUUCGAACAGAUUCAAGAAAACCCAGAGAACACAAAAUUUACACAGUAAUAUGAUUAAGAGCUGAGAACGUAUAUGUAGUAAAUGUCUAUCAAAAAACACCCAAGGGUUUCUUUAAAAUUAGUAACUAGUAAACAAAAGAAAGAAUCAUUUUACAUUUUUAGCAACUUUGGGGUGAGUGAGUGAGUGAGAAAUUGAAACCCUCAAGUGAUGACAACAGUAAGAUUCAGUAUGAAGUGAAACCCCAAUUUGAAAUGUAGGCAUGAGUUGCUGAGUCAGUAGAUGAAGCUAUAAAUAGGCAUUCGGUUUCCUUCUUUUCGGUUUGGAGGCCAUGGAAUAGUGUAUUGGAGUGGGCUCCAAGUAAUAGCCUCUAUCACUGGAACGACACAUCUAUAAAAUGUGAUACAUGGGGAAGGAUUGGGCAUUUUAUUCUUAGAUUAGCCCUUAUUUAGGGUGUAUAUUAAGCAGAUUAUAUAUUACAUGGAGAUGGAGUUUAAAUAGAUUAAAAAGAAAAGGAAAUUUUGGUGCCUAAAGUUUGCCACUUGGAAUAUUUCGGUGUCUAAAAAUUCACUCACCACUUAUUUCAUGUUUGAUUAUAUGUUGAAAAGAUAUUAAAAUAGUAUAAUGCUAUUAAGGCUUAACGUAUAUUUUUUAUUAGUAGAGUGUAGAAUUUUUAAGAAAUAAAUUAUUAAAUUAUUAUAACUAACAUAUUAUUUUAAAGUUGUGUUAUGAAAAAAAUGAAAUAAAAAUGUACAGUAAAUAAGAAUAUUUUAAAACUUUUAUCUUUUUAAAAUUAGUUUUUAACAUAAGGUGAACUAUUUUUUUUUUAAAAUCACAUAUUCUAGUUAAAAUCAAAUAUGUAUUUAUCGAAGCUUGUAAAUUUUUUUUUUUAGUACUGAUAUUUGAAUAUUAUCAAUAAAAAAAAGGGUAAUGUUCAUGCUGCAUUAUUUUUGUAGCACACAAAAGGACAACACCGUUUAUGUUAUAAUACUAUCGCUUCUGUUAUGAUAAUUUUUUUUGUGGCCAAAUAUCUUUUUUUUUUUUAAGUAAAAAAAGUGGACAAAAUGCAAAUCAGUUUUUAAUCCUCAAUCUCUCCCAAAAAUAUAUAUUUCGGUGUCUAAAAAUUCACUCACAAAACUAUAGCUGACAAAAAGUUACUAACAAAAAGUUAGGUCCAUGGGUUGUUAAAACUAUAGCUGACAAAAAGUUACUAACAAAAACAGAAUGUCCAUUUUAUAACUUUCUUAAAAAACUUUCCUUAACUUUUUUAAACAAAAAGUUAUUUCCAAUUUUUAUUUUGUUAUAAUGUUUAUAACAAAAUUCGUAGUUAACUAAACUCUUCUUAUACCCUUUCUCAACUGCCAUACCCUAACCCACUAAACCACGCUCAAUUAAGGCCAUCAGAUUCUCCGGGCCCACAUUAAUCCAACUGCUCACAGAGACCGACAGCCUCUCUAUCUCCAUUUCAAGCUCCCUCUUCAACUGGCUUCUGCUACCGUCCUACUCUUUCUCGGCUUCGGAGUCCGUAUUUGCUCGGCCUGUCCCACGAAGCUCCCUCUCACUCCAAUUGUCGCCCCACAAGACCAAUUGCUUAAUCAAGACACCGAACAAGAAAGGAUGAGAAGUUGAAACAAGAAUUUGAGAAUUGGAAAUAAAAACGUACGCAUUGACCGUGCCUUUGAGAGUCGUUUCUCUUCAGAACUCAGUGCCUCAAUCUUGGGUUAAGGAUUUUAUGCGAAGUCAGGGAAAGAGAUUGAAGUUUCAGAUGAAUUUGUGUGCUAGCAUUGAUGGGAUCUUUAACAAUUUAUCUGUGCCCUUUAACAAAGUUAAGGCUAAGUCAGCUUCUUAUAUGGCUGCUGAUUUGGUUAGUGUUGGUGAUUCAUGGCUUAGUUUUGCCAUUAAAAAGAGAUUGAUUGAGCCAAUGGCUGGAGCUGAAGACCAAGAUUGGUUCAAAUGCUUAAGUCACAAAUGGAAGGUAACAUCUUUGUCUUUGAUCCUCGAGGUAAAAUAUGGGCGGCACCGUACAGGUGGGGCACAACGGUGAUAGCCUACAAGAAAAGUAAAUUUCGAAAGCAUAAUUUGGCUCCGAUUGAGGUAAUAAUUUUCUUUAAACUCAUUUAGUUUUAUAUCAAACAAAAUCAAGACUGCCUUUCUCUUCAAUAUUUUUUAUGAUAAUAUCUUUAGAAGCAUCUCAUUGACGGGUAACAAUGGCAUCCUGGUUAAGGAUUUUAUGCGAAGUCAGGGAAAGAGAUUGAAGUUUCAGAUGAAUUUGUGUGCUAGCAUUGAUGGGAUCUUUAACAAUUUAUCUGUGCCCUUUAACAAAGUUAAGGCUAAGUCAGCUUCUUAUAUGGCUGCUGAUUUGGUUAGUGUUGGUGAUUCAUGGCUUAGUUUUGCCAUUAAAAAGAGAUUGAUUGAGCCAAUGGCUGGAGCUGAAGACCAAGAUUGGUUCAAAUGCUUAAGUCACAAAUGAAGGUAACAUCUUUGUCUUUGAUCCUCGAGGUAAAAUAUGGGCGGCACCGUACAGGUGGGGCACAACGGUGAUAGCCUACAAGAAAAGUAAAUUUCGAAAGCAUAAUUUGGCUCCGAUUGAGGUAAUAAUUUCUUUAAACUCAUUUAGUUUUAUAUCAAACAAAAUCAAGACUGCCUUUCUCUUCAAUAUUUUUUAUGAUAAUAUCUUUAGAAGCAUCUCAUUGACGGGUAACAAUGGCAUCCCUGAAAGAGUCUAUAAACUCAAUGAUAUUAUCUUCUACAAAUGGUUCAUUAAACUUUGUCGUUGUACUCAAAUGUACACUCAGAUCAAUGAGAAGCUAUGCUACGUUAGCAUGUAGUGAUGGCACUUAAUAAGUGAGUUGCUAGGAUGUGAACUAGAAAAAUUAAAUAUUGUCUCCUUGGGUAUGCUAGCUGGUAAGUCAGGGUUAAUAUCAGAGCUUAAGAUAGUAUAACCGUGAGAACCUAUUGACUGCCAAUUAAAAUAUCCAUUGAAAUGUCUAGGGAGUUAUGAAGGUGGAGGUAACUUCCAAUUUCUAAGGCCACAGAGUAGACAUCAUCCAGGAUCCUAGGAAAGUCCAGUUAACCUCCUGCUCGAUGCAAUUAAUAAAUUUGGUCAAUGCCACUGAAACCUGCUAACUGACGUCACAAUGCGACAUGAGCACUUCAAAAUGGGACAGACGGUCAGUAGCACUAAAUUUUUCUUGCCAAGAUUGAGCAAUUGGUCUAACUACUAAUCCCUAUUGUAGUUGAUCAUUAUUUUUUCAAUUAUGUUCAGUUUGACCCAAAAAGUUGCAGAAUCUUGAGCUAAAUAUUGUCACUGAACACUGUCAAUGUCAUUUAGCAUAGCCAACUAACUUGAUGUUAAAACAAACACACAGUGUGUCUCAUGUCUCACAAUUCAAAUUAUCAUCUGUAAUGUUGGAGAAUUUUUCCAAUGUAUGAAGUAUGCUUUGAUACGUGGGUUACCUUGGAGAAGAUAUCUCAAAAUAAAGAAUAUGGGGAGAAAACAGUUCAGUAGUUUAUUAUUCGUAGUCAAGUUUUGUCUCGAAAAUGGUCAAAAUUUAAAUGAAUAAGGACAGGGGAUCUUCAUUCUUUUUUCCCUUUUUAUACCAAGAUAUCUCUCAACCUUUAUAUAAUCCCCACUGGAUAUCUGCUUCUAAUAAUUAAAAUAAAAAUUUCACCGCUCUAACAAUAAAAAGUAACAUCUUUCCUCAAAUAAUUUACAGUUCCUCAUCAUCUUAGUGUGAGAAUAUCAGUACAUUCCAAACAUAAUAAAACUGGUUUGAUCCUGUUUAUUGAUGUUUAAAUGUUGUUCAUUGUGACAGGUAGAAAUGAUGAGGCGAAGUUUAUUUGGACAUCAAUUAGUAAGAUCUUGUUUGAAGUUGUUUUCUGAAAUGAACUGCCAAAUGGUAGUUUUUGGGGGCAUUUGAUGGCUCUUUUUUUUUCCUCAUUUUCAACAUGUGCCUGCUUGGAACAUGAAGGAUUAGGCUGCAGAGUUGUUAUAUAUUUUGAGAUGCUCUGGUCAUUGCACAAUUUGUUCACACUGGAAAUUAGAAUGAGAAAUUUGUUGAUGCUGUUUUGAGAGAUCUGCAUUCUAUGCACAAUAACAUGAUUAAUGAAAAUGCAUUGUAGGACUGGAAAGAUCUGUGGCAGCCUGAGCUCGCAGGAAGAAUUUCAAUGGUUAAUUCUCCCCGAGAGGUUAUUGGUUCAGUUUUGAAGUAUAGGGGAACAUCAUACAAUUCAAACUAUAUUGAUUCGCAAGUUGCUGGUGGAAGAUUGCUGUUCAGCAGAAUCUGGCAUUACUGGCAAACCAGGUACUCUUACAGAAAUCAUAUCUGGUCAUUGCAUGUUAUUGCCUGACAACUGAUUUUGUUUGUAAAAGUCUGCUUCUUCAUACAUAUGAAUGCAUAUGUUAGUGUUUUCUUCUCCUUUUCAUACAUAUAAAUGCAUAUGUUAGUGUUGUCUUUUCCUUUUCACACAUAUUAAUACAUAUGUUGGUGUUCUCUCCUGAGAUGGAUGCAAUAAAGGCUUUUGCUCCUAAAUUUAGCUGAAGAAAUGGCAAGGGAUGUGAGAUUCUGUCUCAUUAAAUUAACAAAAACCCAAAACAAUGAAAAUCCAUAAUAAUGUGGUGUGGGUAAAUUGGCUCCAUUUGGUUCGUUUCCUUAAUGUGAAUGCGAGCAAUAGAGACUAACAAAAUGAAGUGACAACAAGAAGUCAGUGUCCUUUGAUGGAUGCAUUUUUAGCAGAAAUAUGUUUGUAAUUGACCAAAUUUGUCUGGCAUGCCAAUUUCAAAAAAAUUAAAUUAUGUGGUUAUUAGCUGUAAUGAAGGGGAUAGUAGGUGCAAUCAGGUGUAUCCAGGAAAGUUCAACAAAGUUUUGGUAUGGCGUAGUGAAAUUGGUUUGUGCAACUCAGGAGUCUUUCAGGUGAACGAUGAUAGGUUUUGAUUUAUGAAUAUUAUAAAUCUACUGUGCAUAGUAUUCUAGUAGAAUCAUCUAUAAGUUCUAGUUAUUGUAUACUUUGCCUGGUUUGAGUUAAGGGCACAUGUAAUAUGAAAGAUAGUUGUCGCAUCUUUUAGGUUACCUAACAUUUGAUCAAUCCUAUUAUGGGGGCUUCAAGAUGUCUAACAAUAUGUAGAAUGCCCAUGCUCCUCCCCAUUGUUUAUCUUCUACAAUAAUUUGUUUUAGAUGCUAAUAUCUUUGUCGAUACCGGUAACAAUAUUACAAUAUCUGCGUUUAUUGGGUUUUACAUAGGUUCGACUGUUUGACAGUACACACUAUCUGAAGGCAUUUGCAAUUGGAGAUGUAUGGGUUGCUGUUGGGUGGAUUAGUGAUGUUCUUCCUGCUGUCAAACAUAUGUCUAAUGUUGCUGUUGUUGUUCCCAAGUCUGGUGCUAGCUUAUGGGCUGAUCUUUGGGUAUACCCAUGCCUGCCAUUCUACUUCAAUAUUCACAUUGUUAUCUCCUUCAUAUUAGUGAUCAGUAAACACGAUAAUGUGACUAAUAAGUUCGUAUUCUCUUUAUAGGCAAUCCCUGCUGCCUCAAGACUUGAAACAAAACAAAUUGGAGGGCGAGUCAGAGGUGCAUUUCCAUUAAUCCAUCAAUGGAUAGAAUUCUGCUUGCAAACAGCGAGAGCAUUGCCUUUCAAGCAAGAGGUUAUCCCGAGCGCAUCUCCCUCUGCCCUUGAGUACUCUGGUUAAGUUGCCUGAAGAACUUUUCAAGGGUAAACCAAGUCUGGAUACUAACUUAAUUGCUGGAGUACCCCCGACUGAAAUUCUGGCCAGAUGUGAGUUUUGGAGCCUUUAUUUGAAGCUACAUUGUCGGAUUAUGAGUGGCUGGUUACUAAUCUGCAAAAAUCCACUCCUGUACUGAUCAACAAGAUGCAACAUUACAUGUCAUCAUUGAUCUUUAGCUAAAGGUACAUUGAAAAGUUAAUGGCACUGCAUACCAGUCAUUAUAAUUGGGUCAGGGCAAUUAGGUCAGAGCAUAACUUCAUUAGGAAAAGAUGCUUCAGCUACGUUAAAUAUUACAGGAUGUACUGAGAUGGCUGAAGCUGUUGAGGUUUUACGAGAAUCGAAAGAUAGUGUUUGUUUGAACAAAGUUGUUGCCAAUCUUGCAGAGUUCGAGAAGAAAGAUCACGAAGUGAAUGCCACCGAUUUCUUCAUCAUUGUAGCCUCCAUAGUUGAAGUUUCCUCAUUUGAAGCUGUUUAUGCAUACGAUUUUCCCCUGCUCAAGUACAGGAAAUUGAAGAAUUAACCAGAUGUGAUAUGCUGAAAGAGGGAAGUUUUCUUCCUUGAAUGUGGUCUUUGUGAUUUGUCUUGAAGGAAUAGGGUGAUCACUGGCAAGAACCCUAUCAAGGUAGAUUUUAUGAUGUUAACAUAUCAUUAAGCAUUUUGUUACAUCAGCAAUGAUGCUUUCAUAGCAGCAUGAAAGUGUUUAAAUUUUAACUGAAUGAUCUUGAUUGAUCAAUUAUGAGUUUUAAUCGAGUAAAAACUAAAUACAAUAAUCGUUAACAAAUAUUGAAAUUGGGUAAAUAUGAUCUUGAUAUUGAAGAAUUUGAAAUCACAACCCACACAGGAAAUCACCCUUCGCGUGGGGAUGGAGAUGUUACUGCAGCGAUAUUGAAUAUGUCCACCGCUCUUUGGGUUAUGGUGCGACUUGCCCUGAAACAAUGGAAAAGAAUAAUUAUAAUUUAACGCCAAGACAUAAAAUUAAAACGUGUGGACUCCGGUAGCUGCCCUACAAGUCUACAACUCUACAAACAUUAACUCUACAAACAUUAAACGUGUGGACUCCGGUAGCUGCCCUACAAGUCUACAACUCUACAAGAAUAAUUUCUAGCCCUGUUGACUCCACUAACUAAAGAAAUUUCAAAAACGUACAUAGAAUUCCACAACAAGCAAAACGUAUGGAAUUUAAUUUUUUGCCGUGUGGAACAAAAUACAAUUUAACAAAAAAGGAUAGAAAAAUGGUAAGAUUUCUAAAAUGAGUGGAAGGUGAUUCAUAUUUUACUGAAAUGACUUGUCCUGAACAUUAAGACGAUUGAUUUUUUUUUUUUAAUAACAUCAACUUCCAUAUCUUUCUAACCCCUAGAAUAUGCUCACGUUCAAGUCUAUCUUGGUAAUUUGAAAAAGAAAAUCAAAUCAAAUCAACACCAAAACAAUGAAAAGUAAAACUUUUGAAUUUCAACUUUAAACUUUUGUUAACCCUAGAAUAUUCAGCGUUUUCAAAUUCUUCCGAUUGCAUAUCUUCUUCCUCCAUCAAUGCAAUAUUUGAACGAUUAUGAAAGAGUUUAAGAACAUAAAAAAUCUCCAAGGUUUAUACGGUAUAACAAAUUUAAAUUCUCAAUUACAAUAGAUAAUAAUUAAACUAAUAAUUUUUUAUGUACUUAUUUUAGUAAUUUCACCUAAGAAUAAUAUUGUAAUUAGAAAAAAAAAUCUAAUAAGUAGGGUGGUCUUAUACAAAAUCAACUGUACUGUGAUGAGUUUCCUUUUGUUAAUAAUUUUAGUCUAAUUUCAAUUGUACUGUGAUCGCUUCUCAAGGUAAGUGAAAGUUACAGAUGGCAAAAUAAAUAAUUAAGUUAACAAAAUGCUAACUAAUUUUCCUCAAUACCUAGGGUUGUACAAUUUCACCAACCUGGAAGAAUUGACAUUAAUGGACUGGUCUCCUCCCAUAUAAUUAUAAUCCUUCUAGAAAGCUAUUUUUAUUAAAUAUUUGCUUUUAAGUUAAUUUCAAUUAAAAAUGUUUUAAGUUAAUAUAUACUCUAAUGAGAUUCUGAAUUCCUUAUUCAAUAAUAAUGAAAACGUAUUAAAUUAGAAAUGAAAAAAUUGGUGUUGAUGAUUCAACCUAUUUGGAUAGAUUACGUGAAUAAAAUUUAAAAUUUUGAUUUAAUUUUGUUUAUUGUUAAUUCUCAGGCUAUCUUUAAUUUCAAGAAUUUAGAAUGUUAAUUUGGUCAUGGAUUUCAACCCGUGAGUGUCAUAUUCUAGACUUAAUGGUACCAUUCUUUGAUUGAGGGCAAUGACUCUCACUCCUCUUGUAAAAAAAUAUUUUCAACUAUUUUGAUGACUUAAAAAUUGAUAGAUUUAUUGUUGUCAUGACCAAAUUAUUCAUUUUAAUGAAAUAUAAUUAAUGCAUCAAAGUUACAGGUUAUGUCUAUCUUAAUGCGCUUUUUUUUUUUCAGUUAUAGCUUCUGCUUACGUCUGUUUCAUUUUUUUUAAAUAAAAAAACAAGGGAAGGUUUUCCGAGUCAUCCAUUAUUUGAUUUCCGUCAAUCAAGAAAACGACCAAAUUAAUUUCUCUCCAAAAUUUCCAAAAGCUAGAAAAUUUUGUUAUUUGAAAAUAACAUGAAUUAAUUAUAGAGUGGAUCAAACCGCGUUAUUGUCUUUCAUAAAAUUGAUGUCUUUUAAGAGUCAAUACUUUUUUAUUUACGCAAACCAGUCGACAUCAAUUUAAACUUCCAUAUUUUAUUAUUAUUAUGUUAUUUAUUUUAAUCGCCGAUUAUUUGAUUAGCCACUAUAUAUAUCAAGAAAGCGACAAAAUUUAUUUCUCAUGACUUCCAAAAACAGAAAAACAACAUCAUUUAUUAUUUUUUUGCAACCUAAUUGACAUCACUUUAACUUAUUAUGUUAUUAUUUCAAUCCCCCAUUAUGACCUUUCUAAUCCUUCCAUUAUGCAUCUUUUAUAGUGCAAAUUGUAAUUGCACAUCUAAAUAAAUUGAAUAUUGUUACUCCACACCCAAUAUUUCAAAUAGUCACUAGACCAUUUCUGCCUUUAAUUUCCCUUAACUAUUGACUGUUUUUAGCAUCUUAAAAUAUACAUUUAUUCUUGAUUAUGUGAUAAAAUUAUGAAAUAUUCCAUUUUAGCUUAAAUUAAUUGGAAUAACCAUAAGCGUAACAUAAAUUAAUAGAACAAAAUUAUCAAGUGUAUGUUCUAUCUUACUUUUUGAAGAAUUUAACAUAUAUAAUGCUAUACUAUUAAUAAAUUUUUCAUUUACUAUAUAUGUUCAAUAUUUUAUAUAUUUAUUAAUUGUUAUAUAGUCACAGGAUGAAUGAUUUUUUCAGGUCUACAUGAGUUGGUGCACAUGCAAGACUCAAUUUUGACAACAAUGAUCUAAGGGGUAAUUUACCUUGGUGUUUGACAAACAUAACCUUCUUCAUGAUUUACUUCCAAUCUACUUACUGUAAAUAUCUCCUCAUCUCCUCUCAUUUAUAUGAUAAGUGAUAACCCUUGAAGAUCUCACAUUUUCAAACGAUCAUAUUAGGGUUUUUAUUAUUAGCAUCAUUGUGUCAACAAAAUAUAUGUUGCAGUAAGAUUUUUUUCAGACCAAUUCCCUUCUUCAAAUAAUUAAUGGAAAAGUAUUAAUUUAAAAAUAAAAUGAAUAUGCAUUGAUUAUAUCCUGAUUUCCAUCGAUUAUAGCGAGAGGUUCUCCGAAUCAACUCCCUUAUUCAAAUAAUACAGAAAAAAUAGUAAUUUAAUAGUAAAAUUAGCAAGUGUUGAUUAUAUAUCCUAAGUUUCAUCGAUUAUGUGAUCAAAGUGGCAUUGUUGAUUUAUUUUCUUGUUCAAUGUUAUUUUUAGGUUAUCUAAAUUUCAAAAGGAUUUAAAAUCUUUGUUCAUGGAUUACAACGCUUAUUAAUUUUUCUGCCAUUGACUGUCAUAUUCUAGACUUAAGGUACCUUCCUUGAUCAAGGAUAAUUACUCUAUGUUCCCUCUUAUAAAUUCCUCUUCAUUAACAUCACUAAGGAGUAUGUUGAUCUCUCAGACGUUAACUUUAGUGGAGAGUUUCCAAAUUGAUUGUUACAAAACAACACAAAAACUAGACACACUUGAUCUGUCUAAUAAUUCUCUUUCGAUAAAAUUAAUUAAUUUUAGGGGAAUAUUCGACCAACCUCUAUAAUUUCAUAUUGAUCAUUAAUUAAUUAGACGAAAAAAGUACUUGUGCUUUUGUGGCGACAAUUGAACUAGAGAAGUGAAGCUGUAAAGAUUUGGCAGUAGUAAAUUGUAGAAGACAUAAAGACAAUUUCCCAUUUUAUAAUUUUUUCAAAAAACUUUUUUACAACACAUGCACCUGGCCAAAAUUUUAUUUUGCUAACUAACAAUAAUUGAGUAGCUGACCGUAUUGACUCCGCCUACUUGCUAAAGUAAAAAAAUAGAAAUAGAAUUUCCACAAAAUGUCAAACAUGUAAAAUCUAAUAUUUGGCCAUGUGGAACAAAUACAAAUGAAAAAAAAAAUAGAAAAAAGGCCUAAAGACUUUUAAAAUUGUGUGGAAAUCUUUCGGCCCUUUUAUAAUGGUGUGUUUUUCAAAGGAACAACUAAUAAUAAUGACACUUCUACGGUUUGUUUUGAUAAUUACACAUAUACUCUUUAAUUUGAUAAAUGGUUACACAAAUUUUGUUUACAAAAAUAUAUUAUUCAUGUUCUGUAUUAUUUUUUAACAUCAUAUUUUUAUUUAUUAUAAUUGUUUAAAGUUAAUUGUUAGGUUGAUAUAUAAUAAAACGUAUAAUCGUUCUCUUACUAAACACACAAUACUCGUAGUUUCUAUCCAUUUGUCAUCUCAAUCUCUCUCAUUUAUCCUUUCUUGAUAGCUCAAAACGCGUCACUGUGGAAAAUAAUAGCAAAACGACAAAUAUGGAAGAAUGGGAAGAAAAUUAAUGCAUGAAAGAGUUGCAGAAGACAACCAAAUAAGUCAACUAUACGCUAGUUGGGUGUAUAAAUUGUUAGAUGUGUUAUAAACAAAUAGCAUAGAGCCUUGGUUGGUUACAGAGAUAGAAAAACUGUGUGUGUUUUUUAGAACUUAAAGAUACAGUUAGAAUGGGUGGUUCAAAAUCAAAAUGGUGAUAAUGUUUGUUCUGUUAUUAAUAAUAUUAGAAGGUGGGUGGAGUGAAGGAUGUUUGGAUCAUGAGAGAUUUGCUCUUUUGCGACUCAAACAUUUCUUCGAUGAUACUGGUAGUUAUUUUUACUACUGGGCAGAUGGUGAGGGAGCUACUGAUUGUUGUCAGUGGGAAAGGGUUGAGUGCAGCAACACCACAGGCAAGUGAUAGUGCUAGACCUUUUUUGAAACGUAUUUGGGAGAGUACAGCUGGUAUCUGAAUGCUUCUUUGUUUACUCCCUUUCAACAACUUGAGUCACUUGAUUUAUAUGGCAACAAAAUAGUCGGUUUUGUUGAGAAUGAAGGUACUUCGUCUAAUUCAAUUAAUUUACAUUUCGCUCUCCUAAUUUAAGUCGAAUAUCAAGACUGAGCAGCUAUAUGCAUAUUCAUUCAAUUGACAAUUUUUACAUAUUUUUUAAAAUGUUUAAUUUUGAAAUUACACCAAACAUCAUAUGUGGUUUUGAUUUUACUUGCAGGUCUAGAAAGAUUGAACAACUUGAAGAGGCUUGAUUUAAGUUAUAACUUGUUCAACAAUAGCAUCUUAUCAUCUGUGGCUCAUCUUUCUUCACUAACAUCAUUAGAUUUAUCUGGAAAUAGAUUGGAAGGAAGUAUUAAUGUUAAAGGUACGUAAUUAAAACGUCAUCGCUUCUCUCAACUCUUUCAUUAACAUGCUAAAAUAAGAUUCAAGGCUUUGAAUUCAUUUUUUUUUAUGAGUAAAUAUUAGAAAAAUAGUUUUAAGCAAUUCAUAAAUACAAUUUUCAAUGUUUCUCAUAAUUUCAUCUUGUACUUUCGUAUGUCUUGACUUUAAGAUUAAAAAAAAAAAUUACUCUAACUGUGAAGCAAAUACCCCAUGACUAAUUUAUCAUUUCGUCCAGUUAAAAAUGAUAAAAUUUAUCAUUUGUUUAUAUUGAUUAAUUAACUCUAUUUUAAGUCUUAAGUCUUGGCGUCUUGGCAUAUUUGCAGAAUUUGAUUCCUUGAGCAACUUAGAGGAGUUGGACAUGAGCGACAAUGAAAUAGACAAUUUAGAGGUUCCUCAAGGUAAACAAUUAAAAUAUAUUCAAUUACAUUAAUUUAAUUCGUUUGAUUAGGGAAGACCCAAAAGGUACAAAAUAUAAUAAUAAUAAUAAAGAAACAGAGAAUCUAUAUUAUUUCAAAAAAUAAAACGUAAUACUAUUAUUUCAAAAAUAGAUUGUAAUAAAGAUUUGAUUCCGGUUCUUUAAUCUUUACAGCAAUUGAAAAACGAUGUUGCUCUUUUCCUGAAGCAUAAAAUAUGAAAUGACUCCAAUACAAUUAAUCAUUUAUUUCGUUUACUCUAAAAUUAGACAAUGAAUCUUUAUUUUCUUCAGUCUUAUCCUAAUUAUUAUUAAUAAACAGGUUACAAAGGUUUGAGGAAGUUGAAUUAUCUUGAUCUAUCGAAUGUUGGAGUUAGAGAUGGAAGCAAGUUGUUACAGUCAAUGGGAUCAUUCCCAUCCCUCAACACUCUUUACCUGAAGGAUAAUAAUUUUACCGAUAUAGCGACAACUACUACUCAAGGUAAGUAAAAGAUACAGAUGUGGCCAAAUUUACAAAUAAAUUGUUAAUUAAUUAAUUUUUCCGUAUUAUUAAUAAAGCUAAAUUCGUCGCUCCUUCCUUCUAAUUCUAAACAGAGUUGGCAAUUUCACCAACUUGGAGUAUUUGACAUUGGACUUGUCCUCGCUCCAUUUAAGCCUUCUACAAUUACUUGAAGAAUGAAUUUAUUUAUUAUUAUUAUUGUUGUUGUUGUUGUUGUUGAAGUGAGGUGGGCAAGCGUUCACUCAAUUAAUAUGUGAGGAAUUAAUAAUUACAAUCCAAGGUAGAAUUGUGGAAAAUUAAAGCAAAAUGAGAAAUAUGGAAAGAAAGGAAGAAAGUUAAGGGCAUGAAAGACUAGGAGAAGACUAAAGACCACCAAAUAAGUCAACUGAAAACUAGCUGGGGCCUGGGUGUACAAAUUGUUAGAUGUGUUUGUUAUAAAUAACAUAGAGCCAUCUUGUUGGUUGCAGAGGCAGAGAGACACAGAGUGUGCAUUUUGUUAAUUAAAAAUAUAUAUAAAAUGGGUGGUUCAAAAUCCAAAAUGGUGAUAAUGUUAGUUUUGUUAGUAUUAAUAAUAUUAGAAGGGAGGUGGCGUGAGGGAUGUUUGGUGCAUGAGAGAUUUGGUCUUUCGAGACUUAAAACAUUUCUUCAAUUCUCCUUAUAAUUUUUGUCACGACUGACCGUUGUCAAUGGGAUGGGGCUGGGUGCAGGGUUGAUUUACGUUAGAACAAUAUAGCCGGUAGUGUUGAGAAUGAAGGUGUUUCAUUUAAUUUAAUUAAUUUACUUUCUCCCUCCUAAUUUAAGUGGAAUAUCAAGACUGAACAAUUAUAUGCAUCUUCGUUCAGUUGACAAUUUUGACAUUUUUUUUAAGUGAUUAAUUUUGAAAUUACACCAAACAUUAUUUGUGAUCUCUGUUUGACUUUACUUGCAGCGCUAGAGACGUUAUCAAGAUUGAGCAACUUGACGAUACUUGAUUUAAGUUAUAACUUGUUCAAUAAUAGCAUCUUGUCAUUUGUUGCCCGUCUUUCAUCAUUAACAUCAUUAGAUUUAUCUUACAAUGGAUUGGAAGGAAGUAUUAAUGUUAAAGGUACGUAAUUAAAACGUCAUCGCUUCUCCAACUCUUCCAUUAACAUGCUAAAAUAAGAUUCAAGGCUUUGAAUUCAAUUUUUUUUUAUGAGUAAUAUUAGAAAAAUAGUUUUAAGCAAUUCAUAAAUACAAUUUUCAAUGUUUCUCAUAAUUUCAUCUUGUACUUUUGUAUGUCUUGACUUUAAGAUUAAAAAAAAAUUACUCUAACUGUGAAGCAAAUACCCAUGACUAAUUUACAAUUUUGUCCAGUUAAAAAUGAUAAAAUUUAGGGAAAUUAUCAUUUGUAUACCCUUAGUUUACUCUAUUAUCAAAAAUACUACAACACUUUGAGGGUGUAUCAAUCGUCCACCCUAAGUUGACAAAAUGUAUUAGCCAACCACCAAACCGUUAGUUGCCGUUUAAAUAUGAUAACAUCAUAAGGGUAAUCUGGUCUUUUCAUAUGAUACAAGUGAUAAUUUAAGGGUAUACAAGUGAUAAAAAGAGAGUUUAAGGGGAUACAAGUGAUAAUUUUCAAGGUAAAAUCGUCAAUUUACUGUAAUUCCGUUAACUUUCAAACGGCAAUUAACAGUUUGGUGGUCGGUUGAUACAUUUCAUCAACUUAGGGUGGACGAUUGAUACACCCUUAAAGUGUUGUAGUAUUUUUGAUAAUAAAGCAAAUAUAGGGUAUACGAAUGAUAAUUUCCCUAAAAUUUAUCAUUUGUUUAUAUUGAUUUAUUAACUCUAUUUUAAGUCUUAAGUCUUAAGUCUUGGCAUGUUUGCAGAAUUUGAUUCCUUGAGCAACUUAGAGGAGUUGGACAUGAGCGGCAAUGAAAUAGACAAUUUCAAGGUUCCUCAAGGUACACAAUUAAAAUAUUAUUUAAUUACAUUAAUUUAAUUCGUUUGAUUAGGGAAGACCCAAAAUGUACAAAAACAUAAUUAAAAAAAAAUAAAGAAACAGAGAAUUCAUAUUAUUUCAAAAAACAAAAGGUAAUACUAUUAUUUCAAAAAAAGAAUGUAAUAAAGAUUUGAUUCCGGUUCUUUAAUCUUUAUAGCAAUUGAAAAACAAUGUUGCUCUUUUCCUAAAGCAUAAAAUAUGAAAUGAGUCAUAAUUGAAUUAGUCAUUUAUUUUGUUUAGAUCUAAAUUUAGACAAUAAAUUUUGAUUUUUUUUUCAAUUCUAUCCUUAUUAUUAUUGUUAAACAGGUUACAGAGGUUUGAGGAAGUUGAAAAGCCUCUAUCUAUCGAAUGUUGGAGUUAGAGAUGGAAGCAAGUUGUUACAGUCUAUGGGAUCAUUCCCAUCCCUCAACACUCUUUACCUGAAGGAUAAUAAUUUUACCGAUAUAGCGACAACUACUACUCAAGGUAAGUAAAAGGUACAGAUGUGGCCAAAUUUAUAAAUAAACUGUUAAUUAAUUAAUUUUCUGUAUUAUUAAUAAAGCUAAAUUUUUGCUCAUUCCCUCUAAUUCUAAACAGAGUUGCACAAUUUCACCAACUUGGAAUAUUUGACAUUGCACGGUUCCUCUCUCCAUAUAAGCCUUCUGCAAAGCAUUGCAUCAAUAUUCCCUUCGUUAAAAAAUCUGUCGAUAUCUUAUUGUGAAGUCAAUGGUGUCGUACAUGGUCAAGGUAAAAGAAAAGUGUUGGUUGUGCACUCACUGAGUGUUGUCCUACGUAUUCAAUAUUUUUAUUUAUUUAUUUUAUUGUUUAAUGUUUCUGCUAGGUUUUCCUCAUUUCAAGAGUUUGGAACAUUUGGGCAUGAUGUCCACGCGCAUUGCACUCAACACCAACUUUCUUCAAGUCAUCAGUGAAUCGAUGCCUUCUCUUAAGUACUUAUCACUGUCAUAUUCUACUCUUGGCACUAACAGCAGCAGGAUUCUUGAUCGAGGUUAAUCAGAUGCUCCCACCCUCCAUUCUUAAUCUAUAAUAUUAAUUUUCAGUUAAAUAUUUAAUUACACAAACCAAUCACUUAUUAUAAAAGAACAAUACGCAUUCAUUAAUUUUUAUAUUAUAUUAAUUGAUGAAUUUAAUAAAUUCCAGGCCUCUGUUCGCCGGUGCAUCUGCAAGAGUUAUACAUUGGUUCUAACGAUUUAAGAGGUAGCUUGCCUUGGUGCAUGACAAAUUUGACAUCCCUCCGAAUAUUAGAUGUUUCUUCCAAUCAACUUACUGGAAGCAUCUCCUCGUCUCCCCUCAUUCAUUUGACAUCCAUUGAAAAGCUGUAUCUUUCAAACAAUCACUUCCAGAUCCCAAUUUCACUUGAACCACUUUUCAAUCAUUCAAGACUCAAGACUUUUUAUGCUGACAACAACGAACUAAAUGCAGAAAUAACUCAGUCACAUUCUUUGACCGCCCCAAACUUCCAAUUAUCACGUCUCUCAUUGUCUUCCGGUUAUGAAGAUGGCGUCACAUUCCCCAAAUUCCUUUACCAUCAACAUGAUCUGGAGACUGUUGAGCUCUCACAUAUAAAGAUGAAUGGAGAAUUUCCAACUUGGUUGUUGGAAAACAACACAAAAUUGAGACAACUUUCUCUCGUCAAUGAUUCUCUUGGAGGACCUUUCCGGUUGCCAAUUCAUUCACACAAGCGGUUAGGAAUGUUGGAUAUAUCCAACAACAACUUCCGAGGCCACAUUCCAAUAGAAAUUGGAGAUGUUUUACCAAGUCUAUACCUUUUCAACAAUUCCAUGAAUGCUUUAGACGGUAGCAUUCCCUCUUCAUUUGGUAAUAUGAAAUUCCUCCAAAUUCUGGACUUAUCCAACAAUCACUUGACUGGUGAAAUCCCCGAGCACUUGGCCGUUGGUUGCGUCAACUUGCAGUCUCUUGCAUUAUCAAAUAACAACCUACAAGGUCACAUGUUCUCUAGAAAUUUUAACUUGAUAAACUUGAAAUGGUUACAAUUGGAGGGCAAUCGCUUCAUAGGUGAGAUCCCACAAAGUUUGUCUAAAUGCUCCUCACUAGAAGGAUUGUAUCUUAACAAUAAUAGUCUUUCGGGUAAGAUUCCACGAUGGUUGGGUAAUCUCACAUGGUUACAAUAUAUUAUAAUGCCCAAUAAUCAUCUUGAAGGCCCUAUUCCAGUGGAGUUUUGUCAGCUUGAUUUGCUUCAGAUUUUGGACAUUUCAGACAACAACAUAUCUGGAAGUUUACCAUCUUGUUUCCAUCCUCUCUCUAUCAAACAAGUUCAUCUUUCAAAAAAUAUGUUACAUGGACAGCUAAAAAGAGGUACAUUCUUUAAUUGCUCUUCCCUUGUGACAUUAGAUCUUAGCUAUAAUCGCUUGAAUGGCAGCAUUCCGGAUUGGGUUGAUGGGCUUUCUCAGUUAAGCCACCUUAUCUUAGGUCAUAAUAAUCUUGAAGGUGAAGUGCUAGUUCAAUUGUGCGAAUUGAACCAACUACAAUUGUUAGAUCUUUCUAAUAAUAAUCUUCACGGUCCUAUUCCUCCUUGCUUUGAUAACACCACACUUUAUGAAAGUUACAGCAAUAGUUCUAGUCUUGAUGAGCAAUUUGAAAUAUUUUUUUCCAUCGAAAGCCCUCAGGGAAAUGUAGAAAAGCAAAUCCAUGAAAUUUUUGAGUUCACAACAAAGAACAUUGUGUACAUUUACCAAGGAAAAGUGCUUAGCCUCCUAUCAGGACUUGAUCUUUCUUGCAACAAGCUAAUUGGUCCUAUUCCUCCUCAAAUUGGAAAUUUGACAAGGAUUCAAACAUUGAAUCUAUCACACAACGACUUGAUAGGAUUGAUCCCAUCAACAUUUUCAAACUUGAAGCAUGUCGAAAGUUUGGAUCUUUCCAACAACAAAUUGAAUGGGAAAAUCCCUCAUCAACUAGUGGAGUUAAAGACAUUGGAGGUUUUCAGUGUGGCAUACAAUAACUUAUCAGGCGAAAUUCCAGAAUGGACUGCACAAUUUGCAACCUUCAAUGAGAGUAGCUAUGAGGGAAAUACUUUUCUUUGUGGAUUGCCAUUGCCCAUUUGCAGAUCACCAGCAACUAUGUCGGAGGCUUCAAUUGGCAAUGAACGAGAUGAUAAUUUAAUUGACAUGGACAGUUUCUUUAUCACAUUUACAACAUCGUACGUAAUUGUGAUAUUUGCAAUUGUUAUUAUUUUAUAUGUAAAUUCUUAUUGGCGACGUAGAUGGUUUUACUUUGUUGAAAUGUGGAUAACUUCAUCUUACUAUUUUGUUGUAGACAAUCUUAUUCCAACAAGAUUUUAUCAUUGAAAUUAAUUAGUAGUUUAAUUACGAUUCUUUAAGUACUAAUCAAGUUUGUUUAGGAAAUAUUUUUUUAUUAAAAUUGUAGUAGUAUUUAGCAUUAUAUAGCUUCCAACUUCCAAGCACUUCACAUUUGUCUCUACACUUAAAAAACUGAGUGAUCAUGUUUUGCAGAUCUGGAUUUGGAGCAGGAUGGAUCCAAACCCAUAUCUGUCCACCGUAACUUAUAGCUUCCCUAUACUGUGCAGCAUACUUAAAUAAGAGAACCAUCUCCAAUGUUAAAAGCAUUCACUCUAUAACAUUCAUUUAGAAACUAUAUUCAGAAUAAUUUUAUAAUUAAACACAAGAAAUGAAACACACAGAUACACUUGAUCGCCUAUUUUACUCUAAAAAAGAACGAUUAUUGUGCUAUCAUCAUCUUCUUCACUAGCAACAUUAACACCAAAUCGAUGGACCCAUACAUUUCAUCAAGAAAGGUCUAUAUCCAAUAAAGUUGAAGCCUAACAAAAAAUUCAAGAAGAUUCAUGCCUCGCCACAACAAGGGGCACAACAACAUCAAAGUAGAGAUUAAGCAGUAUUCUCAAAGCUAAAACUCUCAAAUCCACCCACCAGAAUUUCAUAUCUCCUCAACAAUUUUAAGAACUAAAGAUAAUUAGGAUUUAACAUUAGUUUUUUAUAUAUUAGUUUCAUAAUUUACAAAUCAAUGAAGAUGAAGAUUAUGCUAAUAAAUUCAAAUUAUACCAUACAUUCUCUAGAUGUUACCAAAAAUUUCUAAGUCAAUCCCACAUAUUUCAUAAUUUUAAGACUAGAAAAUUUCACUAGUUAGAAGUUUCAUUACCUUCAAGUGGAAGAUGAAGAACAUUAUACAAGUGAUUCAGAUUAUAUCAUACAUACUCCAAAUGCAACUAGAAAUUAACAAGUUCAUGCACACAUAUUUCAUAACAUUAUGAUUGAAAAGUUUCACAGAGAAAUUCUAAAUUCAAUCUCUUGCAUGAAGGCAAUUUGAUUGAUUUGAGUUACUUUCUUAUCAAGCUACUAAUAUAACAUUCAAGUCAGGGAGAAAAUAAAUUAAAACUGGGAAGAAAUAACAGUAAAAAUUUGUUGCUCAACAUGAUGUGUAUUUUUUUUCAAGGCAAUUUGGAAACACAAUUGUUACCACAGAUAUUCUUCUCAACUUGGAGAUAAAUACAAAUAUUAAAAUGCAUAUGAUCGCACAUAUUACUUCGAGUUUAGUAAGAUUUCAUUAAAAGAAGCAAUCAAACCACUUAUCAAUUGUCGCAGUCGUUCUAUAAACUAAAAUAGCAAUAUAAUACAAGAAAAAGAACAUAUAGAUACUUGGCAAGAGUUCAUUAAGAAGUCACAUCACAUUCAGGUGAGGAGUUUGCUUCUGAUAUCUUGCUAGCUGGGGCUUUUUCUUGUCUUUCUACGUAUGCCGAGGGAAACCAACCAGCUUGGCCCUUGCAUUCACCUUCCGACCAUCCAAUAGGAGCCACCUUGAGAAGUUAUAACUAAAAUGGUGAAUUAAACAAAAGUUGACCGUUCAAAGACCUAAGGGGAAAACUAAUUCUUUUACGUAGGAGGAGUGAAUUAGUUGUGAUCACUGAAAUAACAGCAUAACUAUGGAAGCAUAACAAGAUAUAAAUUCACACGUCUAUAAGGGUAAACUGGGUGGUUGAGAACUGAGCUAGCAACCCUACUAUAUUCUGAUUUGCACUUCAAUGUAAAAGGGAAUAUAUGGUAGGAAGAAAGAAAACCAACCAUCAUUUGUUAACUCAUUGCUUUUCAAUCAAAAUUUUAAGAACAAAAUGCCAUGUGCUUUGAACAUCAAAUAAGUAUAAGCAUUAGUUCUAAAUUCCACAUAUCAUAAGUUGUUAGAAGGAUAAGUUAAUAGCAGAGUAGAAAAAUCUAUGUGUUGGUAUUUAGAGGGGAAAGUACCUGGCGAACCACAACAUAAUCAUCAAUUGAAAGACUUAGCUCUCCAUUUGCUUGAGCAUCAAAUGGAUGUAUAACCUGCAAGAUAAUGGGAUAAAUAGAACUUAAAAAAAGCAUAACAAAAGCGGCAACAGUAGCAGCAACGUUCAUUGUAACCACUAUGAUCAUGGCCAACAAAGAUAUAUUAGAAACAAAAUUCCAUUUUUACUACGACAUUAAUAUGUACUAUACGAUAUCAUGACGAUUGGGUUACUAAGAGCUAUCAAAGUCUAAUAAGUUCUGUAUAACUUUAUGUAGUUAUUUAAAUUAUGGAUCAGAUUUUAAAUUUGAAAUUUUGACUGCUCUCCACAAAACAUGGCCUAUGCACAAGAAAGUCAUAGAUAAUGAGGAUUACAAGUGUCCGACAUCUUUUGAGUGAUGGAUUUAACAUGAGAGCUUAUGGUCAGUCAAUUUCCUCUGCCUAGCAAUAUAAGCUUUCUCGGCCAGAUUUAUCAUCAAAUACAUAGAUUGCCCCCAAGUCACAUCCAUAUAAACAUAGUUUUUCUAGGUAAACCAAGUAAGGAGUAUCAUAAUUCAGACAUAAUCAUAAAAAGGCCCAUCUAACUUAAGAGAAAAUCUCAAAAAGAGGGAUGCUGAGCUAUCAGUCUUGUAUCUAUAAGCAAUAUCAAGACUUUACGUCACCUGCUACAUCGUGAGUGGCUACACAACUUUCAGUGGUUUGUCUUUCUUUGGCACGCCUAACUCAGCUUUCAUGUUGCUGAGAUAUUGAUAGUAGAGACACAUGAUACUUCUAGCUCAUGCAUUCUAUCUAACUCAUCCAACAACUAUCUCUUUUUUAAUUCAUUAGUGUUUGCUAAACCUCAUGCUUAAAAGUCCUGUUCUCCUAAACAAAGUUUCCUAAGAAUGACUUCCUUAGCACCACAGUUGGACACUUUUAGAGCAAUUUUAUUUGGGGGAAAAGAAUUUUCAAGGUGUUAACUAAUAAAUUUUAAAAAAUAAUUACAAUUUGUCCUACGAUCAUAUGACAAUUUAUCUGGGAUGAAAGGAUACAGAUAGACAUCUUCCACUUUCAAGACUAAUCACUACUUCCGUAGAUGUUGUGCAAUAAUACAAAUACUUGACCAGAUGGUAGUGAUGGUAGAAAAAAAUUUUAUUGCUCCAAAAUUAAAAUAAGAAUGCAAUAUGUUAAGCAAAAGGCUGUGCAACAUCAAAUUAAUUGAUAAGUUUGUAAUUCAGUAAAUUAACAACUUUCAUGGUAAAAUACAACAAAUUUCUUUUGAAAAAAAAUAAAUAAAUCUUAAAAGACAACAUUCAAUUUUGUGCACAUCUUAUUUCUUAAGAUUUUUCAGGAGGAGGGCAAUAGAGGGACUUUCACCUAUGCAAGAGAGCAGAAGCCUUACUUUCCCUAUAAAGUAGACGUCAUUCUGAUUAAUAUGCGUUUGCAAAUCAGCUCCGUUUGAAUCAGUAUUCUGAUAGACACACGAGGAAUUUACAUCCAUUUCCAAAGUCACAUGUUGCGAGGAGGACUCAUUUGAUUGCUCCUAUACGAUCAUCUAAUUCAAGUAGCAAGGGUUGGAAGAGAAUAAAAAGUCACAAUUAUUCUUUUGCAUAAGUGAGACGAAAAUGAUAAAUGCAAUAUUAUCAGCAGUAAACAAGAAGAGAACGCUCCAAGAAAUAGAUAGAUGCAGACAAGCAAGUUAAAAUGCAUAGUCCCAAACCUCCGCAUACAACUUCUCUAAAAUAGCAAUAACGUGUUGAUGCUAUGUUUUCUCAGCAUCUACCUGCAAAGGCCCGAGACCAGGAAAACAACAAUAAAACCACUAGCUGAAGGAGAAAGCAAAGAAAGAAAUACACUUGACAUAAAUCUUGACAAGAAGCACAAAUUAAGACAUAACAAACCCCAAUCAUAUUGUUUAGAACUACCAUUCGUUAUUUCGUUAUUGUAACAUUUCGAACAAGUGUUGACUUAAUUCAACAUUGUUGGAAAGAUAGGCUUUUAGAAGCAGAAGAAAGCCUCUCAAACCAAAGUGCUGGUCCUUGUAUUGAUCAAGGGAUGUAAACAUAUUACAUUUGCAGGAUGAGAUUUAAUCACUCCCCUGAUUUAUUCGGGUUGCAGUAAAACUAAGCGAGCAACUGUUUGACUUUCAAGCAACAGCUAAAUCAGCUAUUAAAAUUCAAAUAAAAUCAUAAUAGAAUAAUAACAGGCCAUCUUGCAUCAAAAAUUAAGUUUAAUUUGUGAAUUGUUUUCUAUAGACAUGUCAGUUUCUGCUAUUGAAAUGUUAAAAGCAUUGAAAAAUUAUUCAAUAAAUUAUGCAAGCAUUAAAAUAGAGGACAUAUUAAAAAGUUUCUAAUUACAAUGUUAAUAUUUCCUAUAUUUUAGCAUUUGCAUAUUUUAAUUUAUUUAAAAGCUACGUUGAUCAACUUUGGGCAUGAAGAUUUUAGCUUAUACGAGACUUGAUUGGAAUAUGCAUAAGAGUGUUAAAAUAUGAUGCAUCCAAUGAAAGACAAACCACGUGUAGUCUUUUAAUUAAGCCAAAGUAGCAGCUCAAACAAAUGACACUUGGACCAACAUGCAAUCAUGAAGUGGCCGGAAAAAGGACAAAUGCAACUUUGGCUUAAAUAAAAAAUAACAUGUGACUCGACUUUUGCUGGACAUGCAUCAUGUUAUCACAAGACAACAGAAAUCAGUAUGAUAGUACUAAAAGUUGACAAUAACAUGAAGAUAAGAGGCAGAAUGUCAACACAUGCAUAGGCACACACAAGAAAGUAUUAACUUAUAUACCAUAGCAAAAAGUCUUUGAUAUGUCAUCUGUUGCUGCUGUGAUUCAACUGACAGCAUGGCAGCUGUUGCUUCUCUACCAAGAGCCAUUAUUGUAGAUUUAAGCUCGGUCAAUCUUGCUUCUGCAUUUCGAAGCUUCACAGCACUCUCUGCUGAUAUAUCAGAUUCCCUAAUCUUUGAUCGGCGCCUAAAUACUUCAGCUGCCUGGUGAAAAUAUUCAAUAUAAAUCUAACAUAAUUCUCAUCUUGCCUUAUACAUGCAUAUGUUAACUCAAAGCUUACCUGGGCUUCAACUUCAUGUCGAAGUUUGUCAUAACGAUGAGUCAGGUGUCGAGCAUCUUCCAAAGGUGCUCCGUUGAUUAACGCCCGUAGUGGCUCAGAUACCUACAUGUCCAAAAACCUGUAACAUAGUUAGAAAAAUGAAAAGAAAGAGCGAAACCUCAAUUAAAAAGUUCCUCCAACAUAAUCAUGGAAUUUGGGCCUACUUCAAGGAUAUAUAUAAGGAUAAUUUCUGCAAUUUUGGGUCUUAGGAUGAUUGAUAUUAGGUUAUUGUUCUUCUCUUCUGUAUUUAAGGUUAAAAUAGAAAUAAACCUAUGCAAAUAUCUAAAUUAGGCCUGUAAGACAUCCACAUGCAUCCUUCAGCCUCAUGGAUUUGAUUUUACUAUAGAUGCAAGUGUCUUUAUCGAAAAUGCUUGGAGUCAAUUGAGAGAACUCAUGGCCAAUAACUUGUCACACGCUAGUGUUUGCUAGUGAUGUAAGAAGUCACAAGGUCUCUUCAACAUUUGAACCAAUAAAAUUAUUAAGUCAUGGAUGUCACUAGCAAUGAUUUUAAUAUAAAACAUUAAAUAUUUCAGAGUUGUAACUUUAAAAUGGAUUCUUUUAUUCAAUAUCAUAGAACUAAGUUUCCUUAUGAGAAGAUAAUAGUUUCGAUAAUAAUUUUACAUAUAAUUUUCUAUAUUUGAAUUAUUUUCUAGUUAGGGAUGAACUAACCUGAUCACGAAGAAUCCCGAGCAAAGUUUCCCUCUCAUUUUCCAUCAAAUCAUGUGAAGUGCCAAAUUGAAGAGCAGCUCUUGCAACGCAAGAAUUGUCACUUUGAUUCUCUGCUCCAUACUUGCAACAAUCUUCCGCCAACUUUCUCGCUACAAUAUUUGUACACAAGAACUAGUCAAGAAAAUAAAAAAAAAAAUCAAAUAUUAUAAAGAAAGCAAGAGCAAACAAACAACUUAUUUCCAUUUGGUUCAAGCUUACUGCAACAAACCCUUCAACGCCACGGACAAUAUUCCUCUGAAAAUGCUGUGCUACAGAGCAUAUAUUCCAAAUUAUUGUUCAGAUAAAACCAUAGAAACCAUCAUAAUUAUUCAACAUACAUUAAGCUCCGUUUGGUAAAUACUUGCAACUUCAGUCUAGAAAAUACAGUUAAUUUUUAUUUAAAAAACAUCAUAAUUAUCAACAUACAUAUUUGACAAAAUUAUUAUUUAAAAAUCAUAUCAAAUUAAUUACCAAAAGCCACAAUAAAUCAAUAUCAAACAGAGUCUUAUUAUUAGCUAAAGGAGGAUAGUACCUUAGCUGCCCUGGUGGAAUUGUAUAGAUUUUGAAGUUGUUGGUGACACUCAAUUUCAGCUUCAUCAACCACAACAUUUUCAAUACCAAGAUGGAGCAGAUGCUUCAAUACUGCCUGUACAAAUCAUAAAAAACGAAUAAAAAUAAAUAAAAUCGAGAUAUUUCACUAACUAAGAGUCUAAAUAUAAUUUUUUUAAAAAGAAAAGAAACGGACUUGCUGCUGCUUGGCGACUUGUUCUCGGAGCUUGAUUGCCUGUUUCUUGAUAGCUUCCAUACUGUUUCUUUCAAAAAGCGACGACGGCUCAGCUCAUGGAGGUGGAAAAAAAAAGUGUGAUCGGGAAAAAUAAAAAGGCAUGAAUAAUUUUUGAAAAAAAGCGAAAAUCAAGGAAAGCCAGCUCUUUCCAGAAAAUAAAAAAAGAAAAAAGAAAAAAGAAAAUUAUAAGGUUGAAAGGAGUAGAUGAUAGUGGAAGUGUGCGGUGUAGCUGCCAGCUACUUGGAUUGUAUUGUCGGGUAAGGUAAUAGUAGAGAAUUUUUUAAGAAGCUAGAACAGAGCAUGACAUUAGACUUUUGUUGACCAAAGGAUGUUGUUUUAUUCUUCUUAUACUUUACGCUUGCAUCAGCCUCAAUCACUUCUUAAUCGCUUGCUUUAACUGCAUCGCUCUCUCUGUGCUCUUCUAUAUAUGUGACGGUUAUGCGGUUGUAGUUCACGGCUGAGGCUACGCGUUGGUUUGACGUGUCAGUUACGUUACAAGGGGAUAAAUAAGAUUGGUUGCAACAAACCCACUAAUUUUAUAAAAUUCGAGUAAUAUAGAAUAAAAUAAAAAAAUAAAUACAAAAUUGGCUUUUAUUUUUUAUGGUUGACUGUAUUUUGUGUUCUCUUCCGGCACUACUACAAUUGUUCCCCAUAUAUCAGUCACACCUAUAUAUCAUUAACAUAAGAAAUGAAAUCUAAUGUCACCUAUUUAGUUAAAGAAUCACUCAUGAAAAUUUUUUACCAUUUUGCUUUGAGGAUCCAUAUUUUGAACUGCAAGCUAAUGUUCAUCAAGAAUCACUAAUGUUCAUAAAAAACAGAACAUGGCCGUUGAGUAGAAAAACUAUUUUUGGACAAAUUAUUUUUGUUGAUAGAAGAAUUUCUUAAGGGACUACUAAAAUUAUUAAUAAAAAUGUAGAACCACCCACAUAUCAUCUACACAAUUGACUUUGAGGAUCCAUGCUUUGAAUUGCCGCCUAAUGUUCAUCAAGAACAGAGUAUGCCUUGUGAGUAGAAAAUUUUAUGAUUUUGGCCCGAAAUAAAAGGAAAUUAAAUUAGAUGAGAAUCUGCCACUUUCUCAUGAAAAAAGGCAUACGGAGCAUACCAUGGUACCAUACGGAGAAUAUUAGAACCACCCUAGAAUAUCUUUACCCUGAUGUUUCUAACAAAAAUCUGCAUGUGGCAGCAAUUACUAGAUCUACAAUUUCCCAAAUAAUAUUUUGUGUUUCUUAAAAAAUUUGAAAUACAUAGUUGCACUUGCACACCGUGAGACAGUGCUACAAUCUACUGAGAUCUAAAUUAUAUGAGACUUUAAGCUACUAAUGUUUGCAUAUUUCUACAUGUCAAAUUAACAUUACCAUCUAUAAUCCGAAACGACAGAUGAUAAACGGCUUUUGGCCACUUAUUACUAGCAUCCACAAUUAAUUUUUGUUCAGCAAUCAGCUUAUUUUAUAGAAAUUGAUUUAGUCAGCAACAAACACUAUAAUUGCUACUAUGUACGAACUGGUCAUGAAUUAUCUAUAAGAUUUUUCAUGUUGCUUUUAGGUGCAUUGGAUUUUUUGAGUUUAGUGCAAGAGUAGAGGAAGGCAAAUUAAGAAAAAGGAUAAAGAUCUAUAAUUAGCUUCUCAUAACAUAUUGAUGGUAACAUUAUACAUAUGUAUAUCUAAAUAAUGGGGUUGGAUCAGGAGCCCAUUAAUAAUCAUAUAUUAGCUCAUAUAGUUAAAAAAAAAAAUGUACCAUAAAGCCAUUUCACCAGCACUUGUUAGCCUAUGUUGAGCUUUAUUAUCAAUACUUCAUAGUUCAUCGGUGCACUGCAGGUUUACUAUUUGAAGUAAAUGUUAUGGUGCGUGCAUUCUUCAUAAGGCCAACUAUUGAAUUUAGCAUUGAAACUUACAAAAUGUAAUAGAAAGAGGUAGAUAACAGCCAUAAAACACUAAGAUUGGAAAUCAGGGCUACUAUACUAUUACAAGCCCUUAGAAAAGACAGUGAUCAUCCUGAAAUGUAUCUACUGAAAGUAAGAAAUAUUAAUCGUAAAGUUAUGUGUCAACAGAACUAUUGACUACUUGUCUCUAGUAGAAAGUAAAUAUUUUUAACUCCAGCUCUCUACUUUGUUUUAAGAGCUAGGCAAAAGAAGAAAAUUUCGAUGUCUAAAGUUUGCCACUUGGAAUAUUUCACUGUCUAAACAUUCACUCACCACUUAUUUCAUCAACGAAUUUUGUCUAAUUAUAUGUUGAUAAAGAUAUUAGAGUAAUAUAAUGCGUUUAAGGCUUAACUUAUAUUUUUUAUUAGUAGAGUGUAGAACUUUUAAGAAAUAAAUUAUUAAAUUACUAUAACUAACAUAUUAUUUUAAAGUUAUGUUAAGGAAAAGAAUGAAACAAAAAUAAAUAAAUAAAUAAGGGUAUUCUAAAACUUUGAUCUUUUUAAAAGUAGAUUUUGACAUAGAUAAAAUAAUUUUUAUAUUUUUUAAAUCACAUACUCUAGUUAAAAUCAAAUUUGUAUUUAUAAAAUUUGUAAAUUUAUUUAUUUUUUUAGCACUGAUAUUUGAACACUAUCAAGAUAAGAAAUAGGGUACUGGUCAUGCUACAACAUUAUCAUAGCACGUAAAAAGACAAUACCAUUUAUUUUAUUGUACUAUCAUUGUUGUUAUAAUAGUAUUUUGUUAGUGGUCAAAUAUUUUUUUUUUAAGUAAAAAAAGUGAACAAUGUAAAUUAACUUUUAAUCUCUCCUAAAAUUCUAAUUCCUAGUUACGAAACAAAAUUGUUUGAAAAUCAUUAGGCUAACUGCAUGGGUUCUUAAAACCAUAGGUGAUAGAAGUUACUAACACAAGCAAAUUUGACGGUCCAUUUUAUAAAAUUUGUUAUUUACCAUUUUACCACCUAUAUAAGGAGUGCCGCAUCGACAUAUCAACUCAUUUGCAGAUUAUUUUAAUUUUGUAAAAUUCAUUUAACCUGCACUUGGUCGCCCCUAUUCUCUGAAUGGUUAUGGCGAUAUCAUCAUUAUCGUUACUUGUACCAACGCUAAACCCUUCUUAUUCCCUUUCUCGCCUGUCAUACCCUAACAUUAUAUCCCGUGUCCACACUAAAGACAAGUAGUCAAUUCAGGCCAUCAGAUUAUAGUGGACCCACAUCAAUCCAACUGCUCACAAUGACCGACAGCCUCUCCAUCUCCAUUUCAGGUUUCCUCUUCAACUGGCUUCUGCUUCCGCCGUAUUUGCUCCAUUUCUUGGAUUCGGAGUCCGUAUUUGGUCGGUCGGUCCCGCACAGCUCCCUCUCACUCCAAUUGUCACCCAACAAGACCAAUUGCUUAAUCAAGGCACAGAACAAGAAGAGGAUGGGAAAUUGAAACAAGAAUUUGAGAAUUGGAAAUCGAAAACGUCCGCAUUGACCGUGCCUUUGAGGGCAAUUACUUUUCUUGAGAAUUGAAGUUUGGUAAUGUAAUUUGUUCUCCAUCUGUGUUCCCUUUGUAGUCAUUUCAUUUAUUUGUUUGUUUGCUUUUAUUUGCAGGAGAAAUUGAUCCUCGAGAUAAAAGUAAAUUGUCUUUAAGCUCAUUUAGUUUUAUAUCAAACAAAAUCAAGACUGCCUUUUUCUUCAAUAGUUUUGAUGAUAAUAUCUUUAGAAGCAUCUCAUUGACAGGUAAUCGUGGUACCCCUUAAAGAGUCUAUAAACUCAAGGAUAUUAUCUUCUGCAAAUGGUUCAUUAAACUUCUUAGAUGUAGUUAAAUGUACACUGAGAACAACGAGAAGCUAUGCCACUGUAGCAUGUAGUGAUGGCACUUAAUGAGUGAGUUGCUAGGAUAUGAACUAGAAAAAUUAAACAUUGUCUCCCUGGGUAUGCUAGCUUGUAAGUCGGUUAAUAUUAGAGCUUGAGAUACUAUAACCAUGAGAAGCUAUUGACCGCCGAUUAAAAUAUCCAUUAAAAUGUCUAGGGAGUUAUGAAGGUGGAGGUGUCUCCCAAUUUCUAAGGCCAUAUAGUAGACAUCAUCCAGGAUCCUAUUAAAGUGCAGUUAGCCUCCUGCUUGAUGCUAAUGUCAAACAAUUAAUAAAUUUGGUCAAUGUAACUGAAACUUGCUAACUGACGUCAGAUUGCGACUUGAGCACCUUAAAAUGGGAUAGACGAUUAGUAGCACUGAAUUCUUCUUGCCUAAGAUUGAGCAAUUGUUCUAACUACUAUCUCCUAUUGUAGGUUGAUUAUUAUGUUCUAAUUAUGUCGAUUUUGACCCAAAAAAUUACAUAAUCUUGAUCUGCAUAAUGUCACUGAACAGUGUCAAUUUCGUUUACCAACUAACUUGAGUUUGAUAUAACAAACACACGGUGUGUCUCUCAUGUCUCACCAUGAUGGAGAAUUUUUCUAAUGCAUGAAGCAAGCUUCGAUAUGUGGGUUAGCUUGGAGAAGAUAUCUUAAAAUGAAGAAUAUGGGGAGUUAAUGGGAAGAAACAGUUCAGUAGUUUAUAAUUCUGUCGUCGAGCUGUAUCUCUAACAUGGUCAAAAUUUAUGUGAAUAAGGACAGGGAAUCUUCAUUCCUCUUUCCCUUUUUAUACCCACAUAUCUCUCAACCUUUAUAUGUUGCUCACUGGAGAUCUGCUUCUGAUAACUAAAAUAAAAAUUUCAUCCACUCAAAUAAAUUCUGACCAAGCUUUCACAAGAAAAAGUAACAUCUUUAGUGAAGUAAUUUACAAGUAAUUUAGAGUUCCUUAUCAUCUUCUUGUGAGUCUAUCAGUAUGAUCCAAAAACAUAAUAAAUCUUGUUAGAUCCUGUUUAUUGAUGUUUAAACGCUGCUCAUUGUGAAAUGUAGAAACAAUGACGUGAAGUUUCUUUGGUCAUCAAUUAGUGAGAUCUUGUUUGAAGUUGUUUUCUGAAAUGAACUGCCAAAUGAUAGUUUUUUUUUUUUUUUCUUUGGACGCAUUUGAUGGCUCUUUUCUCCUCAUUUUAAGCAUGUGCCUGCUUGGUAUGGGAAGGAAUAGGCUUCAGAGUUGUUAUAUAUGUUGACAUGCUCUGGUCAUUACACAAUAUGUUCAAAUUGGAAAUUAGAAUGAGAUAUUUGUCGAUGCUUUUUGAGAGAUCUGCAUUCUAUGCAGCAUAACAUGAUUAAUGAAAAUGGGUUUAAGGACUGGAAAGAUCUGUGGCAGCCCAAGCUUGCAGGAAGGAUUUCAAUGGUUAAUUCUCCCAGAGAGGUUAUUGGUACAGUUUUGAAGUAUAUGGGAGCAUCAUACAAUUCAAACGACAUUAAUUAGCAAGUUGCUGCUGGGAGGAUUGCUGUUCAGCAGAAUCUGGCAUUACUGGGAAACCAGGUACUCUUAAAGAAACGAUAGCUGGUCAAUGCAUAUUAUUGCCUGACGGCUGAUUUUGUUUGUAAAGUGUGCCUUUUCAUACAUAUGAAUGCAUAUGUUAGUGUUGUCUUCUUCUUUCCAUAAAUAUGAAUGCAUAUGUUGGUGUUCUUUUCUGAGAUGGAUGCAAUAAAGGCUUUUUCUUCUAAAUGACGAGUUUUCAUUUAAAAAUGUUAUAAAUCUGCCAUGCAUAGUAUUCUAGUAGAAUCAUCUAUAAAUUCAAGUUAUUGAAAUUGUCUAUUUGUCCAGUUUGAGUUAAGGACGCAUGUAAUAUGAAAAAUAGUUGUCGAAUAUUGUAGGUUAGCUAAUAUUUGAUCAAUCCUAUAGGGAGGGCUUUAAGAUGUCUAACAACAUGUAGAAUGCCCCUGCUUCCCCCACAAUUUUUAUCUUAUACAAUUUUUAUCUAUAAACAGUAUUUGCCAGACCUUAACUGUUCAGAUUCCCCUUCUCGACUAUCAUACCCUACGCCCCGUCUCCGUGUCUCCGAUAAACAGUGCUCAAUUAAGGCCAUCAGAUUAUCCCGGUCCCACAUUGAUCAACGGCUCACAAUGACCGACAACCUCUGUCUCCAUUACAAGCUCCCUCUUCAACUCGCUUCUGCUUCCAUCCUACUCUUUCUCAGAUUCGGAGCCCGUAUAUGCUCGGCUGGUCCCACGAAGCUCCCUCUCACUCCAGCUGUCAACCGACAAGACCAAUUGCCUUAUCAAGACAGAGAACAAAAAGAGGAUGAGAAAUUGAAACAAGAAUUUGAGAAUUGGAAAUCGAAAACGUACUCAUUGACCGUGCCUUUGAGAGUUGUUUCUCUUCAGAAUUCAGUGCCUCAAUCUUGGGUUAAGGAUUUUAUGCGAAGUCAAGGAAAGUGAUUGAAGUUUCAGAUGAAUUUGUGUGCUAGCAUUGGUGGGAUCUUUAACAAUUUAUCUGUGCCCUUUAACAAAGUCAAGGCUAAUUCAGCUUCUUAUAUGGCUGCUGAUUUGGUUAGUGUUGGUGAUUCAUGGCUUAGUUUUGCCAUUAAAGAGAGAUUGAUUGAGCCAAUGGCUGGAGCUGAAGACCAAGAUUGGUUCAAAUGCUUAAGUCACAAAUGGAAGGUAACAUCUUUAUCUUUGGCCCGAUAAUUUUUAUUGUCUUACAUUGAAAUUUGGUAAUGUAAUUUGUUCUCUAUCUGUAUUACCCUUUUUAGUCGUUUUAUUUAUUUGUUUAUUUGCUUUUAUUUGCACUAACGAAGUCUCAGGUAUAUCUAUGCAGAAUGAUGCAGGAGAAAUUGAUCCUCGAUGUGAAAUAUGGGCGGCACCAUACAGGUGGGGCACAAUGGUGAUAGCCUACAAGAAAAGUAAAUUUCGAAAGCAUAAUUUGGCUCCGAUUGAGGUAAUAAUUGUCUUUAAACUCAUUUAGUUUUAUAUCAAACAAAAUCAAGACUGCCUUUCUCUUCAAUAUUUUUGAUGAUAAUAUCUUUAGAAGCAUCUUAUUGAUGGGUAAUAAUUGUAUCCCUGAAACAGUCUAUAAACUCAAUGAUAUUAUCUUCUACAAAUGGCUCAUUAAACUUUGUCGUUGUAGUCAAAUGUACACUCAGAGCAAUGACAAGCUAUGCCACUGUAGCAUGUAGUGAUGGCACUUAAUAAGUGAGUUGCUAGGAUGUGAACUAGAAAAAUUAAAUAUUGUCUCCCUGGGCAUGCUAGCUCAUAAGUCAGGGUUAAUAUUAGAACUCAAGAUACUAUAACCAUGAGAAGCUAUUGACUGCCAAUUAAAAUAUCCUUUAAAAUGUCUAGGAAGUUAUGAAGGUGGAAGUAUCUUCCGAUUUCUGAGGCCACAUGGUAGAUAUCAUCCAGGAUCCUAGUACAGUGCAGUUAACCUCCUGCUUGAUGCAAUUAAUAAAUUUGGUCAAUGCCACUGAAACAUGCUAACUGACGUCGCAAUGCGACAUGAGCACUUCAAAAUGGGACAGACGGUCGGUAGCACUAAAUUUUUCUUGCCUAAGAUGAGCAAUUGGUCUAACUACUAACCCCUUUUGUAGUUGAUCAUUAUUUUUUCAAUUAUUUUCAGUUUGACCCAAAACGUUACAGAAUCUUGAUCUGAAUAUUGUCACUGAACAUUGUCACUGAACAUUGUCAAUGUCGUUUAGCGUAGCCAACUAACUUGAGUUUGGUAAAACAAACACACAGUGUGUCUCAUGUCUCACAAUUCAAAUUAUCAUUUGUAAUGAUGGAGAAUUUUUCCAAUGUAUGAAGUAUGCUUUGAUACGUGGGUUACCUUGGGGAAGGUAUCUCAAAAUAAAGAAUAUGGGGAGAAAACAGUUCAGUAGUUUAUUAUUCUGUAGUCAAGUUUUGUCUCAAAAAUGGUCCAAAUUUAAAUGAAUAAGGACGGGGGAUCUUCAUUCUUUUUUCCCUUUUUUAUACCUAGAUAUCUCUCAACCUUUAUAUAAUCCCCACUGGAUAUCUGCUUCUAAUAAUUAAAAUAAAAAUUUCACCCACACAAAUAAAUACUGACCAAGCUCUAACAAUAAAAAGUAACUUCUUUAGUCAAGUGAUUUACAGUUCCUCAUCACCUUAGUGAGACUAUCAGUGUGUUCCAAAAACAUAAUAAAAUUGGUUUGUUCCUGUUUAUUGAUGUUUAAAUGUUGUUCAUUGUGACAUGUAGAAAUGAUGAGGCGAAGUUUAUUUGGUCAUCAAUUUGUAAGAUCUUGUUUGAAGUUGCUUUCUGAAAUGAACUGCCAAAUGGUAGUUUCUUUGGGCAUUUGAUGGCUCUUUUUUCCUCAUUUUUAAACAUGUGCCUGCUUGGAACAGGAAGGAUUAGGCUGCAGAGUUGUUAUAUAUUUUGACAUGCUCUAGUCAUUGCACAAUUUGUUCACACUGGAAACUAGAAUGAGAAAUUUGUUGCAUUCUAUGCACAAUAACAUGAUUAAUGAAAAUGGAUUGUAGGACUGGAAAGAUCUGUGGCAGCCUGAGCUCGCAGGACGAAUUUCAAUGGUUAAUUCUCCCUGAGAGGUUAUUGGUUUAGUUUUGAAGUAUAUGGGAGCAUCAUACAAUUCAAACGAUAUUGAUUCGCAAGUUGCUGGUGGGAAGAUUGCUGCUCAGCAGAAUCUGGCAUUACUGGCAAACCAGGUACUCUCAAAGAAAUGAUAUCUGGUCAUUGCAUGUUAUUACCUGACAACUGAUUUUGUUUGUAAAAGUCUGCUUCUUCAUACAUAUGAAUGCAUAUGUUAGUGUUUUCUUCUCCUUUUCAUACAUAUGAAUGCAUAUGUUGCUUCUUUUCCUUUCCAUACAUAUUAAUACAUAUGUUGGUGUUCUCUCCUGAGAUGGAUGCAAUAAAGGUUUUUCUGAAGAAAUGGCAAGGGAUGUGAGAUUCUGUCUCAUAAAAUUAACAAAAACCCAAAACAAUGAAAACCCAUAAUAAUGUGGUGUGGGUAAAUUGACGCCAUUUGGUUCGUUUCCUUGAUGUGAAUACGCGGGCAAUAGAGACUAACAAAAUGAAGUGACAACAAGAAGUCAGUGUCCUUUGAUGGAUGCAUUUUUAGGCAGAAAUAGGUUUGUAAUUGACCAAAUUUGUCUGGCAUGCCAAUUUCAAAAAAAAUUAAAUUAUGUGGUUAUUAGCUGUAAUGAAGGGGGAUUGUAGGUCCAAUCAGGUGGAUCCAUGAAAGUUCAACAAAGUUCUGGUAUGGCGUAGAAAUUGGUUUGUGCAACUCAAGAGUCUUUCUGGUGAACGAUGAUGGGUUUUGAUUUAUAAAUGUUAUAAAUCUACUGUGCAUAGUAUUCUAGUAGAAUCAUCUAUAAGUUCUAGUUAUUGAAAUUGUCUACCUUGUUCAGUUUGAGUUAAGGGCACAUGUAAUAUGAAAAAUAGUUGUUGCAUCUUUUAGGUUACCUAACAUUUGAUCAAUCCUAUUAUGAGGGCUUCAAGAUGUCUAACAAUAUGUGGAAUGCCCAUGCUCCUCCCCAUUGUUUAUCUUAUAUAAUAAUUUGUUUUAGAUGCUAAUAUCUUUGUCGAUACCGGUAACAAUAUUACAAUAUCUGCGUUUAUUGGGUUUUACAUAGGUUCGACUGUUUGACAGUACACACUCUCUGAAGGCAUUUGGAAAUGGAGAUGUAUGGAUUGCUGUUGGGUGGAGUAGUGAUGUUCUUCCUGCUGUCAACGUAUGUCUAAUGUUGCAGUUGUUGUUCCCAAGUCUGGUGCUAGCUUAUGGGCUGAUCUUUGGGUAUACCCAUGCCUGCCAUUCUACUUCAAUAUUCACAUUGUUAUCUCCUUCAUAUUAGUGAUCAGUAAACACGAUAAUGUGACUAAUAAGUUCGUAUUCUCUUUAUAGGCAAUCCCUGCUGCCUCAAGACUUGAAACAAAACAAAUUGGAGGGCGAGUCAGAGGUGCAUUUCCAUUAAUCCAUCAAUGGAUAGAAUUCUGCUUGCAAACAGCGAGAGCAUUGCCUUUCAAGCAAGAGGUUAUCCCGAGCGCAUCUCCCUCUGCCCUUGAGAGUACUCUGGUUAAGUUGCCUGAAAACUUUGAAGGGUAAACCAAGUCUGGAUACUAACUUAAUUGCUGGAGUACCCCUGACGGAAAUUCUGGCAGAUGUGAGUUUUUGGAGCCAUUAUCUGAAGCUACAUUGUCGGAUUAUGAGUGGCUGGUUGCUAAUCUGCAAAAAUCCACUCUGUACUGAUCAACAAAGAUGCAACAUUACAUGUCAUCAUUGAUCUUUAGCUAAAGGUACAUUGAAAAGUUAAUGGCACUGCAUACCAGUCAUUAUAAUUGGGUCAGGGCAAUUGGGUCAGGGCAAUUGGGUCAGGGCAAUUAGGUCAGAGCAUAACUUCAUUAGGAAAAGAGGCUUCAGCUACGUUAAAUAUUACAGGAUGUACUGAGAUGGCUGAAGUUGUUGACGUUGUACGAGAAACGAAGAUGAGUGUUUGUUUGAACAAAGUUGUUGCCAAUCUUGCAGAGUUCGAGAAGAAAGAUCACGAAGCAAAUGCCACGAUUUCUUCAUCACUGUAGCCUCCAUAGUUGAAGUUUCCUCAUUUGAAGCUGUUUAUGCAUAUGCUUUUUUUCCCUUCUCAAGUACAGGAAAUUGAAGAAUUAACCAGAUGUGAAUAUGCUGAAAGAGGGAAGUUUUCUCCCUUGAAUGUGGCCUUGUGAUUUGUCUUGAAGGAAUAGGAUGAUCACUGGCAAGAACCCUAUCAAGGUAGAUUUUAUGAUGUUAACAUAUUAUUAAGCAUUUUUGUUACAUCAGCAAUGAUGCUUUCAUAGCAUGAAAGUGUUUAAAUUUAACUGAAUGAUCUUGAUUGAUCAAUUAUGAGUUUUAAUCGAGUAAAAACUAAAUACAUAAUCGUUAACAAUAUUGAAAUUGGGUAAAUAUGAUCUUGAUAUUGAUGAAUUUGAAAUCACAACCCACACAGGAAAUCACCCUCGCGUGGGGAUGGAAAUGUUUACUGCAGCGAUAUUGAAUAUGUCCACUGCUGGACUAAUUCUGAUUACCUAAUUGACUCAGGAUCGGCUGGCAAUAAUAACAGUUUAUUAACAAUGCACAGUCCGAGUACUUUUCCAGGAUCAGAUACGACGUGGUCUAAUGUUGAUAAUAAUAGAUUAUCAAAUGACAAAUCGUUGUUCUACUAUUGCAAGCCCCCAGAUUUAAGAAUCUUUUUCAGAAAUUAAAUACAUUCUGAGAGAUGCUGGUCUACUAUUGCAAGCCCCCAGAUUUAAGAAUCUUUUGACGGUAAUUUAUCACCUGUAACUGUGCCGGAAGAUUCAACUAGCACUGAAAAAGAUGAUAAAUUAAUUGAUAUGGAGAGUUUUCAUAUCACUUUUAAAUCAUCUUAUGUAAUUGUGAUGUUAGGAAGCAUUAGUGAUCUAUAUGUGAAUUAUUAUUGGCGCCAUUGGUGGUUUUAUCUUGUUAAAAUAUGGAUGAAUUCCAGUUACUAUUUUGUUGCAGACAAUCUUCUUCAAUUAACAUAUGGUUUAAAAUCAUUAUGUAAAUCAAUCUAUUAAUUUUCAAGAUAUUUAACUGAGUUAAAACUAAGUGCACUCAAUAAAUCUCUUUUCCUUUAAAAAACUGUUACGCUUUAUUUUAGUGCUUAAUAUUUAUUGAACUCCGAUACAGGGAAUUUGAAAUCAAACUCGUAACUACAUAUUAUCUAAUUGCAAGUUUCUAUCCAUAGCUGCUGAUUUGUAGUGAUUAUCUAAUUGACUGAGGUGACGACAAUUUUUUUUUUUUUAAAUUUUCAAUAGCACAAUGUGGAAUUCAAUAAUUAAAUUCUCCUUUUUAAUUUGUUUCCAGUUAAAUUAUUAAUUACUUAAACUCUGUUUUAAGUCUUUAAGUUUAUGUGUUUAUGCAGAAUUGGAUUCUUGAGCGUGUUGGACACGACCAACAAUGAAAUUGACAGUAAAAAAACAAUACAACGUGUGGACUCCGGUAGAUGCCAUACAAGUCUACAACUUUACAAAUAAUAAUUGAGUAAGCAACUUUGAUUCUCGGGGCCCUUCAAUGAAUUUCUAGCCCCGUUGACUCCGCCAACUAAAGUUUGUAAAAUAAAAAAAUACAUAGAAUUCCACUAAAUGCAAAACGCGUGGAAUUUAAUUUUCGGCCAUGUGGACCAAAACAUAAUUUAAUGAAAAAGGAAAAAAAAUGAUAAGAUUUCUAAAAUAUGUGAAAGAUGAUCCAUAUUUUACUGAAACGACUUAUUAAAUUUUUCAAAGAUUUAGAAUAUUUAGUCAUAAAUUACGUGCAUGUUAAUUUUUCCGCCAUUGACUAUCAUAUUCUAAACUUAAUAGUACAUUUCUUGUUGAAGGGUACUUAGUCUCUCUUCUCCUCUUAUAAAAAUUAUUGAUGGAUUUCUUGUUAUAGUUAAUAGUCUUUAAGAACGGAUAACUUUAUUGUUUUCGUGACCAAAUUAUGUCCGCCUAAGGUUGUGACUAUUAAUAAAAUUAAUAUUUUAAUGUUUAUGUUAAAAGAUAUAAGAUUUUAUGCGUUCAUUAAUUGUUAUUAGCUAAAGGAUGAAUUAUUUUUUCAACCCAAUCAGUUGAUGCAUCUGCAAGAGUUUUUUUCUUUAUUGACCAUAAUUAUGUUCCGGGUACAAUAAAUUGUCUUUGGUGCUUGGAAAAUAUGACUUCUUACUUCAAGUUUGAUAUGUCUCUCUCCAUAAACUUACUGGAAAUAUAUCCUCAUCUACUGUCAUUUAUCUAAUAUCAAUUGAAGAUCUCACUUUUUCAACUAUCACUUCCAAGUCUCAUUGUCACUUGGCCAUUCUUGGACCAUUCAAAACCAAUCAAGUGUUGAAAUAAUCAAAUAUAUGCAAAAUUAGAGUCACGAUUUUUUGGUCCCCCAAAUUCUAAUUAUAUAACUUCUAUAUAUUUCAUUGCCAGGUCACGAACUUGUUGGCACAUUUUCCAAAUUCCUCUUCCAUCAGCUCUCACACGUUAACUUAAGUGGAAAGUUUCCAAGUUGAUUGCUAGAAAGCAACGCAAAAUCAGACACACUUGAUCUGUCCCCUAAUUCUCUUUUCUACGUUGAAAAAGAAAAAAAAAAAAAUACAUAUAUAUAUAUAUAUAUAUAUCUAUGUAAAAAUAAAUAAUAAACUGAGUAAAAGUACAUUUGUUUAAUUAACAUCUGAUCGGGGCAUUUUUGGUGUAAGCCACAACUAAAAUCAAACAGCCCCUUAGCAUACUUCUUCCAUUUUAUCUGCUACUUUUGUGGAUCUUAUAGGGUGGGCAUGUGGACAGAAUUUAAAAGUUUUAAUAGGCUCAAAGAAGAAGAUGUGUUAAAUCUAAAGUUGUUGCACCUUCUGAUUAAAUAAAGUUGUACAAUUUCAUCAACUUGAAAGAAUUGACAUUAAUGAACUGGUCGCCUCUCCAUGUAUGAAGCCUUCUUAAAAGUUAAUUUUUAUUUCAGAAAAAAAAAGUUUAAGUUACAUAUAUUACAGUAAGAUUUUUUUGAGACCAAUUCCCUUCUUGAAAUAUAAUAGAAAAGUAUUAAUUUAAAAAUAAAAUGAAUAUGUAUUGAUUAUAUCCUGAUUUUCAUCGAUUAUAGUUAGAGAGUUUCACCAAAUCAAUUCCUUAUUCAAAUAAUACAGAAAAAAUAGUAAUUUAAUAGUAAAAUAAACAGGUGUUGAUUAUAUAUCCUAAGUUUCAUCGAUUAUGUGAUCAAAGUGGCAUUGUUGAUUUAUUUUUGUUCAAUGUUAAUUUUUAGGUUAUAUAAAUUUCAAGGAUUUAAAAUCUUUGGCCAUGAAUUACACGCUUGUUAAUUUUCCUGCCAUUGACUGUCAUAUUCUAGACUUAAUGAUACCUUUCUUGAUCAAGGGUAAUUACUCUCUCUUCUCCUCUUAUAAAUUCCUCUUCCAUUAACAUCACUAGGAGUAUGUUGAUCUCUCAGACGUUAACUUGAGUGGAGAGUUUCCAAAUUGAUUGUUACAAAACAACACAAAAACUAGACACACUUGAUCUGUCUAAUAAUUCUCUUUCGGUAAAAUUAAAUAAUUUUAGGGGAAUAUUCGGCCAACCUCUAUAAUUUCAGAGUGAUCAUUAAUUAAUUAAUCGAUACAAAUAUCUAAAGUGAUUAAAUGUGACUUGAAAUUUGAUCUCUAUCGAUUGGUUUACAAAUGGACGUACUUGUGCCUUUGUGGCGAUAAUCGAACAAGUACCCAUGAUUAUUAUUUUUUCCAAAAACUUUUUUACAACAAAUUCAUCUCGUCAAAAAUUCUAUGUUGCUAACUAACAAUAAUUGAGCACUUGGCCGCAUUGACUCCACGUCUCACCUCUUUCUAAAUUCUAAGUAAAAACAUGGAAAUGUAAUUUCCACAAAAUGCCAAAUGUGUGGAAUUUAAUUUUUUGCCUUGUGGAUCAAAAUACAAAUGAAAGAAACAGAAGAAAAAAAAGGCCCAAAGACUUCUAAAAGAUGAAGAAGUCUUUGUGCCUUUUUAUAAUGGUGAAUUUUUUAAAAGAAAAAAAAUAACAACAUUUUUAUGGUUUGUUUUGAUAAUCAUAUUUACAUAUACUCUCUAAUUUUCAAAAUGGACACAUAAAUCUUUUUUUUUUACAAAAUAUAUAUUAUUCAUAUUUUUUUUUUAUUUUUUUUUAUCAUAUUUUAUUUAUUAUAAAUGUUUAGAGCAAAUUUUUAGGUUGAAAUAUAAUAAAAAGGUAUAAUUGUUCUCUUAUUAAACACACAUACUUUUAUUAGUUUCUAUCCAUUUGUCAUCUCAAUCUCUCUCAAUUAUUCUUUAUUGCUAGCUCAAAACGCGUUGCUGUUGCAAAUUAUAGCAAAAUGACAAAUAUGGAAAAAAAGGGAAGAAAAUUAAUGCAUGAAAGACUUGGAGAAAACAACAAAAUAAGCCAACUAUGAGCUAGUUGGGUGUAUAAAUUGUUAGAUGUGUAUAUACAAAUAGCGUAGAGCCCUCUAGUUGGUUCCAGAGACAGAAAGAGCGUGUGUGUUUUUUCACAGUUAGAGAUAUAGUUAGAAUGGGUGGUUCAAAAUCAAAAAUGAUGAUAAUGUUUAUUAUGUUAUUAAUAAUAUUUAAAAGUGGGUGGAGUGAGGGAUGUUUGGAUCACGAGAGAUUUGCUUUUUUGAGACUCAAACAUUUCUUCAAUGAUCCUCUUAAUUCUCUUUACGACUGGGUAGAUGGUGAGGGAGCUACUGAUUGUUGUCAGUGGGAAAGGGUUGAGUGCAGCAACACCACAGGCCGAGUGAUAGCACUGGACCUUUCUUAUAUAUAUUCGGGAGAGUACAGCUGGUAUCUGAAUGCUUCUUUAUUUACUCCUUCCAACAACUUGAGUCACUUGAUUUAACUCAAAACAAAAUAGCCGGAUGUGUUGAGAAUGAAGGUACUUUGUUUAAUUUAAUUAAUUUACUUUCUCCCCCCUAAUUUAAGUUGAAUAUCAAGACCGAGCAAUUAUACGCAUAUUCAUUUAGUCGACAAUUUUGACUUUUUUUUAAAUGAUUAAUUUUGAAAUUACACCAGUAUCUAUGAUCUUUUUUAUUUUAUUUUAUUUGCAGGUAUAGAGAGGCUAUCAAGAUUGAACAACUUGAAGAUGCUUAAUUUAAGUGGAAACUCAUUCAAUAAUAGCAUUUUAUCAUCUCUAACUCAUCUUUCAUCAUUAAGAUCAUUAAAUUUAUUGUGGAAUAGAUUGGAAGGAAGUAUUGACGUUAAAGGUACAUAAUUAAAACUUCAAGCUCUUUCAUUAACUUGCUAAAAUAAGAUUCAAGGCUUUGAAUUCAAUUUUUUUAUGAUUAAUAUUAAAAAAACAGUUUUAAGCAAUUUAUAAAUACAAGUUUUAAUGUUUCUUGUAAUUUCAUCUUGUACUUUCAUAUGUCUUGAAUUUAAGAUUAAAAAAAAAACUCUAAUAGCGAACCAAACACCUCCACAACUUAUUAUUAUUUGUGGUGAGGUUUGAAACAUUCAACUCAAUUUGUACUUAUUACAGAAUUUGAUUCUUUGAGAGAUUUAGAGGAGCUAGACAUUGGCGGAACAAGAUUGACAAAUUUGUGGUCUCAAAAGGUACUACAAAUACCAUAAAAAAAUAUGCUAACUUUUACAAAUUAGUUAGAUUCUUUGCCAUUUGGUUUAUUAUUUUACAGGUUUGAGUAAGUUGAAGUCUCUUGGUUUAAGUGGUAUCAAACUCAAUCGUAGCAUCUUAUCUUCUCUGACUGUCUUUCUUCGUUAAGAGAAUUAUAUAAGUGAUACGGGAUUCAAAGGAACAUUCGAUGUUCGAGGUAAGCCUAAACCUUGCUUUCUCAUUUUAUAUAUGCCAACUAGAUUUGUGUAUCAUCGACAUAAUUUAAUAUUUAAUUUGAUAAGUCUGAAUGAAUUACAUGCUAAUUUAACACUUUUAUUUACUUUGUCAAUUAAUUAAUUAAUUAAUUAUACUAUUUGGCUUGGUUUGGACGAAAUUCUCAUGAUGUUUUAAUUUCUUUAAAUUAAUUAAUUAAUUAACUCUGUUUUUAAGUCUUAAGUCUGGGCGUGUUUGCAGAUUUGAUUCCUUCAACGACUUAGAAGUGUUGGAUAUGAGAUACAAUGAAAUCGACAAUCUUGUGGUUCCUCAAGGUAAACAAUUAAAAGGUACAGAUGUGGCCAAAUUUAUAAAUAAAUUGUUAAUUAAUUAAUUUUUUCGUAUUAUUAAUAAAGCUAAAUUCGUUUGCUCCUUCCUUCUAAUUCUAAACAGAGUUGCACAAUUUCACCAACUUGGAAUAUUUGACAUUGGAAUCUUUCCUCUCUCAUAUAAGCCUUCUGCAAAGCAUUGCAUCAAUAUUCCCUUCGUUAAAAAAUCUGUCGAUGUCUUUUUGUGAAGUCAAUGGUGUCGUACGCGGUCAAGGUAAAAGAAAAGCGUUGAUUGUGAACUCACUCAAUGGUGUCCUACGUGUUCAACAUUUUUAUUUAUUUUAUUGUUUAAUGUUUCUGCUAGGUUUUCCUCAUUUCAAGAGUUUGGAACAUUUUGACAUGAGGUUCGCGCGCAUUGCGCUCAACACCAGCUUUCUUCAAAUCAUCGGUGAAUCGAUGCCCUCUCUUAAGUACUUAUUACUGUCAUAUUCUAAUCUCUUGGCACUAACAGCAGCAGGAUUCUUCAUCAAGGUUAAUGAGAUGCUGCCACCCUCCCCUCUUAACCUAUAAUAUUAAUUUUCGAUUAAAUAUUUAAUUACACAAACCAAAUCACUUAUUAUAAAAGAACAAUACGCAUUCAUUAAUUUUUAUAUUGUAUUAAUAAUUGAUGAAUUUAAUAAAUUUUCAGGCCUCUGUUCGUUGGUGCACCUGCAAGAGUUGUACAUUGAUAAUAAUGAUUAAAGAGGUAGCUUGCCUUGGUGCUUGGCAAAUAUGACAUCCUCCGAAUAUUAGAUGUUUCUUCCAAUCAACUUACGGGAAGCAUCUCCUCAUCUCCCCUCGUUCAUUUGACAUCCAUUGAAAAGUUGAUCUUUCAAACAAUCACUUUUGGAUCCCAAUUUCACUUGAACCACUUUUCAAUCACUCACGACUCAAGCUUUCUAUGCUGACAACAAAAAUAAAAGCUGAAAUAACUGAGUCACAUUCUUUGACUGCCCCAAACUUCCAAUUAAAAUAUCUCUCAUUGUCUUCCGGUUACGAAGAUGGUGUCACAUUCCCCAAAUUCCUUUACCAUCAACAUGACCUGGAGUAUGUUGACCUCUCACAUAUAAACAUGAGCGGAGAAUUUUCCAAAUUGGUUGUUGGAAAACAACACAAACUUAGAAUAUAUUUUUUGGUUAAUGAUUCUCUUGCAGGACCUUUCCGGUUGCCAAUUCAUUCACACAAGCGGUUAAGACUGUUGGAUAUAUCCAACAACAACAUCAGAGGCCACAUUCCAGUAGAAAUUGGAGAUGUUUUACCGGGUUUAUUUUCUUUAAACAUUUUCAUGAAUGCUUUAGACGGUUGCAUUCCCUCUUCAUUUGGUAAUAUGAAAUUCCUCCAAUUUCUGGACUUAUCCAACAACCAAUUGACUGGUGAAAUCCUAAGCACUUGGCCGUGGGUUGCGUCAACUUAGAGUCUCUUGCGUUGUCAAACAACAACUUAGAAGGUCAUAUGUUCUCCAGAAACUUCAACCUGACAAACUUGAAAUGGUUACAAUUGGAAAGCAAUCACUUCGUAGGAGAGAUCCCACAAAGUUUGUCUAAAUGCUCCUCACUAAAAGGAUUGUAUCUUAACAAUAAUAGUCUUUCGGGUAAGAUUCCACGAUGGUUGGGUAAUCUCACAUGGUUACAAUAUAUUACAAUGCCCAAUAAUCAUCUUGAAGGUCCUAUUCCAGUGGAGUUUUGUCAGCUUGAAUGGCUUCAGAUUUUGGACAUUUCAGACAACAACAUAUCUGGAAGUUUACCAUCUUGUUUCCAUCUUCUCUCUAUCAAACAAGUUCAUCUUUCAAAAAAUAUGUUACAUGGACAGCUAAAAGAGGUACAUUUCUUUAAUUGCUCUUCCCUUGUGACAUUAGAUCUUAGUUAUAACCGCUUGAAUGGCAGCAUUCCGGAUUGGGUUGAUGGACUUUCUCGUUAAGCCACCUUAUCUUGGCUCACAAUAAUCUUAAAGGUGAAGUGCCAGUUCAAUUGUGCAAAUUGAACCAACUACAAUUGUUAGAUCUUUCUAAUAAUAAUCUUCAUGGUCCUAUUCCUCUUUGCUUUGAUAACACCACACUUCAUGAAAGUUACAGCAAUAGUUCUAGUCCUGAUGAGCAAUUUGAAAUAUAUAUUUUUAUGUCCGCCUAAGGUUGUGACUAUUAAUAAAUUAAUAUUUAAUGUUUAUGUAAAAAUAUAUAAGAUUUUAUGCGUUCAUUAAUUGUUAUUAGCUAAAGGAUGAAUUAUUUUUCAACCCAAUCAGUUGAUGCAUCUGCAAGAGUUUUUUCUUUUAUUGACCAUAAUUAUGUUCCGGGUACAAUAAAUUGUCUUUGGUGCUUGGAAAAUAUGACUUCUUACUUCAAGUUUGAUAUGUCUCUCUCCAUAAACUUACUGGAAAUAUAUCCUCAUCUACUGUCAUUUAUCUAAUAUCAAUUGAAGAUCUCACUUUUUCAAACUAUCACUUCCAAGUCUCAUUGUCACUUGGCCAUUCUUGGACCAUUCAAAACCAAUCAAGUGUUGAAAUAAUCAAAUAUAUGCAAAAUUAGAGUCACGAUUUUGGUCCCCCAAAUUCUAAUUAUAUAACUUCUAUAUAUUUCAUUGCCAGGUCACGAACUUGUUGGCACAUUUUCCAAAUUCCUCUUCCAUCAGCUCUCACACGUUAACUUAAGUGAAAGUUUCCAAGUUGAUUGCUAGAAAGCAACGCAAAAUCAGACACACUUGAUCUGUCCCCUAAUUCUCUUUUCUACGUUGAAAAAAGAAAAAAAAAAAUAAAAUACAUACAUACAUAUAUAUAUAUAUAUAUAUAUAUAUAUAUAUAUAUAUAUAUAUAUAUAUCUAUGUAAAAAUAAAUAAUAAACUGAGUAAAAAGUACAUUUGUUUAAUUAACAUCUGAUCGGGGCAUUUUUGGUGUAAGCCACAACUAAAAUCAAACAGCCCCUUAGCAUACUUCUUCCAUUUUAUCGGCUACUUUUGUGGAUCUUAUAGGGUGGGCAUGUGGACAGAAUUUAAAAGUUUUAAUAGGCUCAAAGAAGAAGAUGUGUUAAAUCUAAAGUUGUUGCACCUUCUGAUUAAAUAAAGUUGUACAAUUUCAUCAACUUGAAAGAAUUGACAUUAAUGAACUGGUCGCCUCUCCAUGUAUGAAGCCUUCUUAAAGUUAAUUUUUAUUUCAGAAAAAAAAGUUUAAGUUACAUAUAUUACAGUAAGAUUUUUUGAGACCAAUUCCCUUCUUGAAAUAAUAAUAGAAAAGUAUUAAUUUAAAAAAUAAAAUGAAUAUGUAUUGAUUAUAUCCUGAUUUUCAUCGAUUAUAGUUAGAGUUUCACCAAAUCAAUUCCCUUAUUCAAAUAAUACAGAAAAAAUAGUAAUUUAAUAGUAAAAUAAACAGGUGUUGAUUAUAUAUCCUAAGUUUCAUCGAUUAUGUGAUCAAAGUGGCAUUGUUGAUUUAUUUUUUGUUCAAUGUUAAUUUUUAGGUUAUAUAAAUUUCAAGGAUUUAAAAUCUUUGGGCCAUGAAUUACACGCUUGUUAAUUUUCCUGCCAUUGACUGUCAUAUUCUAGACUUAAUGAUACCUUUCUUGAUCAAGGGUAAUUACUCUCUCUUCUCCUCUUAUAAAUUCCUCUUCCAUUAACAUCACUAGGAGUAUGUUGAUCUCUCAGACGUUAACUUGAGUGGAGAGUUUCCAAAUUGAUUGUUACAAAACAACACAAAAACUAGACACACUUGAUCUGUCUAAUAAUUCUCUUUCGGUAAAAUUAAAUAAUUUUAGGGGAAUAUUCGGCCAACCUCUAUAAUUUCAUAGUGAUCAUUAAUUAAUUAAUCGAUACAAAUAUCUAAAGUGAUUAAAUGUGACUUGAAAUUUGAUCUCUAUCGAUUGGUUUACAAAUGGACGUACUUGUGCCUUUGUGGCGAUAAUCGAACAAGUACCCAUGAUUAUUAUUUUUUUCCAAAAACUUUUUUACAAACAAAUUCAUCUCGUCAAAAAUUCUAUGUUGCUAACUAAACAAUAAUUGAGCACUUGGCCGCAUUGACUCCACGUCUCCACCUCUUUCUAAAUUUCUAAGUAAAAACAUGGAAAUGUAAUUUCCACAAAAUGCCAAAUGUGUGGAAUUUAAUUUUUUGCCUUGUGGAUCAAAAUACAAAUGAAAGAAACAGAAGAAAAAAAAAGGCCCAAAGACUUCUAAAAGAUGAAGAAGUCUUUUGUGCCUUUUUAUAAUGGUGAAUUUUUUUAAAGAAAAAAAAAUAACAACAUUUUUAUGGUUUGUUUUGAUAAUGCAUAUUUACAUAUACUCUCUAAUUUCAAAAUGGACACAUAAAUCUUUUUUUUUUACAAAAUAUAUAUUAUUCAUAUUUUUUUUAUUUUUUUAUUAUCAUAUUUUUAUUUAUUAUAAAUGUUUAGAGCAAAUUUUUAGGUUUGAAAUAUAAUAAAAAGGUAUAAUUGUUUCUCUUAUUAAACACACAUUACUUUUUAUUAGUUUCUAUCCAUUUGUCAUCUCAAUCUCUCUCAAUUAUUCUUUAUUGCUAGCUCAAAACGCGUUUGCUGUUGCAAAUUAUAGCAAAAUGACAAAUAUGGAAAAAAAGGGAAGAAAAUUAAUGCAUGAAAGACUUGGAGAAAACAACAAAAUAAGCCAACUAUGAGCUAGUUGGGUGUAUAAAUUGUUAGAUGUGUUAUAUACAAAUAGCGUAGAGCCCUCUAGUUGGUUCCAGAGACAGAAAGAGCGUGUGUGUUUUUUCACAGUUAGAGAUAUAGUUAGAAUGGGUGGUUCAAAAUCAAAAAUGAUGAUAAUGUUUAUUAUGUUAUUAAUAAUAUUUAAAAGUGGGUGGAGUGAGGGAUGUUUGGAUCACGAGAGAUUUGCUUUUUUUGAGACUCAAACAUUUCUUCAAUGAUCCUCUUAAUUCUCUUUACGACUGGGUAGAUGGUGAGGGAGCUACUGAUUGUUGUCAGUGGGAAAGGGUUGAGUGCAGGCAACACCCACAGGCCGAGUGAUAGCACUGGGACCUUUUCUUAUAUAUAUUCGGGAGAGUACAGCUGGUAUCUGAAUGCUUCUUUAUUUACUCCCUUCCAACAACUUGAGUCACUUGAUUUAACUCAAAACAAAAAUAGCCGGAUGUGUUGAGAAUGAAGGUACUUUGUUUAAUUUAAUUAAUUUACUUUCUCCCCCCCUAAUUUAAGUUGAAUAUCAAGACCGAGCAAUUAUAUGCAUAUUCAUUUAGUCGACAAUUUUGACUUUUUUUUAAAUGAUUAAUUUUGAAAUUACACCAGUAUCUAUGAUCUUUUUUAUUUUAUUUUAUUUGCAGGUAUAGAGAGGCUAUCAAGAUUGAACAACUUGAAGAUGCUUAAUUUAAGUCGAAACUCAUUCAAUAAUAACAUUUUAUCAUCUCUAACUCAUCUUUCAUCAUUAAGAUCAUUAAAUUUAUUGUGGAAUAGAUUGGAAGGAAGUAUUGACGUUAAAGGUACAUAAUUAAAACUUCAAGCUCUUUCAUUAACUUGCUAAAAUAAGAUUCAAGGCUUUGAAUUCAAUUUUUUUUAUGAUUAAUAUUAAAAAAACAGUUUUAAGCAAUUUAUAAAUACAAGUUUUAAUGUUUCUUGUAAUUUCAUCUUGUACUUUCAUAUGUCUUGAAUUUAAGAUUAAAAAAAAAACUCUAAUAGCGAACCAAACACCUCCACAACUUAUUAUUAUUAUUUUAAUUUGUGGUGAGGUUUGAAACAUUCAACUCAAUUUGUACUUAUUACAGAAUUUGAUUCUUUGAGAGAUUUAGAGGAGCUAGACAUUGGCGGGAACAAGAUUGACAAAUUUGUGGUCUCAAAAGGUACUACAAAUACCAUAAAAAAUAUGCUAACUUUUACAAAUUAGUUAGAUUCUUUGCCAUUUGGUUUAUUAUUUUACAGGUUUGAGUAAGUUGAAGUCUCUUGGUUUAAGUGGUAUCAAACUCAAUCGUAGCAUCUUAUCUUCUCUUUCUUCGUUAAGAGAAUUAGAUAUAAGUCGUACGGGAUUCAAAGGAACAUUUGAUGUUCGAGGUAAGCCUAAACCUUGCUUUUCUCAUUUUAUAUAUGCCAACUAGAUUUGUGUAUCAUCGACAUAAUUUAAUAUUUUAAUUUGAUAAGUCUGAAUGAAUUACAUGCUAAUUUAAACACACUUUUAUUUACUUUGUCAAUUAAUUAAUUAAUUAAUUACUAUUUGGCUUGGUUUGGACGAAAUUCUCAUGAUGUUUUAAUUUCUUUAAAUUAAUUAAUUAAUUAACUCUGUUUUUAAGUCUUAAGUCUGGGCAUGUUUGCAGAAUUUGAUUCCUUCAAUAACUUAGAAAGUGUUGGACAUGAGUUGGAACGAAAUCGACAAUCUUGUGGUUCCUCACGGUAAACAAUUAAAAUGUUAUUCAAUUACAUUAUUUUUAAUUCAUUUGAUUAGGGAAGGCCAAAAAGGUAAAAAAAAUAAUAAUAAAGAAACAGAGAAUUUGUAUUAUUUAAAAAACAGAAUGUAAUAAAGAUUUGAUUCUGGUUCUUUAAUCUUUAAAGUGAUUGAAAAACAAUGUUGCUCUUUUCCCAAAGCAUCAAAUACGAAUUGAAUGCCAAUUAACUUAAUCAUUCAUUUCGUUUAGCUCUAAAUUUAGACAAUGAAUUUUUAUAUUAUUUCAAAAACAUGACGUAAUAGAAUUUUUUUAAAAAACAGAUUCUAAUAAAGAUUUGAUUCCAAUUCUUUAAUCUUUACAGUGAUUGAAAAAACGAUACUACUCUUUUCCCAAAGCAUAAAUACGAAUUGACUCCCAAUCAAAUUAAUCAUUUAUUUCGUUCAUCUCUGAAUUUAAAUAAUGAAUUUUGAUCUUCAAUCGUAUUAUAAUUACUAUUAAAGAACAGGUUACAGAGGUUUGAGGAAGUUGAAUCAUCUUGAUCUAUCGGAGUUGGAAUUAGAGAUGGAAGCAAGUUGUUACAGUCAAUGGGAUCAUUCCCAUCCCUCAACACUCUUUACCUUUCGUGGAAUAAUUUUAUCGAUACAGCGACCGCUACUCAAGGUAAGUAAAAGGUACAAAUGUGGCCAAAUUUAUAAAUAAAUUGUUAAUUAAUUAAUUUUUCCGUAUUAUUAAUUAAGCUAAAUUUGUUGCUCCUUCCUUCUAAAUCUAAACAGAGUUGCACAAUUUCACCAACUUGGAAUAUUUGACAUUGGACUUUUCCUCUCUCCAUAUAAGCCUUCUCCAAAGCAUUGCAUCAUUAUUCCCUUCGUUAAAAAAUCUGUCGAUAUCUCAUUGUGAAGUCAAUGGUGUCCUACGCGGUCAAGGUAAAAGAAAAUCGUUGAUUGUGAACUCACUCAAUGGUGUCCUACGUGUUCAACAUUUUUAUUUAUUUAUUGUUUAAUGUUUCUGCUAGGUUUUCCUCAUUUCAAGAGUUUGGAACAUUUGGAUAUGGAUUACACGCGCAUUGCACUCAACACCGGCUUUCUUCAAAUCAUCGGUGAAUCGAUGCCUUCUCUUAAGUACUUAUCACUGUCAAGGUUAAUCUAUAAAUCGAUGCCUUCUCUUGAUCAAGGUUAAUCAGAUGCUCCCACUCUCCCCUCUUAAUCUAUAAUAUUAAUUUUCAAUUCAAUAUUUAAUUACACAAACGAAUCACUUAUUAUAAAAGAAUAAUACGCAUUCAUUAAUUUUUAUAUUGUAUUAAUAAUUGAUGAAUUUAAUAACUUUUCAGGUCUCUGUUCGUUGGUGCAUCUGCAAGUGUUGAACAUUGCAGGCAAUGAUUUAAGAGGUAGCUUGCCUUGGUGCUUGGCAAAUAUGACAUCCCUCCGAAUAUUAGAUGUUUCUUCCAAUCAACUUACUGGAAGCAUCUCCUCAUCUCCCCUCGUUCAUUUGACAUCCAUUGAAGAGCUGAUGCUUUCAGACAAUCACUUCCAGAUCCCAAUUUCACUUGAACCAUUUUUCAAUCACUCACGACUCAAGAUUUUCCAUGCUUACAACAACGAAAUAAAUGCAGAAAUAACUGAGUCACAUUCUUUGACUGCCCCAAACUUCCAAUUAAAAUAUCUCUCAUUGUCUUCCGGUUACGGAGAUGGUGUCACAUUCCCCAAAUUCCUUUACCAUCAACAUGAUCUGGAGACUGUUGACCUCUCACAUAUAAACAUGAGCGGAGAAUUUCCAAAUUGGUUGUUGGAAAACAACACAAACUUAGAAUAUAUUUUUUUGGUUAAUGAUUCUCUUGCAGGACCUUUCCGGUUGCCAAUUCAUUCACACAAGCGGUUAAGACUGUUGGAUAUAUCCAACAACAACAUCAGAGGCCACAUUCCAGUAGAAAUUGGAGAUGUUUUACCGGGUUUAUUUUCUUUAAACAUUUUCAUGAAUGCUUUAGACGGUUGCAUUCCCUCUUCAUUUGGUAAUAUGAAAUUCCUCCAAUUUCUGGACUUAUCCAACAACCAAUUGACUGGUGAAAUCCCUAAGCACUUGGCCGUGGGUUGCGUCAACUUAGAGUCUCUUGCGUUGUCAAACAACAACUUAGAAGGUCAUAUGUUCUCCAGAAACUUCAACCUGACAAACUUGAAAUGGUUACAAUUGGAAAGCAAUCACUUCGUAGGAGAGAUCCCACAAAGUUUGUCUAAAUGCUCCUCACUAAAAGGAUUGUAUCUUAACAAUAAUAGUCUUUCGGGUAAGAUUCCACGAUGGUUGGGUAAUCUCACAUGGUUACAAUAUAUUACAAUGCCCAAUAAUCAUCUUGAAGGUCCUAUUCCAGUGGAGUUUUGUCAGCUUGAAUGGCUUCAGAUUUUGGACAUUUCAGACAACAACAUAUCUGGAAGUUUACCAUCUUGUUUCCAUCUUCUCUCUAUCAAACAAGUUCAUCUUUCAAAAAAUAUGUUACAUGGACAGCUAAAAAGAGGUACAUUCUUUAAUUGCUCUUCCCUUGUGACAUUAGAUCUUAGUUAUAACCGCUUGAAUGGCAGCAUUCCGGAUUGGGUUGAUGGGCUUUCUCGGUUAAGCCACCUUAUCUUGGCUCACAAUAAUCUUAAAGGUGAAGUGCCAGUUCAAUUGUGCAAAUUGAACCAACUACAAUUGUUAGAUCUUUCUAAUAAUAAUCUUCACGGUCCUAUUCCUCUUUGCUUUGAUAACACCACACUUCAUGAAAGUUACAGCAAUAGUUCUAGUCCUGAUGAGCAAUUUGAAAUAUAUGUUUUCAUCGAAGGCCCUCAGGGAGGUGUAGAAAAGAAAAUCCAUGAAAUUUUUGAGUUCACAACAAAGAACAUUGCGUACAUUUACCAAGGAAAAGUGCUUAGCCUCCUAUCAGGACUUGAUCUUUCUUGCAACAAGCUAAUCGGUAUUAUUCCUCCUCAAAUUGGAAAUUUGACAAGGAUUCAAACAUUGAAUCUAUCGCACAACAACUUGACAGGAUCGAUCCCAUCAACAUUUUCAAACUUGAAGCAUGUCGAAAGUUUGGAUCUUUCCAACAACAAAUUGAAUGGGAAAAUCCCUCAUCAACUAGUGGAGUUAAAGACAUUGGAGGUUUUCAGUGUGGCAUACAAUAACUUAUCAGGCGAAAUUCCAGAAUGGAAAGCACAAUUUGCAACCUUCAACGGGAGUAGCUAUGAAGGAAAUACUUUUCUUUGUGGACUGCUAUUGCCCAUUUGCAGAUCACCAGCAACUACGUCGGAGGGUUCAAUUGGCAAUGAACGAGAUGAUAAUUUAAUUGACAUGGACAAUUUCUUUAUCACAUUUACAACAUCGUACGAAAUUGUGAUAUUCGGAAUUGUUAUUGUUUUAUAUGUAAAUUCUUAUUGGCGACGUAGAUGGUUUUACUUUGUUGAAAUGUGGAUAACUUCAUGUUAUUAUUUUAUUGUAGACAAUCUUAUUACAACAAGAUAUUGUCAUUGAAAUUAAUUAGGAGUUUAAUUACGAUUCUUUAAGUUCUAAUCAAGUUUGCUUAGGAAAUAAAUUUAUUUUUAUUUUUUAUUAAAACUGUAGUAGUAUUUAGCUCUAUAUAGCUUCCAACUUCCAAGCACUUCACAUUUGUCUCUACACUUCCAAACCCAUAUCUAUCCACCAUAACUUAUACUUCCCUAUACUGUGCAGCAUACUUAAAUAAGAGAACCAUCUCCAAUGUUAAAACCAGCCACUCUAUAACAUUCAUUUAGAAUAGUUUUAUUAUCAUACACAAGAAAUGAAACACCUAGAUGCACUUGAUCGCCUAUUUUACUUUAAAAAAUAAUGAUUAUGGUGCUAUCAUCAUCUUCUUCACUAGCAACAUUAACACCAAAUCCAGCGAUGGACCCAGACAUUUUAUCAAGAAAGGUAUAUAUAUAAUAAAGUUGAAGCUUGACAAAAAAUUCAGGAAGAUUAAUGCCUCGCCACAACAAGGGGCACAACAACAUCAAAGUAGAGAUGAAGCAAUAUUUUCAAAUCUAAAACUCUCAAAUCCACCCACCAAAAUUUCAUAUCUCCUCAACAAUUUUAAGAACUAAAGAUAAUUAGGAUCUAACAUUAGUUUUUUAUAUAUUAGUUUCAUAAUUUACAAAUCAAUGAAGAUGAAGAUUAUGCUAAUGAAUUCAAAUUAUACCAUAGAUUCUCGAGAUGUUACCAAAAAUUUCUAAGCCAAUCCCACAUAUUUCAUAAUUUUAAGACUAGAAAAUUUCAUUAGUUAGAAGUUUCAUUACCUUCAAGUGGAAGAUGAAGAACAUUAUACAAUUGAUUCAGAUUAUAUCAUACAUACUCCAAAUGCAACUAGAAAUUAACAAGUUCAUGCGCACAGAUUUCAUAACAUUAUGAUUGGAAAGUUUCACAAAGAGAAAUUCUAAAUUCAAUCUCUUGCAUCAAGGUAGUUUGAUUGAUUUGAGUUACUUUCUCAUCAAGCUACUAAUAUAACAUUCAAGUCAGGGAGAAAGUAAAUUAAAACUGGGAAGAAACAACAGUAAAAAUUUGUUGCUAAACAUGAUGUGUAUUUUUUUUUAAGGCAAUUUGGAAACACAGUUGUUACUACAGAUAUUCUCCUCAACUUAGAGAUAAAUACAAAUAUUAAAAUGCAUAUGAUCGCACAUAUUACUUGGAGCUUAGUAAGAUUUCAUUAAGAGAAGCAAUCAAACCACUUAUCAAUUGUUGCAAUCGUUCUAUAAGCUAAAAUAGCAAUAUAAUACAAGAAAAAGAACAUAUAGAUACUUGGCAAGAGUUCAUUAAGAAGUCGCAUCACAUUCGGGUGAGUUUGCUUCUGAUAUCUUGCUAGCUGGGGCUUUUUCUUGUCUUUCUACGUAUGCCGAGGGAAACCAACCAGCUUGGCCCUUGCAUUCACCUUCCGACCAUCCAGUAGGAGCCACCUUGAGAAGUUAUAACUAAAAGUCUAAAACAAUGAAUUAAACAAAAGUUGACCGUUCAAAGACCUAAGGGGAAAACUAAUUCUUUUACGUAGGAGGAGUGAAUUAGUUGUGAUCACUGAAAUAACAGCAUAACUAUGGAAGCAUAACAAGAUAUAAAUUCACACGUCUAUAAGGGUAAACUGGGUGGUUUAGAACUGAGCUAGCAACCCUACUAUAUUCUGAUUUGCACAUCAAUGUAAAAGGGAAUAUAUGGUAGGAAGAAAGAAAACCAACCAUCAGUUGUUAACUCAUUGCUUUUCAAUCAAAAUUUUAAGAACAAAAUGCCAUGUGCUUUGAACAUCAAAUAAGUAUAAGCAUUAGUUCUAAAUUCCACAUAUCAUAAGUUAGAAGGACAAGUCAAUAGCAUAGUAGAAAAAUCUAUGUGUUGUUAUUUAGAGGGGAAAGUACCUGGCGAACCACAACAUAAUCAUCAAUUGAAAGACUUAGCUCUCCAUUUGCUUGAGCAUCAAAUGGAUGUAUAACCUGCAAGAUAAUGGGAUAAAUAGAACUUAAUCUUAAAAAAAGCAUAACAAAAGCAGCAACAGUAGCAGCAGCGUUCAUUGUAACCACUAUGAUCAUGGCCAAUAAAGAUAUAUUACAAACAAAAUUCCAUUUUUACUACGACAUUAAUAUGUACUAUAUGAUAUCAUGACGAUUGGGUUACCAAGAGCUAUCAAAGUCCAAUAAAUUCUGUAUAACUUUAGGUAGUUAUUCAAAUUAUGGAUCAGAUUUUAAAUCCGAAAUUUUGACUGCUCUCCACAAAACAUGGCCUAUGCACAAGAAAGUCAUAGAUAAUGAGGAUUACAAGUGUCUGACAUCUUUUGAGUGAUGGAUUUAACAUGAGAGCUUAUGGUCAGUCAAUUUCCUCUGCCUAGCAAUAUAAGCUUUCUCGGCCAGAUUUAUCAUCAAAUACAUAGAUUGGCCCCAAGUCACAUCCAAAUAAACAUAGUUUUUCUAGGUAAACCAAGUAAGGAGAAUCAUAAUUCAGACAUAAUCAUAAAAAGGCCCAUCUAACUUAAGAGAAAAUCUCAAAAAGAGGGAUGUUGAGCUAUCAGUCUUGUAUCUAUAAGCAAUAUCAAGACUUUACAUCACCUACUACAUCGUGAGUGGCUACACAACUUUCAGUGGUUUGUCUUUCUUUGGCAUGCCUAACUCAGCUUUGAUGUUGCUGAGAUAUUGAUAGUAAAGACACAUGAUACUUCUAGCCCAUGCAUUCUAUCUAGCUCAUCCGACAACUAUCUCUUUUUUAAUUCAUUAGUGUUUGCUAAACCUCAUGCUUAAAAGUCCUAUUCUCCUAAACAAAGCUUCCUAAGAAUGACUUCCUCAGCACCACAUUUGGACACUUUUAGAGCAAUUUUAUUUGGGGGAAAAGAAUUUUCAAGGUGUUAACUAAUAAAUUUUAAAAAAUAAUUACAAUUUGUCCUACAAUUAUAUGACAAUUUAUCUGGGAUGAAAGGAUACAGACAGACAUCUUCCACUUUCAAGACUAAUCACUACUUCCGUAGAUGUUUUGCAAUAAUACAAAUACUUGACCAGAUGGUAGAAAAAAAUUUUAUUGCUCCAAAAUUAAAAUAAGAAUGCAAUAUGUUAAGCAAAAGACUGUGCAACAUCAAAUUAAUUGAUAAGUUUGUAAUUCAGUAAAUUAACAACUUUCAUGGUAAAAUACAACAAAUUUCUUUUCAAAAAAAAAAAAAAAAAUUAAAAGACGGCAUUCAAUUUUUUGGGCAUCUUAUUUCUUAAGAUUUUCCAGGAGGAGGGCACUAGAGGGACUUUCACCUAUGCAAGAGAGCAGAAGCCUUACUUUCGCUAUAAAGUAGACGUCAUUCUGAUUAAUAUGCGUUUGCAAAUCAGCUCCAUUUGAAUCAGUAUUCUGAUAGACACAUGAGGCAUUUACAUCCAUUUCCAAAGUCACAUGUUGCGAGGAGGACUCAUUUGAUUGCUCCUCUAGGAUCAUCUAAUUCAAGUAGCAAGGGUUGGAAGAGAAUAAAAAGUCACAAUUAUUCUUUUGCAUAAGUGAGACGAAAAUGAUAAAUGCAAUAUUAUCAGCAGUAAACAAGAAGAGAACACUCCAAGGAAUAGAUAGAUGCAGACAAGCAAGUUAAAAUGCACAGUUCCAAACCUCCGCAUACAACUUCUCUAAAAUAGCAAUAACGUGUUGAUGAUAUGUUUUCUCAGCAUCUACCUGCAAAGGCCUGAGACCAGGAAAACAACAAUAAAACCACUAGCUAAAGGAGAAAGUAAAGAAAGAAAUACACUUGACAUAAAUCUUGACAAGAAGCACAAUUUAAGACAUAACAAACCCCAAUCAGAUUGUUUAGAACUACCAUUCGUUAUUUCGUUAUUGUAGCAUUUCGAACAAGUGUUGACUUAAUUCAACAUUGUUGGAAAGAUAGGCUUUUAGAAGCGGAAGAAAGCCACUCAAACCAAAGUGAUUGUCCUUGUAUUGAUCAAGGGAUGUAAACAUAUUACAUUUGCAGGAUGAGUUUUAAUCACUCCCCUGAUUUAUUUGGGUUGCAGUAAAACUAAGCGAGCAACUGUUUGACUUUCAAGCAACAUCUAAAUCAGCUAUUAAAAUUCAAAUAAAAUUAUAAUAGAAUAAUAACAGGCCAUCUUGCAUAAAAAAUUAAGUUUAAUUUGUGAAUUUUUUUCUAUAGACAUGUUAGUUCCUGCUAUUGAAAUGUUAAAAGCAUUGAAAAAUUAUUCAAUAAAUUAUGCAAACAUUAAAAUAGAGGACAUAUUAAAAAGUUUCUAAUUACAAUGUUAAGAUUUCCUAUAUUUUAGCAUUUGCAUAUUUUAAUUUAUUUAAAAGUUACGUCAAUCAACUUUGGGCGUGAAGAUUUUAGCUUCUACGAGACUUGAUUGGAAUAUGCAUAAGGAAGAGUGUUAAAAUAUGAUGCAUCCAACGAAAGACAAACCACGUGUAGUCUUUUAAUUAAGCCAAAGUAGCAGCUCAAACAAAUGACACUUGGACCAACAUGCAAUCAUGAAGUGGCCGGUAAAAGGACAAAUGCAACUUUGGCUUAAAUAAAAAAUAACAUGUGACUUGACUUUUGCUGGACAUGCAUCAUGUUAUUACAAGACAACAGAAAUCAGUAUGAUAGUACUAAAAGUUGACAAUAACAUGAAGAUAAGAGGCAGAAUGUCAACACCUGCAUAGGCACACACAAGAAAGUAUUAACAUAUAUACCAUAGCAAAAAGUCUUUGAUAUGUCAUCUGUUGCUGCUGUGAUUCAACUGACAGCAUGGCAGCUGUCGCUUCUCUACCAAGAGCCAUUAUUGUAGAUUUAAGCUCGGUCAAUCUUGCUUCUGCAUUUCGAAGCUUCACAGCACUCUCUGCUGAUAUAUCAGAUUUCCUUAUCUUUGAUCGGUGCCUAAAUACUUCAGCUGCCUGGUGAAAAUAUUCAAUAUAAAUCUAACAUAAUUCUCAUCUUGCCUUAUACAUGCAUAUGUUACCUCAAAGCUUGCCUGGGCUUCAACUUCAUGUCGAAGUUUGUCAUAACGAUGAGUCAGGUGUCGAGCAUCUUCCAAAGGUGCUCCGUUGAUUAACGCCCGUAGUGGCUCAGAUACCUACAUGUCCAAAAACCUGUAACAUAGUUAGAAAAAUGAAAAGAAAGAGCGAAACCUCAAUUAAAAAGUUCCUCCAACAUAAUCAUGGAAUUUGGGCCUACUUCAAGGAUAUAUAUAAGGAUAAUUUAUGCAAUUUUGGGUCUUAGGAUGAUUCAUAUUAGGUUAGUGUUCUUCUCUUCUGUAUUUAAGGUUAAAAUAGAAAUAAACCUAUGCAAAUAUCUAAAUUAGGGCUGUAAGACUUCCACAUGCAUCCUUCAGUCUCAUGGAUUUGAUUUUACUAUAGAUGCAAGUGUCUUUAUCGAAAAUGCUUGGAGUCAAUUGAGAGAACUCACAGCCAAUAACUUGUCACAUGCUAGUCUUUGCUAGUGAUGCAAGAAGUCACAAGGUCUCUUCAACAUUUGAACCAAUAAAAUUAUUAAGUCAUGGAUGUCACUAGCAAUGAUUUCAAUAUAAAACAUUAAAUAUUUCAAGUUGUAACUUUAAAAUGGAUUCUUUUAUUCAAUAUCUUAGAACUAAGUUUCCUUAUGAGAAGAUAAUAGUUUCAGUAGUAAUUUACAUGAAAUUUUCUAUAUUUGAAUUAUUUUCUAGUUAGGGAUGAACUAACCUGAUCAUGAAGAAUCCCAAGCAAAGUUUUCCUCUCAUUUUCCAUCAAAUCAUGUGAAGUGCCAAAUUGAAGAGCAGCUCUUGCAGCGCAAGAAUUGUCACUUUGAUUCUCCACUCCAUACUUGCAACAAUCUUCAGCCAACUUUCUCACUACAAUAUUUGAAUACAAAAAUAUUGUACACAAGAACCAGUCAAGAAAAUAAAAAAAAAAUCAAAUAUUAUAACGAGAGCAAGAGCAAACAAACAACCUAUUUCCAUUUGUUUCAAGCUUACUGCAACAAACCCUUCAACGCCACGGACAAUAUUCCUCUGAAAAUUCUGUGCUACAGAGCAUAUAUUCCAAAUUAUUGUUCAGAUAAAACCAUAGAAACCAUCAUAAUUAUCAACAUACAUUAAGCUCCGUUUGGUAAAUACUUGCAACUUCAGUCUAGAAAAUACAGUUGUUUGUACCAUAUUUGACAAAAUUAUUAUUUAAAAAUCAUAACUAAUUACCAAAAGCCACAAUAAAUCAAUAUCAAACAGAGUCUUAUUAUUAGCUAAAGGAGGAUGGUGCCUUAGCUGCCCUGGUGGAAUUGUAUAGAUUUUAAAGUUGUUGGUGACACUCAAUUUCAGCUUCAUGAACCGCAAUAUUUUCAAUACCAAGAUGGAGCAGAUGCUUCAAUGCUGCCUGUACAAAUCAUAAAAAACUAAUAAAAAUAAAUAAAAUCGAGAAAUUUCACUAACUAAAAGUCUAAAUAUAAUUUUUGAAAAAAGAAAAGAAACGGACUUGCUGCUGCUUGGCGACUUGUUCUCGGUGCUUGAUUGCCUGUUUCUUGAUAGCUUCCAUACUGUUUCUUUCAAAAAGCAACGACGGCUCAGCUCAUGGAGGUGGAAAAAAAAAGUAUGAUCGAGAAAAAUAAAAAGGCAUGAAUAAUUUUUGACAAAAAGCGAAAAAUAAAAAGGCAUGAAUAAUGAAUAAUUUUUGACAAAAAGCUCUUUCCAGAAAAUAAAAAAAGAAAAAAGAAAAAAGAAAAUUAUAAGUUUGAAAGGAGUAGAUGAUAGUGGAAGUGUGCGGUGUGGCUGCCAGCUACUUGAAUUGUAUUGUCGGGUAAGGUAAUAGUAGAGAAUUUUUUUUUUUGAAGAAAAAUGGGUAAUUUUUAAAAACCUCCCCUGAGGUUUGGGCUUGUUGUAAGUAGAUGGCGAGAAUCCAUUUAUUUGUAAAAAACCCCCUACGUUUUUGCUCCGCUUGGUUGCCGUUUGGGCAAUUGUGGGCAUUGUUGACAUUUCGCAAUAAAACAAAUCUUUUGCAACUUUCGUUUCCUUGAGAACAAUAGCUAGAUUUCUCAAUCUGUUUCAUCCAACACUUCAAAAAUUUCAACUUUUAUGAGUUAUUGCAUUCUCUGGCAAAGUAGACUUCUUCUAAUUUUAUCACAGUGCUUUCAGGAACAAGAAUGGGAUCCAUUAACAUCCCCUCAAAUUUUACAGCUUCCUUACAGCUAUACACUGCUGUAACACGAAGUUUAAUGAUUCCAUCGCCAAAUAGUCCCCAAAAUCUAUUCUUCCCCAUAUUGAACAACUUAAGUUCACAACACUUGCAUUCUAAAGGCUUCCCACUAACAUCUAAUAUCUCAAGACUCAACGUUGCUUUACAAUAAUUGUUAUUACUACCAAACAAACAUGAAGAAACCCCGAUUAUCGGAUAAAUCAACCCAAAAUGAACAAGAGAAGAACCCAAAACAAGUGAAUCGCUAGAGCAAAACCCCCAACCCAUAUCCCUAAUCCCACACUCAAAAAAACCCAAUUUCUCUCCAAAGUCAUUGACACUAGCAUCACUACUAGACUCUAAUUCCAAUCCUAGAUUACAUUUAAUGUUAACCCAACUAAAAUGAAUGUUCUUACUACAAUACGCAUCGUUUACACUCUCAAACAACGCGCUGAACUUACUCUUAAACGAUCCCACAUUGGUCAAACACUCAUCACUCACAUCGACAUCCAAGAAUUCACUCAAAAACUUCAUAGACUCGACAAUUGGAGAAAACAAAACCACUAAACUCAACUUUAUACAAGCAUACCCAUCGAGAAUCUUACCGUCAUUAACCGAAUCACAACAAAUCACCGGGUCCCACGCGCAGUCGUGAACGAGCUUACGCAUGGACGGGGCAACAUUUAACCCCCGCGGCAAAAACGACGAAGCUUUGGAAAAAUUGUGUUUUAGAGCUGGGUUGAGGAGUAGAGAUUGGAGAGAUUGGAAGGUGGAAUCGGGACGGUCAAAGGAUAGAGAGAGAGAAGGGAAGGGGAUCUUUAAAAGAGAAGUGGGGAGAGGGAGGAGAAGAAGGAUUUGAAAGAGAAAAGAGAGGAACGGAGAGGCGGGAAUGAGAUUAAGGUUUUCACUGCAACUAAAAGAGUAAUCAUGUAUGGCUCUUGGUCUUGGAGAUGAAGGAGAGGAUUCAGGUCGAUUAAGAGGACUAUACGCUGCAUUUUGGUGUAGUCUGCCGCCAUUGGUAGAAGUUUCGAAGUGGGUUUCUGUUUAGAUCCGAGUUUGACGAAGAAACGUGGUGGUUGCGCUUGGGACAAUAUUGUUUUUGCACUGGUCAAUGUAGAAAUUAAACGACGGUAGGGUGUUUUUUUAUAAAUAAAUGAAUUCUCGCCAUUUAUAACAAGCCGAAACCUCAAAAGAAGAUUUUAAAAAUUACCCGAAGAUUCGAAAAAUAGUAGAGAAUUUUUUAAAAAGCUAGAACAGAGCAUGCUAGACUUUUGUGGACCAAAUUCAAAAGCCGAAGGGCACGGCCCAAAAGCUUUUGAAUACAAUAACUUACUAGAAAGCUCCAUUUUUUGUUGGCUACAGUAAAAGUAUGUUGUUUUAUGCUUCUUAUAUGUUACGCUUGCAUCAGCCUCAAUCACUUCUUAAUCGCUUGCUUUAACUGCAUCGCUCUCUGUGUACUCUUCUACACAUGUAACGGUUAUGCGGUUGUAGUUCACGGCUGAGGCUACGUGUUGGUUUGACGCGGCAGUUACGUUACGACAUUACGAGUCUGUUAAACAUUCGGUGAUAGAGCAUUAUUAGUUAUUUUAAGGGGACAAAUAAGAUUGGUUGCAAUAAACCCACUAAUUUUAUAAAAUUCGAGUAAUAUAGAAUAAAAUAAAAAAAUAAAUACAAAAUUGGCUUUUAUUUUUUAUGGUUGACUGUAUUUUGUGUUCUCUUCCGGCACUACUACAAUUGUUCCCUAUAUAUCAGUCACACCCAUAUAUCAUCAAUACAAGAAAUGAAAUCUAAUGUCACCUAUUUAGUUAAAGAAUUACUCAUGAAAAAAUUUUACCAUUUUACUUUGAGGAUCCAUAUUUUGAACUGCAAGCUAAUGUUCAUCAAGAAUCACUAAUGUUCAUAAAAAACAGAGCAUGGCCGUUGAGUAGAAAAACUAUUUUUGGACAAAUUAUUUUUGUUGAUAGAAGAAUUUCUUAAGGGGCUCAUAAGGCCAAUGAUGUUUCUACUGCUGGUGGUUUGAUUCGCGAUUAUUCGGGUCGUUGGUUGACUGGUUUUGGGUUGAUGCUUGGUUCCUGUUCUGUUACAAUGGCUGAGCUUAGAGGCAUUUAUCAGGGGCUUAUCUUGGCUUGGAAUUUUGGCAUUCGGUGGCUGCAUGUGGAAACUGAUAGCUUAUGUGCAACUCAAAUGUUGGCUAACCAGGUGGAGACUACUAAUGAAUAUGCGUCCCUCAUUUUUGCCAUCAAGGAGUAUCUCCAGAAAAAGGAUUGGCAGGUUUCUAUUUCUCAUGUGUACAGAGAGGCAAACUCGGCUGCUGAUUUUAUGGCGAACCUUGCUUGUUCUUUGCCUCUUGGGCUUAUGGUGUACCCUAGUCCCCCGCUCGGGUUUUCAUCCAUUCUUUUGUAUGAUUCUUACGGGGUUGCGACUCCGCGUUCGGUUGUUUUUUAGCUCUUAAUUGAGCCCCAAUUGAUCAAAAAAAAAAUAUUAUGAAUAACAAUGUAGAACACACCCACAUAUCAUCAACACAAUUGACUUUAAGGAUCCAUGCUUUGAAUUGCCACCUAAUGUUCAUCAAGAACAGAGUAUGCCUUGUGAGUAGAAAAUUUUAUGAUUUUGGUCCGAAAUAAAAAGAAAUUAAAUUAGAUGAGAAUCUGCCACUUUCUCAUAAAGAAAGGCAUACGGAGCAUACCAUGGUACCAUACAAUACAAAGAGUCUCUAUUCUCUGGUUUUUCAAACUCUGAAGGGGCCAAUAUUCCCGAAUUCCCCCUUGAAAAUUCUGAUUACGACAUUAUUCAAUUCUUGACACAAUCAAAGUAGCGACAAAGUUAAGAAAAAUAUGAGUCCUAAGUAAUGGCUAGGUAGGGUUCUUGAGAGCAAAAUUGUCCUAAGCAUUAUAUGCAUACAUGGUGUGGUACAUAGAGCACGUUGAAUUCCACACUAUAACACAAACCCAGAAAGACAAGUAAUAACUCAACUGAUAUAAAGACAAAAAGAAGAUAAAAUGAUAUAGAAAAAAGAAUUUCAAAGAGACAGCAACAUACGAUAGACUGAAGCCACUUGAUCUGCUCACUGAUUGCAGCCUUAAACUUACAAAUAGUUACUGUACGCUAGUGCUCUAAGAAGUGAAAAUGAUAAGAGACCUGAUUCCCUUUUGACUUCCAUUUACUGUCAAACAUUCUAGUAAUACAAAAAAUUGUUUAGAUAUCUUGCUAUAAAUAUAGUCGUUUGACUGUCAUAAUAAAGUCACAAAUAACCAUUCAUAUUGAUCCACUGUCACACAGCAUGCUUUAUGCAUACAACAUCUGCAUGUAUACCAACUCCUAACCUUAUCAAUACAUUUGGCAAAAACUUAAGAAGAAAACUAUUUCUCCAUCUCUUUUUUGAAAUUUCACAAUAAACCAGCACAUUGUGAAAGCUAUGUUCUAAUCUUAUGAUAAAUGCUCUAGACUCCAAAAGGAUUUUAUAUAUGAGAGUUUGUUGCAGCAGAUAUAUUGACUUAUCAAGUAUGAAUCAUUGUCUGGAUGAACUAUCUUUAAAUAAAAGAAUAUUAGAACCACUGUAGAAUAUCUUUACGCUGCUGGUUCUAACAGGAAUCUGCAUGUGGCAACAAUUGCUAGAUCCACAAUUCCCCAACUUGAAAUACAUAGUUGCACACCGUGAGAUAGUGCUGCAAUCUACUGAGAUCUAACUUAUUUGAUACUUUAAGCUACUAAUGUUUGCAUAUUUCUACAUGUUAAAUUGACACUACCAUCUAUAAUCACCCCAAAACGACAAAUGAUAAGCAGCUUUUGGCCACUUAUUAAUUACUAGCAUCCACAACACAAUUAUAAAUAAGAGAUCAUGGGUUUACUUGUUGCAACUACUUAAUGAUCUGCAUUUGAGACCCUGACGCAAGGUUUAAAUAGUGACUGCUUAGAACCCUUGUAGUUGGAUCUUGACCUCUCCCAUUGUAGCCAAGAUUGGCUACUCUGGUAAUGAAUCAACACUCUCCUGCUUAUUUUUUUGUUUUUAAAAAAUAACGAAAUCAUAAAAUAAAUAAACACGUGUUUGGUUUUGGGCAUUUUCUUUUGUUCAUUUAAUAUCAUCUGGCUCCCUGAUUUUUGACUAAUUAACAACGGAAUCCUGUUAGUUUCUAAAUUGAAAUAAUAAAAGGUCUUGAGAUUAUUUACUCCAUUUAGCACUGUAGACUUAGAGUAUAUUGAAAAAGCUUUGUCAAAUAGUAGUAAUAGGGGCAUAAUAAAUAAGUUUUUCAGAAUUUACAUAAUGUACUUUGCUCUAGGAAGAUUGCCCUCUUAUCACUCAAGUUAGGUUUUGCCUUAGAGUUGAGGUAAAUCAUUAAAAUAAAUUAUAGCUAUCACAAAUUCGUUAGGAGAAUUUCAAUUUUUUUUCCAUUAAAUGGCUAUGAUGCAAAAUUACCUCAGCUUAUAUUGCAACACUAAUACUUCAAAUCCUAACAAUAAAAUUGAUGACAAUGGUUUUUAUGUAUAGUAAUUUUCACUCUUUUGUUUGAUCUAAAAGUAGUUCUUAAAAUGACAAUGAUGACUUAUUUAGAAGAAAUGGCAAACUUAUAGUUUGUAAUAUUGUUUGCACAAACAAUAAAGACUAAUUUGAUAAUAAUGAAGUGUUAAUUACUAUUUAACAUUUUUAAUUAAUUUUUAAAUUUAAAAAAAAAUGAAGGCCGAAACUUGUGCAUUAAAUUUUAAUUAAAAGUUGAUUGCUUCGAAGGUUGGAUCGUGACAAAUUGACAAUUGAAAAAAGAAGUAGGGAAUAUAUAUUCUGAUGAAAGGGACAAGAUUAAGCAAGGGGACAAUAUUGUCUAUUGGACCUACAAAUGGGGGCAAAGAUAUAUAUAUUCCAAAAUUUCUUAUUUGUGGAUUGGCCACCACGUGUAACUAAUAUAAAAAGAGAAAAUUUGGCAUGGUUUUAACCGAUAUAAGGGUCCGUUUGGGAUUGAGGUGCUGUAGCUUUUAAGCUAUAGCUGCUGUGGAAAAAAAAAACUGUAAGUAUUAAAUAAAAGUUAAUAAUAUAUAGUAAAUAUAAAUUUUAAAUAAUAAUUUUGAUGAAAUUAUUAAAGAUAUAAUAGAUUUUCUAUUAUACAAAUGAAAAUUCAUAUCAACAUAGCUUAAAAGUUACAGCAGUUAGUGUUUACCAAACACUUUAGUGCUGUAGCUUUUAAGCUACAGCUGCCCAACCUCAAUCCCAAACGCACCCUAAGAAGAGAAAAUUUUGAGUGUAUAAGAAGAGAAAAUUUUGAGUGCACAACAAGAACAAAGCAAAACCCAUGAAAAUUCACCUUUCAUGUGGGUUGGAUUGGAUAAAAUCAAUAUCUUGAAUCAAACAAAAUGUUUGGUACUUGAAGGUUUUUUUAACAUUUUCAUUUUUUUUUCCAUUUAUGAAGUCCAUUUUUUUUUUAAUUUUGAUUUUUUUGAAUGAUUUUGCAGGUGUUGAUAUAAGGUCAUCAAAAGUUUGUGAACUUGGGGUGUUGAAUUAUAAGGCGAAGCGUGUGUUUUAUCCAUUUGAAGCAAGUAAAUUUCGCUGUCGGUAUGAUUACUAUUGGGCUUCUAUCUUCAAGGUAUUCAUACAUUUUCCCCUGUACUAUAAGCUUCUUAGUGGCGGUCUUGUGAGCGGAAGUGAGCAGUGUGGCUGACAGCUUCUUGAAAAUUAUAAGUUUGAACAGAGCAUGUUAGACUUUUGUUGACCAAAUUCGAAAGCCAAAUGGCACAGCUCAGAAGCUUUUGAAUUGAAUAACUUACUAGAAAGCUCCAAUUUUUUGUUGGCUAUAGUAAAAAGAGGUUGUUUUAUUCUUCUUAUACUUUACACUUGCAUCAGCUUAAAUCACUUCUUAAACGCUUUGCUUUAACUCCACCGCUUCGUACUGUUCUAUAUAUGUAUCGGGUAUGCGGUUGUAGUUCACUGCUGAGACUACGUGUUUGUUUAACGUGGAAGUUACGUUACGAGUCUGUUAAAACAUUCGGUGAUUAAAGUAUUAUCAGUUAUUUCAAAGGGACAAAUAAGAUUAGCUACAACACACACUAGUUUUAUAAAAUUCGAAUGAGAUGGAAUAAAAUAAAUAAGUAAAUUGACUUUUAAUUUAGUGCUUGAAUAUAUUUUGUAUUCUCUUUGGGCACUGCUGUAAUUGUUCCUUAUCACACCCAUAUGUUAUAGACACAAGAAAUGAAAUUUAAGAUCACCUGUUUAAUUAAAGAAUCACUCAUGAAAAAAUUUUGCCAUUUUGAUUUGAGGAUCCACAUUUUGAACAACCAACUUAUGUUCAUUAAGAACAAAGCAUUGCCUGUGAGUAGAAAAAUGAUUUUUGAACAAAUUAUUUUUUGUUUAUAGAAGAAUUUCUCAAGGGACUAUUAAAAUUACUAAUAAAAAUGUCAGACACACCCAUGUACCAUCGACAAAAUUAACUAUGAGGAUCCAUGUUUUGAACUGCCACCGAAUGUUCAUCAAGAACAUAGUAUAACUUGUGACAAGAAAAUUUUUUGAUUUUGGCCUGGAACAAAAUGAAAUUAAAUUGAAGGAGAAUCUACUACUUUCUCAUUAAGAAAGGCAGACGGGGCAUACCAUGGUACCAUACAAUACAAAAAGUUUCUGUUCUCUGGCUUUUCAAACUCUGAAGGGGGCAAUAUUCCCCAAUUGCCUUGUGAAAAUUCUGAUUACGACAUUAUUCAUCGCUUGAUACAUAAGUAAAAGUAGUGAUAAAAUUAGAAAAAAUAUGACUUAUAAGUAAUUACUUGGCAGGGCUCUUGAGAGCAACAUUGUGCUAGGCUUUAUAUGCAUACAUUGUGUGGUACAUUCUACACUAUAACACAAACCCAGAAAGACAAGUAAUAUCUCAACUUAUAUAAAGACAAAAAGAAGAUAAAACGAUACAGAACAAAAAAUUUCAAAGAGACAGCAACAUACAAUAGACUGAAGCCAGUUGAUCUGCUCGUUGAUUGCAGCCUUAAACUUGCAAAUGUUUACUGUAGCCUGGUGCUCUAAGAAGUGAAAGUGAUGCAAACCUUGAUUCCCUGUUUACUUCCAUUUACUGUCAAACAUUCUAUUCAUACGAAAAAAAUUGUUUAGAUAUCUUGCCGUAAAUAUAGCCAUUUGAUUGUCUUAACAAAGCCACACACAACCAUUCAUAUUGAUCCACUGCCCUUGAUCUUGAACAGAUCAAUACAAUACGCACAACUUAUGAUUGAAUCCAGAAACAAUCAAAUCUUUAGCAAGAAAAAUUAAUCAGAAUCAAGAAACAAGUUCAAUGAAUAUAAACCUAUAAUUGGAACAAACACAGCCAAAGAACCCAAGAAUGACACAACCUACACCACGGGAGAAGUUUUCCAGUGAGAUUUUAUUGAUGAUCAAAGAAGAAUCUUUUUACAAAGCUAACAAAAGAGAUUUCAGAGAAUAAGCUAUGACUCUCUCUCUUCAAUCUCUCUCUAGUUUGUUCACAGUGAUGACCCCAAUCUGCUUCGUUAGCCAGCUUCAUAACUGCGUUAGUGACAAACUAGCAAACCCAGAUUGAGCAGAUUACCGACACGUGGAUAACGGCUAUUAAGAACUUAGUUAAAGAACUGCUCACAUAUUCGUCAUGCGUGUUACUUAAAUGAUGGCCAAAACGACUUCAACCAGAUGCCGUUUUGAAGCUUGUGAAUUAUAAUUGAAAACACGUGCUUGUCUCGUGACACUUACAUACAACAACAAGCCCAAAACACUGCCGUUUCACUUUGUUGAGUUUGCCAUCUCUAAGCUUCACAACUAGCAACGGAGAAGAUGAUAAUUAAAUUGACAUGGAGAGUUUUUAUAUCACUUUUACAACAUUCUAUAUAAUUGUGAUAUUGGGAAUCGUCGGUGUUGUAUAUGUGAACUCUCGUUGGCGACACUGGUAGUUUUAUUUUUGUUGAAAUAUGGAUGACAUUUCGUUACUAUUUUAUUGUACACAACAUUUUGUUACUAUUAACAUGUUAGUUUCAUUAGCCACUAGGCCUUUGGCUGAGUCGUUCGGGUGUCUGCCCUCCAACUUGGAGGGCAGCAAUUUGAACCCCCACAAGCGCAAUGUUGGGUAUUUCUUUCUUUAAUCUCUCGAAUAUUAGUGAAUGUUAAAAUCUAGGCAGAACUCCAUAAGUAUUGAUGUAAGUUGGUUUCAGUAAUAGUUUAAUUUGUAAAUAUCAGUUAUAAUCUCAUGUAAGAUGAGUUGUAAUUUGAGCAAUAGUCUCAUAGAAUAAUAAUAAUAAUAAACAUGUUAGCUUCAUUACAUUUUUCUUCAUUAAAAUUCUCAAGUAUUAGUCAGGUUUGCUAAAGUAAUAAAAUUUUGCCAUUAAAAUUGUAGUAGUAUUUCUGAGCACCUCACAUUUUCAAUGAUUUUUCAUAAAUCAAUUAAUCUGUCGUACCGAUAUCAGGUUUAGUUUUUCAUACUAAACAAUCAAGAAAGCAAACAUACAAAUUCACAGUUUAGAGGGGUAAACUAGGUAGGUGGUUUAGAUUUUAGAACUAGGCUAGCUACCCCACUAAAUUCCAAUUUGUAUAGUGAACUACAAGAAAUUGAGAAAACAGUGUAUUUAUAGUUUAAUUGAAUCGUGAGAAAGCAAUGUAGUCAUAGCUCAAUCUGAGAUGAUCACGGAGAGGCAUAUUCUUUUCAAGUUAAUUUGAUCAAUUUAUAAGAGAUGAAGUGGAUUGAAGUUAAAAGUUUAAAUAACAAAUCCUUGUUCUUGAGUUUUACGACGUCGUUACUCCUUCAAGAGGCAGAUUAUUUAUGCAAGUGAAUGCAGAAACGCAAUGCAUCAUCCACGGGGAUGGUACACCAAAAGGCGGGAUCAUAGUCUAUGCCCGCAGAUUAACAAUUUCGCUCAUAUAGAAAAUUAAUUUUUUAUAUAUACUAAUCAAUACUAAAUUGAUUAUGUUUUGUAUGUUUAUAUGCGAAUCAACACUAAAUUAUAUUAAAUGAAGAAAUAAUUCAAUUUUUUCUAAUUUAAUUUAGAAAAUAAAAUUAUUAACAUUAAUAUUCCCAAAAAAAAUUAUUUUCCAUUAGUAUUCAAAGUCUUCACUUAUGGAAAAUGUGUUUUACAUGAAUAUUAGUUACCGUGUAAAUUUGAAUGAUAGUGAAAAAUAAUUUUUUAAUUAUUGUAAAAAUAAUUAACCAUAUCAAAUCCCUUACGUAAAUAAUUUUUAUUUUUCAAAAAGGUAGAAAGAUGGUUAAUGCACAAGCAAAUUUUAAGCCCCUCUCUUCUUGGCCUAAGAUUCAAACUCAGAUGACUAGUUAAAAAAACCUAUGUGAAAAUCAUUCGGCCAGGUCUGCGGGGCAAAAAUACAAGAUCCUUAAUUUCAUAAUAUAUAUGAAUUAAUGUCAUUUACUUGAAUUAUCCAAAUUCAUCAGAGGUUAUCGAAUUUUCCUGACAUGUAGCAGAUGAAGUUGUUGCUUCCUUCUUGGCAUUAUUUCAGCUCUGGUUGUUGGUCCCGAUGAGCUUUAGUCUUAUUUUAAUUUUAUUUAAACUCAUCAUAAGAUUCGUGAAGCACCUAACUGACUUAACUGACUGUGCAGAAAUGUCACAUAGCAUAUUUAACCGUUUUAACAGUAAUUUUGAACGGUCUUCGCAGUUAUCAUCUACAAACUCGUUCGUGUUGGUCCACUAGGUGAAGUUUUUGAAAUAAUAAUAAGCUCCCAUUCUUGAUUUUAAAAAAUGUGCUUAUAAUAAUUUUAGAAUAAUGGCUUAUUUAUAGAACAACUUAUGAUUUCCCAUUAGCAUUAUUAUUGAAGUGGGGUGGGUAACGGUUCACUCAAUUCGUCGGGAAUAAAAAAUUACCAUCCAAGGCAGAAUUGUGGAAAAUUAAAGCGAAAUGAGAAAUAUGGAAAUGAAGGAAGAAAGUUAAGGCAUGAAAGACUUCCAGUUGAAAUUGAUAAUCAUGUUUCUAUUUUGGUAACUAAUCAAAUGGGAAACUGAACCAUAAACAAACAUUAAAACGUGUGGACUCCGCUAGCUGCCUUACAAGCCUACAAUAAUAACUGAGUACCUUUGAUUCAUCCUUCUAUGAAUUUCUAGCCGUAUUGACUCCACCGAAAUUUCCACAAAAAAAAUAAAAAAAGAAUUUCCACAAAAUGCAAAAUGCAUGGCACUUAAUUUUUGGCCCCGUGAUCACUAAGAUACAAUCCUUCUAGGGAAGAGCAAUCAGGCAAAUUUUUUUAAAUCUCUCCGACAAAGUGAUUACCAUCUAAUCGCAACAUUGAAUAAAAAUAAAAAUUUUAAUGGGAGUUUGACCUUAGAUUUAGAAAAUGAAUUUUCACUUUCUUCAAUUAUUAAACAGAUUACAGACAUUUGAGGAAUUUGAAAACACUUUAUCCAUCGAAAGUUAAAAUUAGAGAUGGAAGCUAGGUGCUUCAACUAAUGGGAUCAUUAAUUCCCCUCCCUCAAAUGUGUAGUUGUUCCUCUUUCCACAGCAUAAGCCUUAUAGUUAGAGUUUCUUUUAAAAAAAAUGUUAAACAAUUUCGGUUGAGCAUGGUUUUGGUAGUUGAAUAGACACCUCCGCCGUACCUCAAACAAAACUGUCAUUAUUCGUGUCAUGAAACAUGUUUCGGCCGUCAAAGUCAUGAGUAGGAGUGGGCAUGGGUUGGUUUGGGUUAGGUUUUAAGUCAAUUCAAACCAAAUCAUAAAAAUUUGGGUUAAACCCAAACUAACCCAAAUAUUUUUAACCCAACCCAAACCAACCUAUUUCCUUCUGGUAUCAGAGCCAAGGGGAGGAAAGUGUUUUAUUGUUUUGAGUUUUUGUGUUCUAAAAUCUUGUGUUUUAUUUUGCCACCAGAAAGUAUCCCAUGUUUAUAUCUUGUUAAUCCUACAUUACCUAAAAUUGUUGAGACUGAUGCAUCUGAUUUAGGUUAUGGAGGCAUAUUAAAGCAAAAGGAAAAUGAUAAUGAAUAGAUAGUACAAUAUGUUUCUGCACACUGAAAUUUUGUAAUGCAUAAAACAAUGGAAAGGAUUUCUUUUUUGAUAGUAGAAUAAUUUUUCUGACAAUCAUUCCAGUGUGCAGAAACAUAUUGUACUAUCUGUUCAUUAUCAUUUUCCUUUUGCUUUAAUAUGCCUCCAUAACCUAAAUCAGAUGCAUCAGUCUCAACAAUUUUAGGUAAUGUAGGAUUAGCAAGAUAUAAACAUGGGAUACUUUUUACAGAAUUCUUUAUUAAUCUAACAACUUUUGUAUGUUCAUCUGUCCAAGGAGUAGGUUUCUUUUUUAAUCUGUCAUGCAAAGGCUUAGACAUUCUAUUAAUAUUAGGGCAGAAGUCAAGAACAUAAUUCAAACUGCCAAGAAAUCUCUGUAAUUGGGUUUUGUCAAGAAUUUUAUCAGGAAAUUUAUCGGCAAACAAAAGAGAUCUCUCGAUUGGAGUGAUUGUUCCUUUAGUAAUAUGAUGACCAAGGAAUCUGACUUUUGUUUGAAAUAAAGAAACUUUAGAACUGGAAAUUGCCAAUCCAGCCUUUUUGGUGGCAAAAUAAAAAGUCUUUAAAUGUUUGAAAUGUUGAUCGAUAGAAUUUGAAAAUAUUAAUACGUCAUCAAUAUAAACAAUGCAAAAAUCAGAAUAAGGAUUAUAAAUAUCAUUAAUAAUUUUUUGAAAUUCUGAGGGUGCAUUCUUUAAACCAAAGGGCAUAACAGUCCACUCAUACUGUCCAAAUGGAACAGUAAAAGCAGUUUUGUAACGGUCAUUAGGAUGAAUUUGAAUUUGCCAAAAACCAGAUUUCAUGUCAAAUUUUGAGAAAAUAAGAGCAGAACAUAAUUUUUGAAGCAAAUCCUUUUUAUUAGGUAUGGGAUACCUAAUCCAUUUUAAAGCUUUGUUUAAAGGUUUGUAAUUUAUUACAAGUCUUGGUAUGCCUCUCUCAAGUUCAGAAUUUUUGUUCACAUAAAAAGCAGCACAAGACCACGGGGAUCUAGAUUUUACAAUAAGUCCUUUGGACUCUAAAUCCUUGAUUUCAUUUUUACAAUGUUGUUCCAAUUCCAUGUUCAUUUGGAUUGGACGGGCUUUAGUGGGGAUCUGUCUUUCAUCAAAAGAAUUUUCAUAGGGUAGAUCUACCACGUGUUGUUUUCUGUUCCAAAAUGCAGAAGGUAGAUCAGCACAAAUUUCUUUUUCAAUGAGAAUUUUGAAAUCAGAAAUUUUUCUUUUAAUGAAAUCACUUUGUAAUUGGCUUUCAAUUCUUUGUAGGUUCAAAUCUUUUUGUAAAAACAUUAGAUCACACUGUUUUGAUUUAAGUAAAUUAUUUAUCCUGUUUUGAUAAACAGAACAGGCUUUAACAAUAUUCAAAUUUCUUGUUUUAGGCUUUUCAAUAAAAGGGAAAACAAGUUUCUUGUUUUUUGCUUUGAAGGAUAUACUAUCAUAAUUGACAGUAUAUGGAGUUAUAAGAUUUAUAAAAGGAGUUCCCAAAAUGAUGGCAUGAUGAAUAUCAUUUGUGAGAACAAAAGAAGUUUUAAAAUCAAAACCAUUAUUAUGGAUUGAGGCUUCAACCUUAGAACUGACAUUCAGUUUUGAAUUAUUAGCGGCAGAAAGUCUUUCUUUUGUCUUUUCAUGAAAUCUUUUGGGGACGAUGUCUUCUCUAAUGCAAUUUAAAUCGGCGCCAGUAUCAAAAAGGGCAAUGGCGUCCAUUGCAAAAUCAUCAGAAAAGAUUAAAGUGACUUUAAUCAAAUACUUUCUUGUGGUGAUUUGCUUUAAAACAAAUAGAAAAUCAUUGGGUACAGACUCGAUGUUUUCUACUUUAAUAUCAUCACCAUCAUCAGGAUUAGAUUCAUUGUCUGAAUUAUCCUGCAAUUGUUUUUGUAAAAGAAGUUGGAUAGUAUCAGAAUCACUUUUUUGUUUUUCUUUUAAAUCUCUGAUUUCACAUUUGAUUUCUUUUAUCUCUUUCUGAAGAUCUUGGAUAUUAGGAACCGUCUUCUUUUUUUUCUUUUUAUCCAAAAUUUGAGUAAGAUCAUAAGAAUUCUUUUUAACAAUUGGGACUUUAGAAGUCUCAGCUUUAUUAAAAUCCAAAGUUUUCAAAAGUUUAUCAAGAUAUUCUUUUUGAAGAUUCGGAUCAGAAAUAUGCUUUACAAGUUCAAGAAAAGUUUCUUGGUCUUUAGUCAAAACAUUGAUUUUCUUUAAAAAUGAAUCAGAUUCAGAUUCACUGCUGCUAGAUGCAGAGUCAUCUGAGUCAAUUAGCUCAUCAACUUGAUUAGGGUCACUGUCUCCCGACAUGGAAGACUCAGAAUCAGAAGACUCGAUUAGAAGAGGGGCUAAUUUGGAAAGGAUCUCUUCAUCGAGGUCAAGCUCAUGAAGCUUUUUGUUCAUUCUGCAAUAUUUUGCAGUAUGACCUUUUAUGCCACACUUAUGACAUAUAGCUUCUUUGUAAUUGAAAGGAGUCUUUGGUUUGGCUUUAAACUCUUUUUUAGAGAAUUUGGGUUUCUUAUAAGGCCUCGAAGGUUUCUUAUAAGGAAGUUCUCUAAAAUUACGAAAAGGUUUCCUAAAAUGUUUAGAUUUGUAAUGUUUCCUGCGAGGUUUAGUAGAACACUCACAAUUACAAUCUUUGGAGAUAGAAGUUUUAAAGGGGUCAUAAUUGAAUUGUUUACAGAAACCGCCUAAUUCUUGUUUAGACUUCUUAAGCUCCCACUUAAGUCGUUUCUGUAGUUUCAAAUCUUGACAAAUCUUUAAACCUUCCUUAUUGACAAAACUGACAAGUUCGCCAUAAGUGAGCUCAUCAUAAGGAAUACGGUUAUCAUAAAGGGCUUUAAUAGAAUUUCUUACCUUUUCACCUAGAAGGGUAGGUAAUCCAGCAAAAAAUUUUUCUUUCCAAGUAGUAUGAUUUGCAUCAUCCCUUAGAAAUAGUCUGGUAAGAAAUGAGGUUUUGUAGCUCUGAAAUUCACUAAGUUUCCUACAUCUUAAAUUAUGUAGUAACUCAGCGUUUUUAUCACGAAAGUGUGAAGGGUCACCAAUGAAAUGGAGGGAAAUGGUUAAAAUUAGAGUAGCAACAGCAUCCUGAAUAGGGUUGUUGAACUCAUCAAAAAUAGGGGCUCCAUUUUCAUCGACUUGAAUGGAAUUUAGAAUGUCUAAUUGUUGCUGACUAGUGAGAAGAUGAUCCCACCAACCUUUGAGUUGACCAGUAAAACCGGCAAUGAGGAUUUCUGAUAUGGCACGAUCAGAAGUUCCUGCUUGGGUUUUAUAGGCAUUGGCUGCCAUUGUCAUUUGUUGCAACAAUCCUAGGAUAUUGUAUUCGGACAUACCGUCAAUAUUCCACUCAUAGACUGAAGAUGCAUUAUAUCGGGAUUGAUUUAAUGCACUUGGUCUAUUAUCUAUCGCUAGAUCCGGUGGAGUCUUGACAGUGGGAAGGGCUAAUUCCCAAUGAAUUUUGUUUGCCUUAGGAGUGGGUUCCUCUUGGAAAGCAUCAACGUCCGAAGAGGCUAUAGAAGUUUGGUCAUCUUGUUCUAAUACUCCAAUCUUGCUAGAUUGGGGAGUAUCAGGGGCUAUCUGAAUUUUGCUAGAUGAGGAAGAAGCAGCUUCUAUCCUAUCUAGUUGUUCUCUAAUGGCUUUAGCAAAAUCUGAUUUUGACUCUUGAACAAGCUUUUGGCUAGUUUUCGAAACCUGAAAAGGUUUGAAAAUAGGUUUCUUAAGCUUUUUGUCAGAAUCCGAUUUUGUUGGAAUAGGAGAGAUUGAUGGAACAGUAAUGGUUGACUUCUGGAUUUGGUUUUCUAUCCUAGUCAACUGUUUUCCAAUUGUAUUUAAGUUAGUAUUACAGAAAUUAUUCUGUUGGAUAAUACUACUUAAAUUUGCCUCGGAAUCAUUUGGUUUUGGGAUUUUGUAAGGUGAAGCUCGGAUUUGGACAGGAGGUUCACCGUGAUCAACGGUUAUACUCCGAAGAGGUGGGUGUUCAGACUCUAUAGUUCUAUCACUAUCAAGAAGUUUCCAUUCAGGGACUUUCUUCCUAAUAGUAAUAGGGUUUGACUCUUUAAAAUGAUAAGAGAUGUUGUUAUCGGAAGAAUAUAUCUCAAACCAAUCAAAAAACAAUAUAUGAAUUUUAUGAAAAUUCACAAAUUCAUAGUAAGUUUGUUGGAUUUCUUUUCUUUGGUUUAAAAAGUGUUGAAAAACCAAAGUCUUUUUUCUUUGUUUAAAUCAGAAUAAAAAUCAUUAUGCAGAAAAGUUUUAUCUAAUUCAAAUUCUUUUUCAAUGACAUUAAUGACAUUUUCUGUAACAGCAGAAAAUGUAGGGGAAGUUGGAGGAGAAGGUUCCUUCUCUUCCUGACUUUGUAAAUGUUGAUUACUAGUGUAGAUUGGAUGAGGAACACUAGUGGUGUAAUCAACUGAUCGAAUGGAGGUACCUGUAGCUAAACCAACCUAUUUGGAUUUGGGUUUGGUUUGAAUUUUAUAAUUAAAAUAUUUUUUAUUUUAAUAAAUUUAACUAUAUCAAAUUAUAAUAAUUAUUAAUUAAUAUUAAUUAUUAAAUUAAUAUUAAAAUACGAAAAAAUGUAGUGGAUAAAAAUUAUGAAUAAUGGAUUUUACAAUAACUUUGUUCUUAAAUAUUAACCAUAUUACAACAUAAAUUCUAACAAUGUCAAUACAAAUUAAAGUAAGAUAAGAUAUCUCAACUCAAGCAUCAAAGCAAUCCAUCAAAAUUAAAUUAUUUAAUUUUAUAAAUUUAAAUCUUCCGAGAAAUAAAUCUAAAAUUUAUUGUAAUUAGAAAAAGCGCCAAAAUUUUAAACGCAGUAAGAAAAAUUAGACAUGAAAUCUAAUUAGGUUUAAAUUUAAUUAAAAAAUAACAAUAGAAUCAUAUUUUAUUUGAUAAAAUCUUAAAAUCAAUUGCAUUUUUAAUUUUAGUAAGUUACAAUACAAAUAGGAUUAUAAAAUUAUAUUACAGGAUUUCAUAAAAAUAUUGUUUGAGUAAUUUAUUAAAGGACUCACCUACGUUGCCACAGUUGUAGCUUACCACGCUUUUUGUCUUUUUCCAGUAAAAUCGUAGGAUGCUUUCAAAUUUAAUCUAACGGCUGCAAUUAAUUAUUAGAUAAUUUAAUCAGCCAUUGGCAACCUUUACAACCGGUUAUAUUCUCUCGUUACAUUUAUCGGCUACCAAACAAUCCCCAAGAAAAUGACGAAGUGAGUAACUAAUACACACACCGCAGAGAAAGAUGACAGGAGAAGAGAUGACGGUAGGCCCACCGGCACAAAGGUUCUUCGAUUGCUCUAUUUCUUCGGCGCCGGAUUUAUCUACACAGCUACAAUCGACAAGUGGCGGGAACUCGAGCGGAAGUCAUUGAAAAAGAAACAGCAAGAGAGCAAUCUAUGGACUGAUGAUAACUCAGCAACUACGGUAAAGAAAGCCGUCAAAUGAUCUUUUUAUUUGACUUUUGAUGGAUUUUCAAGAGUUUUGGUAAUAAAAUGUCUCUUAAUUUUUCAUUUCAAUGGCCUAUUGUUUGAGUUAUUAUUAUGCAUAAUUGUUGGAAGAGUUAGGGUUUUACUAUUGGAUUUUGGAAUUUGUAUUUUGGCUUUGAUAUGUUAUUGUUGUGAUGUCGGUCAAGAAAUUUUUGACAACACUCUCCUCGAGUUUGAUACUAUAGCUAAUGAAUUUUUAUGGCAGAUAUAUAUUUUUCUUUGAAAAAAAAAAACACUUUACAACUGGUUAUGCAUUCAUUUAGGAGCUGUUAACUGAGCGUGAGUUCCAUAAUUUUCCAACCAGUGGUUAGGGUUUCACAGAAAAAUGUCGACAUUGAUCUUUAGGCAGCACUUAAGACUGAAAUUGGUUAUAGAGGAUCGAAUUUGGGGAACUAGAAAUUUCUGAUCAUUAAUAAUUGAAAAUGGCCUCUCACUUGUAGGCAGUUGUUGGAUGUAAUGUAUCCAGUUUCUGAAAUCGAAAGUAGAGUGAGUUCUUAAGUUAGAUGUACCUACAUGCAUUAAGGUUCGAAGAUGUGGAAUAGGCCAAUUGUUUGAUGUCAGCUUUGUUGCACAUGUUCUGAAAUUGAUCAUUUAAGAUGGCUUGGAAGCACUCCGUGAUGUGACUAAGAAGAUUCGAGGAAGUAUUAAAUAUGUUGAAAGUUCACAAUUAAUACAAGGUAAGUUCAAUGAGAUCACCCAGCAAGUUGAAAUCAACAGUCAAAAGAGCCUAAAGUGUGAUAUUUUUCUCUUGGAUUGUUUUUUUAUUUUCCAUUUCAAAGCUGAUAGUGUAAAUAUUUUGUUUGCAAAAGUUUCUAAAAAGUACUUGAGUCAAGAUGGUUAGGUAUUUCGUAACUUCCUUUUUACUCUUAACUAGAUUCAUAGAGAGUUAUAACAUUAACAUAAUUUUUUCUUUUAAAAGUGAUCAAUUAGACACUGAUGAGAUAUCUCACUUUUGAAUCAUUUAGCUUUAUGUAAUUUCAUUACUAUUAUAUGCCCCCAGGAAUUGUUGAAGUAUAUAUAUCUUGGCAUUUCUUCACUGACUGAAUUAUCUUUCAUAAUAUUCCAGCUUCAAAUGGGUACACUGCAGAGCCGAUUGGAUGCAGAAUUCCUUCUAGCUCAUAUGUGCUCUGUAAAAUUCAAAGACUGAAUAGUGGUUAUGGCAACUCUUUUUAGAUGAUCUAAGGUAUAAUGCCCAAUUAUUGCUUUUGCUUUAUCUGUUUUACCUUGCAACAUUUUGAAAUUUAUGAGAAGCAUAAAAUUACUGAGCCAAAAUUGAGGAUCUGAACUUUCGUAAAAAUAUUCGUAUUUUUAAAUUAUAAAAUAUUGCAUUUGAUGCUUUAGGUGGAACUUAGUUCACUACAGAAAGGAAAAUUAUGUUGGGCAUAACCAGAUGCUUUUCAAGAGAAAAUUUCACUGAUAUUUUUCUGAGGAUUUUACUUGGCCAUCUUAUUUCAAGCUGCUUGAAUUUUUUCUUUAUAUCAUCUUGGUUGUAUACUAUAACUCGUUGAAUUUGCUAGCACUUUUGCUAGUUGGUUAUUCUAUAUGUGAUUAUGGUGGUAAAGUUUGGAAGCUCAAAAAGUAAUGGAACUUAGGAAGAGUAUGACAUAGAAUGCUGGAUAGAAUUAAAAUAAUCAUUCUUCAGGCAUCCAAAGAUGAUGUAUUCAAAAUAGCUAGUUUUGACUUUUGAGGCCGUAUAAAUAACUAUUAUCUCACAUGGUUACAUUAUGAUAGGUAGGCACUAGCUUAAUAACUCCAAUUAACUUGAAGUUGUUACCUGAUUUAUUAUGACAGUGUGCAUUACGAUAAGUAUCCUUGCAUAUUAAGAUUUUCCUUCCAGAUCUUUGCGGUACUUUUUGAUCUUUUCCGACAUGAUAUGCGAUUAUGGGAAGCAUAUGCCAUCACCUUACAGGUAUUCUCUUAAUUUUUAGAUAGUGCUCAAGAUGACAUUCAAGUUGGCUAUUAUUGGGUGCAAGAUUUACCAUGCUCUUAUUUUGCUUUUUUAGUCUAACCCGAUAUUUGCUUAAUACCAUGAUCUGCUUCAAGCCUUGGAUGAAAAACUUUCAUUUUUUGUAUAUUCUGCAAUGAGAUGAGGGUAGUUUUUCUGAUGAUAUUUGGCAGUAAAUUGGGACUAACUAAAGUAAUUUUCUUAAUGGCAUGUCUACUUCUCAGAUGAAUGACCGUCUGUUCAGACUCCAAGGUGAUGAAUUAACAACCACCGAUCUAUUCUGGGUGAAGAUGAUGACGUUGACACCAAGCCAGUGGAAUGACUAGGACUUCCCUUUUGUUACAAUAAAUUGCGUUCAUUAGACACACGCAGUUAAUUAGUGUAGAUAAAGGAGGUCUAUGCACUAUAGACUGUUUUGUAUUUCGAGAGUCCUUUUUUUGUUUCUUUCAUUCUCCAUUCUUUUGAAAUUAUGUACAAUGGUUAUAUUGUCUGUAUUAUUACGGAUUUAUGAUGGGAGUAUCCCAAGUUUAUGGAAUAAUUAUAAAUAAGGACUUUAAAUUUUUGUUGAAAGAAGUUGAGUGAGAGAAAAGAAGCUAAAGCAGUAAGCAUUUGUUAUACUUCAUUCGAUUGUAUCUAAAUUACAAAGGUUGGUGGCCUUAUUUAUAGUGAAGUUCCCACAGGCCACUUGCACUCAAAACAUUCGAAAUAUGCAAACAUAUUGAUAUAUAAACAUACAGAAUUAAUAUUCUGAAACCUUGUAAGUAAUGCAAAUAAAAGUGAGGUUGGGGCAGCCAAUAUUUACAUCAUGUAUUAAUAGAAAUAAAAUCAAUUAUUUCCAAAUAAAUUCACUUAGUUCAAAGCACGGGCUUCGGUUAAGUUGAACAAGCAAGCCAAUUUUUGUUGUUACUUCAUGAUUGUAGUAAGCUGUGGGUAGUGGAUUGUGUUCCCUAUAAAAAAACAAACAGAAGCAUAAGUUUCUCUCAAUUAAGGCACCUGAAAUGUAUUUCCAUGUCUACUAACCUGGUCAUUCCUCCAUGAACUAAACCCUUCUGAGGAUCUUGAAUAGAUUUAUAGAGAUCUCAGAUAAUUUCCUCAUGGUGUGCCUAAGUAAAGACAAGUCUUAUGUACUUGAUUACUUCUGGCCAAUCCAUCGAGGCCACCACCUGUCUCAGUCAAUUCAAUCUUUUAAUAGAGUGAAUUACUAGAAUAAAAUUUAUUAAAGUUGAUAUAAAAUCUAAAUUAAAAAAAUCAGAUAAGAGAAUGAUCCAAAAUCCAAAAAAUCAGAUAUUUAAGGAGUGGACUUGUGACCCUCUAUAGAAUCCAUGGAAGAGUAACUAAGGGAAAAACAUUAGAGGUACUUUUGGCGAUACUAUUAGUAUUCUUGUGCUGAUCAUAAUCUUGGGGGUAGAUCUAGACUAAUUAGCUAUUCAUUGAACAUUCCAUUUCUCCACAAUUACAUGCAAAAGUGCACCUUGCAGUUGCAGCCUAGACCAUAGAAAUAUAGAAUUCCAAUUAUCAACAUCUAAAGCUACUGUAGUGACUUGCAACCAUGAGAUGAUAUAUACAUAUGCUGAGAUUCAAAUAUUUGAGAAGUUUAAACAUCCUGAUGAAAAAUAGACUAGUUCACAGCUACUUUGGGGAAGUUGAUUUCUAAUAGCAGUAGAAAAUACAAGUUUUUUUAAACAUACCUACUCCAGUAAACUCAAUUAACCAAAACAAAACUCAAAGCAUGAAAAAGAGGGAUUUUAACUAACCUAAUCAUUAUCAUUGAUAUUUUAACAUAUUGAUCUUCACAUGGAGUUAACAAACACAAGACUUAGUGCCUAGUACAUAUGUCUGGGGUUGCACAGUCUGUUCGACAAAUUUAUUGAAACUAUAUCCAUGCUCCUUCUCCAAUAAAUAAAUAUCCUCUUGCUUCUUCCAUCCUACUCUAAUUCUUCCUGGAAAGCAUUCUCCCCUUCUCUAAUUCUUCCGAAAAAACAUAACCGACAAUCCUAAACUAAUUACCACCGUUAAAUCUUUCAAACAAAAUUUACAAUUUCUUAUCAGUAGUUUCCUGCCGCAUCCGAUCGAACGGCUCAUCAACGAAUCAAACAGACUUCUUUCCACCCUUUUUCCAUAUAAUUACAUUUGCCUAAUUCCUAAAGUUUCGGCUCCGCCCAAUGUCGGCCGCAAUUGGCUGCCACAGCGAUAUGUUCAUCUUCAACUUCUCUGCUGCGAUUUCAAAUUUACUUCAGCCUCGUACCACCACACUUCCACUGGCAAUUAAUUUCAUUAUCCGAUUUUACUAUGUGUGGAAUAGAUUUGAGCAAUUUAUGAGUUUUCGCUACGAUUUCGACGAUGUCCUCUCAACACUAAUUUGAUCACCUAAUUUUAACUGUUUUGGGUUAUUUAUUUUUUAUUAUAUUUAUAUACAGUCUCUGCAGGCAACCGACUACUUUACUUAUAUGUGGAACUCAUCUGAGUCAUUAGAUGAAGGCCCUCGAGAUCCUACGGUGAUUAUAUAUGAGGACAAAAUGUGUUGUACGUUGCAACUGUUGCAACGUAGGAGGAUCCUUUAUUAAAAUGUUAAUUUAAUCUUUUAACUCAAGUUGAGACCGUAAAAAAUUGUUAUAUAAUAGUGUACUGUACAACCAAUUGCAUAUGUAUUUAUCCUGUGCAGCACUUCUAUUAUUAUUAUAUAAUAAUAAUUAGUAGUAGUAUAAUUACUAUAUAAUAAUAAUUAUUAAUAGUAUAAUUAUUAUAUAAUAAUAAUUUUAAUAAAAAAUUAUUAUUAAAAUAUUAAUUUAGCCUUUUAUUUUGUUUAAUUUACUUUUCAUUAAUAUGUUAUCUUGAAUUUGUUCAUGACCCAUGGGUAAACUAUACCCAAACUAUUAUAAAAUAAUUUUUUUCAUAAAAAUUCAAAUUUAACCCAUUUCAUGAUUUAUCCAACUCAAACCAUUUAAUUUAAUAGUAGAUAAAGGCCCAAUUUAACCCAUUUCAUUUAAUUUAAUAGUGGAGAUUCGGUAGGGUUUUAUUUCCUUCUCUUUGCUGUCAAACGAAAUUAUGUUACUCGAGUCUUAAUUUGUGUCUCAGUAAUUAAUCUGAUGUGACUAUUAUAACAAGCUGCCACAUCGAUUGAUGGCCAAGUAAUUGGAUAUUUAAUAUUACUCAAUUAAUAAAUUAACAAUAUAUUUGAGUUUUUAAGCUUUUUUCGGGUCAGAUCAUUAAUAACACAGAUUUUGCUGUAAUCUCAGGUUGUGUAAUUGAGUGCAUAAGAAAAAAACAAAACAAAAAACUAUUCAAAAAAAUUAAUUUCAUAUAAUAAAAUUAUACUUUUGUUAUAAUUUAACUUAGUAGUUAUUUUAAUUUUUUCAACAUACACAUAUAUACACAUAAUAAAAUUAAUUUCAUAUAAUAAAAUUAUACUUUUGUUAUAAUUUAACUUAGUUAGGACUCUGUUUUCUAGAAACAGAGUCCUAACUAAAUUAAUUGACUGUACAGUACAUUUCAACAUAGCAUAUUUAACCGUUAACCGUCUUCUGAGUUAUCAUCAACAAAUUCAUUCAUAUUUCUCCAGUCUUACGGACGAUAUCAUAUGUUUAAUAAUGAAUGAAUAGUCUUGGAUCAGUGUUUUGCAGCAAAUUCACAUCAUAGUUUUGAUUCUUUAGAUAUGAAUUCAUCACAUUACCGAAAAGAAUACGCGCUAAAAAAUGAUUCCAAGACUAUUUGACUACCAAAAGCUGCUGUCAGAGUGCACUGAAAGUUUCCGUAGGAUACUUUGCGGUUGUUUAUUAUGUUAUGAUGGGCAUAUAAUUCUCAAAUUUUGACUCCUCUCAGCGAAAAAUAUAUCAAAGUUUAGAUUAUGUGUUCGAGCUUUAAUAAAUGCCUGAGUUAAUAAUAAUAACAACAAUAAUAAUAAACUAAAAAGCAAAAUUACUAUUGAAUGAUCGGAAAAAAAAAAAAAAUUGAAAAUGUGUGAACUCCAAUAACCACCCCACAAAUUUAGUGGCGAAUUUUGGAGAGGGCAAGGCUGGGCUUCUCAGAAAAAAAAUGACGAGUAGAAUUGUGGAAAAUUAAAGCAAAAUGACAAGUAUGGAAAGGAAGGCUGAAAGUAAGGCAUGACGAAAGUCUUUGAGAAGGCUGAAGACUACCAAAGAAGACAACUGAAAGCUAGCUGGGGCGUGAGUGUAUAAAUUGUUAGAUGUGUUUGUUAUAAAUAACAUAGAGCCCUUUUGUUAUUUAUAGUUAUAGAGAAAGAGAGAAUGUGUGUUUUUUAAUAGUUAGAGAUAUAGCUAGAAUGGGUGGUUCAAAAUCCAAAAUGGUGACAAUGUUAGUUCUUAUAUUAAUAAUAUUAGGAAGAAGGGGGGGGGGGGGGGGGGUGUGGAGUGAGGGAUGUUUGGAGCAUGAGGAAUUUGCUCAUUUCUGGCUUAAACAUUUCUUCAAUUCCCCUUAUAGACUUCAAAACUGGGUAGAUGAACAAAGGGAAAGGGUUGAGUGCAGCAACUCCACAGGCCGAGUGGUACAACUACACCUUAGUCUUACUAGGAAUAUCGAUCUGGGAGUGUGGUAUCUGAAUGCUUCUCUAUUUACUUCCUUUCAACAACUUGGUAACAAAAUAGCCGGCUGCAUGCGUUGAGAAUGAAGGUCCUUCAUUUAAUUUAAUUUACUUAAUUUCUCCCUCCUAAUUAAUGUCUAUAACCAUUGGGAGGAACAAGGGAUUUUAUUAACUCAAAUAUAUGUAAUGGAGGAGCUCAUUCUUUGGUUUUACUUGCAGGUCUAGAAGCAGGUGUCAUCUAACAGCUGCUUUGAUAAUUUCCCACCCCUUCAUCUUUGAUGGAAAGAUGAAAUAAAAACAAAAUGGUGAAAAUGGUAUUGGUACCUGAGGCUAUGUAAUCUAAUUCAACAACUGCACCAUCAAAACGAUUACAUAAGUCCCAGAAGAAUCAAACAUUAGUUUGCAAAAUAUCAAUUGCUGGAGGUUAGAUUCUAACUUCCGCUCUUGAUUUUUAUGGGCAUGUUGUAUUGUACUUGCAUACGAAAAUCAUAUUUUAGUUUACUUACACUCAACGCUUGGAUUAAAGUUUUAGGUGGGGAAAAUUGAAGGAGACUAAAAUGACUCAAAAAAAUAGUUGAAUGAGUGAGGGUUUUGUCUUCAUUUAAGGAGCUCUUUAUAAAUUUUAGGAUUUUUUUUCCCUGAGAAAAUUUAUGCCAACUUAUUCUUUGCUUCUUUUCUGAAGGGACAAAUGCAACUAAAAGUGUAUUCUUGAAUUCUCCAGGAUAAGAGACAUAUGUUUAAUUAGAUUCUCGAGCCUUCAAAACAAUAUAAAAUUUUAGAUUGAUAAAAUUUUAUAUAUCUGAGCAUGAUGGUGUUUGACAUGACUUAAAACUGUUUAAUUUACUCUCACAUACAAGAAUGCCUAGUUAUAUUGUAGCUCAGAGUCUGAGGUUAAUUCAUAAAGAAAUGAUUUAAUUUGUUUAUUUAAGAUUAUCCCAAAAAAUAAAAAUAAAAUUUAAAUAUAUGUAAUUUAAUUUGAAAAAAGUUAUGAAAUUAAUUAUUUAGGGUCAUGGAUCCACUCUUAGUAAUAAAUACAAUUUAAUAAAUUCUUUUUAUUUUUAUUUUAUUGCCCAAAAGAUUAAUUAUAUAAAUUAUAAUUAUUUUCCCAUUAAUUUUAUUAUGGAUUAAGUACUUAAUGUGCCAAAACUUAACUUAUCUACAAUAAGUCAAAAUACCAUUUUACCAUAAUUUAUGCAAAGAUAUUAAGAAUUCAUGUGCCAAACUCCCAUGUUUGUCUACAAUAAAUCAAAAUUUCAAAACAUAAAAUAUGGAUCAAAUUAAAUAAAAAAUAAUUUAAUUUAUAUAAUUAAAAAUAGAAUUUGAUUAAAUCAUAUUUUUCUACUCAGAGUUUUACCUCACCCUAACUAUUAGUAUUUAGCUAAACAUAUUUGAAAUAAAUGAAAUUAUUAAAAUUAAAAAAUACAUAAUUAAAAAAAUGGUAUUUGAAAAUUAGAAAUAAAACUAAUUUUAUUUAUUGAAAAUGUAUUACAAAGAGAGAUGAGAAGAAGAAUUUGAGGGGAAAGAAGAGAAGAAAAUGUGUGGAGAGGUGUGUGAAAUUAUAUUGUAAAGAUGUUACACAAACAAAUGAAUAAAAAAAAACUAAAUGAAAAUUACACAAAUUAAAAAGAAAAUGAAAAUUAAAUAAACAAGAUAAAUGUGCAAGAAAAAAAUGCACAAUAAAAAUAAAUAAACUGAAAAGUAAUUAACUAAAAUUAAAAUAACUAAAUAGGCGGUAAACAAAGUAAAUGCCAAAAAUAAAAUAAGUGCGAAAAUUAAAUUACAGAAAUUAAAAGAAGAAAGAAAGAAAAAAUAAUUAUCUCAAAGUGUAAACUCUUUUUCUUUUUCUUUUCAAAUUUUAAAUAUUACCAGCCAAUUAAGUGAUUAAUUCAAAUUAUUAGGCUUUAAUAGUAAUUUUUAAAAUCAAUAUUCAGUUUAUUGAGUCCAAAUAAGGUCCAAAGAAGUUCAAGUUGUUGGUCUAAAAUUAAGAAUUUUGGGAAAUAUUGGCAACGGACCUAUUCAAAAAGUUCUAUAAUUUUAUGGUCAAACUGCAAUUAUGAGAAGAAUGAUCCAAAAAUUAGAAUUUUUGGGGUGAGUGAGAUUUAGAAAAUUUUGUGGAUAUAACAUAAUUUAAGAAAGAAAAAGGAGGUAAAUGAAAAUUUAUACAAAAAGUAAAAAAAGAAAGAAAAAAGAAAACAAAAUAAAUACCUCUCCCGGCAACGGCGGUAAAAACUUAACACGACUUUAAAGUAUUUAAUUUACUCUUAAGUAUAAGAGUAGCUAGUUAUAUUAUAUCGCGAGAAGUCCGAGAUCGAUCUACAGAAAAAUGAUUUAAUUUAUUUAUUUAAGUUUAUCUAAAAAAUAAAAUUAAAAUUAAAUACAUGCAAUUUAAUUUGAGAAAAACUAUGAAAUUGAAGUAGUUAGGAUUAUGGAUCUACUCCUAGUAAUAAAUGUAAUUUAAUAAAUUUUUUAAUUUUAUUUUAUUGACCAAAAGAUUAAUUGUAUAAAUUACAAUUAUUUUCCCAUUAAUUUUAUUAUGGAUUAAGUACUUAAUGUGCAAAAGCUUAACUUGUCUACAAUAAGUCAAAAUACUAUUUUACCAUACUUUAUACUAAGAUAUUAACAAUUCAUUGUGCCAAACUCCCAUGUUUGUCUACAAUAAAUUAAAAUUUCAAAAUAUAAAAUAUAGAUAAAAUUAAAUAAAAAAUAAUUUAAUUUAUAUAAUUAAAAAUAGAAUUUGAUUAAAUCAUAUUUUUCUACUCAGAGUUUUACCUCACCCUAACUAUUAGUAUUUAGCUAAACAUAUUUGAAGUAAAUGAAAUUAUUAAAAUUGAAAAAUACAUAAUUAAAAAAAUGGUAUUUGAAAAUUAGAAAUAAAACUAAUUUUAUUUAUUGAAAAUAUACUACAAAAAGAGAUGAGAAGAAAAAGUUGAGGGGAAUGAAGAGAAAAUAAGGUGUGGAGAGGUGUGUUCCUCCCCCCACCUCUCUAUUUAUACUAAUACGUGAUUAAUCCACACAACACAAAUAAAUAAAACUAAUUACAUCUUAGGCAUACAUUUGUCCUACUAACAAAACAUAAACCUAAGUUAAUCCACUUAAGCACAUCCAACACAUUUCACUAAAAAUUACCACACCUAACAUGAUAAAAACUUAUAAUUUCACAAUUACCACUUUUACUUUUACAACAAAAGCCGCGAAUCUUCUCGACAAUGACCUAAUUUCUCGGACUUUCGGAAUCUAAAAGUUUAAAUAAUAUUAAAUUUAUCUAAUAUAAAUAAAUGUAUUAAAUAAAAUAAUGUUUCAUUUUAUAUUUACCCUCCUUUUAUUAAAUUUCCUAUAAUUAUAUUUAAUAAAAUAAAUAAUAUUAUAUAUUUAAAUAAUAUUAGUUAUAUUUAACUAAAUUAAAGCAAAAUGACAAGUAUGGAAAGGAAGGCUGAAAGUAAGGCAUGACAUAAGGCUUUGAGAAGGCUGAAGACUACCAAAGAAGACAACUGAAAGCUAGCUGGGGCGUGAGUGUAUAAAUUGUUAGAUGUGUUUGUUAUAAAUAACAUAGAGCCCUUUUGUUAUUUAUAAUCAUAGAGAAAGAGAGAAUGUGUGUUUUUUAAUAGUUAGAGAUAUAGCUAGAAUGGGUGGCUCAAAAUCCAAAAUGGUGACAAUGUUAGUUCUCGUAUUGAUAAUAUUGGGGGGGGGGGGGGGGGGGGGAGGUCGAGUGAGGGAUGUUUGGAGCAUGAGAAAUUUGAUCUUUUGCGGCUUAAACAUUUCUUCAAUUCCCCUUAUACACUUCAAAACUGGGUAGGUGAACAAAGGGAAAGGGUUGAGUGCAGCAACUCCACAUGCCAAGUGGUACAACUACACCUUGGCCUUACUAGGAAUAUCGAUCUGGGAGAGUGGUAUCUGAAUGCUUCUCUAUUUACUUCCUUUCAACAACUUGGUAACAAAAUAGCCGGCUGCAUGCGUUGAGAAUGAAGGUCCUUCAUUUAAUUUAAUUUACUUAAUUCCUCCCUCCCAAUUAAUGUCUAAUGGAGCUCAUUCUUUGGUUUUACUUGCAGGUCUAGAAGCAGGUGUCAUCUAACAGCUGCUUUGAUAAUUUCCCACCGCUUCAUCUUUGAUGAAAAGAUGAAAUAAAAACAAAAUGGUGAAAAUGGUAUUGGUACCUGAGGCUAUGUAAUCUAAUUCAAAAACUGCACCAUCAAAACGAUUACAUAAGUCCCAGAAGAAUCAAACAUUAGUUUGCAAAAUAUCAAUUGCUGGAGGUUUGAUUCUAACUUCUGCUCUUCAUUUUUAUGGGCAUAUUGUGUUGUACUUGUUGGAGAAUUAACAAAUAAAACACACACAAAAACACACUAUUUUAUUUCUUCAACAACACUUCUCACUAAUUACAAUUCUUAUUUUUCACUCUCUACACCUGAGAGAUUUUGCUACUUCACUUGAUAUUUAAACCAAAGGGGAGAGGGGGUAUUUAUACAUGAAACAAACUAAUCACAACCAUUCAUUUAUUCAAUUAAUACACAAAUCCUCACCAUCCAUUAAAACCUACCACACCUAACACACCUAACACAAAUAAUUCAAACCUCACCAACCAUACCUACUCAUGGAACCUUCCAUGAGUUGGGCUUGAUUUAUUCAUCUUGGAUCAAGUUUAUGAUCCAACACCUCCCCUUAAACUUGAUCCUGUGACACCAAGCAAACUUCUGAAUCUUACAAAGUCUUCUUGCUUGAGUGGCUUAGUGAAGAUAUCAGCUGCUUGAUCUUGUGAUUUUACAUACUUGAUUUGCACUUCUUUUCUUGCAAUACACUCUCUUAUGAAAUGAUAAUGAGUGUCUAUGUGUUUACUUCGAUCAUGAAAGACUGGAUUCUUGGAUAGGGCAAUUGCUGAUUUGUUAUCAACACAAAUCUCGGUUGGCUCUUCUUGUGCCAAACUCAACUCCUUCAGUAAAUUUCUGAGCCAAAUUGCAUGACAAACACUUGAUGUGCCAGCUACAUAUUCAGCUUCACAGGUGGAUAGCGUGACAAUUGGUUGCUUCUUUGACAUCCAUGUGAAAGCAGUAUCUCCCAUGAAGAACACAAAUCUCGUGGUGCUCUUUCGAUCAUCUACAUCUCCACCCCAAUCGCUAUCGCUAUAUCCAACAAGCUUGUAGUCAUUAGAAAAUGAGUAUAGCAAGCCGAAAUUAGUUGUACCUUUGAUGUAGCGAAGGAUUCUUUUUGCAGCUUUAAAAUGGGUAGUCUUUGGAUUCUCCAUAUAUCGGCUCACAAAUCCAACAGCAUAAAGGAUAUCUGGUCUUAUGCAUGUCAAAUAACGUAGGCUUCCAACCAAACUUUUAAAGAAUGUUGGAUAUAUAUCUUCGCCUUCAUCAUGUUUGGAUAACUUGACUCCGCAUUCCACUGGCGUGCUUAUAGGCUUACAAUCAUUCAUCUUGAACUUCUUGAGAAUCUCCUUUGCAUAGCUUUCUUGGGAGAUAAAUAUGCCUUCUUCCUUUUGCUUGACCUCAAUGCCGAGGUAAUAUGCCAUCAGUCCGAUGUCAGUCAUCUCGAACUCUUUGAUCAUCACUCUCUUGAACUCUUCAAACAAGCUUGGAUUACUUCCAGUGAAGAUGAGAUCAUCCACAUACAGGCACACAAUCAAAAUAUCUCCAUCUUUUUCUUUGACGUAGAGAGCAUGUUCAUAUGGGCAUUUGGUGAAGCAUUUCUCUUGAAAAUACUUGUCAAUUCUGCUAUUCCAUGCCCUUGGUGCUUGCUUUAACCCGUAAAGAGCUUUCUUCAAUCUCAAAACUUUGUCCUCAUGUCCUUUCACCACAUAGCCUAAUGGUUGUUCGAUGUAAACUUCUUCUUCAAGGAAUCCAUUCAAGAAAGCAGACUUCACAUCCAUUUGAAAAAUCUUCCAUUUGUUCUGAGCAGCCAAAGAAAUAAUAAGUCUAAUAGUUUCAAGUCGAGCUACAGGAGCAAAUAUCUCGUCAUAGUCUAUGCCAGCCUUUUGACUAUAGCCUUUUGCAACUAGCCUCGCCUUGUGCCUUUCAAUUUCUCCCUUCGCAUUUUUUUUUGUUUUAUACACCCAUUUGACACCGAUCGCCUAGUGACCUUUUGGAAGAGUAGUAAGCUCCCAAGUAUCAUUCUUCACAAUGGCUUUGAUUUCUUCAUCCAUUGCAAUUCUCCACUUCUCAUCUAGUGCAGCUUCUUGGAAGUUGACUGGCUCACAAUCAGCAAAGAGGCAAAAGAGAGUGAGAUUAUCAUGUCUCUCAGUUACCUCAUAGAGAUCUUGAAGACUCCUUGUACGUUCUUCGGUUCUUUCAUUUAAGAAAGACGGCGGUGAAUCUCCGCAUGUGGUUGAUAAUGGUGAGAUAGGUGGAGUAGCAGGCUCUUGUUGUUCGUCUACUUGUUUUAACUGUGUAUGAUCAUCUUCUUCAAUGGGAAAGAAGUUGAAGUCAUCCACACCAGAGCCAAAAUCCCAUUCUCCUUCUUCAUCAAAAACUACAUCUCGACUGAUCACGAUCUUCCCGUUGUUUGGAUUGUAAAGCUUGUAUCCUUUGGAGUUGUUGUCGUAGCCGAUGAAGAUGAACUUCUCACUUUUGUCAUCCAGCUUGGCUUUACUUUCGUCUGGUAUAUGUACAUGGGCAAUGCUUCCGAAAACUCUUAGAUGGGUGAUGCCGGGUUUUCUUCCACUCCAAGCUUCUUAUGGCGUCUUGCCCCACACGCUUCUUGUUGGAGAUCGAUUGGAUAAGUAGACUGCACAUGCAACUACUUCAGCCCAAAAUUCUUUAGGUAGCCUCUUACUCUUAAGCAUGCUUCUAAAAUUCUUUAGGUAGCCCAAAAUUCUUUACCAGAUAUCCUUUAUGCUGUUGGAUUUGUGAGCCGAUAUAUGGAGAAUCCAAAGACUACCCAUUUUAAAGCUGUAAAAAGAAUCCUUCGCUACAUCAAAGGUACAACUAAUUUCGGCUUGCUAUACUCAUUUUCUAAUGACUACAAGCUUGUUGGAUAUAGCGAUAGCGAUUGGGGUGGAGAUGUAGAUGAUCGAAAGAGCACCACGGGAUUUGUGUUCUUCAUGGGAGAUAUUGCUUUCACAUGGAUGUCAAAGAAGCAACCAAUUGUCAUGCUAUCCACCUGUGAAGCUGAAUAUGUAGCUGGCACAUCAAGUGUUUGUCAUGCAAUUUGGCUCAGAAAUUUACUGAAGGAGUUGAGUUUGGCACAAGAAGAGCCAACCGAGAUUUGUGUUGAUAACAAAUCAGCAAUUGCCCUAUCCAAGAAUCCAGUCUUUCAUGAUCGAAGUAAACACAUAGACACUCGCUAUCAUUUCAUAAGAGAGUGUAUUGCAAGAAAAGAAGUGCAAAUCAAGUAUGUAAAAUCACAAGAUCAAGCAGCUGAUAUCUUCAGUAAGCCACUCAAGCAAGAAGACUUUGUAAGAUUCAGAAGUUUGCUUGGUGUCACAGGAUCAAGUUUAAGGGGAGGUGUUGGAUCAUAAACUUGAUCCAAGAUGAAUAAAUCAAGCCCAACUCAUAGAAGGUUCCAUGAGUAGGUAUGGUUGGUGAGGUUUGAAUUAUUUGUGUUAGGUGUGUUAGGUGUGGUUGGUGAAGUAGGUGAGUGGUAGGUUUUAAUAUAAUCUUUUAAGUGAAUAUCAUAGCCUUUUUCUAAAAGUUGACCUAAACUAAGAAUGUUGCUUUUCAUAUUGGGCACAUAGUAAACAUUCGAAAUUAUUUGGUGGCUACCAUCUUUUGCACGAAAAAGAAUGUUACCUCUACCCUUCACUAGUACUUUUGAAUCAUCUCCAAAAGCGACAUUGUCAUUCACAAAUUCACUUAGUUGCACGAACAUGCUUCUGUUUCCACUCAUAUGAUUGCUAGCACCUGUGUCAAGAUACCAUGUAUUUUCUUGACCUGCACUUGUGUCAUUGCGUGCUAGUAAAAGUGUGCCAUCUUCACCAUUUUUCUCUUCAGCAUAGUUCACUCUCUCCUCAAUUCUGGUGCUUGGAGCUCUGCAUUCUGAAGCAUAAUGCCCAAACUUUUGACAAUUAUAGCAUUGUACUUUGGAUUUGUCAUACCUCGAUCUUGGAUUGCCUCUGCCUCGUCCUCUGGUUGAGCUUUCUCCUUUGUCAUAAUUGGAGUUGUUGUUGUUGAAAUUCCAACCUCGUCCAUGACCACGACCUCUACCUCGUCCUCGACCUCUACCUCGGACAUAGUGCAUUCUCUCGUUGUCGGAGCUUUCUUCUCUUUUCUUUGGAUUGACUUCCAUCUUGAGAAGUUAUUCUUUGAUUCCUUGCUUCUUCUUUUUUUUCUUCAUAGGCUUGCAACCUUCCUUGAAGUUGCUCGAUCGUCAUAUCCUCCAAAUCUCUUGUUUCUUCAAUUGCACAACAAUAUGUUCAAACUUCGACUCUACUGAUCGAAGUAUCUUUUCAAUGAUCCUUACCUCUUUUAACUCCUCGCCAUUUCUUUUUAAUUCAUUGGAAAUGGUUACAACCCGAGUAAAGUAGUCAGAAAUUGACGCCGACGCCUUCAUGUGUAAAGACUCAAAUUCUCCUCGUAAUGUUUGGAGACGAACCUUCUUAACUUGCUCCGCUCCUUUGUAAGAGGUCUCUAGUUUCUCCCAUGCUUCUUUUGAGGAGGUUGUACCAGCAAUCUUUUCAAAAGCAUCUUCAUCUAAUGAUUGAAAGAUGAGAUACUUUGCUUUAUUCUCUUUCUUUUUCAAGUCUUUUAAAUUCUCCUUCUGCGCCGCAGUUAAAGUGGCUUCAUUUUCUGGCACAAUAAAGCCUUUUUCCACGACAUCCCAUACGUCAUGUGCGCCCAAUAGAGCCUUCAUUUUAAUACUCCAAUUGUCAAACUUACUUCCCUUUAAUUGUGGAACUUGAAAUGACAUCAUACCACCGUUUGCCAUAACUCAAAAAUUGAGUGAGAAUUUGGAGAUUCUGAAAGCACAGAUGGAUCCGGCACGUCGAAAAACCUUGGGAAGGACUCGAGUCAACUUUCGGUCAACGGUCAACGCUGGUCAACGGUCAACGUCGGUCAACGGUCAACGUCGGUCAACGGUCAACACCGGCUUGGUAGUCUUGGUUCGGUCCGGAUUGGUUCAGCUCGAGUUGGCUCGGUUCGACUUGAUGCGGUUCAAAUCGGCUCGGCUUGGUUCAGUUCGGCUCAGUUUGGUUCAACUCGGUGAGUCGACUCAGCUUUAGGUUAGAAAACUUUCGGCGGCAAGUGUGGGAGCGUCCGGUCUCAGAUCAGGAUGAUUUGUGCGGCGUCACGUUCCUCUCGUCGAGAUCUUCGAUUUGAUAUGCUAUAUGACCAUAUAUAACAUCACGUACUAGCUCUGAUACCACUUUGUUGGAGAAUUAACAAAUAAAACACACACAAAAACACACUAUUUUAUUUCUUCAACAACACUUCUCACCAAUUACAACUCUUAUUUUUCACUCUCUACACCUGAGAGAUUUUGCUACUUCACUUGAUAUUUAAACCAAAGGGGAGAGGGGGUAUUUAUACAUGAAACAAACUAAUCACAACCAUUCAUUUAUUCAAUUAAUACACAAAUCCUCACCAUCCAUUAAAACCUACCACUCACCUACUUCACCAACCACACCUAACACACCUAACACAAAUAAUUCAAACCUCACCAACCAUACCUACUCAUGGAACAUUCCAUGAGUUGGGCUUGAUUUAUUCAUCUUGGAUCAAGUUUAUGAUCCAACAGUACUUGCAUCCGAAAAUCAUAUUUUAGUUUACUUACACUCAACGCUUGGAUUUAAGUUUUAGGGGGGGGAUUGAAGAAGACUAAAAUGACACAAAAGAGUUGAGCGAGUGCAGGUUUUGUCUUCAUUUAAGGAGCUCUUUGUAAAUUUUAGGAUUUGUUUCCUGAGAAAAUUUAUGCCAACUCAUUCUUUGCUUCUUUUCUGAACGGACAGAUGCAACCGAAAGUAUAUUCUUGAAUUCUUUAGGAUGAGAGACAUACGUUUAGAUUCAUCGAGCCUUUAAAACAAUAUCAAAUUUUAGAUUGCUGAAAUUUUAUAUAUCUGAGUAUGAUGGUGUUCCAAUUAUAAGCUCCAGGGUGCAACUUCACUAAGUUUUAGAAUACCUUCCUAUAGAAUUGAGAAAUCUCCAUUGGCAUAAAUAUCCUUUGAAAAUAUUGCCAUCAGAUUUUGAAUUGGAGAACCUGAUUGAACUCAGCUUGCCUUGUAGUAAGGUUAAGCAAUUUUGGAAAAGAGAAAAUGUAUAAUGUAUUACUAUUACCAAAGUAUCUAUUUUUCUUUCUUUAAGUAUUUAUAAUGAAGGCUGAUUCAUAGGAAGGCUGUAAAACGGUAAUCAACGAAGGUAAAGGGGUUAGACACUUUUACACUAGAACUUAAGAAAUAAGAGCAUUUACGAAAAAAGGAGAGAAACACUCAUAGGUGUUCCACUGCCUAAGAGAUCAUGAGAGAGCCACGAGAUCAGUGGCCAAGUUUCCCAAAAAGUAAACCUAAAUUUCUGACUUGAGCGUAGGAGGAUUUUUCCGGCGUGCUCUGACCAGUUUUUGUGUGCGCAGGAGUCUGCUAAGUCAUACGAGUCAUAGCUCUGCUCGGUUAGAAGAGUUACGUGAAGUAUCCUACGUUGGUCGUGAGUUCGGGCGUUGAGGAGAGAUCCUGGUUGCAGACAAGCAGACACCAGAAUCUCGCAUCAACAGUGAAGAUGAUUCAAUAUUAAGCAUGUCAUAUAAUCUGGAAGUGGAUAUUGGACCAAUUUGAUGAUGAAUUUCUUUCAAUCUCAAUCUUUUUCUUUUUAGCAACAUGACUAGUCAUUGUGCAAAUUUAAACUCUGACAAUGAUUUCUCAAUCGGUUUCUAAAAUGAUGACCAUGCAUGUAUAUGUGUGUGUGUGUAGAGAGAGAGAGAGAGAUCACACGUGCGUGAUUUCCUUUUGCCAAUAGGAUAUGCAGAGAGCUUGAUCUUACCCAAUAGCAAAACAAACUUCCUAACAAGUGAAGGUAUAGUAUAAAUACUUAUACUUUCAUGUUAUUUUGUUCAUCAGUAGCUUGAUUAUUUUAUAUGCGUCUUUGUUUUUAAUUUUCUUUCCUUAUAAUCGCUAUUAUCUUUGAACUGGUCAUGAUUUGCCUAUAAGAUUUCUCAUGUUGUUUUGAGGUGCAAUGGAUUUUGAAUUUAGUGACGAGCAGUGGAAGCCAGAAGGCAAAUUAUGAAAAUGGAUAAAGAUCUAUAAUUAGUUGUUAUGGGAUGUCACAUAUCAUAUUGAUGGUAACAUUAUAUAUGUGUACAUAUAAUUAAUGGGGUUGGCUCACGAGCCCAUUAAUAAUCGUAUAUUAGCUUAUAUACUUCAAACAAUGUACUAUGAAGCAAUUUCACAAAUACUUGUUAGCUUAUGUUGAGCUUUAUUGAAUCAGUAGUUCACAGUUCAAUAAAAUGCAGGUUUGCUAUUUGAAGUACAUGGUUAUGGUGCGUACAUUCUUCAUAAGGCUAACUACUAAUUUAUCAUUGAAACUUGAAAAAUGUGACAGAGAGAUGUAGAUAACAGCCGCAAAACACUGAGAUUGAAAAUCAGGGCUGCUAAAUUCUACUAAAAGCCCUUAAAAUAGACAGCGAUCACCCUGAAAUGUAUAUACUGAAACUAAGAAAUAUUAAUCGCAAAGUUAUGCAUUAAUAGAACUAUUGACUACUUAUCUUUAGCAUAAGGUAUAUUUUUAACUACAGCUUUCUACUUUGUUCUAAGAACUAGGCAAAAAUGGUGUAUCUUCAAUCCAAUCAACAUGUAUACCACUUAUCUUCCUCUUCACUUCUGUCUAUUUUGAUUUGCACUUCAUAUCCUGCACUUGCUGCUUAGAAAUAGUCUUAUUCUGGACAUUGAAAGUAGAAAAAGUGCUUGAAACAAUCAUUGGCAUAGCCCGAGAUUCCAUUGAAUCGUGGACUCCAAGCUUUCAUAGUUCUAUAAAGAAAAUGACAAAACUUCAUACAACUGGCAUUCUGCUUUUAACAUUUGCACAACCUGAGCGAGUUAGCAAGCCCCUUGUUGCGUUCCCAUUGAAUAGACCUACUUUUGUUAUCCACAGAAGAUCCACCACUCAAAAUGUUUAUCACCAGGCUAUUCUUAAACUGAGCCUAAACUGAGUAGAAACUUCUGCACAUCUCUCAGCAUUUACAUGAAGAAAUCGACAACUAUCGUCAUCUCUCAGCACAUCUCUCAGCAUUCUACAAAGUUGCAUUUCACUAAGCAAUCUAUCCUCUCCAUUCCUAACAAAGUGACAUUGAUUCCCUUAUUUGUAAUCGCCUAACUUGGGUUUUGGGAAUAGCGUGGUCUUAAAAUUACCACCCAAUACUUUGUUCAGUGCCACUGGCAUCCACAACCUCUAGCCCUGUUAGCUGAAUCAUAUUCAAUGGGACAGUGAGGCAGCAUUUCACUAACAUAUUCAAUUUGACUACUUAUAUUGACGCAAAUAUUAGAAUUUGAAAUCACUUCUUUUCUUGGAAUAUUAUAUUAAAAUGACCCCAAAUGAAAGUUCUUGAAUGGAAAUGAUUUUUAUUUAAUUUUCCAACAGAUUCAAGAAAAUCCAGAGAACACAAAAUUUACACAGUAAUAUGAUUAAGAGCUGAGAACGUACAUGUAGUAAAUGUCUAUCAAAAAACACCCAAGGGUUUCUUUAAAAUUAGAAACUAGUAAAUAAAAAGAAAGAAUCAUUUUACAUUUUUAGCAACUUUGGGGUGAGUGAGUGAGUGAGAAAUUGAAACCCUAAAGUGAUGACAACAGUAAGAUUCAGUAUGAAGUGAAACCCCAAUUUGAAAUGUAGGCAUGAGUUGCUGAGUCAGUAGAUGAAGCUAUAAAUAGGCAUUCGGUUUCCUUCUUUUCGGUUUGGAGGGCCAUGGAAUAGUGUAUUGGAGUGGGCUCCAAGUAAUAGCCUCUAUCACUAGAACGACAAAUCUAUAAAAUGUGAUACAUGGGGAAGGAUUGGGCAUUAUAUUCUUAGAUUAGCGCCUUAUUUAGGGUGUAUAUUAAGCAGAUUAUAUAUUACAUGGAGAUGGAGUUUAUGAAAUAGAUUAAAAAGAAAAGGAAAUUUUGGUGCCUAAAGUUUGCCACUUGGAAUAUUUCGGUGUCUAAAAAUUCACUCACCACUUAUUUCAUGUUUGAUUAUAUGUUGAAAAGAUAUUAAAAUAGUAUAAUGCUAUUAAGGCUUAACGUAGAUUUUUUAUUAGUAGAGUGUAGAAUUUUUAAGAAAUAAAUUAUUAAAUUAUUAUAACUAACAUAUUAUUUUAAAGUUGUGUUAUGAAAAAAAUGAAAUAAAAAUGUACAGUAAAUAAGAAUAUUUUAAAACUUUUAUCUUUUUAAAAUUAGUUUUUAACAUAAGGUGAACUAUUUUUUCUUUAAAAUCACAUAUUCUAGUUAAAAUCAAAUAUGUAUUUAUAUGAAGCUUGUAAAUUUUUUUUUUUAGUACUGAUAUUUGAAUAUUAUCAAUAAAAAAAAGGGUAAUGUUCAUGCUGCAUUAUUUUUGUAGCACACAAAAGGACAACAAAGUUUAUGUUAUAAUACUAUCGCUUCUGUUAUGAUAAUAAUUUUUUGUGGCCAAAUAUCUUUUUUUUUUAAGUAAAAAAAAGUGGACAAAAUACAAAUCAGUUUUUAAUCCUCAAUCUCUCCCAAAAUAUAAAUUCGUAGGUCCAUGGGUUGUUAAAACUAUAGCUGACAAAAAGUUACUAACAAAAACAGAAUGUCCAUUUUAUAACUUUCUUAAAAAACUUUCCUUAACUUUUUUAAAAAGUUACCAACAAAAAGUUAUUUCUAAUUUUUAUUUUGUUAUAAUUUUUAUAACAAAAUUCGUAGUUAACUAAACUCUUCUUAUUCCCUUUCUCAACUACCCUAACCCUGUUCCCCAUGUCCCCACUAAACCACGCUCAAUUAAGGCCAUCAGAUUCUCCCGGGCCCACAUUAAUCCAACUGCUCACAGAGACCGACAGCCUCUCUAUCUCCAUUUCAAGCUCCCUCUUCAACUGGCUUCUGCUACCGUCCUACUCUUUCUCGGCUUCGGAGUCCGUAUUUGCUCGGCCUGUCCCACGAAACUCCCUCUCACUCCAAUUGUCGCCCCACAAGACCAAUUGCUUAAUCAAGACACCGAACAAGAAGAGGAUGAGAAGUUGAAACAAGAAUUUGAGAAUUGGAAAUAAAAAACGUACGCAUUGACCGUGCCUUUGAGAGUCGUUUCUCUUCAGAACUCAGUGCCUCAAUCUUGGGUUAAGGAUUUUAUGCGAAGUCAGGGAAAGAGAUUGAAGUUUCAGAUGAAUUUGUGUGCUAGCAUUGAUGGGAUCUUUAACAAUUUAUCUGUGCCCUUUAACAAAGUUAAGGCUAAGUCAGCUUCUUAUAUGGCUGCUGAUUUGGUUAGUGUUGGUGAUUCAUGGCUUAGUUUUGCCAUUAAAAAGAGAUUGAUUGAGCCAAUAGCUGGAGCUGAAGACCAAGAUUGGUUCAAAUGCUUAAGUCACAAAUGGAAGGUAACAUCUUUGUCUUUGAUCCUCGAGGUAAAAUAUGGGCGGCACCAUACAGGUGGGGCACAACGGUGAUAGCCUACAAGAAAAGUAAAUUUCGAAAGCAUAAUUUGGCUCCGAUUGAGGUAAUAAUUUUCUUUAAACUCAUUUAGUUUUAUAUCAAACAAAAUCAAGACUGCCUUUCUCUUCAAUAUUUUUUAUGAUAAUAUCUUUAGAAGCAUCUCAUUGACGGGUAACAAUGGCAUCCCUGAAAGAGUCUAUAAACUCAAUGAUAUUAUCUUCUACAAAUGGUUCAUUAAACUUUGUCGUUGUGCUCAAAUGUACACUCAGAGCAAUGAGAAGUUAUGCCACUUUAGCAUGUAGUGAUGGCACUUAAUAAGUGAGUUGCUAGGAUGUGAACUAGAAAAAUUAAAUAUUGUCUCCUUGGGUAUGCUAGCUCGUAAGUCAGGGUUAAUAUCAGAGCUUAAGAUAGUAUAACCGUGAGAACCUAUUGACUGCCAAUUAAAAUAUCCAUUAAAAUGUCUAGGGAGUUAUGAAGGUGGAGGUAACUUCCAAUUUCUAAGGCCACAGAGUAGACAUCAUCCAGGAUCCUAGGAAAGUCCAGUUAACCUCCUGCUCGAUGCAAUUAAUAAAUUUGGUCAAUGCCACUGAAACUUGCUAACUGACGUCACAAUGCGACAUGAGCACUUCAAAAUGGGACAGACGGUCAGUGGCACUAAAUUUUUCUUGCCUAAGAUUGAGCAAUUGGUCUAACUACUAAUCCCCCAGAUUUAAGAAUCUUUUGAUGAUAAUUUAUCACCUGCAGCUGUGCCGGAAGAUUCAAGUAGCACUGAAAAAUAUGAUAAUUUAAUUGAUAUGGACAGUUUCCAUAUCACUUUUAAAUCAUCUUAUGUAAUUGUAAUGUUAGGAAGCAUUAGUGAUCUAAAAGUGAACUAUUAUUGGUGUCAUUGGUGGUUUUAUCUUGUUAAAAUAUGGAUGACUUCCUGUUACUAUUUUAUUGUAGACAAUCUUAUUCAAUUAACAUAAGGUUUAAAACCAUUAUGUUUUAUGUAAAUCAAUCUAUUAAUUUUCAUGAUAUUUAACUGAGUUAAAACCAAGUGCACUCAAUAAAUGUCUUUUCCUUUAAAAAAACUACUACGCUUUGAUUUUAGUGCUUAAUAUUUCGUAACUACAGAUUAUCUAAUUGCGAGUUGCUGUCCAUAGCUGCUAAUUUGUAGUGAUUAUCUAAUUGACUGAGGUGACAAUAAUUCUUUUAUUUUCAAUAGCACAAUGUGGAAUUCAAUAAUUAAAUUCUCCUAUUUAAUUUGUUUCAAGUUAAAUUAUUAAUUACUUAAACUCUGUUUUAAGUCUUUAAUUUUAUGUGUUUAUGCAGAAUUGGAUUCUUGAGCGUGUUGGACACGACCAACAAUGAAAUUGAUAGUAAACAAACAUUACAACGUGUGGACUCCGGUAAGCACCAAUGAAUGUCUAGCCCCGUUGACUCCGCCAACUAAAGUUUUGUAAAAUUAAAAAAAAAAAUACAUAGAAUUCCACCAAAUGCAAAACGCGUGAAAUUUAAUUUUCGACCGUGUGGACCAAAACAUAAUUUAACAAAAAAGGAAAAAAUGAUAAGAUUUUUAAAAUGUGUGGAAGGUGAUCCAUAUUUUACUGAAACGACUUGUUAAAUUUUUCAAGGAUUUAGAAUAUUUGGUCAUAAAUUACGUGCAUGUUAAUUUUUCCGCCAUUGACUAUCAUAUUCUAGACUUAAUGGUACCUUUCUUGAUGAAGGGUACUUAGUCUCUCUUCUCCUCUUAUAAAAAUUAUAUUAAUUGAUUUCUUGUUAUAGUUAAUAGUCUUUAAGAACGGAUAGAUUUAUUGUUUUCAUGACCAAAUUAUGCAUGCCUAAGGUUGUAACUACUAAUAAAAUUAAUAUUUAAUGUUUAUGUUAAAAGAUAUAAGUUUUUAUGCAUUCAUUAAUUGUUAUUAGCUAAAGGAUGAAAUAUUUUUUCCCAAUCAGUUGAUGCAUCUGCAAGAGUUUUUUUUUUUCUUUUAUUGACCAUAAUUAUAUUCCGGGUACAAUAAAUUGUCUUUGGUGCUUGGAAAAUAUGACACCUCUCUGUCAACUUACUGGAAAUAUCUCCUCAUCUACUCUCAUUUAUCUAAUAUGAAUUGAAGAUCUCAUAUUUCCAAACUAUGACUUCCAAAUCUCAUUAUCAUUUGAGCAUUCAAAACUAAUCAAGUGUGGAAAUAAUCAAAUAUAUGCAAAAAUCGAGUCACAAUCUUUGGCCCCUCAAAAUUCUAAUUAUAUAACUUCUAUAUAUCUCAUACAUUUUCCAAAUUCCUCUUCCAUGAACAUCACUAGGAGUAUGUUCAUCUCUCACACAUUAACUUGAGUGAAGAGUUUCCAAAUUGAUUAUUAGAAAACAAUACAAAAGCUAGACACGUUUGAUCUGUCUAAUAAUUCUCUUUCGGUAAAAUUAAUUAAUUUUAGGGGAAUUCAGCCAACCUCUGUAAUUUCAGAGUGAUCAUUAAUUAAUUAAACAAUACAAAUAUCUAAAGUGAUUAGAUGUUUGCCGACAAUACAAGUUCAUGGCUUGAAAUUUGAUCUCUAUCAAUUGGUUUACAAAUGGACUCACUUGUGCCUUUGUGGUGAUAAUUGAACCAGAGAUGUGAAGCUGUAAGGAUUUGGCUGUAGUCAAUUGUUAUAAAGACAUAAAGACAACUUCCCAUGAUUAUUAUUUUUUUCCAAGAACUAUUUUACAACAAAUUCAUCUCGCCAAAAAUUCUAUUUUGCUAACUAACAAUAAUUGAGCACUUGACCGCAUUGACUCCACGUCUCCAGCUACUUUCUAAGUAAAAACAUGGAAAUGUAAUCUCCACAAAAUGCCAAACGUGUGGAAUUUAAUUUUUGGCCUUGUGGACCAAAAUGCAAAUGAAAGAAAAAGAGGGAAAAAAACAAGGCUCAAAGACUUCUAAAAGAUGUAAAAGUCUUUGGGCUUUUUUAUAAUGGUGGAUUUUUUAAAAGGAAAAAAUAACAACACUUCUAUGGUUUGUUUUAAUAAUCACAUUUACAUAUAUUCUCUAAUUUUCAAAAUGGACACAUAAAUCUUUUUUUUUCUACAAAUGUAUAUUAUUCGUAUUUUUUAUUAUUUUUAAUAUCAUAUUGUUAUUUAUUAUAAAUGUUUAAAGUAAAUUUUUAGGUUGAAAUAUAAUAAAAAGGUAUAAUCGUUCUCAUAUUAAACACCCAUACUUUUAGUUUCUAUCCAUUUGUCAUUUCAAUCUCCCUCAAUUAUUCUUUAUUGCUAGCUCAAAACGCAUCGCUGUUGAAAAUUAUAGCAAAAUGACAAAUAUGGAAAAAAAGGGAAGAAAAUUAAUGCAUGAAAGACUUGGAGAAAACAACCAAAUAAGUCAACUAUAAGCAAGCUGGGUGUAUAAAUUGUUAGAUGUGUUAUAAACAAAUACGUAUAAUGUUAAAGAUAUAGUUAGAAUGGGUGGUUCAAAAUCAAAAAUGGUGAUAAUGUUUGUUCUGCUCUUAAUAAUAUUUGAAGGUGGGUGGAGUGAGGGAUGUUUGAAUCAUGAGAGAUUUGCUCUUUUGCAACUUAAACUUUUCUUCACUGAUCCUCAUAAUUAUCUUCUCGAUUGGGUAGAUGAUGAGGGAGCUACUGAUUGUUGUCAGUGGGAAAGGGUUGAGUGCAGCAACACCACAGGUCGAGUGAUAAAACUUGACCUUGCUUUUACAAGGAAUAAUUAUUUGGAAGAGUACAGAGACUUUGUACACAAUCCGGGAGAGUAUCUGAAUGCUUCUUUGUUUACUCCCUUUCAACAACUUGAGUCACUUGAUUUAACUAACAACAACAUAGCCGGUUGUGUUGAGAAUGAAGGUGCUUCGUUUAAUUUAAUUAAUUUACUUUCUCCCCCCUAAUUUAAGUUGACUAUCAAGACCGAGCAAUUAGACGCAUAUUCAUUUAGUCGACAAUUUUCACUUUUUUUAAAUGAUUAAUUUUGAAAUUACACCAGUAUCUAUAAUCAUUUUUUUAUUUUACUUGCAGGUAUAGAGAGGCUAUCAAGAUUGAACAACUUGAAGAUGCUUAAUUUAAGUGAUAACUCGUUCAACAAUAGCAUUUUAUCAUCUCUAACCCGUCUUUCAUCAUUAAGAUCAUUAAAAUUAUCUGACAAUAGAUUGAAAGGAAGUAUUGACUUUAAAGGUACAUAAUUAAAACUUCAUCCCUUCUCCAAGCUCUUUCAUUAACUUGCUAAAAUAAGAUUCAAGGCUUUGAAUUCAAUUUUUUUAUGAUUAGUAUUAAAAAAAACAGUUUUAAGCAAUUUAUAAAUACAAGUUUUAAUGGUUAUCGUAAUUUCAUCUUGUAAUUUCAUGUCUUGAAUUUAAGAUUAAAAAAAUAACACUAACAGCGAACCAAACACCUCCACAACUUAUUAUUAUUAUUAUUAUUAUUAUUAUUAUUAUUAUUAUUAUUAUUAUUAUUAUUUUAAUUUGUUGUGAGGUUUGAAACAUUCAACUCAAUUUGUACUUACUACAGAAUUUGAUUCUUUGAGAGAUUUAGAGGAGCUAGACAUUGGCUGGAACAAGAUUGACAAAUUUGUGGUCUCAAAAGGUACUACAAAUACCAUAUAAAAAUGCUAACUUAUACAAAUUAGUUGGAUUCUUUGCCAUUUGGUUUAUUAUUUUACAGGUUUGAGUAAGUUGAAGUCUCUCGGUUUAAGUGGUAUCAAACUCAACCGUAGCAUCUUAUCUUCUCUUUCUUCAUUAAGAGAAUUAGAUAUAAGUGAUACGGGAUUCAAAGGAACAUUCGAUGUUCGAGGUAAGCCUAAGCCUUGCUUUCUCAUUUUAUAUAUGCCAACUAGAUUUGUGUAUCAUCGACAUAAUUUAAUAGUUAAUUUGAUAAGUCUGAAGGAAUUACAUGCUAAUUUAAACAUACUUUUAUUUACUUUGUCAAUUAAUUAAUUUAUUAAUUACUAUUUGGCUUGGUUUGGACGAAAUUCUCAUGAUGUUUUAAUUUCUUUAAAUUAAUUAAUUAAUUAACUCUGUUUUUAAGUCUUAAGUCUGGGCAUGUUUGCAGAAUUUGAUUCCUUCAAUAACUUAGAAGAAAAAUAGAAAAAGUCGAGCAAGAGACUCUCGCCCUAUUUUAAGAUGAGAGUAGCGAUCACUUACCUGAUCUACGACCUACUAUCUACGCGUACCAGCCUUCCUUUGUUUUGCAUCACGAGAUGGACUCUUCGCCCAUCCCCUAAGGUCUUUCAAAUUAUACCUAAUUGGGGAGAGGACCCACCAGGAGUCCAACUCCAGAUUGGUGGCUAAUGGGCCUCGCGUAUCCUGCCUUUUCGUAGAAUGCAACGCUUAUACGUUCACUGAGGAAUGAAAUCCUAUCUUUUAUCCGAGCUAGGGAUCAGAAAGCAAGAAGGUGGGGGUCAGAAAUGAGUAGCGUAGGUGAUACCGAUAGGGUGGUUGGAUACGCGACAGCAACGGCAAGGCACUCUUGACCCCGUCCGUAGAGGGUCGGUACGAAUGAGACUGUGCUAGAGAUCGCAGUGAGCAAGUAUGCCUUGUUGACUGGGUGUUGGUUUUGAAACAAGGAUGAGUCCCUCAGGGAGUCCGUCCAAGCUUCAGCUACUAAUGCCUGGGCUAACUUCUUGGGGGUGAACAAAGUGCUCUGAGUCUGAGAUCGAUACUGGUUAACGCCACAAGUGCUCUGCCAUUGGUCUACACACAGAGUCAUCAGGUAAAGUCAGAGCUUGGACUGGGAAUGAGAUCAGAAGAGGCUAGGCUACUAGGGAAGAUAGAAGCGAUCCACAAAUCAAACCACUAUCCCAUUGGCCGCUUCAUGCGCCGAACACUCUUAAUAAGAAGCUUUAUUUUAUAAGGUAUGUGUCUAUGCUCUCGAUACACGGCUUGAGAAGGCGGCUCCUUUUUAUUCUUCCUAUAGGAGCUACUCCUGAUUCAGUCAAUCAGAACAAGCCUUCGGACCUACCAACCAAUCAAACUAGCUUGAUGCGGAGGCAAAUACCCAGGGAUACUAUAGCUCAACACACGCCUGGCCGGGGGGAAGGAAGCCCUCGAAGCGAGCUCCGUACCAAAUAGCUGUGGAGAGAGAGAAGCCAAACUCUACCGCACUGAAGAGCGAGAUAAAUAACUGACAUCCUUGGUUGAUGAUCCUCGUCGGUGGAAGGGAAAGCGCGAUGAAAGGCAAGUCGGUAGUAGGUCCAAUGGAGAGAGGAAUUGAGAAGAGAUAGGGUCCGCUUUCUAGGCUGACGUUGGACAGCUGUUGGAUAGCCCCGACCUACACAAGUGGUUUUAGAAUGAACUCACAUUUUGAAAUGUUCUGUUAGGUUCUUAGUAGCAGUCGGCGAUCUUUUCUUCUUUUACUUCACAUAGCUUUUCGUCUCCUUGAUAGCUGGAAGUUCUCCAAAAGUAUGAAAAGCUGGAGGACUUUGUACCAUCCAUUCCGGUGUGGUUGGAUUCUGUUCAACAGCCCAAGGACUUGGAGCACAUCUUUUGUUAUUUCCACUGCUUGAAGUGAUUGUUACGACCACGAAGAAACGACGAAUCCCAACUACGGAUAUAUAAGAGCCAAAACUGCUAAGGGCAUUCCAUCCAGCGUAAGCAUCUGGAUAAUCUGGAAUGCGACGUGGCAUACCCGAAAGCCCUAAGAAAUGCAUGGGAAAGAAGGUCAGAUUAACCCCGAAAAAAGUGAUCCAAAAAUGGAUUUGCCCUAAAGUUUCAGGGUAUGUCCGACCAAAGAUUUUACCACCCAAUAGUGAAAUCCUGCAAAUAAAGCAAAAACGGCUCCCAUAGAAAGUACAUAAUGGAAAUGUGCAACCACAUAAUAAGUAUCAUGUAGAGCAAUGUCUAGCCCAGAAUUUGCCGGGACUAUUCCAGUGAGUCCUCCUAUAGUGAACAAAAAGAUGAACCCUACAGCAAAUAACAUGGGUGUUUUGUAUUGUAUCGAACCCCCCCACAUGGUAGCGAUCCAACUAAAGAUUUUGAUUCCAGUGGGGACAGCUAUGAUCAUGGUAGCUGCGGUGAAGUAGGCACGGGUAUCAACGUCUAAGCCCACAGUAAACAUAUGAUGAGCCCAAACAAGAAAUCCAAGAACACCUAUACUGAUCAUGGCAUAAACCAUGCCUAGAUACCCGAAGACCGGUUUUCCCGAAAAAGUCGAAACGAUAUGACUUAUGAUACCGGAUCCAGGCAGAAUGGGAAUAUACACCUCUGGAUGACCGAAAAACCAAAAGAGAUGCUGGUAUAAUAUGGGGUCUCCCCCUCCAGCGGGAUCAGAAAAGGUUGUAUUAAAGUUUCGAUCGGUUAAUAACAUGGUAAUUGCCCCCGCCAGUACCAGAAGUGAUAAUAAAAGUGGGAAUGCUGUCACUAGAACGGACCACACAAAUAGGGGUGAUCUAUGCAUAGUCAUUCCAGGUCCACGCAUGUUGGAGAUUGUUGUUAUAAAAUUGAUAGAACCUAAAAUGGAUGAAACACCAGAUAGAUGAAGACUAGAAAUUGCUGAAUCAACUGCUCCUCCAGAAUGGCUGGUAAUACCACUUAAGGGCGGAUAGACCGUCCACCCAGUGCCGCUACCCACUUCUACUAAGGCUGAGCUUAAUAGGAGCAAGAGACUUGGUGGCAACAACCAGAAUGAAAUAUUAUUUAAUCGUGGAAAUGCCAUGUCAGGUGCACCUAUCAGAAUCGGAACAGACCAAUUACCAGAUCCACCUAUCAUCGCCGGCAUAACCAUAAAAAAGAUCAUUAAAAAAGCGUGAGCCGUUAUUAAAACAUUAUAAAGUUGAUGAUUCCCACCAAGAAUUUGAUCGCCGGGAUGUGCUAAUUCCAUACGAAUCAAUACUGAGAAGCAUGUGCCCAUCACUCCAGCAAUGGCACCGAAGAUGAAAUAGAGAGUCCCUAUAUCCUUGUGGUUAGUGGAGAACAGCCAUCGAACCGGAUUUGUCAUAAAAUUGAGAUUCUUUCGUUUCCUUCCUUAUCAGAGAGGGGCCCCUUAGGGAGCGGGGCUUCUUUAUUGAAAAAGGGGGAGUGAGGGGGGAAGGAGCGAAGCGAAAGCGGGGGGGUCCGGAAAGCCCUUACUUUAUUGAUGGGACAUUUUGAUCCCCUUUUCCUCUCACCCCCCGUUCUGGUUCAGGAUUCAGGAAAGGGUCAACGCAAGGAUCUUACUUCGAAGCAAUCUCUGGAGUUUUCCCUUAUCCGAACGGGUCUUGCAAGAAAAUAGGAUUUCAUAUUGAGCUCCAAAUAUACGCUAUUGGGAUAGGAUGGCUCCUACUAUAUCUCCCCCCCCCCUAAGAACCGCACGUGCGAGUUCCCCUGCAUACGGCUCAAGUGGCGAAGGCACUUUCCUUCGCGCUUGAUAAGCGCUUCGCUGUAGCCAAGCUUACUGCUAGCCUAUCGGCUAGAGCCAAGCUUCGACCCCGACUGCUCGUCGCUUCUGGCCGCCUUAUUCCGUCACCCGAGAUCCAAGUCAGCACCGGAAAAAAGAUCUUGAUUCCUCGCGGCCGGGCCGGCUUGGAAGCAAGCUACUUGUCGCCUAUCUCACCCCCUUUCUUAUUAUUAGUAAGAUAGGGUGCCCCUUUCUCUAAUAAUAAGGUAAGCUUCUCUGAAUUCCGCUGGGUGAGCCUUCGCUUUUUGGAUCGUCUUCUGCCCAAUGCGGUACCCUCCCGUUUGUUUUUAGGUUCCCAUUGGGUUUACCUUGUUUACAGGUCGAUCCCAUGGCAGCAAGAAAAGGUGAUCUUGUGCUAUACUCCGGUGAUCUCUUUCCUACCGAGGCACGCAAACUCCCAUCGUGUCCCAGAUCAUAUUUCGUGAAUCGAAAGGGGAAGCCUCCUCAUCCAUCAGCUCCUCUCGUAGAUCAGUGCGGUUUUACGAAGCGUCUAAGCACAGUUCACUCGCGUUGAUCAAUCAAGAGCUUUGCCGCCACUCCUUAAGGUUACCUGUUGUAUCAUACACUUCUUGCAUUCUUUCCCACGCUUCAUACCCCCCUCUAGCUUCCGCACGGAGCGGUAAGGUAAAGGGCCAGGCAUGGUGGGGUCGGAGCAUCCUGUCAGCAAUCUUUUUGGCUUGACCAAGAAGUCUUAUGUCCUCCGAGUCGCGCGGCGUUUUAACCGAAAGAACUUCUUGCGCAAUUCAUGCCUUUCUGUUUUUAUGACCAGAAAUUUUUUCUUGAUUUCCAUUUCAAAUUGUUCUCUGGACUUUUUAUCAAUAUGAGGUGAUCGUAACACAGUAUAUAAGACUCGUGAUUCAGGCAAUCCAAUCUUUCGUGUGUAAGGCGGAAGAGCCUGGUUUUCCAAAAAUGGGUGAUCAAAAGAUCGAAUCACUAUGCGUAUCUUGGUGGUCGUUACUUUUGGUGGUCUUUCUUUUCUUUUUGGCUGACUCCUCCUACUCCUCCUUCUCUUAUCCUCUAUAUAGCUCGUCGUUGGUCCUUUUUUUUUACAUAACAUUCUCAGCCGCUCAAGAGUCAAGAGACUGACUAUCUCUCUCUUUACGCAAUUUCAAAAAUGAAGUAGCAGAGUGACUACUGAUUUUGGACGCGCUGAGUUAUUUAAGCAAAGCCUUUUUUGAUCUUGUUAUUCUAAAUUAUUUUAUUGUCUUUGCUCAACUUCGUCGAGCCUUGUACCCAGGUACACGGAACACUAACAGAAUCUCUGUUCAAACAAAAACGACAAGCAAACCCGAAAACUAAAGGGUCACCUUCUCUAGCAAGCAAGUAGACUUUUCUCUGAGCCCCAGGGUAGCAAAGCUAGCUCUUCGUAUCAUUGGCAUUGGGCAGGUGAACGGGAACCUGGCUACACAACUACUCUUACUCUAGCAGAGGAUCUAGUUCCACACCAAUCUGCUUAUCUUAUAUAAGAUAAAAUAGAUAAACUUAGCGUACCUACAACCGCUUGUGCCCUCUUGCUUUAGCUACUUACUCGGGAACUAGCUUCGCACCUCACCCCGGGAACUCAAGGGUGCGUAGCUUGCUUGUUGAAGGGGUGUUUCCGUUCCUCCGUUGUGGGAUAGUUUUUCCCUAGUUCGGUCCUAUAAGAAGAGUUCUCUAGAUAUCAACUCAUGGUACUCCCCGGGCCCCUAACAACAAAACUCAUAGGUUAGCUACAGCAGUUCUAGCAUCAGCUUCUCGAGGGCCUAAAAGAACCUCUUUCGUCAUUCGAAAGUGGCAUUUUAGCUCCUUUUCGUGAAACAGAUCGGAGAUCAGGUCUUAUCGAUUCAUACGAUUUUCAUACGUCUUUUUCCCACAUUAAUAAACCCCUUUUUUCUUUAACACGCUAGUGCCCAGAUCUUCUUCUUUUGUCUUUGAGCCUGCCUUUAGGUAGCGGCAUGGAAGUCCCCCUUCUUCUCAAGCAGGAAGCCCGCGUAUUCUUAUUCUAAUGUCCAUUGGAGCUUCUCUUUUCUUCCCGCUAUCUGGCUGUUCUAUUUAGACGUCUGUUCCCCAGUCUUACUUUCUCAUGCCCGCUUUCGCUUCACUCCUUUCUACUUCUGUUACAGUAGCUAUAGUUGUAAUGGCGGUUAUGCAGGUCCCCUUCUCAUUGAGUAGCCUAUACUCUGGAAUUGAAGUAGCGAAAUCGGCCUUAGCAUAGAACGUUUACCGCUUGCCUUACUAUUACUAAUAAUCGGGAAUCAGAACAGGCAACUAUGAGACUAAUUUAUCAUUGCCCCGAGCAAGUUACUGCGUACCUGAAGUGAGUGUGCCCAUCUUGGUCUCCUUUCUUUUUUCUUUGCAGCUGCCAUAAAAGUAAAGCCUUAGAUUCUAACAGGAAUCUCACCGCCUGCUCCCCUUAUAAUUAUAAGAUACUCGCUACUAAGGUUCUGAAAGAAGGCAGCUAAAUCAGCAAUAGAAGAGAACUCCAGAUCUAUGAAUAGCCAACAAAGAGCCUAGCUUUAUUACUGGAACUAAACAGCAAGCUGCUCCUACCUUACUUAUCGAGAAGGAGUACUUGGACUGAGUAGACUUCUUGUAGUUCUCUUUCCCCUAGCAACCUUUCCUGCUUUCCCGGUUGCAAGGUUUCGAGCUAACUACAGGAUUUGCUUCCUAGCUAAUAAUACUAAUUAGUAGUAUUGAACUUCGAACUAAAGAUUUUUUUUAGUUAACGGGCAGGUAAGGGCAAUGAAGGAAGCCGUUAGGCUUGAGACGAAACGGAUUCUAUGGAUUGAGUCUGGCAGUGAUGUUAGUUAAGUCCACUACCUGGGGCUUGUCUUGCUUGAGAACCCGUUUGGAACAAUCUGGAUUUUCCCCUUGUGAGUCACUCGAAUUCUUCUAUUUAUCAUUCUUUCAUGAAUAGAAAGAGAAAGAUCUCCGCUUCGUCUUUCUUCCAAGAAAAGAUCCCAAGCCAUUGAUAUUGGUCAUGCGUGGGCUUUCACUCAAUCUUUCACUAUGAUAUGAAAGGCAAGCAGGAAUUUCACCACUAAUGGGCCAGCGCUUGGCGCUUACUCUAGCCCGUGUUUCUAGGAUACACCUAUUAAUUAUAUAUAAUAGUUUCCCCGAUAUUCGUGGCUUUCCCCUUACUUAUUACUUAUAAGUAGAUCGGUUGAGAUAAGUAGAUUGGUUGAGGCCCGACCCUUUCCUUUGGGGUUGCCGACCUUGAUGCCAUAGUGUUUAGGGGGCUGAGCGGGAAACCAACACGUUGUGGAAACGGAAUAGAGCUUUUCCCUUGAUGGAUGUUAUCCAAUAAAAGCACACAAUCAGUGAGAUGAGCCUGCCAGCUCAGCCUUGGCCCUAUGCCUUUUGGCCAGCUUGACUUCUGACCGGUCGAUCCCGCCCCCUCUUGCAACGAUUCGGCGCCUCCACUUGAUGCUUGACGCCCACGCUUCGUUCAGGCAGCGCUCCUCGGAUAUGUCUUGCCAAUCGCCAGAGCGGUGCCACUUCCAGGAUUUGGUGCGGCCAGCUCGGGAACCUUCCCUGGAGUGAAAGGGUACAUGGAUCGGUUCCUCCACCAGAGGUCAGCUGAAGCGGAUUGGUCAAAAAGAAAUUUUCUGGCUUUGCCUCAUACCCGGUAUAACUACCAUUUUUACUUUGAUAUGCUUCUUACUUCCUUACAAAGUUGCAAGGAUCCCUUCUUGCAUUCCCUCCUUAUUCAAAAGGAAUUUAUUCGAAUAUCUAGUUGAUAAAUGUUCAUGAGCACGGGGUUGCCUUGCCUGAGACCUCUACUACUGCCGUGGAGGGUAAUUGAUAACAAUGGAAUAUUUUAGGUUAGUAAUGCAGACCCUUAUCCAUUCGAUCCACUUCUGAGGGAAUCACAUAGCCAGCAUGGCAGCUUCCCGGAAUCCCCAGUCAACACUGUCGAACGCUUUCCUCAGGUAAAUUUGCACACACAUCCUGGCUUUCCCUUGCGGAAGGUGGAAUUUUUUUAGCAUAUCGUGACAAAGCAAGAUGUUAUCCUGGAUGCAUCGCCUUUGUUGUUUAUACCUAGCAGGAGCAGCAAAGACGAAGGCUGAAGCAUCACUAGAGGUAUCUAUUGAGCUUUCUCCUCUUUUUGCAUUAGCCCAGUCACUUCCUUUAUGGAAUGGGUUCACCAGCACGCGGAGGUAAGUAGUUUACUGACUCAGUUCUUUUACUAAAAAAGGAGAAGGGAAGGGGGUGCUAUGAAUAGAAAUUUUGAAUUGCAUAUGCUCUCGAUCGACCUAGGCCUAAAAGGAAUCCGGCUACUCAAUCGCCAGAGAUAGAAAUAAAAGAUCUAAGCUUGCUUUAAUCAUUCGAAAGCGAUGCUCAUUCCAGGGUUUCAAGGCUUGGAAAUAGAUCUUAUUUAAGACAAAAAGAAGUGAGCAUAACCAUCUUCAAGCUCCACCCCGGGAUUUUAGGUGUGAACUCACUUUAGGGAAAUGAGGCUUAUAACCAAUCGAUUCUUCACCCACGUAAGCUCGCCCUGUCACCCUCGCUCUGGUUCGAGAAUCAUGUCACCCUCGCUUUCCGCUUCUGGAAGAUCAAUGACUAAUAGAUAAAGGGCUGUGGAACUAUAGACAAUAGGCGGUAACCUCUCUUGAUCCGCGAGUAGAGCACUUGAACUACUCAGAAAGAGCUGGUUGGCUCAAUUCAAAUAGAAAGAAAAAUAGACACCCAUCUUCUUGGCGAGCUAAUCAGGAGACAUACAAAACCAGCAAUCCAAGUUUUGAAGGGAGGCGGCUGCCUGCAGUCACUAAAGGAAGGGGCUUGGUGGUCUUAUUUUAUUAUCUAUAAAAGAUAGCAUCUCUUCCUGCUGUUCGAAUCAAAACGAUUAGGGACAACCGCUCGCUUCGAGGCAGGUUAAAAAGCAUAGGCCAUAGCUUCUACCUCUCCUGGAUCAUUAUGCUCAUCUGGAAGCGGUUUUUGCUAGGAUGAAUGCUACUUCUAUGUAUUUCCCAUCGCAUUUUCAUAAGGUUUCAUAUCCUUCUUUUUCAAUCUUUUAAUGAUGCUUGCCAAUUCUAAUCCAGGGGAGCACUUAGAUCGCAGAUUUUCGCAAAACGACCUCGCGUAGCCAGUUCAGGUAUAAAUUUGAAUAGGUUUACCAAAAGUUUUCCCUAUUUUGAGAAGAACUUCACUGUCGAAGUACUCAAUAGGGAGCUCAGGUAAACGGAUCCAAAGCGCAGUUUUAGUGACCGUUGCCAAGGAAGGCCUAAAAUCAGGGUGCUUCGAAAAGUGAGAUAAUGGUUUGCUAUCAUCCAAGGUCCCCCAGUAAGAGCUCUUUUGUAAUCCUCCCCAUCAGUUAAGGAUGGUCGUGGCCCAGGUCAAUGAAGUCAACUCCCCACUUGGUCUCCACAUUUUAAAAAUUUUCUCAUGGAUAAAUUUGUACUAAACUUUCUUACCCAGAACCUUAACUAUAAGAAAGAGACUUCCUCCAUGGUUGAAAAAUUCUCCUUUUCUUUUAGUUUCCCCAUUACCAUUAAUGUUGAUCACAAGGGGACAAUUCGAAGGGCCCUGGUUAUGGAUUUGCUGCUGCUGCUCAUCUUCUUCCUACUCGUCUGAUUUAAAGCCUUCAGACUCCGGUUCCGAGAUCUCAAGAUAGUAUGAGCCCUUGUGCUGUACCUGCAUGAGAACGAACAUCACGAAAGGACAGUGGUUGAUUACCGUCUUCCUUUGAUCGCUUCCAUGGUCCGGGACUCUUCCCAAGGUCCGGAGGUAGCUCACAAAGGUCGCCAUUAACUGUUUCAGUCGUCACAGAGGUCGCCAUUCCUUAGCCCCUCAUUGGUUGUUAGGCAUUUGUCACUUCUUCUAUUUCAUUUCCAUAGCGAUUCACUCAACAUAGAAAAGCAACUAGAGCAGAGCUCGUAUCCGGCCUAAAGCUCUUGAACUAUAGGAGGGGUCUAGCAUACUGAAACAUAAAUGUAGCUAUAAAGCCUUUUUGAGCAUCUUCCUUGCGAUCUCCUUAUCCUAUAUCAGAACACUUUUUCACUUUUUUUUGCUAUCACAAUAAAUUGCCAUAGAUCGAAAGUGAGUCCAGGCUUAGUGCUUCCGCCUAUCCGGCAGCCGUUACCAGCUGUUCACCACUCCUCCCUUCUAUGCUCCGUGGGUCUUUUGUUACCUAAUUCCCUUAAACACGGAAUUGCUCCUAGUCUUUACCCAAGAGAUGUCCCUGAGACUCAAUAAGAAAAUUGUCUCUUUGCUUAGCUUAAGCACAAGAUUCGACAGUUGUGAUUCCGUCUUGGAUUGAGCUUUCUCACUCUUUCUAUGCCUCUUCCUGAAGUGAACGAAUACAUCUCUUUCUGACGUGAAUGAACGCGAUUCUCUAAUAAGACCCAAUCUUAUUGAGUCAAGUAGAAGAUUCUUGUAGAAAUUUUUUUUGAUUGACUUACUCCAACAUCAAGGUGGAUUUAGCUUGGAUUAAUAGAGAUUAAUAGAACAGACGGGAACUAAACAGAUAGGAAUGCCCGACACAAUGCGGCUACUAGAAAAACGUAUAUUAGAUACACCAUUUCUUUGUCACGUGCAUAGCCCUGCUCCUUGUCUUUGAAAGUCCGUAGCAAUGGACACUAUAUAAUUCCUUGUCGCUCUCGUACGCACCAACCCUUGCCUUGUCUCUCGAACCCUUGCUUCUCUCUUGUGCUCCCUAGAGCUAAGUAAGCAAUUCUCUCUCCUCUCUAGCCGUGGCCGCUAGGAAUUGCUUUCGCUCUUCUCUCUCUGGGGUGCUGGUGGUCGAUAGUUGUAUGUAAUGUUGAGGAAAGAGAUUCGGAUGAAAGAGGUACGACGGGAUAUUCCUCCCCGGUUCGGAACUAAACGUUGAGCGGCGGAUCAAGUAAAAGCUGGCAAUCCUCCACCUAACAACUCCUCCUUUACAGUAUCAGCUGUUAAUAAGCUCUAAUAGACAACCAACCCCAUCUAUUCUUGAUAAACCGGGGCACCUUUCCUAUGUGUCAGUGCCAUUUUUCUCUAAGGCUUAAAGUGAAUCUGUCAUAGCUUGUUGCCAGCAGAGCUGGCCCACGGCUUCCGAAAAGGUUUGAGGUUCCCGCAUGAACACUGGCAAGAAAGGCACGAUCUUUGGGAGAAAACGAGUUAUAGGAUCCAUAGGAUUUUUCAUGCGAGAAGACCUACGUACCUCAGUAGAGGGUAGAUAGGAUCUGGAGACAAGGAAGAUGAUGUAGAGGUAGUAGGUUGGCCAGCCUGAUCCAUCUCAGAUGCCUUGCACUUUUUUAGCGCCUAGUGUAAACCGGAGUGGCAGGUCGGCUAGAAGGAGACGGCUCCUCAGUGGGACCAGAUGAAGAAAGCUCCCCUUACUAGUAAAGGGGGUCCGAGGUUCAGGAUAUGAAAUAAAGCAACUUGACGUAACAGAAAAAAGCGUAAACCGAGUUGAAUCAUAAAAUCAAGUUUCAUCCCCAACUGAGGAAAUGUAAUUGUUAAGGUCGGUAACCUGUGGCUACCUCAGGACUAUCUGACUACACUACUUGCGUUAAGGCGCUGAAGCCGGAGUUUUCUUGGUAGGGGUUAGCUUAUUCCCAGACGAACCAGCCCAGUAAGAGAGAUUCCCCCAGACACCAAUACCUGCGGGAACUAGUAGCCACACUACGGCGUAUGAGAAAUUCCCUGACGGCUUCCCUUAACCGUAGGCCACAGUUGCUUCCUUCGCUCUUGAAUCUAAAACCAUAUCUGGUUUCGCCUCCCCUUGGAGCGACCCUUCCGAAACAGCAUUCUAGCAACUUCGUUUUCAUCCAGCGUUCUCACCAACCAGUGAGCCGUCACAGAGUCUCCCGCUAACUCAUGCCAAACCCUUAUGAAGGUAUCCGACUUUUUCCAAUUCUUUGUGACUUCAUCAGUCUAGCAAUAGCAGCAUGCCAGUAUUUUGCCCUAACUACGAAGCUUGAGUCAUGUCUUCGCCCGUGAACGCAACAGGACGCGGUCGUCUAACUCGACUUCCGCAGCGAGUCUCAUUGCAGCUCUCUCCUGCAGUAGUGAAUUUUUUUUUAUUUUACUUCAAAGAUUUUUUUUCUCACAAGAUGCUUGUUUUGCAGAGGGGUGAAAGUUUUGAAGAAAUAGAAGAAGAAAGAAAGAGUAGUAGCCAUGAUCGAUUUCCUCUGCGCAGGAGCUUGGGAUUUGAGAGUAAGCAUGACUCUGAGAAGAUCUCUGAUUGUGAUCAAUUGGGUCUCACUCAAAUCUUGGUAAUAACGAAUGACUUGCUUGAUUUCUCUGCAUCGGCUCGUGAAAUCUUGGAUGAUCUUAUCAAGUUCAAUUGAACUAAGAAUGUCGAUUGCUCUGUCGUAAUAGUUUGUGGUCACUCCAAAGCUUCCAUGGCGGAAUCAGUACCCCCCUCCACUGAACUACGGAUGCCUGUACGCAACCCCAUGAAGCAACCGAAGAUCCAUUGAUCGCUUUUUCGACACCCGUAAUUUUCCUGUAAAAGAAAGAAAAUCCCGGAAACUCAGAUUCUUCAUUGUUGAAAAAUCUUAUAAAAAUAAGUAAUUUAGGAAUUUUCAUUACUGGGAACACGUCGCUAGCCUAAGGCGGGCUUCGCUAUCCUCCCGAAGCUGGUAUUUUCCAAUGUAAUGGUUUUUGACCACUCACUUAUAUGAGUACAAGGGGCUUGACUAUAUUUUUUUUACUUUAUGUAAUUAAGUUUAGCUGGAGGGUCCAUCUAGCCACCCUAAUUAACCCGGUUGAGGAUAACACAUUAUUAAAUCCGAAUGAUGAUUUCAUAAUCAAUCAUAGAGGUGUGAAAUGGCGUCUUUUCAGAAGUCAGAUAGCCCUUGAAGGUGUUAGCGCACACCCUUUUUCUAUCAUAUAAAUUUAGCUCCGAAGGCAACCCGUCGCGUCCUCGUCACGGCGUUAGCAGCCAUUGACGAUUAUUGAAGACUAAGCUAGUUGGCCUAGAAUGGAGCGCAUACUACUUCUUUGAAAUCGCGAACAUCUUACUCUUACCUUUCUUCUUAGUCUGAUCCGGGAGUGUUGGACAUGAGGUACAAUGAAAUCGACAAUCUUGUGGUUCCUCAAGGUAAACAAUUAAAAUAUUAUUCAAUUACAUUAUUUUAAUUCAUUUGAUUAGGGAAGGCCAAAAAGGUCCAAAAUAAUAAUAAUAAUAAUAAAGAAACAAAUAAUUUGUAUUAUUUAAAAAACAGAAUGUAAUAAAGAUUUGAUUCCAGUUCUUUAAUCUUUAAAGCGAUUGAAAAACAAUGUUGGACUUUUCCCAAAGCAUAAAAUACGAAUUGAAUGCCAAUUAACUUAAUCAUUCAUUUCGUUUAGCUCUAAAUUUAGACAAUGAAUUUUUAUAUUAUUUCAAAAACAGGACGUAAUAGAAUUUUUUUUAAAAACAGAUUGUAAUAAAGAUUUUAUUCCAAUUCUUUAAUCUUUACUGCGAUUGAAAAACGAUACUACUUCCCAAAGCAUAAAAUACGAAUUGACUCCCAAUUAAAUUAAUCAUUUAUUUUGUUUAGGUCUAAAUUUUAGAGGAAUGAAUUUUGAUUCUCUUCAAUCUUUUCUUAAUUAUUAUUAAUAAACAGGUUACAGAGGUUUGAGGAAGCUGAAAAGCCUUGAUCUAUCGGGAGUUGAAAUUAGAGAUGGAAGCAAGUUGUUACAGUCAAUGGGAUCAUUCCCAUCCCUCAACACUCUUUACCUGAAGGAUAAUAAUUUUACCGAUAUAGCGACAACUACUACUCAAGGUAAGUAAAAGGUACAGAUGUGGCCAAAUUUAUAAAUAAAUUGUUAAUUAAUUAAUUUUUCCAUAUUAUUAAUUAAGCUAAAUUUGCUAAAUAUAAACAAACAGAGUUGGACAAUUUCACCAACAUGGAAUAUUUGAGAUUGGACUUUUCCUCUCUCCAUAUAAGCCUUCUGCAAAGCAUUGCAUCAUUAUUCCCUUCGUUAAAAAAUCUGUCGAUGUCUUUCUGUGAAGUCAAUGGUGUCGUACGCGGUCAAGGUAAAAGAAAAGUGUUGAUUGUGAACUCACUCACUGGUGUCCUAUGUGUUCAACAUUUUUAUUUAUUUAUUUUAUUGUUUAAUGUUUCUGCUAGGUUUUCCUUAUUUCAAGAGUUUGGAACAUUUUGACAUGGAUGACACGCCCAUUGCACUCAACACCAGUUUUCUUCAAAUCAUUGGUGUAUCGAUGCCUUCUCUUAAGUACUUAUCACUGUCAGAUUCUACUCUUGGCACUAACAGCAGCAGGAUUCUUGAUCAAGGUUAAUCAGAUGCUCCCACCCUCCCUUCUUAAUCUAUAAUAUUAAUUUUCAAUUAAAUAUUUAAUUACACAAACGAAUCACUUAUUAUAAAAGAAUAAUACUCAUUCAUUAAUUUUUAUAUUGUAUUAAUAAUUGAUGAAUUUAAUAAAUUUUUAGGCCUCUGUUCGUUGAUGCAUCUGCAAGAGUUGUACAUUUAUAAUAAUGAUUUGAGAGGCAGCUUGCCUUGGUGCUUGGCAAAUAUGACAUCCCUCCGAAUAUUAGAUGUUUCUUCCAAUCAACUUACUGGAAGCAUCUCCUCAUCUCCCCUCGUUCAUUUGACAUCCAUUGAAGAGUUGUAUCUUUCAAACAAUCACUUCCAGAUCCCAAUUUCACUUGAACCACUUUUCAAUCAUUCAAGACUCAAGAUUUUUUAUGCUGACAACAACGAACUAAAUGCAGAAAUAACUCAGUCACAUUCUUUGACCGCCCCAAACUUCCAAUUAUCACAUCUCUCAUUGUCUUCCGGUUAUGAAGAUGGCGUCACAUUCCCCAAAUUCCUUGACCAUCAACAUGACCUGGAGUAUGUUGAUCUCUCACACAUAAAGAUGAAUGGAGAAUUUCCAACUUGGUUGUUGGAAAACAACACAAAGUUGAGACAACUUUCUCUCGUCAAUGAUUCUCUUGCAGGACCUUUUCGGUUGCCAAUUCAUUCACACAAAUGGUUAAGAAUGUUGGAUAUAUCCAACAACAACUUCCGAGGCCACAUUCCAGUAGAAAUUGGAGAUGUUUUACCAAGUUUAUACGUUUUCAACAAUUCCAUGAAUGCUUUAGAUGGUAGCAUUCCCUCUUCAUUUGGUAAUAUGAAAUUCCUCCAAAUUCUGGACUUAUCCAACAAUCACUUGACUGGUGAAAUCCCCGAGCACUUGGCCGUCGGUUGCGUCAACUUGAAGUCUAUUGCAUUGUCAAAUAACAACCUACAAGGUCACAUGUUCUCUAGAAAUUUUAACUUGACAAACUUGAAAUGGUUACAAUUGGAGGGCAAUCGCUUCGUAGGUGAGAUCCCACAAAGUUUGUCUAAAUGCUCCUCACUAGAAGGAUUGUAUCUUAAUAAUAAUAGUCUUUCGGGUAAGAUUCCACGAUGGUUGGGUAAUCUCACAUGGUUACAACAUAUUAUAAUGCCCAAUAAUCAUCUUGAAGGCCCUAUUCCAGUGGAGUUUUGUCAGCUUGAUUGGCUUCAGAUUUUGGACAUUUCAGACAACAACAUAUCUGGAAGUUUACCAUCUUGUUUCCAUCCUCUCUAUAUCAAACAAGUUCAUCUUUCAAAAAAUAUGUUACAUGGACAGCUAAAAAGAGGUACAUUCUUUAAUUGCUCUUCCCUUGUGACAUUAGAUCUUAGCUAUAACCGCUUGAAUGGCAGCAUUCCAGAUUGGGUUGAUGGGCUUUCUCAGUUAAGCCACCUUAUCUUAGGUCACAAUAAUCUUAAAGGUGAAGUGCCAGUUCAAUUGUGCGAAUUGAACCAACUACAAUUGUUAGAUCUUUCUAAUAAUAAUCUUCACGGUCCUAUUCCUCCUUGCUUUGAUAACACCACACUUCAUGAAAGUUACAGCAAUAGUUCUAGUCUUGAUGAGCAAUUUGAAAUAUCUUUUUCCAUCAACGGCCCUCAGGGAGGUGUAGAAAAGCAAAUCCGUGAAAAUUUUGAGUUCACAACAAAGAACAUUGCGUACAUUUACCAAGGAAAAGUGCUUAGUCUCCUAUCAGGACUUGAUCUUUCUUGCAACAAGCUAAUUGGUCAUAUUCCCCCUCAAAUUGGAAAUUUGACAAGGAUUCAAACAUUGAAUCUAUCACACAACAACUUGACAGGAUUGAUCCCAUCAACAUUUUCAAACUUGAAGCAAAUCGAAAGUUUGGAUCUUUCCUACAACAAAUUGAAUGGGAAAAUCCCUCAUCAACUUGUGGAGUUAAAGGAAUUAGCUGUUUUCAGUGUGGCAUACAAUAACUUAUCAGGCGAAAUUCCAGAAUGGAAAGCACAAUUUGCAACCUUCAACGAGAAUAGUUAUGAGGGAAAUACUUUUCUUUGUGGACUGCCAUUGCCCAUUUGCAGAUCACGAGCAACUAUGUCGGAGGCGUCAAUCGGCAAUGAACGAGAUGAUAAUUUAAUUGACACGGACAGUUUCUUUAUCACAUUUACAACAUCGUACGUAAUAGUGAUAUUUGGAAUUGUUAUUGUUUUAUAUGUAAAUUCUUAUUGGCGACGUAGAUGGUUUUACUUUGUUGAAAUGUGGAUAACUUCAUGUUAUUAUUUUGUUGUAGACAAUCUUAUUCCAACAAGAUUUUGUCAUUGAAAUUAAUUAGUAGCUUAAUUACGAUUCUUUAAGUACUAAUCAAGUUUGGUUAGGAAAUAAAUUUAUUUUUAUUUUUUAUUAAAAUUGUAGUAGUAUUUAGCGUUAUAUAGCUUCCAACUUCCAAGCACUUCACAUUUGUCUCCACACUUCCAAACCCAUAUCUAUCCACCAUAACUUAUACUUCCCUAUACUGUGCAGCAUACUUAAAUAAGAGAACCAUCUCCAAUUUUAAAAGCAGCCACUCUAUAACAUUCAUUUAGAAACUAUAUUCAGAAUAGUUUUAUAAUCAUACACAAGAAAUGAAACACCUAGAUGCACUUGAUCGCCUAUUUUACUUUAAAAAAUAAUGAUUAUGGUGCUAUCAUCAUCUUCUUCGCUAGCAACAUUAACACCAAAUCCAGCGAUGGACCCAGACAUUUUAUCAAGAAAGGUAUAUAUAUAAUAAAGUUGAAGCUUGACAAAAAAUUUAGGAAGAUUAAUGCCUCGCCACAACAAGGGGCAGCACAACAUCAAAGUAGAGAUGAAGCAAUAUUCUCAAAGCUAAAACUCUCAAAUCCACCCACCAGAAUUUCAUAUCUCCUCAACAAUUUUAAGAACUAAAGAUAAUUAGGAUCUAACAUUAGUUUUUUAUAUAUUAGUUUCAUAAUUUACAAAUCAAUGAAGAUGAAGAUUAUGCUAAUGAAUUCAAAUUAUACCAUACAUUCUCGAGAUGUUACCAAAAAUUUCUAAGUCAAUCCCACAUAUUUCAUAAUUUUAAGACUAGAAAAUUUCAUUAGUUAGAAGUUUCAUUACCUUCAAGUGGAAGAUGAAGAACAUUAUACAAUUGAUUCAGAUUAUAUCAUACACACUCCAAAUGCAACUAGAAAUUAACAAGUUCAUGCGCACAGAUUUCAUAACAUUAUGAAUGGAAAGUUUCACAAAGAGAAAUUCUAAAUUCAAUCUCUUGCAUCGAGGUAGUUUGAUUGAUUUGAGUUACUUUCUGAUCAAGCUAUUAAUAUAACAUUCAAGUCAGGGAGAAAGUAAAUUAAAACUGGGAAGAAAUAACAGUAAAAAUUUGUUGCUAAACAUGAUGUGUAUUUUUUUUUUAAGGCAAUUUGGAAACACAGUUGUUACUACAGAUAUUCUCCUCAACUUAGAGAUAAAUACAAAUAUUAAAAUGCAUAUGAUCGCACAUAGUACUUGGAGCUUAGUAAGAUUUCAUUAAGAGAAGCAAUCAAACCACUUAUCAAUUGUUGCAAUCGUUCUAUAAGCUAAAAUAGCAAUAUAAUACAAGAAAAAGAACAUAUAGAUACUUGGCAAGAGUUCAUUAAGAAGUCGCAUCACAUUCGGGUGAGGAGUUUGCUUCUGAUAUCUUGCUAGCUGGGGCUUUUUCUUGUCUUUCUACGUAUGCCGAGGGAAACCAACCAGCUUGGCCCUUGCAUUCACCUUCCGACCAUCCAAUAGGAGCCACCUUGAGAAGUUAUAACUAAAACGGUGAAUUAAACAAAAGUUGACCGUUCAAAGACCUAAGGGGAAAACUAAUUCUUUUACGUAGGAGGAGUGAAUUAGUUGUGAUCACUGAAAUAACAGCUUAACUAUGGAAGCAUAACAAGAUAUAAAUUCACACGUCUAUAAGGGUAAACUGGGUGGUUUAGAACUGAGCUAGCAACCCUACUAUAUUCUGAUUUGCACUUCAAUGUAAAAGGGAAUAUAUGGUAGGAAGAAAGAAAACCAACCAUCAUUUGUUAACUCAUUGCUUUUCAAUCAAAAUUUUAAGAACCAAAUGCCAUGUGCUUUGAACAUCAAAUAAGUAUAAGCAUUAGUUCUAAAUUCCACAUAUCAUAAGUUAGAAGGAUAAGUUAAUAGCAUAGUAGAAAAAUCUGUGUUGUUAUUUAGAGGGGAAAGUACCUGGCGAACCACAACAUAAUCAUCAAUUGAAAGACUUAGCUCUCCAUUUGCUUGUGCAUCAAAUGGAUGCAUAACCUGCAAGAUAAUGGGAUAAAUAGAACUUAAUCUUAAAAAAAGCAUAACAAAAGCAGCAACAGUACCAGCAACGUUCAUUGUAACCACUAUGAUCAUGGCCAACAAAGAUAUAUUAGAAACAAAAUUCCAUUUUUACUAUGAUAUCAUGACGAUUGGGUUACCAAGAGCUAUCAAAGUCCAAUAAGUUCUGUAUAACUUUAUGUAGUUAUUCAAAUUAUGUAUCAGAUUUUAAAUCUGAAAUUUUGACUGCUCUCCACAAAACAUGGCCUAUGCACAAGAAAUUCAUAGAUAAUGAGGAUUGCAAGUGUCUGACAUCUUUUGAGUGAUGGAUUUAACAUGAGAGCUUAUGGUCAGUCAAUUUCCUCUGCCUAGCAAUAUAAGCUUUCUCGGCCAAAUUUAUCAUCAAAUACAUAGAUUGCCCCAAGUCAAAUCCAUAUAAACAUAGUUUUUCUAGGUAAACCAAGCAAGGAGAAUCAUAAUUCAGACAUAAUCAUAAAAAGGCCCAUCUAACUUAAGAGAAAAUCUCAAAAAGAGGGAUGUUGAGCUAUCAGUCUUGUAUCCAUAAGGAAUGUCAAGACUUUACAUCACCUGCUACAUCGUGAGUGGCUACACAACUUUCAGUGGUUUGUCUUUCUUUGGCAUGCCUAACUCAGCUUUGAUGUUGCUGAGAUAUUGAUAGUAGAGACACAUGAGACUUCUAGCUCAUGCAUUCUAUCUAGCUCAUCCGACAGCUAUCUCUUUUUUAAUUCAUUAGUGUUUGCUAAGCCACAUGCUUAAAAGUCCUGUUGUUCUAAACAAAGUUUCCUAAGAAUGACUUCCUCAGCACCACAUUUGGACAUUUUUAGAGCAAUUUUAUUUGGGGGAAAAGAAUUUUCAAGGUGUUAACUAAUAAAUUUUAAAAAAUAAUUACAAUUUGUCCUACGAUUAUAUGACAAUUUAUCUGGGAUGAAAGGAUAUAGACAGACAUCUUCCACUUUCAAGACUAAUCACUACUUCCGUAGAUGUUUUGCAAUAAUACAAAUACUUGACCAGAUGGUAGUGAUGGUAGAAAAAAAUUUUAUUGCUCCAAAAUUAAAAUAAGAAUGCAAUGUGUUAAGCAAAAGACUAUGCAACAUCAAAUUAAUUGAUAAGUUUGUAAUUCAGUAAAUUAACAACUUUCAUGGUAAAAUACAACAAAUUUCUUUUCAAAAAAAAAAAAUCUUAAAAGACAGCAUUCAAUUUUGUGCGCAUCUUAUUUCUUAAGAUUUUCUAGGAGGGCAAUAGAGGGACUUUCACCUAUGCAAGAGAGCAGAAGCCUUACUUUCGCUAUAAAGUAGACGUCAUUCUGAUUAAUAUGCGUUUGCAAAUCAGCUCCAUUUGAAUCAGUAUUCUGAUAGACACAUGAGGCAUUUACAUCCAUUUCCAAAGUCACAUGUUGCGAGGAGGACUCAUUUGAUUGCUCCUCUAGGAUCAUCUAAUUCAAGUAGCAAGGGUUGGAAGAGAAUAAAAAGUCACAAUUAUUCUUUUGCAUAAGUGAGACGAAAAUGAUAUAUGCAAUAUUAUCAGCAGUAAACAAGAAGAGAACACUCCAAGGAAUAGAUAGAUGCGGACAAGCAAGUUAAAAUGCACAGUUCCAAACCUCCGCAUACAACUUCUCUGAAAUAGCAAUAACGUGUUGAUGAUAUGUUUUCUCGGCAUCUACCUGCAAAGGCCCGAGACCAGGAAAACAACAAUAAAACCACUAGCUAAAGGAGAAAGUAAAGAAAGAAAUACACUUGACAUAAAUCUUGACAAGAAGCACAAUUUAAGACAUAACAAACCCCAAUCAUAUUGUUUAGAACUACCAUUCGUUAUUUCGUUAUUGUAGCAUUUCGAACAAGUGUUGACUUAAUUCAACAUUGUUGGAAAGAUAGGCUUUUAGAAGCGGAAGAAAGCCACUCAAACCAAAGUGAUUCUUAGGAUGAGUUUUAAUCACUCCCCUGAUUUAUUUGGGUUGCAGUAAAACUAAGCGAGCAACUGUUUGACUUUCAAGCAACAUCUAAAUCAGCUAUUAAAAUUCAAAUAAAAUUAUAAUUGAAUAAUAACUGGCCAUCUUGCAUCAAAAAUUAAGUUUAAUUUGUGAUUUUUUUUCUAUAGACAUGUUAGUUCCUGCUAUUGAAAUGUUAAAAGCAUUGAAAAAUUAUUCAAUAAAUUAUGCAAACAUUAAAAUAGAGGACAUAUUAAAAAGUUUCUAAUUACAAUGUUAAGAUUUCCUAUAUUUUAGCAUUUGCAUAUUUUAAUUUAUUUAAAAGCUACGUCGAUCAACUUUGGGAGUGAAGAUUUUAGCUUCUACGAGACUUGAUUGGAAUAUGCAUAAGGAAGAGUGUUAAAAUAUGAUGCAUCCAACGAAAGACAAACCACGUGUAGUCUUUUAAUUAAGCCAAAGUAGCAGCUCAAACAAAUGACACUUGGACCAACAUGCAAUCAUGAAGUGGCCGGAAAAAGGACAAAUGCAACUUUGGCUUAAAUAAAAAAUAACAUGUGACUUGACUUUUGCCGGACAUGCAUCAUGUUAUUACAAGACAACAGAAAUCAGUAUGAUAGUACUAAAAGUUGACAAUAACAUGAAGAUAAGAGGCAGAAUGUCAACACAUGCAUAGGCACACACAAGAAAGUAUUAACUUAUAUACCAUAGCAAAAAGUCUUUGAUAUGCAUCUGUUGCUGCAGUGAUUCAACUGACAGCAUGGCAGCUGUUCCUUCUCUACCAAGAGCCAUUAUUGUAGAUUUAAGCUCGGUCAAUCUUGCUUCUGCAUUUCGAAGCUUCACAGCACUCUCUGCUGAUAUAUCAGAUUCCUUAAUCUUUGAUCGGCGCCUAAAUACUUCAGCUGCCUGGUGAAAAUAUUCAAUAUAAAUCUAACAUAAUUCUAAUCUUGCCUUAUACAUGCAUAUGUUAACUCAAAGCUUACCUGGGCUUCAACUUCAUGUCGAAGCUUGUCAUAACGAUGAGUCAGGUGUCGAGCAUCUUCCAAAGGUGCUCCGUUGAUUAACGCCCGUAGUGGCUCAGAUACCUACAUGUCCAAAAACCUGUAACAUAGUUAGAAAAAUGAAAAGAAAGAGCGAAACCUCAAUUAAAAAGUUCCUCCAACAUAAUCAUGGAAUUUGGGCCUACUUCAAGGAUAUAUAUAAGGAUAAUUUAUGCAAUUUUGGGUCUUAGGAUGAUUCAUAUUAGGUUAGUGUUCUUCUCUUCUGUAUUUAAGGUUAAAAUAGAAAUAAACCUAUGAAAAUAUCUAAAUUAGGGCUGUAAGACUUCCACAUGCAUCCUUCAGUCUCAUGGAUUUGAUUUUACUAUAGAUGCAAGUGUCUUUAUUGAAAAUGCUUGGAGUCAAUUGAGAGAACUCACGGCCAAUAACUUGUCACACGCUAGUCUUUGCUAGUGAUGUAAGAAGUCACAAGGUCUCUUCAGCAUUUGAACCAAUAAAAUUAUUAAGUCAUGGAUGUCACUAGCAAUGAUUUUAAUAUAAAACAUUAAAUAUUUCAGAGUUGUAACUUUAAAAUGGAUUCUUUUAUUCAAUAUCUUAGAACUAAGUUUCCUUAUGAGAAGAUAAUAGUUUCAGUAGUAAUUUACAUAUAAUUUUCUAUAUUUGAAUUAUUUUCUAGUUAGGGAUGAACUAACCUGAUCACGAAGAAUCCCAAGCAAAGUUUCCCUCUCAUUUUCCAUCAAAUCAUGUGAAGUGCCAAAUUGAAGAGCAGCUCUUGCAACGCAAGAAUUGUCACUUUGAUUCUCCGCUCCAUACUUGCAACAAUCUUCGGCCAACUUUCUCGCUACAAUAUUUGAAUACAAAAAUAUUGUACACAAGAACUAGUCAAGAAAAUUAAAAAAAAAAUCAAAUAUUAAAACGAGAGCAAGAGCAAACAAACAACCUAUUUCCAUUUGUUUCAAGUUUACUGCAACAAACACUUCAACGCCACGGACAACAUUCCAUUUGUUUUAUUCUUCUUAUACUUUACGCUUGCAUCAGCCUCAAUCACUUCUUAAUCGCUUGCUUUAACUGCAUCGCUCUCUCUGUGCUCUUCUAUAUAUGUAACGGUUAUGCGGUUGUAGUUCACGGCUGAGGCUACGUGUGGGUUUGACGUGGCAGUUACGUUACAAGGGGAUAAAUAAGAUUGGUUACAACAAACCCACUAAUUUUAUAAAAUUCGAGUAAUAUAGAAUAAAAUAAAAAAAUAAAUACAAAAUUGGCUUUUAUUUUGUAUGGUUGACUGUAUUUUGUGUUCUCUUCCGGCACUACUACAAUUGUUCCCUAUAUAUUAGUCACACCCAUAUAUCAUUAACACAAGAAAUGAAAUCUAAUGUCACCUACUUAGUUAAAGAAUCACUCAUGAAAAAUUUUUACCAUUUUGAUUUGAGGAUCCAUAUUUUGAACUGCAAGCUAAUGUUCAUCAAGAAUCACUGAUGUUCAUAAAAAUCAGAGUAUGGCCGUUGAGUAGAAAAAUUAUUUUUGGACAAAUUAUUUUUGUUGAUAGAAUCUGCCACUUUCUCAUGAAGAAAGGCAUGCGGAGCAUACCAUGGUACCAUACGGAGAAUGUUAGAACCACCCUAGAAUAUCUUUACCCUGAUGUUUCUAACAAAAAUCUGCAUGUGGCAGCAAUUACUAGAUCUACAAUUUCCCAAAUAAUAUUUUGUGUUUCUUAAAAAAAAUUGAAAUACAUAGUUGCAAUUGCACACCGUGAGACAGUGCUACAAUCUACUGAGAUCUAAAUUAUAUGAGACUUUAAGCUACUAAUGUUUGCAUAUUUCUACAUGUCAAAUUAACAUUACCAUCUAUAAUCCGAAACGACAGAUGAUAAACGGCUUUUGGCCACUUAUUACUAGCAUCCACAAUUAAUUUUUGUUCAGCAAUCAGCUUAUUUUAUAGAAAUUGAUUUAGUCAGCAACAAACACUAUAAUACUUGAAAUUAGUUCUUGUUCUUUGUAAUUUUCUAUGAUUUUUCAUAUAUCAAUUAAUCUGCAGUGCCAAGAUGAGGUUUAGUUUUCAAACUAAAUAAUCAAGUAAGCAAAAAUACAAAUUCAGAGAUUAGCGGGGUAAACUAGCUGGGUGGUUUAGAACUGGGCUAGCUACCUCCCUGUAUUCCUAUUUGUAAGGUGAAUUAAUUGAAUCAUGAGAAAACAAUGUGACCAUAGCUCAAUAUGAGAUGAUUUCGGAGAGGCAUAUUGUUUUCGAGUGAAUUUGAUCCAUUAAGAGAUGAAGUGGAUUGAAGUGGAAAGUUUAAAUAACAAAUCCUUGUUCUUGAGUUUUACGACGUCGUUACUCCUUCAGGUGGCAGAUUAUGCAAGUGAAUUCAAAAACACAAUGCAUCAAUCACGGGGACAAAAGACGGGAUCACAGUCUAUGCAUUGAACAGUUACAGUUGCUGCUACCAAUUGUUCGGCAAAGAUCAAGAAGACUGAACGGGAAGCUAAUGCCAUCAAUGUCGUCUUCACUAUAUCUGCUGGGAAUGUAGGUGAACUUUCCUCAUUUGCAGCUGUCUAUACAUAGGCUUUUCCCCAGCUUAAGUACAAAUAAAUGAAGCUGCCUUGAAGGCUUUAUUAUUGACCCCAAUAAGGAUUACUAAUUGAAGAAGACUAUACGGAGUUAAUCUCACAUUUUAGUUCUCUCAAUUUCUUUCAGAAGUGCCUCUGAAAAUAGCUGCCAAACCGUUAGUCAGCUUGUAUACUCUGUUUUCUGGAAACAGAGUAGCAUAUUUAAUCGUUUUAAUUGAAUUGUCUUCGUAGCGAUCAUCAACAAACUCAUCAUAAGAUUUUUGAAGCACCCAAGGACUAUCACUGGGUUUCUCUUCUGGUUGAUUUAUUAAUUAAUCAAAGAACGGUUGGAUGAAGUGCAAUGAUGGAGCAAAAUUUACAAUGUCUCCGGUUUCUCCUGACCAUCGGACUUUUGCAGUGAGAACAUAUAACAAAAAGACCUUCAUCAAAAUUUGUAGACUCCGGGUAUGGAUUGGAUCGAGUUUUUUGUUUGAUAUUGAAGAACCACUUUACUAUCGCGAUAUAGAUUAUGUGCAAGGGGUUGUCUACUGUUCUUUGCCUUGUGCUAUGAUCGGUGCUUUUGACGUUGCCCCGAAACAGUGGAAAAUACUUCGAUUUCCUCCGUUUGAUGAUGCAAAGAACUGGUUAAUGUACGAUUACCUAAUUGACUCAGGAUCAAGUAACAACAACAAUUUAUUAAUAGUAGUAUCACAAACGAAGAAGAUUUCGGAGAGGGUGAUGUAUGCCUAUACCGUUUACAGGUUUGAUCCACAGGGGAUGAAGUGGUCUCAAGUGGAAAGUGAUUUAUUAAACAACAAAUCAUUGUUCUUGGGUCAUACCUCAUGAUGUCAUCAAGUGGAAGAUGAAGAUUAUGCAAGACGAAGAUCGUUUGAUAUUGAAGAAUUUGAACAGAAAGCCCAUAGAAAGUACUUAAAUAAGCAUAUUCUUGUUGGGGUAGAAUAUUAAGAAAGGAGUUGUCUACUGUGUGUUGCGUGAUUAGGCUAUGAUCUGUGCUUUGAACAUUGCCCUCAAAACAGUGGAAAAUACUUCAUAUCCUCGACAUGAUGAUGAAAAAUUGGUUACCGAUUACCUAAUUGACUCAGUGACAACAAUCUAUUAAUAGCACAAUUUGGCGUGAUGCCGUUUAGGUAUAUGGUUUUCAAGUUUGAUUCAUCAGUGAUGAAGUGGACUAAAAUAAGAUGUUUAAAUGAUAAGUCAUUGUUCUUGGGCAUAUCGUCAUUACUACUUCUAGUGAUCAAAGAUGAAGAUGAAGAUGAAGAUGAAGAUGAAAAUUGUGCGAGUUCAAGAUUACCAUCAACUCAAUUUUAUGAUUGGAGUGUCUCACCGUGACUCAGACAAAUUCUGAUUCAACCUCCUUCACCAAUGGAUUUUGAUUAGUUAUUUUGUGAUCAAGCAACUUAAUUAAACUCACAGUUUGUUAGUCUAAUUUUAGUUUUACUGUGACCACUAUUCAAGGUAAGCGAAAGUUACAGAUGUGGCAAAAUCAAUAAUUAAAUUCAUAAAAUGUUAAAAAAUAAAACUUAUAAAUUUUGCAUGACUACUUACUAAUAAAUAAAUAAGUUAGAAUGUAGUUAGUUAAUUUUACACCAUAUUAUAUAUUAUUCGAUAAUAAUAUAAAAUAAAAAGAAUUAAAAAAUAAAUAAUUGAAUAAACAAAUAUGACUUUCUAAACAGUAAAAAUUCUAGAGUUAAAAUUUAUAUUAUUAUUUUAUUUUUUAAAAUUGACAUAUUUCUAUUAUCUUACAUGUACACAGAUUUUGAGAGUUGAGAAGAAUAUAUUUAAUGAAGCUUGCUAACAUUUGGUGGGAUAGCAAGUAAGGGUAAAUAAGAUUUUUUUGUUAUUUAUUUGAAUUAUAUCUAUUUUGUUCAAGUUAAAAUACUAAAUAUAAAUUGGAGGUAGACAUUUUAACAGAUCAUCUAAGCUCUCAAAUCUGAAAUUUUGUGUAGAUUUAAAUUCAUAAUUUUAGUUAAUUUUCAUACAUUCAUAUAAACAAAUUUAUGAGAUUUUUCUUUUCAGCAUGUUAUAUUUUGAAACUUUCAAUGUAUUAUUCUAGCUUUAUUUAAAUAAUUAAUUUAUUUAAAAUUUAUUUAAUUUUGAAUUUGAUCAAUAGUAAAAUUAUUUUUAUAUCAAAUUUUUUUAUUUAAAUAGUUCGUGGAUUGGACAAAAUUAAAAAUUUUUAAUCCACAAAAUGGUGGAUUAGAUAUGAAUUGGGUUAAAUACACAUUCGAUCCGCAGUCGUAUGAAUUUGAUUUGGAUUGAAUUUCAUCAAUCCAUGGAUUAGAUUGGAUUGAAAAAUUUAUUAUCCGCAAAAUCGUGGAUCGAAUAUGGACUGAUGUCCAAUCAGCAAAAUCCAAUCCCCGAACACUCCUCUAUCAAAAUUUUCAAGAAUAUUUUUUAUCUUACAAAUUUUUUUUAAAGUCAUAGUCUAAGGGCGGCCCAAUUUCUACUCCAUCCAUAUAAGCGGAGUUCAAAUCUCAUACCUCUUAUCUCCACACAAGAGAUUUAACCAAUUGAAAUAGCUAGCACCCACAAGUAUACUAGUACAGCAUCUCUUAACGUUUAACAUACGUAAAAUUAACGCCAUAGCUAUUGAUAAACACAUUGUUCAAUAUAUAUGAUCAAGAAUCUGAUCCUGCGAGCAACAGCAGUCAGAAGAACCAUUAUAAUGCCUAGCUCUUAUCCUGGUUAAUCCUCUGGCCCGAUGCUUCAUCAUAGUGAUUUAAAAAACCAACAACAGCUCUCUAAAAGAGAUGAAGAUAUCAUCUACGUAAAGAACAUGAGACGGAGAUUCACAACCCAUAAGAACUGAGAUAAAUUGGACCAGACCAGUAAUCUUGAGAUAAGUUAAACUGUGACUUAAGUUGAAAUCAGAGGACAGGAAUUUUAAAAUCUUUCGGCUAAGCCCCUGAGGAAUUUUCUAGAGUACGACUUCUGCUUACCUCUGUUUAAUUUCUCUUUAUAUUUUUCUUUCAUUUCAUUAAUAAAGUCAAAUAAUAAAUCAAAGAACGAGGGAAGAUUUUUCCAAGUCAUGCAUUAUUUGAUUACCAUCAAUCAAGAAACCGACCAAAUUAAUUUCUCUCCGUGAUUUUUAAAAAUUAAAAAAAAAAUAUUUGAGCAUAACAUCAUUAAUUAUAGAGUGGAUCAAACUGCGUUAAUCAUGAACUUUGUUGUGUUAAUUAUUUCAAUCCCCGAUUACGCAAUUUUUAAAUUAUAGCCUAACGGUGGUCUCAUCACCACGUGUGUGAUUUUCUUUUGCCAAUAGGAUCUGUAGAGAGCUUGAUCUCACCCAAUAGCAAAAUAAACUUCCUAAUAAGUGAAGGCAUAGUAUAAAUAAUUCACCCCCAUAUUAUUUAUUAGCAGCUUGAUUAUUUUAUAUGCAUCUUUGAUUUAAAUUUUUUUUUCCCAUAAUUGCUACUAUGUUCGAACUGGUCAUGAAUUAUCUAUAAGAUUUUUCAUGUUGCUUUUAGGUGCAUUGGAUUUUUUUUAGUUUAGUGCAAGAGUAGAGGAAGGCAAAUUAAGAAAAAGGAUAAAGAUCUAUGAUUAGCUAUUUUGGGAUGUCUCAUAACAUAUUGAUGGUAACAUUAUACAUAUGUAUAUCUAAAUAAUGGGGUUGGAUCAAGAGCCCAUUAAUAAUCAUAGAUUAGCUUAUAUAGCAAUUUCACAAGCACAUGUUAGCCUAUGUUGAGCUUUAUUAUCAAUAGUUCAUAGUUCAUCGGUGCACUGCAGGUUUACUAUUUGAAGUAAAUGUUAUGGUGCGUGCAUUUUUCAUAAGGCCAACCGCUGAAUUUAGCAUUGAAACUUACAAAAUGUAAUAGAGAGAGGUAGAUAACAGCCACAAAACACUAAGAUUGGAAAUCAGGGCUACUAAAUACUAUUACAAGCCCUUAGAAAAGACACUGAUCAUCCUGGAAUAUAUAUACUGAAAGUAAGAAAUAUUAAUCGCAAAGUUAUGUGCCAACAAAACUAUUGACCACUUGUCCCUAGCAGAAGGUAUAUAUUUUUAACUUCAGCUCUCUACUUUGUUCUAAGAACUAGGCAAAAGAAUGAAACUUCACUGUCUAAAGUUUGCCGCUUGGAAUAUUUCACUGUCUAAACAUUCACUCACCACUAAUUUCACAAAUGAAUUUUGUCUAACUAUAUGUUGAUAACGAUAUUAGAGGUAAUAUAAUGCAUUUAAGGCUUAACAUAUAUUUUUUAUUAGUAGAGUGUAGAAUUUUUAAGAAAUAAAUUAUUAAAUUACUAUAACUAACAUAUUAUUUUAAAGUUAUGUUAAGAAAAGAAUGAAACAAAAAAAAAAAAAAAAAUAAGGGUAUUCUAAAACUUUGAUCCUUUUAAAAGUAGUUUUUGACGUAAAUAAAAUAAUUUUUAUUUUUUUAAAUCACAUACUCUAGUUAAAAUCAAAUUUGUAUUUAUAAAGCUUGUAAAUUUUUUUUAGCAUUAAUAUUUGAAUACUUUCAAGAUAAGAAAUAGGGUACUAAUUAUGCUACAACAUUAUUAUAGCAUAUAAAAAGACAAUACCCUUUAUAUUAUUAUACUAUCGUUUUUGUUAUGAUAGUAUUUUGUUAGUGGUCAAAUAUUACUUUUUUAAGUAAAAAAGUAGACAAAUGUAAAUCAAUUUUUAAUCUCUCCUAAAAUUCUAAUUCCUAGUUACCAAACAAAAUUGUUUGAAAAUAAUUUGGCUAAGUGCAUGGGUUCUUAAAAGUUAAAACUAUAGGUGAUAGAAGUUACUAGCACAAGCAAUUUUGACGGUCCAUUUUAUAAAAAUUUUUAAUAAUUUUUUAUUUACCAUUUUACCACCUAUAUAAAGAGUGCCACAUCGACAUAUCAAUUCAUUUGCAAAUUAUAUUAAUUUUGUAAAAUUCAUUUGACUUGCUAAACCCUUCUUAUCCCCUUUCUCGACUGUCAUACCCUAACCUUAUUAAUCCAACUGGCAAGUGCUCACAAUGACCGACAGCCUCUCCAUCUCCAUUUCAAGCUUCCUCUUCAACUGGCUUCUGCUUCCGUCGUACGCUUCCUUGGAUUCGGAGUCCGUAUUCGCUCGACCGGUCCGGCACAGCUCCCUCUCACUCCAAUUGUCACCCAACAAGACCAAUUGCUUAACAUUGAUCGUAUGGCAAUUGUCCGUAUUUCUUGGAUUCAGAGUCCGUAUGGCACAGAACAAGAAGAGUAUGAGAGAGAGAUUUGGAAAUCGAAACGUACGCAUUGACCGUGCCUUUGAGGGCAAUUACUUUUCUUGAGAAUUGAAGUUUGGUAAUGUAAUUUGUUCUCUAUCUGUGUCCCCUUUGUAGUCAUUUCAUUUAUUUGUUUGUUUGCUUUUAUUUGCACUUACGAAGUCUCAGAUAUAUCUACGCAAGAAUGAUGCAGGAGAAAUUGAUCCUCGAGCUUACAAGAAAAGUAAAUUUCGAAAGCAUAAUUUGGCUCCGAUUGAGGUAAUAAUUGUCUUUAAACUCAUUUAGUUUUAUAUCAAACAAAAUCAAGGCUGCCUUUCUCUUCAAUAUUUUUUAUGAUAAUAUCUUUAGAAGCAUCUCAUUGACGGGUAAUCAUGGUAUCCCUUAAAGAGUCUAUAAACUCAAUGAUAUUUUCUUCUGCAAAUGGUUCAUUAAACUUCUUAGACGUAGUUAAAUGUACACUAAGAACAACGAGAAGCUAUGCCGCUGUAGCAUGUAGUGAGAUCUUGUUUGAAGUUGUUUUCUGAAAUGAACUGCCAAAUGGUAGUUUUUUUUUUCUUGGGUGCAUUUGAUGACUCUUUUCUCCUCAUUUUAAACAUGUACCUGCUUGGAAUGGGAAGGAAUAGGCUUCCGAGUUGUUAUAUAUGUUGACAUGCUCUGGUCAUUACACAAAAUGCUCAAAUUGGAAAUUAGAAUGAGAUAUUUGUCGAUGCUUUUUGAGAGAUCUGCAUUCUAUGCACCAUAACAUGAUUAAUGAAAACAGGUUUAAGGACUGGAAAGAUCUGUGGCGGCCCAAGCUUGCAGGAAGGAUUUCAAUGGUUAAUUCUCCCAGAGAGGUUAUUGGUACAAUUUUGAAGUAUCUGGGAGCAUCAUGCAAUUCAAACGACAUUGAUUAGCAACUUGCUGCUGGGAGGAUUGUUGUCAGCAGAAUCUGGCAUUACUGGGAAACCAGGUACUCUUAAAGAAAUGAUAUCUGGUCAAUGCAUAUUAUUGCCUGACAGCUGAUUUUGUUUGUAAAGUCUGCCUCUUCAUACAUAUGAAUGCAUAUGUUAGUGUUUUCUUCUCCUUUUAAUACACAUGAAUGCAUAUGUUAGUGUUGUCUUCUCCAUUCCAUAAAUAUGAAUGCAUAUGCUCUGGGUGUUGGUUACUACUUCAAGUGGAAGGUGAAGGUGAUGCAAGUGAUUUCAGGAGUACAUAUAUUCCAAGGAUGCCGGACUAUUAUUGCUUCCCCCCAUAUUUCAGAAUUUUUUGUCAACCUCCUCCACUAAGGGAUUCCAAUUGAGUUACAAAUAUAUUUUCUGUAGCUCUGUUUUAAAUUUUUGGUCUCAUGUUAAUUUUUCUAAUUACUAUUCUUCAACAAAUCUCUUUUACUUUAAAAAACUGCUACAGUUUGAUUUUACUGCCUUAUAUCAUUGAACAUUGAUACAUGGAAUUUGAAAUCAGACUUGUAACAACAGAUAAAUAGAUAUAGAACAUGCAUAUAAUCUCCAUUUCGAGCUCCCUCUCCAACUGGCUUCUGCUUCCGUCUUACUCUUUCUCGGAUUCGGAGUCCGUAUUUGCUCAGCCGGUCCUGCCCAGCUCCCUUUCACUCCAAUUGUCACCCAACAAGACCAAUUGCUUAAUCAAGGCACAGAACAAGAAGAGGAUGAGAAGUUGAAACAAGAAUUUGAGAAUUGGAAAUCGAAAAUGUAUGCAUUGACUGUGCCUCUAAGGGUUGUUUCUCUUCAGAAUUCAAUGCCUCAAUCUUGGGUUAAGGAUUUUAUGCGAAGUCAAGGAAAGAGAUUGAAGUUUCAGAUGAAUUUGUGUGCUAGCAUUGGUGGGAUCUUUAACAAUUUAUCUGUGCCCUUUAACAAAGUUAAGGGUAAGUCAGCUUCGUAUACGGCUGCUGAUUUGGUUAGUGUUGGUGAUUCAUGGCUCAGUUUUACAAUUAAAAAGAGAUUGAUUGAGCCAAUAGCUGAAGCUGAAGAUCAAGACUGGUUCAAAUGCUUAUGUCACAAAUGGAAGGUAACAUCAUUAUCUUUGACCCGAUAAUUUUUAUUGUCUUACAUUGAAAUUUGGUAAUGUAAUUUGUUCUCUAUUUGUGUUACCCUUUGUAGUCGUUUUAUUUAUUUGUUUAUUUGCUUUUAUUUGCACUAACGAAAUCUCAGGUAUAUCUAUGCAGGAAUGAUGCAGGAGAAAUUGAUCCUCGAGGUAAAAUAUGGGCGGCACCAUACAGGUGGGGCACAACGGUGAUAGCCUACAAGAAAAGUAAAUUUCGAAAGCAUAAUUUGGCUCCGAUUGAGGUAAUAAUUGUCUUUAAACUCAUUUAGUUUUAUAUCAAACAAAAUCAAGACUGCCUUUCUCUUCAAUAUUUUUGAUGAUAAUAUCUUUAGAAGCAUCUCAUUGACGGGUAACAAUGGUAUCCCUGAAAGUGUCUUUAAACUCAAUGAUAUUAUCUUCUACAAAUGGUUCAUUAAACUUUGUUGUUGUAGUCAAAUGUACACUCAGAGCAAUGAGAAGCUAUGGCACUGUAGCAUGUAGUGAUGGCACUUAAUAAGUGAGUUGCUAGGAUGUGAACUAGAAAAAUUAAAUAUUGUCUCCUUGGGUAUGCUAGCUUGUAAGUCAGGGUUAAUAUUAGAGCUUAAGUUACUAUAACCAUGAGACGCUAUUGACUGCCAAUUAAAAUAUCCAUUAAAUUGUCUAGGAAGUUAUGAAAGUGGAGGUAUCUUCCGAUUUCUAAGGCCAGAUAGUAGACAUCAUCCAGGAUCCUAGGAAAGUGCAGUUAACCUCCUGCUCGAUGCAAUUAAUAAAUUUGGUCAAUGCCACUGAAACCUGCUAACCGACGUCACAAUGCGAGAUGAGCACUUCAAAAUGGGACAGACGGUCAGUAGCACUAAAUUUUUCUUUCCUAAGAUUGAGCAAUUGGUCUAACUACUAACCCCUAUUGUAGGUUGAUCAUUAUUUUUCCAAUUAUGUUCAGUUUGACCCAAAAAGUUACAGAAUCUUGAGCUGAAUAUUGUCACUGAACACUGUCAAUGUCAUUUAGCAUACCCAACUAACUUGAGUUUGGUAAAACAAACACACUGUGCGUCUCAUCUCUCACAAUUCAAAUUAUCAUCUGUAAUGAUGGAGAAUUUUUCCAAUGUAUGAAGUAUGCUUUGAUAUGUGUACCUUGGAGAAGAUAUCUCCAAAUAAAGAAUAUGGAGAGAAAACGGUUCAGUAGUUUAUUAUUCUGUAGGCAAGUCUUGUCUCGAAAAUGGUCAAAAUUUAAAUGAAUAAGGACAGGGGAUCUUCAUUCUUUUUUCCCUUUUUUAUACCAAGAUAUCUCUCAACCUUUAUAUAAUCCCCACUGGAUAUCUGCUUCUAAUAAUUAAAAUAAAAAUUUCACUCACACAAAUAAAUACUGACCAAGCUCUAACAAUAUAAAGUAACAUCUUUACUCAAGUAAUUUACAGUUCCUCAUCAUCUUAGUGUGAGACUAUCAUUACGUUCCAAAAACAAAAUAAAACUGGUUUGAUCCUGUUUAUUGAUGUUUAAAUGUUGUUCAUUGUGACAUGUAGAAAUGAUGAAGCGAAGUUUAUUUGGUCAUCAAUUAGUAAGAUCUUGUUUGAAGUUGUUUUCUGAAAUGAACUGCCUUUUUUUUGGGCAUAUGAUGGCUCUUUUUUCCUCAUUUUCAACAUGUGCCUGCUUGGAAUGGGAUGGAUUUGGCUGCAGAGUUGUUAUAUAUUUUGAGAUGCUCUGGCUGUUGUGAAAAUUUUAAUAUACUCGCAAGCACACGAAUCUAGAAAUAGAAUAGUGAUAACGAGGUCGAACCCACAGGGAUUAUUGAAAAGUCUAAUUUAAAUCUAAAAUUAAUAUUAAUUCUAACCUAGUUGAGCAAAUUGAGUUUUAAGAGAAAUUAAACUAAUUAAACUAAGAAAAUAAUUAAAGUAAAGGAGAAUUCAAUAAGACAAAAAUUACCAAGGUUUCAGAAUCCACCACUAUUCAACUAGUAAUUAUCUAAUUAUUAAUUAAUCCCCAAUUUUAGAGUGACAACUCGAAAUCAAUCUAUGUCAUCUCAUGGAUAUAACAAUUAAGCCCAAGUAAUUAAAUCUAAUGUAGGUUCUUUUUCUACUUAAUAGUAUGAUAUCUAAGAAUCUCAUGUAAACAUAUUGAAUAACAAAGAGUCAAAGUUUUCUUAAGCACUCUAUGUAAACAAUUUAAUGAAAGACAUAAAAUCAAAGAUAAUCAUGCAUAAACUUUAUAGAUCCAAGCAUAGAUUUAAUCGAAUAUUAAUCCUAACAAUCAAUAAUGCAUAACAGAAUUGAUGAAAAGAUUUUAAUAACAUCCAACUAAUCAUGUGAAAUAAAAACCAUAAUCAUUAAAGAACAUAUAUAGGGAAUUAAAUAAAUAAAAAAAUAAUUAUUUCAUUGAAUAGGGUUUCAUCCUUAACCUCAGUAUAAGAAAAUUAGUUAGACAUACUUGAAUUGGGAAAAACAAAAGAGAUAAAACCGGCCAUGAGGAAUAUUGAACUGUUGGUGCCGAUUGCUCUUUUCCAGCCUUGCGUCUGCUUUCCUCUGGCGGCUACCUCCCCCCUUGCAAAAGCCAAAGUUCGGCUUUUAUAUUGUAACUCCCCCACAAAAUCCUCAAAUCAAAAGGUUUUAAAACAAGCCAAGCACAACCGACUUUGAGCCCAUGCAUGUGAAGCCCAAUUGGAAUUUUCAUUCCUUUUUUAAUGCCAUGCAAUUGCUUUCCCACGUGCUGGCCACUUUAGCUUUAAAUUUCUUCUUUGUUUGCACUAGCAUGGAGAAUUCAAUUUAUUGGCUUCGGCUUCUUCGGAUUGAAUUUCAUACACAUCUACUUAAUUGCUUCCACAAAUUGACUUGAUUUUUAAUGUUGUCCAAUUGUUAUUCUUUAUGUACUUUUCAUCCUUAAUCUCCAAUUAAUUCCCUAUUCAAUAAAAUUAACUUAGCAAUUAUAUAAUAAAGGGUAAAAUAUGUAUAUAAAUUAUGCUCAUCACUGGCCAUUGCACAAUUUGUUCACACUGGAAAUUUGAAUGAGAAAUUUGUUGAUGCUGUUUUGAGAGAUCUGCAUUCUAUGCACAAUAACAUGAUUAAUGAAAAUGGAUUGUAGGACUGGAAAGAUCUGUGGCAGCCUGAGCUCGCAGGAAGAAUUUCAAUGGUUAAUUCUCCCCGAGAGGUUAUUGGUUCAGUUUUGAAGUAUAUGGGAGCAUCAUACAAUUCAAACGAUAUUGAUUCGCAAGUUGCAGGUGGGAAGAUUGCUGUUCAGCAGAAUCUGGCAUUACUGGCAAACCAGGUACUCUUAAAGAAAUGAUAUCUGAUCAUUGCAUGUUAUUGCCUGACAACUGAUUUUGUUUGUAAAAGUCUGCUUCUUCAUACAUAUGAAUGCAUAUGUUAGUGUUCUCUUCUCCUUUUCAUACAUAUGAAUGCAUAUGUUGGUGUUGUCUUUUCCUUUUCAUACAUAUUAAUACAUAUAUUGGUGCUCUCUCCUGAGAUGGAUGCAAUAAAGGCUUUUGGUCCUAAAUUUAGGUGAAGAAAUGGCAAGGGAUGUGAGAUUCUGUCUCAUUAAAUUAACAAAAACCCAAAACAAUGAAAACCCAUAAUAAUGUGGUGGGGGUAAAUUGGCACCAUUUGGUUUGUUUACUUAAUGUGAAUACACGAGCAAUAGGGACUAACAAAAUGAAGUGACAACAACAAGUCAGUGUCCUUUGAUGGAUGCAUUUUAGGCAAAAAUAGGUUUGUAAUUGACCAAUUUCAAAAAAUUUAAAUUAUGUGGUUAUUAGCUGUAAUGAAGGGGAUAGGAGGUGCAAUCAGGUGGAUCCAGGAAAGUUCAACAAAGUUCUGGUAUGGCAUAGUGAAAUUGGUUUGUGCAACUCAAGAGUCUUUCAGGUGAACGAUGAUAUGUUUUGAUUUAUAAAUGUUAUAAAUCUACCGUCCAUAGUAUUCUAGUAGAAUCAUCUAUAAGUUCUAGUUAUUGAAAUUGUCUACUUUGUCCAGUUUGAGUUAAGGGCACAUGUAAUAGGAAAAAUAGUUGUCACAUCUUUUUGGUUACCUAACAUUUGAUCAAUCCUAUUAUGAGGGCUUCAAGAUGUCUAACAAUAUGUAGAAUGCCCAUGCUCCUCCCCAUUGUUUAUCUUAUACAAUAAUUUGUUUUAGAUGCUAAUAUAUUUGUCGAUACCGGUAACGAUAUUACAAUAUCUGCAUUUAUUGGGUUUUACAUAGGUUCGACUGUUUGACAGUACACACUAUCUGAAGGCAUUUGGAAUUGGAGAUGUAUGGGUUGCUGUUGGGUGGAGUAGUGAUGUUCUUCCUGCUGUCAAACGUAUGUCUAAUGUUGCAGUUGUUCCCAAGUCUGGUGCUAGCUUAUGGGCCGAUCUUUGGGUAUACCCAUGCCGGCCAUUCUACUUCGAUAUUCACGUUGUUAUCUCCUUCAUAUUAGCGAUCAUAAACUUGAUAAUGUGACUAAUAAGUUCGUAUUCUCUUUAUAGGCAAUCCCUGCUGCCUCAAGACUUGAAACAAAAGAAAUUGGAGGGCGAGUCUGAGGUCCAUCUCCAUUAAUCCAUCAAUGGAUAGAAUCCUGCUUGCAAACAGCGAGAACAUUGCCUUUCAAGCAAGAGGUUAUCCCGGGCGCAUCUCCCUCUGCCCUUGAAAGUACUCUGGUUAAGUUGCCUGAAGAACUUCUGAAGGGUAAACCAAGUCUGGAUACUAACUUAAUUGCUGGAGUACCCCCGGCUGAAAUUCUGGCCAGAUGUGAGUUUUUGGAGCCAUUGUCUGAAGCUACAUUGUCAUAUUAUGAGUGGCUGGUUGCUAAUCUGCAAAAACCUGCCCCCCUCUUGAUGAAUAGGCUGCAACAUUACUUGUCAUCAUUAAUCCAAAGCUUUCUAGCAAAAGCUACAUUGAAAAGUUAAUGGCACUGCAUGCCAGUCAUUGUAAUGCUGUCAGGGCUAUUGGGUCAGGGCUAUUGGGUCAGAGCAUAACUUCAUUAGGAAAAGAGGCUUCAGCUACGUUAAAUAUUACAGGAUGUACUGAGAUGGCUGAAGUUCUUGAGGUUUUACGAGAAACGAAAGAUGAGUGUUUGUUUGAACAAAGUUGUUGCCAUCUUGCAGAGUUUGAGAAGAAAGAUCACUGAGCGAAUGCCACCGAUUUCUUAAUCAUUGUAGCCUCCAUAGUUGAAGUUUCCUUAUUUGAAGCUGUUUAUGCGUACGCUUUUUCCCUGCUCAAGUACAGGAAAUUGAAGAAUUAACCAGAUGUGAUAUGCUGAAAGAGGGAAGUUUUCUUCCUUGAACGUGGCCUUGUGAUUUGUCUUGGAAGGAAUAGGAUGAUCACUGGCAAGAACCCUAUCAAGGUAGAUUUUAUGGUGCUAACGUAUUAUUAAGCAUUUUGUUACAUCAGCAAUGAUGCUUUCAUAGCAUGAAAGGGUUUAAAUUUAACUGAAUGAUUCUGAUUAAUCAAUUAUGAGUUUGAAUCGAGUAAAAACUAAAUACAAUCAUCGUUAACAAUACUGAAAAAAUUUAACUGAAUCAUCGUUAAUUGAGUAAAUAGGAUCUUGAUAUUGAAGAAUUUGAAAUCACAACGCACACAGGAAAUUGAAGAAUUUGAAAUACAAUCAUCGUUAACAAUAUAAGAUGAGUGUUUGUUUGAACAAAGUUGUUGCCAAUCUUGCCGAGUUCGAAAAAAAAGAUCACGGAGCAAAUGCCACUGAUUUCUUCAUCAUUGUAGCCUCCAUAGUUGAAGUUUCCUCAUGUGAAGCUGUACAUCAAGUACAGGAAAUUGAAGAAUUAACCAGAUGUGAUAUGCUGAAAGAGGGAAGUUUUCUCCCUUGAAUGUGGCCUUUGUGAUUUGUCUUGAAGGAAUAGGAUGAUCACCGGCAAGAACCCUAUCAAGGUAGAUUUUAUGAUGUUAACAUAUUAUUAAGCAUUUUGUUACAUCAGCAAUGAUGCUUUCAUAGCAUGAAAGUGUUUAAAUUUAACUGAAUGAUCUUGAUUAAUCAAUAAUGAGUUUUAAUCGAGUAAAAACUAAAUACAAUAAUUGUUAACAAAUACUGAAAUUGGGUAAAUAUGAUCUUGCUAUUGAAGAAUUUGAAAUCACAACCCACACAGGAAAUCACCCUUCGCGUGGAGAUGGAGAUGUUUACUGCAGCGAUAUUGAAUAUGUCCACUGCUCUUUGGGUUAUGGUGCGACUUGCGAUUUCAAGGUUGCCCUGAAACAAUGGAAAAGAAUUAACAUACCCUGCAAUGAAUGAAAGCGGCUGGACUAAUUCUGAUUACCUGAUUGACUCAGGAUCGGAUGGCAAUAAAGACAGUUUAUUAACAAUGCACAGUCCCGAGUACUUUUUCAGGAUCAGAUAUUACGUGGUCUAAUGUUGAUAAUAAUAGAUUAUCAAAUGAGAGAUGCUGAGAGAUGCUGGUCUAGUAUUGCAAGCCCCCAGAUUUAAGAAUCUUUUGAUGAUAAUUUACCACCUGUAACUGUGCCGGAAGAUUCACCUAGCAUUGAAAAAGAUGAUAAUUUAAUUGAUAUGGAUAGUUUUCAUAACACUUUUAAAUCAUCUUAUGUAAUUAUAAUGUUGAGAAGCAUUAGUGGUCUAUAUGUGAACUAUUAUUGACGCUAUUUUGUUGUAAACAAUCUUAUUCAAUUAAUGUAUAAUUUAAAAUCAUUAUGUAAAUCAAUCUAUUACUUUUCAUGAUAUUUAACUGAGUUAAAACUAAGUGCACCCAAUAAAUCUCUUUUCCUUUAAAAAACUGUUACGCUUUGAUUUUAGUGCUUAAUAUUUACGGAACUCCGGUACAGGGAAUUCGAAAUCAAACUCGUAACUACAGAUUAUCUAAUUGCAAGCUUUUGUCCAUAGUUGCUGAUUGUAGUGAUUAUCUAAUUGACUGAGGUGACAACAAUUUUUUUUUUUAAUUUUCAAUAGCAUAAUGUGGAAUUCAAUAAUUAAAUUCUCCUUUUUAAUUUGUUUCCAGUUAAAUUAUUAAUUACUUAAACUCUGUUUUAAGUCUUUAAUUUUAUGUCUUGGCGUAUAUGCAGGGUUGGAUUCUUGAGCGUGUUGGACACGACCAACAAUGAAAUUGACAGUAAACAAACAUUAUAACGCGUUGAGUGUCGACUCCGCUAGCUGCCCUACAAGUCUACAACUUUACAAACAAUAACUGAGUACACACAUUUGAUUCUCAGGGCCUUUCAAUGAAUUUCUAGGCCGGUUGACUCCACCGACAAAAGUUUUGGAAAAUAAAAAAGAAAAUUCAUAGAAUUCCACCAAAUGCAAAACGCGUGGAAUUUAAUUUUCGGCUGUGUGGACCAAAACAUAAUUUAAUGAAAAAAAAGAUAAGAUUUCUAGAAUGUGUGGAAGGUGAUCCAUAUUUUACUGAAACAACUUAUUAAAUUUUUCAAGGAUUUAGAAUAUUUGGUCAUAAAUUACGCUCAUGUUAAUUUUUCCACUGUUGACUAUCAUAUUCUAGACUCACUGGUACCUUUCUUGAUGAAGGGUACUUAGUCUCUCUUCUCCUCUUAUAAAAAUUAUAUUAAUUAAUUUCUUAUUAUAAUAAAUAGUCUUUAAGAACGUAUAGAUUUAUUGUUUUCGUGACCAAAUUAUGCCAGCUUAAGGUUGCGACUAUUAAUAAAAUUAAUAUUUAAUGUUUAUGUUAAAAGAUAUAAGAUUUUUUGCAUUCAUUAAUUGUCAUUAGCUAAAGGAUUAAUUAUUUUUUCAACCCAAUCAGUUGAUGCAUCUGCAAGAAUUUUUUCUUUUAUUGACCAUAAUUAUAUUCCGGGUACAAUAAAUUAUCUUUGGUGCUUGGAAAAUAUGACUUCUUACUUCAAGUUUGAUGUGUCUCUCUCCAUAAGCUUACUGGAAAUAUAUCCUCAUCUACUGUCAUUUAUCUAAUAUCAAUUGAAUAUCUGACUUUUUCAAACUAUCACUUCCAAGUCUCAUUGUCACUUGGCCAUUCUUGGACCAUUCAAAACCAAACAAGUGUUGAAAUAAUCAAAUAUAUGCAAAAUUAGAGUCACGACUUUUGGUCCUCCAAAUUCUAAUUAUAUUACUUCUAUAUAUCUCAUUGUCAGGUCACGAACUUGUUGGCACAUUUUCCAAAUUCCUCUUCCAUCAGCUCUUACACGUUAACUUAAGUGGAAAGUUUCCAAGUUGAUUGCUAGAAAGCAACGCAAAAUCAGACACGCUUGAUCUGUCCCCUAAUUCUCUUUUCUACGUUGAAAAAGAAAAAAAAUAAGAAAAAAGAAAAUAGAUCUAUGUAAAAAUAAAUAAUAAACUGAGUAAAAGUACAUUUGUUUAUUUAACAUCUGAUCGGGGCAUUUUUGGUGUAAUUUCGUGCUGUGUUUAACCCACAACUAAAAUCAAACAGCCCCUUAGAAUACUUCUUCCAUUUUGGGUGCGUUUGGGAUUGAGGUUGGGCAGCUGUAACUUAAAAACUACAGCACUAAAGUGUUUGAUAAACACUAACUGCUGUAGCUUUUAAGCUAUGUUGAUAUGGUUUUUCACUUGUAUAAUACAAAAUUUAUUAUAUCUUUAAUAAUUUUAUCAAAAUUAUUAUUUAAAAUUUAUAUUUACUAUAUAUUAUUAACUUUUGUUUCAUAAUUACAGCUUUUUUUUCACAGCAACUGUAGCUUAAAAGCUACAGCAUCUCAAUCCCAAACGCACCCUUUAUCUGCUACUUUUGUGGAUCUUAUAGGGUGGGCAUGUGAACAGAAUUUAAAAAUUUUAAUAGUCUCAAAGAAUAAGAUAUGCUAAAGCUAAAGUUGUUGCACCUUCUAAUUAAAUAAAGUUGUAUAAUUUCACCAACUUGGAAGAAUUGAUAUUAAUGGACGGUCCCCUCUCCAUAUAUGAAGCCUUCUUAAAAGUUAAUUUUUAUUUCAGAAAAAAAAAGUUUAAGUUACAUAUAUUAUAGUAAGAUUUUUUUAGACCAAUUCCCUUCUUGAAAUAAUAAUGGAAAAGCAUUAAUUUAAAAAUAAAAUGAAUAUGUAUUGAUUAUAUCCUGAUUUUCAUCGAUUAUAGUGAGAGUUUCUCCAAAUCAAUUCCCUUAUUCAAAUAAUACAGAAAAAAUAGUAAUUUAAUAGUAAAAUAAACAAGUGUUGAUUAUAUAUUCUAAGUUUCAUCGAUUAUGUGAUCAAAGUGGCAUUGUUGAUUUAUUUCUUGUUCAAUGUUAAUUUUUAGGUUAUAUAAAUUUCAAGGAUCUAAAAUCUUUGGUCAUGGAUUACACGCUUGUUAAUUUUUCUGCCAUUAACUGUCAUAUUCUAGACUUAAUGAUACCUUUCUUGAUCAAGCGUAAUUAUUCUCUCUUCUCCUCUUAUAAAUUCCUCUUCCAUUAACAUCACUAGGAGUAUGUUGAUCUCUCAGACGUUAACUUGAGUGGAGAGUUUCCAAAUUGAUUGUUACAAAACAACACAAAAACUAGACACACUUGAUCUGUCUAAUAAUUCUCUUUCGGUAAAAUUAAUUAAUUUUAGGGAAAUAUUCUGCCAACCUCUGUAAUUUCAAAGUGAUCAUUAAUUAAUUAAACGAUACAAAUAUCUAAAGUGAUUAGAUGUUUGCCGACAAUACAAGUUCAUGACUUGAAAUUUGAUCUCUAUCGAUUGGUUUACAAAUGGACGUACUUGUGCCUUUGUGGCGAUAAUCAAACAAGUUCCCAUGAUUAUUAUUUUUUCCAAAAACGUUUUUACAACAAAUUCAUCUCGCCAAAAAUUCUAUGUUGCUAACUAACAAUAAUUGAGCACUUGGCCGCAUUGACCCCACGUCUCCACCUCUUUCUAAAAACAUGGAAAAUGUAAUUUCCACAAAAUGCCAAACGUGUGGAAUUUAAUUUUUUUGCCUUGUGGAUCAAAAUACAAAUGAAAGAAACAGGAGAAAAAAAAGGCCCAAAGACUUCUAAAAGAUGAAGAAGUCUUUGGGCCUUUUUAUAAUGGUGAAUUUUUUAAAAGAAAAAAAAUAACAACAUUUUUAUGGUUUGUUUUGAUAAUCAUAUUUACAUAUACUCUCUAAUUUUCAAAAUGGACACAUAAAUCUUUUUUUUUACAAAAUAUAUAUUAUUCAUAUUUUUUAUUUUUUAUUAUCAUAUUUUUAUUUAUUAUAAAUGUUUAGAGUAAAUUUUUAGGUUGAAAUAUAAUAAAAAUGUAUAAUCGUUCUCUUAUUAAACACACAUACUUUUAUUAGUUUCUAUGCAUUUGUCAUCUCAAUCUCUCUCAAUUAUUCUUUAUUGCUAGCUCAAAACGCGUUGCUGUUGCAAAUUAUAGCAAAAUGACAAAUAUGGAAAAAAAGGGAAGAAAAUUAAUGCAUGAAAGACUUGGAGAAAACAACAAAAUAAGCCAACUAUGAGCUAGUUGGGUGUAUAAAUUGUUAGAUGUGUUAUAUACAAAUAGCAUAGAGCCCUCUAGUUAGUUCCAGAGACAGAAAGAGCGUGUGUGUUUUUUCACAGUUAGAGAUAUAGUUAGAAUGGGUGGUUCAAAAUCAAAAAUGAUGAUAAUGUUUAUUAUGUUAUUAAUAAUAUUUAAAAGUGGGUGGAGUGAGGGAUGUUUGGAUCACGAGAGAUUUGCUCUUUUGCGACUCAAACAUUUCUUCGAUGAUAGUUAUCUUUAUGACUGGGCCGAUGAUGAGGGAGCUACUGAUUGUUGUCAGUGGGAAAAUGUUGAGUGCAGCAACACCACAGGCCGAGUGAUAGCGCUAGACCUUUUUGACACGCAUGGGGGAGAGCACAGCUGGUAUAUGAAUGCUUCUUUGUUUACUCCCUUCCAACAACUUGAGUCACUUGAUUUAACUGACAACAAUAUAGCCGGUUGUGUUGAGAAUGAAGGUGCUUCGUUUAAUUUAAUUAAUUUACUUUCUCCCCCCAAAUUUAAGUUGAAUAUCAAGACCGAGCAAUUAUAUGCAUAUUCAUUUAGUCGACAAUUUUGACUUUUUUUUAAAUGAUUAAUUUUGAAAUUACACCAGUAUCUAUGAUCUUUUUUUAUUUUAUUUUAUUUGCAGGUAUAGAGAGGCUAUCAAGAUUGAACAACUUGAAGAUGCUUAAUUUAAGUCGAAACUCAUUCAAUAAUAGCAUUUUAUCAUCUCUAACUCAUCUUUCAUCAUUAAGAUCAUUAAAUUUACUUUGGAAUAGAUUGGAAGGAAGUAUUGACGUUAAAGGUACAUAAUUAAAACUUCAAGCUCUUUCAUUAACUUGCUAAAAUAAGAUUCAAGGCUUUGAAAGAAAAAGAGAGAAAAAAACAAGGCCCAAAGACUUCUAAAAGAUGUAAAAGUCUUUGGGCUUUUUUAUAAUGGUGGAUUUUUUAAAAGGAAAAAAUAACAACGCUUCUAUGGUUUGUUUUGAUAAUCACAUUUACAUAUACUCUCUAAAUUUCAAAAUGGACACAUAAAUCUUUUUUUUUUCUACAAAUGUAUAUUGUAUUUUUUAUUAUUUUUAAUAUCAUAUUGUUAUUUAUUAUAAAUAUUUAAAGUAAAUUUUUAAGUUGAAAUAUAAUAAAAGAGUAUAAUCGUUCUCUUCUUAAACACUCAUACUUUUAGUUUCUAUCCAUUUGUCAUCUCAAUCUCUCUCAAUUAUUCAUUAUUGCUAGCUCAAAACGCGUUGCUGUGGAAAAUUAUAGCAAAAAGACAAAUAUGGAAAAGAAAAAAGGGAAGAAAAUUAAUGCAUGAAAGACUUGGAGAAAACAACGAAGUAAGUCAACUAUAAUCUAGCUGGGUGUAUAAAUUGUUUGAUGCUUUAUAAGCAAAUAACAUACAGAGACAGACAAUGUGUGUUCGUUUUUUCAUAGUUAAAGAUAUAGUUAGAAUGGGUGGUUCAAAAUCAAAAAUGGUGAUAAUGUUUGUUAUGUUAUUAAUAAUAUUUAAAAGUGGGUGGAGUGAGGGAUGUUUGGAUCACGAGAGAUUUGCUCUUUUACGACUCAAACAUUUCUUCAAUGAUCCUCUUAAUUCUCUUUACGACUGGGUAGAUGGUGAGGGAGCUACUGAUUGUUGUCAGUGGGAAAGGGUUGAGUGCAGCAACACCACAGGCCAAGUGAUAGCGUUGCACCUUUCUAAUAUAUAUUUGGGAGAGUACAGCUGGUAUCUGAAUGCUUCUUUGUUUACUCCCUUCCAACAACUUGAGUCACUUGAUUUAAGUUUCAACAAAAUAGCCGGUUGUGAUGAGAAUGAAGGUGCUUCGUUUAAUUUAAUUAAUUUACUUUCUCUCUCCUAAUUUAAGUGGUAUAUUAAAAUUGAGCAACUAUAUGCAUAUACAUUAGUUGACAAUUUUGACAUAUUUUUUGAAGUGAUUAAUUAAUUUUGAAAUUACACCAAAUAUCUAUGAUCAUUUUUUUUUAUUUUACUUGAAGGUAUAAAGAGGUUAUCAAGAUUGAACAACUUGAAGAUGCUUAAUUUAAGUGCUAACUCGUUCAACAAUAGCAUUUUAUCAUCUCUAACUCAUCUUUCAUCAAUAAGAUCAUUAAAUUUAUAUGUGAAUGAAUUGGAAGGAAGUAUUGAUGCUAAAGGUACAUAUUUAAAACUUCUCUCUUCCCCAAGCUCUUUCAUUAACUUGCUAAAAUAAGAUUCAAGGCUUUGAAUUCAAUUUUUUUAUGAUUAAUAUUUAAAAAAAACAGUUUUAAGCAAUUUAUAAAUACAAGUUUUAAUGUUUCUUAUAAUUUCAUCUUGUACUUUCAUAUGUCUUGAAUUUAAGAUUAAAAAAAAAACUCUAAUAGCAAACCAAACACCUCCACAACUUAUUAUUAUUAUUAUUAUUAUUAUUAUUAUUAUUAUAUAUUUUUUAAUUUGUGGUGAGGUUUGAAACAUUCAACUCAAUUUGUACUUGUUACAGAAUUUGAUUCUUUGAGAGAUUUAGAGGAGCUAGACAUUGGCGGGAACAAGAUUGACAAAUUUGUGGUCUCAAAAGGUACUACAAAUACCAUAAAAAAAAUAUGCUAACUUUUACAAAUUAGUUAGAUUCUUUGCCAUUUGGUUUAUUAUUUUACAGGUUUGAGUAAGUUGAAGUCUCUUGGUUUAAGUGGUAUCAAACUCAAUCGUAGCAUCUUAUCUUCUCUUUCUUCGUUAAGAGAAUUAGAUAUAAGUCGUACGGGAUUCAAAGGAACAUUUGAUGUUCGAGGUAAGCCUAAACCUUGCUUUCUCAUUUUAUAUAUGCCAACUAGAUUUGUGUAUCAUCGACAUAAUUUAAUAUUUAAUUUGAUAAGUCUGAAGGAAUUACAUGCUAAUUUAAACACACUUUUAUUUACUUUGUCAAUUAAUCAAUUAAUUACUAUUUGGCUUGGUUUGGACGAAAUUCUCAUGAUGUUUUAAUUUCUUUAAAUUAAUUAAUUAAUUAACUCUGUUUUUAAGUCUUAAGUCUGGGCAUGUUUGCAGAAUUUGAUUCCUUCAAUAACUUAGAAGUGUUGGACAUGAGUUGGAACGAAAUCGACAAUCUUGUGGUUCCUCAAGGUAAACAAUUAAAAUAUUAUUCAAUUACAUUAUUUUAAUUCAUUUGAUUAGAGAAGGCCAAAAAGGUAAAAAAAAAAUUCAAUAAAGAAAUAGAGAAUUUGUAUUAUUUAAAAAACAGAAUGUAAUAAAGAUUUGAUUCUAGUUCUUUAAUCUUUAAAGCGAUUGAAAAACAAUGUUGGUCUUUUCGCAAAGCAUAAAAUACGAAUUGAAUGCCAAUUAACUUAAUCAUUCAUUUCGUUUAGCUCUAAAUUUAGACAAUGAAUUUUUAUAUUAUUUCAAAAACAGGACGUAAUAGAAUUUUUUUAAAAAUAGAUUGUAAUGAAGAUUUGAUUCCAAUUCUUUAAUCUUUACAGUGAUUGAAAAACGAUACUACUUCCCAAAGCAUAAAAUACGAAUUGACUCUCAAUUAAAUUAAUCAUUUAUUUCGUUCAUCUCUGAAUUUAAAUAAUGAAUUUUGAUCUUCAAUCUUUUCCUAAUUAUUAUUAAUAAACAGGUUACAGAGGUUUGAGGAAGUUGAAAAGCUUUGGUCUAUCGGGAGUUGGAAUUAGAGAUGGAAGCAAGUUGUUACAGUCAAUGAGAUCAUUCCCAUCCCUCAACACUCUUGACCUGACCGAUAAUAAUUUUACCAAUAUAGCGACCGCUACUCAAGGUAAGUAAAAGGUACAGAUGUGGCCAAAUUUAUAAAUAAAUUGUUUAUUAAUUAAUUUUUUCGUAUUAUUAAUUAAGCUAAAUUCGUUGCUCCUUCCUUCUAAAUCUAAACAGAGUUGCACAAUUUCACCAACUUGGAAUAUUUGACAUUGCACGGUUCCUCUCUCCAUAUAAGCCUUCUGCAAAGCAUUGCAUCAAUAUUCCCUUCGUUAAAAAAUCUGUCGAUGUCUUUUUGUGAAGUCAAUGGUGUUGUACGCGGUCAAGGUAAAAGAAAAGCGUUGAUUGUGAACUCACUCAAUGGUGUCCUACGUGUUCAACAUUUUUAUUUAUUAAUUUAUUUAUUGUUUAAUGUUUCUGCUAGGUUUUCCUCAUUUCAAGAGUUUGGAACAUUUUGACAUGAGCUCCACACGCAUUGCACUCAACACCAGCUUUCUUCAAAUCAUCGGUGAAUCGAUGCCUUCUCUUAAGUACUUAUCACUGUCAUAUUCUACUCUUGGCACUAACAGCAGCAGGAUUCUUGAUCAAGGUUAAUGAGAUGCUGCCACCCUCCCUUCUUAAUCUAUAAUAUUAAUUUUCGAUUAAAUAUUUAAUUACACAAACCAAUCACUUAUUAUAAAAGAAUAAUACGCAUUCAUUAAUUUUUAAAUUGUAUUAAUAAUUGAUGAAUUUAAUAAAUUUUCAGGCCUCUGUUCGUUGAUGCAUCUACAAGAGUUACACAUUGCUUAUAACGAUUUAAGAGGUAGCUUGCCUUGGUGCUUGGCAAAUAUGACAUCCCUCCGAAUAUUAGAUGUUUCUUCCAAUCAACUUACUGGAAGCAUCUCCUCAUCUCCCCUCGUUCAUUUGACAUCCAUUGAAGAGCUGAGGCUUUCAUACAACCACUUCCAGAUCCCAAUUUCACUUGAACCACUUUUCAAUCAUUCAAGACUCAAGAUUUUUUAUGCUGACAACAACGAACUAAAUGCAGAAAUAACUGAGUCACAUUCUUUGACCGCCCCAAACUUCCAAUUAUCACGUCUCUCAUUGUCUUCCAGUUACGGAGACAGUUUCAUAUUCCCCAAAUUCCUUUACCAUCAACAUGACCUGGAGUAUGUUGAUCUCUCACACAUAAAGAUGAAUGGAGAAUUUCCAACUUGGUUGUUGGAAAACAACACAAAAUUGAGACAACUUUCUCUCGUCAAUGAUUCUCUUGCAGGACAUUUCCGGUUGCCAAUUCAUUCACACAAGCGGUUAGGACUGUUGGAUAUAUCCAACAACAACUUCCGAGGCCACAUUCCAGUAAAAAUUGGAGAUGUUUUACCAAGUUUAUACGUUUUCAACAAUUCCAUGAAUGCUUUAGACGGUAGCAUUCCCUCUUCAUUUGGUAAUAUGAAAUUCCUCCAAAUUCUGGACUUAUCCAACAAUCACUUGACUGGUGAAAUCCCCGAGCACUUGGCCGUGGGUUGCGUCAACUUGCAGUCUCUUGCAUUAUCAAAUAACAACCUACAAGGUCAUUUGUUCUCUAGAAAUUUUAACUUGACAAACUUGCAAUGGUUACAAUUGGAGGGCAAUCGCUUCGUAGGUGAGAUCCCACAAAGUUUGUCUAAAUGCUCCUCACUAGAAGGAUUGUAUCUUAACAAUAAUAGUCUUUCGGGUAAGAUUCCACGAUGGUUGGGUAAUCUCACAUGGUUACAAUAUAUUAUACUGCCCAAUAAUCAUCUUGAAGGCCCUAUUCCAGUGGAGUUUUGUCAGCUUGAUUCGCUUCAGAUUUUGGACAUUUCAGACAACAACAUAUCUGGAAGUUUACCAUCUUGUUUCCAUCCUCUCUCUAUCAAACAAGUUCAUCUUUCAAAAAAUAUGUUACAUGGACAGCUAAAAAGAGGUACAUUCUUUAAUUGCUCUUCCCUUGUGACAUUAGAUCUUAGUUAUAACCGCUUGAAUGGCAGCAUUCCGGAUUGGGUUGAUGGGCUUUCUCGGUUAAGCCACCUUAUCUUAGGUCACAAUAAUCUUGAAGGUGAAGUGCCAGUUCAAUUGUGCAAAUUGAACCAACUACAAUUGUUAGAUCUUUCUAAUAAUAAUCUUCACGGUCUUAUUCCUCCUUGCUUUGAUAACACCACACUUCAUGAAAGUUACAGCAAUAGUUCUAGUCCUGAUGAGCAAUUUGAAAUAUUUUUUUCCAUCGAAGGCCCUCAGGGAGGUGUAGAAAAGCAAAUCCAUGAAAAUUUUGAGUUCACAACAAAGAACAAUGCAUACAUUUACCAAGGAAAAGUGCUUAGCCUCCUAUCAGGACUUGAUCUUUCUUGCAACAAGCUAAUCGGUCAUAUUCCUCCUCAAAUUGGAAAUUUGACAAGGAUUCAAACAUUGAAUCUAUCGCACAACAACUUGACAGGAUCGAUCCCAUCAACAUUUUCAAACUUGAAGUAUGUCGAAAGUUUGGAUCUUUCCAACAACAAAUUGAAUGGGAAAAUCCCUUAUCAACUAGUGGAGUUAAAGACAUUGGAGGUUUUCAGUGUGGCAUACAAUAACUUAUCAGGCGAAAUUCCAGAAUGGAAAGCACAAUUUGCAACCUUCAACGAGAGUAGCUAUGAGGGAAAUAUUUUUCUUUGUGGACUGCCAUUGCCUAUUUGCAUAUCACCAACAACUACGCAGGAGGCUUCAAUUGACAAUGAACGAGAUGAUAAUUUAAUUGACAUGGACAGUUUCUUUAUCACAUUUACAACAUCGUACGUAAUUGUGAUAUUCGGAAUUGUUAUUGUUUUAUAUGUAAAUUCUUAUUGGCGACGUAGAUGGUUUUACUUUGUUGAAAUGUGGAUAACUUCAUGUUAUUAUUUUAUUGUAGACAAUCUUAUUGCAACAAGAUAUUGUCAUUGAAAUUAAUUAGCAGUUUAAUUACCAUUCUUUAAGUUCUAAUCAAGUUUGCUUAGGAAAUAAAUUUAUUUUUAUUUUUUAUUAAAAUUGUAGUAGUAUUUAGCGCUAUAUAGCUUCCAACUUCCGAGCACUUCACAUUUGUCUCUACACUUCCAAACCCAUAUCUGUCCACCAUAACUUAUACUUCCUUAUACUGUGCAGCAUACUUAAAUAAGAGAACCAUCUCCAAUGUUAAAACCAACCACUCUAUAACAUUCAUUUAGAAACUAUAUUUAGAAUAUUUUUAUAAUCAUACACAAGAAAUGAAACACCUAGAUGCACUUGAUCGCCUUUUUUUACUUUAAAAAAUAAUGAUUAUGGUGCUAUCAUCAUCUUCUUCACUAGCGUCAUUAACACCAAAUCCAGCGACGGACCCAUACAUUUUAUCAAGAAAGGUAUAUAUAUAAUAAAGUUGAAGCUCGACAAAAAUUCAGGAAGAUUGAUGCCUCGCCACAACAAGGGGCACACCAACAUCAAAGUAGAGAUGAAGCAAUAUUCUCAAAGCUAAAACUCUCAAAUCCACCCACCAGAAUUUCAUAUCCCUCAACAAUUUUAAGAACUAAAGAUAAUUAGGAUCUAACAUUAGUUUUUUAUAUAUUAGUUUCAUAAUUUACAAAUCAAUGAAGAUGAAGAUUAUGCUAAUGAAUUCAAAUUAUACCAUACAUUCUCGAGAUGUUACCAAAAAUUUCUAAGUCAAUCCCACAUAUUUCAUAAUUUUAAGACUAGAAAAUUUCAUUAGUUAGAAGUUUAUUACCUUCAAGUGGAAGAUGAAGAACAUUAUACAACUGAUUCAGAUUAUAUCAUACAUACUCCAAAUGCAACUAGAAAUUAACAAGUUCAUGCGCACAGAUUUCAUAACAUUAUGAUUGGAAAGUUUCACAAAGAGAAAUUCUAAAUUCAAUCUAUUGCAUCAAGGUAGUUUGAUUGAUUUGAGUUACUUUCUGAUCAAGCUACUAAUAUAACAUUCAAGUCAGGGAGAAAGUAAAUUAAAUCUGAGAAGAAAUAACAAUAAAAAUUUGUUGCUAAACAUGAUGUGUAUUUUUUUUUCAAGGCAAUUUGGAAACACAGUUGUUACUACAGAUAUUCUCCUCAACUUAGAGAUAAAUACAAAUAUUAAAAUGCAUAUGAUCGCACAUAUUACUUGGAGCUUAGUAAGAUUUCAUAAAGAGAAGAAAUCAAACCACUUAUCAAUUGUUGCAAUCGUUCUAUAAGCUAAAAUAGCAAUAUAAUACAAGAAAAGGAACAUAUAGAUACUUGGCAAGAGUUCAUUAAGAAGUCGCAUCACAUUCGGGUGAGUUUGCUUCUGAUAUCUUGCUAGCGGGGGCUUUUUCUUGUCUUUCUACGUAUGCCGAGGGAAACUAACCAGCUUGGCCCUUGCAUUCACCUUCUGACCAUCCAGUAGGAGCCACCUUGAGAAGUUAUAACUAAAACAGUGAAUUAAACAAAAGUUGACCGUUCAAAGACCUAAGGGGAAAACUAAUUCUUUUACGUAGGAGGAGUGAAUUAGUUGUGAUCACUGAAAUAACAGCAUAACUAUGGAAGCAUAACAAGAUAUAAAUUCACACGUCUAUAAGGGUAAACUGGGUGGUUUAGAACUGAGCUAGCAACCCUACUAUAUUCUGAUUUGCACUUCAAUGUAAAAGGGAAUAUAUGGUAGGAAGAAAGAAAACCAACCAUCAUUUGUUAACUCAUUGCUUUUCAAUCAAAAUUUUAAGAACAAAAUGCCAUGUGCUUUGAACAUCAAAUAAGUAUAAGCAUUAGUUCUAAAUUCCACAUAUCAUAAGUUAGAAGGAUAAGUUAAUAGCAUAGUAGAAAAAUCUCUGUGUUGUUAUUUAGAGGGGAAAGUACCAGGCGAACCACAACAUAAUCAUCAAUUGAAAGACUUAGCUCUCCAUUUGCUUGAGCAUCAAAUGGAUGUAUAACCUGCAAGAUAAUGGGAUAAAUAGAACUUAAAUCUUAAAAAAAGCAUAACAAAAGCAGCAACAGUAGCAGCAGCGUUCAUUGUAACCACUAUGAUCAUGGCCAACAAAGAUAUAUUAGAAACAAAAUUCCAUUUUUACUACGACAUUAAUAUGUACUAUAUGAUAUCAUGACGAUAGGGUUACCAAGAGCUAUCAAAGUCCAAUAAAUUCUGUAUAACUUUAUGUAGUUAUUCAAAUUAUGGAUCAGAUUUUAAAUCUGAAAUUUUGACUGCUCUCCACAAAACAUGGCCUAUGCACAAGAAAGUCAUAGAUAAUGAGGAUUACAAGUGUCUGACAUCUUUUGAGUGAUGGAUUUAACAUGAGAGCUUAUGGUCAGUCAAUUUCCUCUGCCUAGCAAUAUAAGCUUUUUCGGCCAGAUUUAUCAUCAAAUACAUAGAUUGCCCCCAAGUCACAUCCAUAUAAACAUAGUUUUUCUAGGUAAACCAAGUAAGGAAAAUCAUAAUUCAGACAUAAUCAUAAAAAGACCCAUCUAACUUUCUUUGGCAUGCCUAACUCAGCUUUGAUGUUGCUGAGAUAUUGAUAGUAGAGACACAUGAUACUUCUAGCUCAUGCAUUCUAUCUAGCUCAUCUGACAGCUAUCUCUUUUUUAAUUCAUUAGUGUUUGCUAAACCUCAUGCUUAAGAGUCCUGUUCUCCUAAACAAAGUUUUCUAAGAAUGACUUCCUCAGCACCACAUUUGGACACUUUUAAAGCAAUUUUAUUUGGGGGAAAAGAAUUUUCAAGGUGUUAACUAAUAAAUUUUAAAAAAUAAUUACAAUUUGUCCUACGAUUAUAUGACAAUUUAUCUGGGAUGAACGGAUACAGACAAACAUCUUCCACUUUUAAGACUAAUCACUACUUCCGUAGAUGUUUUGCAAUAACACAAAUGCUUGACCAGAUGGUAGUGAUGGUAGAAAAAAAUUUUAUUGCUCUAAAAUUAAAAUAAGAAUGCAAUAUGUUAAGCAAAAGACUGUGCAACAUCAAAUUAAUUGAUAAGUUUGUAAUUCAGUAAAUUAACAACUUUCAUGGUAAAAUACAACAAAUUUCUUUUCAAAAAAAAAUCUUAAAAGACAGCAUUCAAUUUUGUGCGCAUCUUAUUUCUUAAGAUUUUCCAGGAGGGCAAUACAGGGACUUUCACCUACGCAAGAGAGCAAAAGCCUUACUUUCGCUAUAAAGUAGACGUCAUUCUGAUUAAUAUGCGUUUGCAAAUCAGCUCCAUUUGAAUCAGUAUUCUGAUAGACACAUGAGGCAUUUACAUCCAUUUCCAAAGUCACAUGUUGCGAGGAGGACUCAUUUGAUUGCUCCUCUAGGAUCAUCUAAUUCAAGUAGCAAGGGUUGGAAGAGAAUAAAAAGUCACAAUUAUUCUUUUGCAUAAGUGAGACGAAAAUGAUAAAUGCACUAUUAUCAGCAGUAAACAAGAAGAGAACACUCCAAGGAAUAGAUAGAUGCGGACAAGCAAGUUAAAAUGCAAAGUUCCAAACCUCCGCAUACAACUUCUCUAAAAUAGCAAUAAUGUGUUGAUGAUAUGUUUUCUCAGCAUCUACCUGCAAAGGCCCGAGACUAGGAAAACAACAAUAAAACCACUAGCUAAAGGAGAAAGUAAAUAAAGAAAUACACUUGACAUAAAUCUUGACAAGAAGCACAAUUUAAGACAUAACAAACCCCAAUCAUAUUGUUUAGAACUACCAUUCGUUAUUUCGUUAUUGUAGCAUUUCGAACAAGUGUUGACUUAAUUCAACAUUGUUGGAAAGAUAGGCUUUUAGAAGCGGAAGAAAGCCACUCAAACCAAAGUGAUUAUCCUUGUAUUGAUCAAGGGAUGUAAACAUAUUACAUUUGCAGGAUGAGUUUUAAUCACUCCCCUGAUUUAUUUGGGUUGCAGUAAAACUAAGCGAGCAACUGUUUGACUUUCAAGCAACAUCUAAAUCAGCUAUUAAAAUUCAAAUAAAAUCAUAAUAGAAUAAUAACAGGCCAUCUUGCAUCAAAAAUUAAGUUUAAUUUGUGAAUUUUUUUCUAUAGACAUGUUAGUUCCUGCUAUUGAAAUGUUAAAAGCAUUGAAAAAUUAUUCAAUAAAUUAUGCAAACAUUAAAAUAGAGGACAUAUUAAAAAGUUUCUAAUUACAAUGUUAUGAUUUCCUAUAUUUUAGCAUUUGCAUAUUUUAAUUUAUUUAAAAGCUACGUCGAUCAACUUUGGGCGUGAAGAUUUUAGCUUCUACGAGACUUGAUUGGAAUAUGCAUAAGGAAGAGUGUUAAAAUAUGAUGCAUCCAACGAAAGACAAACCACGUGUAGUCUUUUAAUUAAGCCAAGAGUAGUGCUAGAGAGAGAGAAGCACGAGAGAAGGACGAGAGAAUUUUGCCCCUUUCUCUCUACCCACUCAUUCUCUCUCUACCCCUUUUUUCAUUGUUUCUCUCGUCUUUCUCUCGUGUUUCUCUACACCAAGCAUUUUCCUUAAGCCAAAGUAGCAGCUCAAACAAAUGACACUUGGACCAACAUGCAAUCAUGAAGUGGCCGGAAAAAGGACAAAUGCAACUUUGGCUUAAAUAAAAAAUAACAUGUGACUUGACUUUUGCUGGACAUGCAUCAUGUUAUUACAAGACAACAGAAAUCAGUAUGAUAGUACUAAAAGUUGACAAUAACAUGAAGAUAAGAGGCAGAAUGUCAACAAAUGCAUAGGCACACACAAGAAAGUAUUAACUUAUAUACCAUAGCAAAAAGUCUUUGAUAUGUCAUCUGUUGCUGCUGUGAUUCAACUGACAGCAUGGCAGCUGUCGCUUCUCUACCAAGAGCCAUUAUUGUAGAUUUAAGCUCGGUCAAUCUUGCUUCUGCAUUUCGAAGCUUCACAGCACUCUCUGCUGAUAUAUCAGAUUCCCUAAUCUUUGAUCGGCGCCUAAAUACUUCAGCUGCCUGGUGAAAAUAUUCAAUAUAAAUCUAACAUAAUUCUAAUCUUGCCUUAUACAUGCAUAUGUUAACUCAAAGCUUACCUGCGCUUCAACUUCAUGUCGAAGUUUGUCAUAACGAUGAGUCAGGUGUCGAGCAUCUUCCAAAGGUGCUCCAUUGAUUAACGCCCGUAGUGGCUCAGAUACCGACAUGUCCAAAAACCUGUAACAUAGUUAGAAAAAUGAAAAGAAAGAGCAAAACCUCAAUUAAAAAGUUCCUCCAACAUAAUCAUGGAAUUUGGGCCUACUUCAAGGAUAUAUAUAAGGAUAAUUUAUGCAAUUUUGGGUCUAAGGAUGAUUCAUAUUAGGUUAGUGUUCUUCUCUUCUGUAUUUAAGGUUAAAAUAGAAAUAAACCUAUGAAAAUAUCUAAAUUAGGGCUGUAAGACUUCCACAUGCAUCCUUCAGUCUCAUGGAUUUGAUUUUACUAUAGAUGCAAGUGUCUUUAUCGAAAAUGCUUGGAGUCAAUUGAGAGAACUCACGGCCAAUAACUUGUCACACGCUAGUCUUUGCUAGUGAUGUAAGAAGUCACAAGGUCUCUUCAACAUUUGAACCAAUAAAAUUAUUAAGUCAUGGAUGUCACUAGCAAUGAUUUUAAUAUAAAACAUUACAUAUUUCAGAGUUGAAACUUUAAAAUGGAUUCUUUUAUUCAGUAUCUUAGAACUAAGUUUCCUUAUGAGAAGAUAAUAGUUUCAGUAGUAAUUUACAUAUAAUUUUCUAUAUUUGAAUUAUUUUCUAGUUAGGGAUGAACUAACCUGAUCACGAAGAAUCCCAAGCAAAGUUUCCCUCUCAUUUUCCAUCAAAUCAUGUGAAGUGCCAAAUUGAAGAGCAGCUCUUGCAACGCAAGAAUUGUCACUUUGAUUCUCCACUCCAUACUUGCAACAAUCUUCGGCCAACUUUCUCGCUACAAUAUUUGAAUACAAAAAUAUUGUACACGAGAACUAGUCAAGAAAAUUAAAAAAAAAAAAAAUCAAAUAUUAUAACGAGAGCAAGAGCAAACAAACAACCUAUUUCCAUUUGUUUCAAGCUUACUGCAACAAACCCUUCAACGCCACGGACAACAUUCCUCUGAAAAUGCUGCGCUACAGAGCAUAUAUUCCAAAUUAUUGUUCAGAUAAAACCAUACAAACCAUCAUAAUUAUUCAACAUACAUUAAGCUCCGUUUGGUAAAUACUUGCAACUUCAGUCCAGAAAAUACAGUUAAUUUUUAUUUAAAAAACAUCAUAAUUAUCAACAUACAUAUUUGACAAAAUUAUUAUUUAAAAAUCAUAACUAAUUACCAAAAGCCACAAUAAAUCAAUAUCAAACAGUCUUAUUAUUAGCUAAAGGAGGAUAGUACCUUAGCUGCCCUGGUGGAAUUGUAUAGAUUUUGAAGUUGUUGGUGACACUCAAUUUCAGAUUCAUCAACAUUUUCAAUACCAAGAUGGAGCAGAUGCUUCAAUACUGCCUGUACAAACCAUAAAAAACUAAUGAAAAAUAAAUAAAAUCGAGAAAUUUCACUAAAUAAAAGUCUAAAUAUAAUUUUUAAAAAAAGAAAAGAAACGGACUUGCUGCUGCUUGGCGACUUGUUCUCGGAGCUUGAUUGCCUGUUUCUUGAUAGCUUCCAUACUGUUUCUUUCAAAAAGCGACGACGGCUCAGCUCAUGGAGGUGGAAAAAAAAAAGUGUGAUGGAGAAAAAUAAAAAGGCAUGAAUAAUUUUUGACAAAAAGCGAAAAUCAAGGAAAGCCAGCUCUUUCCAGAAAAAUAAAAAAGAAAAAAGAAAAUUAUAAGUUUGAAAGGAGAAGAUGAUAGUGGAAGUGUGCGGUGUGGCUGCCAGCUACUUGGAUUUUACUGUUGGGUAAGGUAAUAGUAGAGAAUUUUUUUUUUUUUUUAAGAAAAAUAGUAGAGAAUUUUUUAAGAAGCUAGAACAGAGCAUGACAUUAGACUUUUGUGGACCAAAUUCAAAAGCCGAAUGGCACGGCCCAGAAGCUUUUGAAUAGAAAAACUUGCAUCAGCCUCAAUCACUUCUUAAUCGCUUGCUUUAACUGCAUCGCUCUCUCUGUGCUCUUCUAUAUAUGUAACGGUUAUGCGGUUGUAGUUCACGACUGAGGCUACGUGUUGGUUUGACGUGGCAGUUACGUUACUAGGGGAUAAAUAAGAUUGGUUUCAACAAACCCACUAAUUUUAUAAAAUUCGAGUAAUAUAGAAUAAAAUAAAAAAAAUAAAUACAAAAUUGGCUUUUAUUUUUUCUGGUUGACUGUAUUUUGUGUUCUCUUCCGGCACUACUACAAUUGUUCCCUAUAUAUUAGUCACACCCAUAUGUCAUUAACACAAGAAAUGAAAUCUAAUGUCACCUAUUUAGUUAAAGAAUCACUUAUGAAAAAAUUUUACCAUUUUGAUUUGAGGAUCCAUAUUUUGAACUGCAAACUAAUGUUCAUCAAGAACAGAGUAUGACUUAUGUGUAGAAAAUUUUAUGAUUUUGGCCCGAAAUAUAAGGAAAUUAAAUUAGAUGAGAAUCUGCCACUUUCUCAUGAAGAAAGGCAUGCGGAGCAUACCAUGGUACCAUACGGAGAAUAUUAGAACCUCCCUAGAAUAUCUUUACCCUGAUGUUUCUAACAAAAAUCUGCAUGUGGCAGCAAUUACUAGAUCUACAAUUUCCCAAAUAAUAUUUUGUGUUUCUUAAAAAAUUUGAAAUACAUAGUUGCACUUGCACACCGUGAGACAGUGCUACAAUCUACUGAGAUCUAAAUUAUAUGAGACUUUAAGCUACUAAUGUUUGCAUAUUUCUACAUGUCAAAUUAACAUUACCAUCUAUAAUCCUAAACGACAGAUGAUAAACGGCUUUUGGCCACUUAUUACUAGCAUCCACAAUUAAUUUUUGUUCAGCAAUCAGCUUAUUUUAUAGAAAUUGAUUUAGUCAGCAACAAACACUAUAAUACUUGAAAUUAGUUCUUGUUCUUUGUAAUUUUCUAUGAUUUUUCAUAUAUCAAUUAAUCUGCAGUGCCAAGAUGAGGUUUAGUUUUCAAACUAAAUAAUCAAGUAAGCAAAAAUACAAAUUCAGAGAUUAGCGGGGUAAACUAGCUGGGUGGUUUAGAACUGGGCUAGCUACCUCCCUGUAUUCCUAUUUGUAAGGUGAAUUAAUUGAAUCAUGAGAAAACAAUGUGACCAUAGCUCAAUAUGAGAUGAUUUCGGAGAGGCAUAUUGUUUUCGAGUGAAUUUGAUCCAUUAAGAGAUGAAGUGGAUUGAAGUGGAAAGUUUAAAUAACAAAUCCUUGUUCUUGAGUUUUACGACGUCGUUACUCCUUCAGGUGGCAGAUUAUGCAAGUGAAUUCAAAAACACAAUGCAUCAAUCACGGGGACAAAAGACGGGAUCACAGUCUAUGCAUUGAACAGUUACAGUUGCUGCUACCAAUUGUUCGGCAAAGAUCAAGAAGACUGAACGGGAAGCUAAUGCCAUCAAUGUCGUCUUCACUAUAUCUGCUGGGAAUGUAGGUGAACUUUCCUCAUUUGCAGCUGUCUAUACAUAGGCUUUUCCCCAGCUUAAGUACAAAUAAAUGAAGCUGCCUUGAAGGCUUUAUUAUUGACCCCAAUAAGGAUUACUAAUUGAAGAAGACUAUACGGAGUUAAUCUCACAUUUUAGUUCUCUCAAUUUCUUUCAGAAGUGCCUCUGAAAAUAGCUGCCAAACCGUUAGUCAGCUUGUAUACUCUGUUUUCUGGAAACAGAGUAGCAUAUUUAAUCGUUUUAAUUGAAUUGUCUUCGUAGCGAUCAUCAACAAACUCAUCAUAAGAUUUUUGAAGCACCCAAGGACUAUCACUGGGUUUCUCUUCUGGUUGAUUUAUUAAUUAAUCAAAGAACGGUUGGAUGAAGUGCAAUGAUGGAGCAAAAUUUACAAUGUCUCCGGUUUCUCCUGACCAUCGGACUUUUGCAGUGAGAACAUAUAACAAAAAGACCUUCAUCAAAAUUUGUAGACUCCGGGUAUGGAUUGGAUCGAGUUUUUUGUUUGAUAUUGAAGAACCACUUUACUAUCGCGAUAUAGAUUAUGUGCAAGGGGUUGUCUACUGUUCUUUGCCUUGUGCUAUGAUCGGUGCUUUUGACGUUGCCCCGAAACAGUGGAAAAUACUUCGAUUUCCUCCGUUUGAUGAUGCAAAGAACUGGUUAAUGUACGAUUACCUAAUUGACUCAGGAUCAAGUAACAACAACAAUUUAUUAAUAGUAGUAUCACAAACGAAGAAGAUUUCGGAGAGGGUGAUGUAUGCCUAUACCGUUUACAGGUUUGAUCCACAGGGGAUGAAGUGGUCUCAAGUGGAAAGUGAUUUAUUAAACAACAAAUCAUUGUUCUUGGGUCAUACCUCAUGAUGUCAUCAAGUGGAAGAUGAAGAUUAUGCAAGACGAAGAUCGUUUGAUAUUGAAGAAUUUGAACAGAAAGCCCAUAGAAAGUACUUAAAUAAGCAUAUUCUUGUUGGGGUAGAAUAUUAAGAAAGGAGUUGUCUACUGUGUGUUGCGUGAUUAGGCUAUGAUCUGUGCUUUGAACAUUGCCCUCAAAACAGUGGAAAAUACUUCAUAUCCUCGACAUGAUGAUGAAAAAUUGGUUACCGAUUACCUAAUUGACUCAGUGACAACAAUCUAUUAAUAGCACAAUUUGGCGUGAUGCCGUUUAGGUAUAUGGUUUUCAAGUUUGAUUCAUCAGUGAUGAAGUGGACUAAAAUAAGAUGUUUAAAUGAUAAGUCAUUGUUCUUGGGCAUAUCGUCAUUACUACUUCUAGUGAUCAAAGAUGAAGAUGAAGAUGAAGAUGAAGAUGAAAAUUGUGCGAGUUCAAGAUUACCAUCAACUCAAUUUUAUGAUUGGAGUGUCUCACCGUGACUCAGACAAAUUCUGAUUCAACCUCCUUCACCAAUGGAUUUUGAUUAGUUAUUUUGUGAUCAAGCAACUUAAUUAAACUCACAGUUUGUUAGUCUAAUUUUAGUUUUACUGUGACCACUAUUCAAGGUAAGCGAAAGUUACAGAUGUGGCAAAAUCAAUAAUUAAAUUCAUAAAAUGUUAAAAAAUAAAACUUAUAAAUUUUGCAUGACUACUUACUAAUAAAUAAAUAAGUUAGAAUGUAGUUAGUUAAUUUUACACCAUAUUAUAUAUUAUUCGAUAAUAAUAUAAAAUAAAAAGAAUUAAAAAAUAAAUAAUUGAAUAAACAAAUAUGACUUUCUAAACAGUAAAAAUUCUAGAGUUAAAAUUUAUAUUAUUAUUUUAUUUUUUAAAAUUGACAUAUUUCUAUUAUCUUACAUGUACACAGAUUUUGAGAGUUGAGAAGAAUAUAUUUAAUGAAGCUUGCUAACAUUUGGUGGGAUAGCAAGUAAGGGUAAAUAAGAUUUUUUUGUUAUUUAUUUGAAUUAUAUCUAUUUUGUUCAAGUUAAAAUACUAAAUAUAAAUUGGAGGUAGACAUUUUAACAGAUCAUCUAAGCUCUCAAAUCUGAAAUUUUGUGUAGAUUUAAAUUCAUAAUUUUAGUUAAUUUUCAUACAUUCAUAUAAACAAAUUUAUGAGAUUUUUCUUUUCAGCAUGUUAUAUUUUGAAACUUUCAAUGUAUUAUUCUAGCUUUAUUUAAAUAAUUAAUUUAUUUAAAAUUUAUUUAAUUUUGAAUUUGAUCAAUAGUAAAAUUAUUUUUAUAUCAAAUUUUUUUAUUUAAAUAGUUCGUGGAUUGGACAAAAUUAAAAAUUUUUAAUCCACAAAAUGGUGGAUUAGAUAUGAAUUGGGUUAAAUACACAUUCGAUCCGCAGUCGUAUGAAUUUGAUUUGGAUUGAAUUUCAUCAAUCCAUGGAUUAGAUUGGAUUGAAAAAUUUAUUAUCCGCAAAAUCGUGGAUCGAAUAUGGACUGAUGUCCAAUCAGCAAAAUCCAAUCCCCGAACACUCCUCUAUCAAAAUUUUCAAGAAUAUUUUUUAUCUUACAAAUUUUUUUUAAAGUCAUAGUCUAAGGGCGGCCCAAUUUCUACUCCAUCCAUAUAAGCGGAGUUCAAAUCUCAUACCUCUUAUCUCCACACAAGAGAUUUAACCAAUUGAAAUAGCUAGCACCCACAAGUAUACUAGUACAGCAUCUCUUAACGUUUAACAUACGUAAAAUUAACGCCAUAGCUAUUGAUAAACACAUUGUUCAAUAUAUAUGAUCAAGAAUCUGAUCCUGCGAGCAACAGCAGUCAGAAGAACCAUUAUAAUGCCUAGCUCUUAUCCUGGUUAAUCCUCUGGCCCGAUGCUUCAUCAUAGUGAUUUAAAAAACCAACAACAGCUCUCUAAAAGAGAUGAAGAUAUCAUCUACGUAAAGAACAUGAGACGGAGAUUCACAACCCAUAAGAACUGAGAUAAAUUGGACCAGACCAGUAAUCUUGAGAUAAGUUAAACUGUGACUUAAGUUGAAAUCAGAGGACAGGAAUUUUAAAAUCUUUCGGCUAAGCCCCUGAGGAAUUUUCUAGAGUACGACUUCUGCUUACCUCUGUUUAAUUUCUCUUUAUAUUUUUCUUUCAUUUCAUUAAUAAAGUCAAAUAAUAAAUCAAAGAACGAGGGAAGAUUUUUCCAAGUCAUGCAUUAUUUGAUUACCAUCAAUCAAGAAACCGACCAAAUUAAUUUCUCUCCGUGAUUUUUAAAAAUUAAAAAAAAAAUAUUUGAGCAUAACAUCAUUAAUUAUAGAGUGGAUCAAACUGCGUUAAUCAUGAACUUUGUUGUGUUAAUUAUUUCAAUCCCCGAUUACGCAAUUUUUAAAUUAUAGCCUAACGGUGGUCUCAUCACCACGUGUGUGAUUUUCUUUUGCCAAUAGGAUCUGUAGAGAGCUUGAUCUCACCCAAUAGCAAAAUAAACUUCCUAAUAAGUGAAGGCAUAGUAUAAAUAAUUCACCCCCAUAUUAUUUAUUAGCAGCUUGAUUAUUUUAUAUGCAUCUUUGAUUUAAAUUUUUUUUUCCCAUAAUUGCUACUAUGUUCGAACUGGUCAUGAAUUAUCUAUAAGAUUUUUCAUGUUGCUUUUAGGUGCAUUGGAUUUUUUUUAGUUUAGUGCAAGAGUAGAGGAAGGCAAAUUAAGAAAAAGGAUAAAGAUCUAUGAUUAGCUAUUUUGGGAUGUCUCAUAACAUAUUGAUGGUAACAUUAUACAUAUGUAUAUCUAAAAAAUGGGGUUGGAUCAAGAGCCCAUUAAUAAUCAUAGAUUAGCUUAUAUAGCAAUUUCACAAGCACAUGUUAGCCUAUGUUGAGCUUUAUUAUCAAUAGUUCAUAGUUCAUCGGUGCACUGCAGGUUUACUAUUUGAAGUAAAUAUUAUGGUGCGUGCAUUUUUUAUAAGGCCAACUGCUGAAUUUAGCAUUGAAACUUACAAAAUGUAAUAGAGAGAGGUAGAUAACAGCCACAAAACACUAAGAUUGGAAAUCAGGGCUACUAAAUACUAUUACAAGCCCUUAGAAAAGACACUGAUCAUCCUAGAAUGUAUAUACUGAAAGUAAGAAAUAUUAAUCGCAAAGUUAUGUGCCAACAAAACUAUUGACUACUUGUCUCUAGCAGAAGGUAUAUAUUUUUAACUUCAGCUCUCUACUUUGUUCUAAGAACUAGGCAAAAGAAUGAAACUUCGGUGUCUAAAGUUUGCCGCUUGAAAUAUUUCACUGUCUAAACAUUCACUCACCACUUAUUUCAUAAAUGAAUUUUGUCUAACUAUAUGUUGAUAAAGAUAUUAGAGGUAAUAUAAUGCAUUUAAGACUUAACGUAUAUUUUUUAUUAGUAGAGUGUAGAAUUUUUAAGAAAUAAAUUAUUAAAUUACUAUAACUAACAUAUUAUUUUAAAGUUAUGUUAAGAAAAGAAUGAAAAUAAAAAAUAAAAAAAUAAGGGUAUUCUAAAACUUUGAUCCUUUUAAAAGUAGUUUUUGACGUAAAUAAAAUAAUUUUUAUUUUUUUUAAAUCACAUACUCUAGUUAAAAUCAAAUUUGUAUUUAUAAAGAUUGUAAAAUUUUUUUUAGCAUUAAUAUUUGAAUACUUUCAAGAUAAGAAAUAGGGUACUAAUUAUGCUACAACAUUAUUAUAGCACAUAAAAAGACAAUACCCUUUAUAUUAUUAUACUAUCGUUUUUGUUAUGAUAGUAUUUUGUUAGUGGUCAAAUAUUACUUUUUUAAAUAAAAAAGUAGACAAAUGUAAAUCAAUUUUUAAUCUCUCCUAAAAUUCUAAUUCCUAGUUACCAAACAAAAUUGUUUGAAAAUAAUUUGGCUAAGUGCAUGGGUUCUUAAAACUAUAGGUGAUAGAAGUUACAAGCACAAGCAAAUUUGACGGUCCAUUUUAUAAAAUUUUUAAUAAUUUUUUAUUUACCAUUUUACCACCUAUAUAAUGAGUGCCACAUCGACAAAUCAAUUCAUUUGCAAAUUAUAUUAAUUUUGUAAAAUUCAUUUGACUUGCUAAACCCUUCUUAUCCCCUUUCUCGACUGUCAUACCCUAACCUUAUUUCCCGUGUCCACACUUGACCACGCUCAAUUCAGGCCAUCAGAUUAUCCUGGACCCACAUUAAUCCAACUGCUCACAAUGACCGACAGCCUCUCCAUCUCCAUUUCAAGCUUCCUCUUCAACUGGCUUCUGCUUCCGUCGUACUCUUUCUUGGAUUCGGAGUCCGUAUUUGCUCGGCCGGUCCCGCACAGCUCCCUCUCACUCCAAUUGUCACCCAACAAGACCAAUUGCUUAACAUUGACCGUAUGGCAAUUGUCCGUAUUUCUUGGAUUCGGAGUCCGUAUGGCACAGAACAAGAAGAGGAUGAGAAAUUGAAACAAGAAUUUGAGAAUUGGAAAUCGAAAACGUACGCAUUGACCGUGCCUUUGAGGGCAAUUACUUUUCUUGAGAAUUGAAGUUUGGUAAUGUAAUUUGUUCUCCAUCUGUGUUCCCUUUGUAGUCAUUUCAUUUAUUUGUUUGUUUGCUUUUAUUUGCACUUACGAAGUCUCAGAUAUAUCUACGCAGGAAUGAUGCAGGAGAAAUUGAUCCUCGAGCUUACAAGAAAAGUAAAUUUCGAAAGCAUAAUUUGGCUCCGAUUGAGGUAAUAAUUGUCUUUAAACUCAUUUAGUUUUAUAUCAAACAAAAUAAAGGCUGCCUUUCUCUUCAAUAUUUUUUAUGAUAAUAUCUUUAGAAGCAUCUCAUUGACGGGUAAUCAUGGUAUCCCUUAAAGAGUCUAUAAACUCAAUGAUAUUUUCUUCUGCAAAUGGUUCAUUAAACUUCUUAGACGUAGUUAAAUGUACACUAAGAACAACGAGAAGCUAUGCCGCUGUAGCAUGUAGUGAGAUCUUGUUUGAAGUUGUUUUCUGAAAUGAACUGCCAAAUGGUAGUUUUUUAUUUCUUGGGUGCAUUUGAUGACUCUUUUCUCCUCAUUUUAAGCAUGUACCUGCUUGGAAUGGGAAGGAAUAGGCUUCCGAGUUGUUAUAUAUGUUGACAUGCUCUGAUCAUUACACAAAAUGUUCAAAUUGGAAAUUAGAAUGAGAUAUUUGUCGAUGCUUUUUGAGAGAUCUGCAUUCUAUGCACCAUAACAUGAUUAAUGAAAACAGGUUUAAGGACUGGAAAGAUCUGUGGCGGCCCAAGCUUGCAGGAAGGAUUUCAAUGGUUAAUUCUCCCAGAGAGGUUAUUGGUACAGUUUUGAAGUAUAUGGGAGCAUCAUACAAUUCAAACGACAUUGAUUAGCAAGUUGCUGCUGGGAGGAUUGCUGUUCAGCAGAAUCUGGCAUUACUGGGAAACCAGGUACUCUUAAAGAAAUGAUAUCUGGUCAAUGCAUAUUACUGCCUGAGCUGAUUUUGUUUGUAAAGUCUGCCUCUUCAUACAUAUGAAUGCAUAUGUUAGUGUUUUCUUCUCCUUUUAAUACACAUGAAUGCAUAUGUUAGUGUUGUCUUCUCCUUUCCAUAAAUAUGAAUGCAUAUGCUCUGGGUGUUGGUUACUACUUCAAGUGGAAGGUGAAGGUGAUGCAAGUGAUUUCAGGAGUACAUAUAUUCCAAGGAUGCUGGACUAUUAUUGCUUCCCCCCAUAUUUCAGAAUUUUUUGUCAACCUCCUCCACUAAGGGAUUCCAAUUGAGUUACAAAUAUAUUUUCUGUAGCUAUGUUUUAAAGUUUUGGUCUCAUGUUAAUUUUUCUAAUUACUAUUCUUCAACAAAUCUCUUUUACUUUAAAAAACUGCUACAGUUUGAUUUUACUGCCUUAUAUCAUUGAACAUUGAUACAUGGAAUUUGAAAUCAGACUUGUAACAACAGAUAUAUAGAUAUAGAACAUGCAUAUAAUCUCCAUUUCGAGCUCCCUCUCCAACUGGCUUCUGCUUCCGUCGUACUCUUUCUGGGAUUCGGAGUCCGUAUUUGCUCGGCCGGUCCUGCACAGCUCCCUCUCACUCCAAUUGUCACCCAACAAGACCAAUUGCUUAAUCAAGGCACAGAACAAGAAGAGGAUGAGAAGUUGAAACAAGAAUUUGAGAAUUGGAAAUCGAAAACGUAUGCAUUGACUGUGCCUCUAAGGGUUGUUUCUCUUCAGAAUUCAGUGCCUCAAUCUUGGGUUAAGGAUUUUAUGCGAAGUCAAGGAAAGAGAUUGAAGUUUCAGAUGAAUUUGUGUGCUAGCAUUGGUGGGAUCUUUAACAAUUUAUCUGUGCCCUUUAACAAAGUUAAGGGUAAGUCAGCUUCGUAUACGGCUGCUGAUUUGGUUAGUGUUGGUGAUUCAUGGCUCAGUUUUGCGAUUAAAAAGAGAUUGAUUGAGCCAAUAGCUGAAGCUGAAGAUCAAGAUUGGUUCAAAUGCUUAUGUCACAAAUGGAAGGUAACAUACUAACAUCUUUAUCUUUGACCCGAUAAUUUUUAUUGUCUUACAUUGAAAUUUGGUAAUGUAAUUUGUUCUCUAUUUGUGUUACCCUUUGUAGUCGUUUUAUUUAUUUGUUUAUUUGCUUUUAUUUGCACUAAUGAAAUCUCAGGUAUAUCUACGCAGGAAUGAUUCAGGAGAAAUUGAUCCUCGAGGUAAAAUAUGGGCGGCACCAUACAGGUGGGGCACAACGGUGAUAGCCCACAAGAAAAGUAAAUUUCGAAAGCAUAAUUUGGCUCCGAUUGAGGUAAUAAUUGUCUUUAAACUCAUUUAUUUUUAUAUCAAACAAAAUCAAGACUGCCUUUCUCUUCAAUAUUUUUUAUGAUAAUAUCUUUAGAAGCAUCUCAUUGACGGGUAACAAUGGUAUCCCUGAAAGAGUCUUUAAACUCAAUGAUAUUAUCUUCUACAAAUGGUUCAUUAAACUUUGUCGUUGUAGUGAAAUGUACACUCAGAGCAAUGAGAAGCUAUGCCACUGUAGCAUGUAGUGAUGGCACUUAAUAAGUGAGUUGCUAGGAUGUGAACUAGAAAAAUUAAAUAUUGUCUCCUUGGGUAUGCUAGCUCAUAAGUCAGGGUUAAUAUUAGAGCUUAAGUUACUAUAACCAUGAGACGCUAUUGACUGCCAAUUAAAAUAUCCAUUAAAUUGUCUAGGAAGUUAUGAAAGUGGAGGUAUCUUCCGAUUUCUAAGGCCAGAUAGUAGACAUCAUCCAGGAUCCUAGGAAAGUGCAGUUAACCUCCUGCUCGAUGCAAUUAAUAAAUUUGGUCAAUGCCACUGAAACCUGCAAACCGACGUCACAAUGCAAGAUGAGCACUUCAAAAUGGGACAGACGGUCAGUAGCACUAAAUUUUUCUUUCCCAAGAUUGAGCAAUUGGUCUAACAACUAACCCCUAUUGUAGGUUGAUCAUUAUUUUUCCAAUUAUGUUCAGUUUGACCCAAAAAGUUACAGAAUCUUGAGCUGAAUAUUGUCACUGAACACUGUCAAUGUCGUUUAGCAUACCCAACUAACUUGAGUUUGGUAAAACAAACACACUGUGUGUCUCAUCUCUCACAAUUCAAAUUAUCAUCUGUAAUGAUGGAGAAUUUUUCCGAUGUAUGAAGUAUGCUUUGAUACGUGUACCUUGGAGAAGAUAUCUCCAAAUAAAGAAUAUGGAGAGAAAACGGUUCAGUAGUUUAUUAUUCUGUAGGCAAUUCUUGUCUCAAAAAUGGUCAAAAUUUAAAUGAAUAAGGACAGGGGAUCUUCAUUCUUUUUUCCCUUUUUUAUACCAAGAUAUCUCUCAACCUUUAUAUAAUCCCCACUGGAUAUCUGCUUCUAAUAAUUAAAAUAAAAAUUUCACCCGCACAAAUAAAUACUGACCAAGCUCUAACAAUAAAAAGUAACAUCUUUACUCAAGUAAUUUACAGUUCCUCAUCAUCUUAGUGUGAGACUAUCAUUACGUUCCAAAAACAUAAUAAAACUGGUUUGAUCCUGUUUAUUGAUGUUUAAAUGUUGUUCAUUGUGACAUGUAGAAAUGAUGAGGCGAAGUUUAUUUGGUCAUCAAUUAGUAAGAUCUUGUUUGAAGUUGUUUUCUGAAAUGAACUGCCAAAUGGUAGUUUUUUUGGGCAUAUGAUGGCUCUUUUUUCCUCAUUUUCAACAUGUGCCUGCUUGGAAUGGGAUGGAUUAGGCUGCAGAGUUGUUAUAUAUUUUGAGAUGCUCUGGCCAUUGCACAAUUUGUUCACACUGGAAAUUAGAAUGAGAAAUUUGUUGAUGCUGUUUUGAGAGAUCUGCAUUCUAUGCACAAUAACAUGAUUAAUGAAAAUGGAUUGUAGGACUGGAAAGAUCUGUGGCAGCCUGAGCUCGCAGGAAGAAUUUCAAUGGUUAAUUCUCCCCGAGAGGUUAUUGGUUCAGUUUUGAAGUAUAUGGGAGCAUCAUACAAUUCAAGCGAUAUUGAUUCGCAAGUUGCGGGUGGGAAGAUUGCUGUUCAGCAGAAUCUGGCAUUACUGGCAAACCAGGUACUCUUAAAGAAAUGAUAUCUGAUCAUGCAUGUUAUUGCCUGACAACUGAUUUUGUUUGUAAAAGUCUGCUUCUUCAUACAUAUGAAUGCAUAUGUUAGUGUUCUCUUCUCCUUUUCAUACAUAUGAAUGCAUAUGUUGGUGUUGUCUUUUCCUUUUCAUACAUAUUAAUACAUAUAUUGGUGCUCUCUCCUGAGAUGGAUGCAAUAAAGGCUUUUGGUCCUAAAUUUAGCUGAAGAAAUGGCAAGGGAUGUGAGAUUCUGUCUCAUUAAAUUAACAAAAACCCAAAACAAUGAAAACCGAUAAUAAUGUGGUGGGGGUAAAUUGGCACCAUUUGGUUUGUUUCCUUAAUGUGAAUACACGAGCAAUAGGGACUAACAAAAUGAAGUGACAACAACAAGUCAGUGUCCUUUGAUGGAUGCAUUUUAGGCAGAAAUAGGUUUGUAAUUGACCAAUUUCAAAAAAUUUAAAUUAUGUGGUUAUUAGCUGUAAUGAAGGGGAUAGUAGGUGCAAUCAGGUGGAUCCAGGAAAGUUCAACAAAGUUCUGGUAUGGCAUAGUGAAAUUGGUUUGUGCAACUCAAGAGUCUUUCAGGUGAACGAUGAUACGUUUUGAUUUAUAAAUGUUAUAAAUCUACCGUCCAUAGUAUUCUAGUAGAGUCAUCUAUAAGUUCUAGUUAUUGAAAUUGUCUACUUUGUCCAGUUUGAGUUAAGGGCACAUGUAAUAGGAAAAAUAGUAUUCACAUCUUUUUGGUUACCUAACAUUUGAUCGAUCCUAUUAUGAGGGCUUCAAGAUGCCUGACAAUAUGUAGAAUGCCCAUGCUCCUCCCCAUUGUUUAUCUUAUACAAUAAUUUGUUUUAGAUGCUAAUAUAUUUGUCGAUACCGGUAACGAUAUUACAAUAUCUGCGUUUAUUGGGUUUUACAUAGGUUCGACUGUUUGACAGUACACACUAUCUGAAGGCAUUUGGAAUUGGAGAUGUAUGGGUUGCUGUUGGGUGGAGUAGUGAUGUUCUUCCUGCUGUCAAACGUAUGUCUAAUGUUGCAGUUGUUGUUCCCAAGUCUGGUGCUAGCUUAUGGGCCGAUCUUUGGGUAUACCCAUGCCUGCCAUUCUACUUCGAUAUUCACAUUGUUAUCUCCUUCAUUUUAGCGAUCAUAAACUUGAUAAUGUGACUAAUAAGUUCGUAUUCUCUAUAUAGGCAAUCCCUGCUGCCUCAAGACUUGAAACAAAAGAAAUUGGAGGGCGAGUCAGAGGUCCAUCUCCAUUAAUCCAUCAAUGGAUAGAAUUCUGCUUGCAAACAGCGAGAACAUUGCCUUUCAAGCAAGAGGUUAUCCCGGGCGCAUCUCCCUCUGCCCUUGAAAGUACUCUGGUUAAGUUGCCUGAAGAACUUCUGAUGGGUAAACCAAGUCUGGAUACUAACUUAAUUGCUGGAGUACCCCCGGCUGAAAUUCUGGCCAGAUGUGAGUUUUUGGAGCCAUUGCCUGAAGCUACAUUGUCAGAUUAUGAGUGGCUGGUUGCUAAUCUGCAAAAACCUGCCCCCGUCUUGAUGAAAAGGCUGCAACAUUACUUGUCAUCAUUAAUCCAAAGCUUUCUAGCAAAAGCUACAUUGAAAAGUUAAUGGCACUGCAUGCCAGUCAUUGUAAUGCUGUCAGGGCUAUUGGGUCAGGGCAAUUAGGUAAGAGCAUAACUUCAUUAGGAAAAGAGGCUUCAGCUACGUUAAAUAUUGCAGGAUGUACUGAGAUGGUUGAAGUUCUUGAGGUUUUACGAGAAACGAAAGAUGAGUGUUUGUUUGAACAAAGUUGUUGCCAUCUUGCAAGAUCACUGAGCGAAUGCCACCGAUUUCUUAAUCAUUGUAGCCUCCAUAGUUGAAGUUUCCUUAUUUGAAGCUGUUUAUGCGUACGCUUUUUCCCUGCUCAAGUACAGGAAAUUGAAGAAUUAACCAGAUGUGAUAUGCUGAAAGAGGGAAGUUUUCUUCCUUGAACGUGGCCUUGUGAUUUGUCUUGAAGGAAUAGGAUGAUCACUGGCAAGAACCCUAUCAAGGUAGAUUUUAUGGUGCUAACGUAUUAUUAAGCAUUUUGUUACAUCAGCAAUGAUGCUUCCAUAGCAUGAAAGUGUUUAAAUUUAACUGAAUGAUCUUGAUUAAUCAAUUAUGAGUUUUAAUCGAGUAAAAACUAAAUACAAUCAUCGUUAGCAAAUACUGAAAUUGGGUAAAUAUGAUCUUGAUAUUGAAGAAUCUGAAAACACAACCCACACAGGGAAUCACCCUUCGCGUGGGGAUGGAGAUGUUUACUGCAGCGAUAUUGAAUAUGUCCACUGCUCUUUGGGUUAUGGUGCGACUUGCCCUGAAACAAUGGAAAAGAUUAACAUACCCUGCAAUGAAUGAAAGCGGCUGGACUAAUUCUGAUUACCUAAUUGACUCAGGAUCGGGUGGCAAUAAUGACAGUUUAUUAACAAUGCACAGUUCCGAGUACUUUUCCAGGAUCAGAUAUUACGUGGUCUAAUGUUGAUAAUAAUAGAUUAUCAAAUGAGAGAUGCUGAGAGAUGCUGGUCUACCUUUGCAAGCCCCCAGAUUUAAGAAUCUUUUGAUGAUAAUUUACCACCUGUACCUGUGCCGGAAGAUUCACCUAGCACUGAAAAAGAUGAUAAUUUAAUUGAUAUGGAUAGUUUUCAUAACACUUUUAAAUCAUCUAUAUGUGAACUAUUAUUGACGCUAUUUUGUUGUAAACAAUCUUAUUCAAUUAAUAUAUAAUUUAAAAUCAUUAUGUAAAUCAAUCUAUUACUUUUCAUGAUAUUUAAUUGAGUUAAAACUAAGUGCACCCAAUAAAUCUCUUUUCCUUUAAAAAACUGUUACGCUUUGAUUUUAGUGCUUAAUAUUUACGGAACUCCGGUACAGGGAAUUCGAAAUCAAACUCGUAACCACAGAUUAUCUAAUUGCAAGUUUUUGUCCAUAGUUGCUGAUUGUAGUGAUUAUCUAAUUGACUGAGGUGACAACAAUUUUUUUUUUUAAUUUUCAAUAGCAUAAUGUGGAAUUCAAUAAUUAAAUUCUCCUUUUUAAUUUGUUUCCAAUUAAAUUAUUAAUUACUUAAACUCUGUUUUAAGUCUUUAAUUUUAUGUCUUGGCGUAUAUGCAGGGUUGGAUUCUUGAGCGUGUUGGACACGACCAACAAUGAAAUUGACAGUAAACAAACAUUACAACGCGUUGAGUGUCGACUCCGCUAGCUGCCCUACAAGUCUACAACUUUACAAACAACAACUGAGUACACACAUUUGAUUCUUGGGACCCUUCAAUGAAUUUCUAGCCCGGUUGACUCCACCGACAAAAGUUUUGGAAAAUAAAAAAGAAAAUUCAUAGAAUUCCACCAAAUGCAAAACGCGUGGAAUUUAAUUUUCGGCCAUGUGGACCAAAACAUAAUUUAAUGAAAAAAAAAGAUAAGAUUUCUAAAAUGUGUGGAAGGUGAUCCAUAUUUUACUGAAAACAACUUGUUAAAUUUUUCAAAGAUUUAGAAUAUUUGGUCAUAAAUUACGCUCAUGUUAAUUUUUCCGCUAUUGACUAUCAUAUUCUAGACUCACUGGUACCUUUCUUGAUGAAGGGUACUUAGUCUCUCUUCUCCUCUUAUAAAAAUUAUAUUAAGUGAUUUCUUAUUAUAAUAAAUAGUCUUUAAGAACGUAUAGAUUUAUUGUUUUCGUGACCAAAUUAUGCCAGCUUAAGGUUGCGACUAUUAAUAAAAUUAAUAUUUAAUGUUUAUGUUAAAAGAUAUAAGAUUUUAUGCAUUCAUUAAUUGUUAUUAGCUAAAGGAUUAAUUAUUUUUUCAACCCAAUCAGUUGAUGCAUCUGCAAAAAAAAUUUCUUUUAUUGACCAUAAUUAUAUUCCGGGUACAAUAAAUUAUCUUUGGUGCUUGGAAAAUUUGACUUCUUACUUCAAGUUUGAUGUGUCUCUCUCCAUAAGCUUACUGGAAAUAUAUCCUUUUGUAUUAUUAAUAAAGUGAAAUUUGUUGCUCCUUCCUUCUAAAUCUAAACAGAGUUUCACAAUUUCACCAACUUGGAAUAUUUGACAUUGGACUUUUCCUCUCUCCAUAUAAGCCUUCUGCAAAGAAUUGCAUCGUUAUUCCCUUCAUUAAAAAAUCUGUCGAUGUCUGGUUGUGAAGUCAAUGGUGUCCUACGCGGUCAAGGUAAAAGAAAAGUGUUGAUUGUGAACUCACUCAAUGGUGUCCUACGUGUUCAACAUUUUUAUUUAUUAAUCUUUCUGCUAGAUUUUCCUCAUUUCAAGAGUUUGGAACAUUUUGACCAGCUUUCUUCAAAUCAUCGGUGAAUCAAUGCCUUCUCUUAAGUACUUAUCACUGUCAGAUUCUACUCUUGGCACUAACAGCAGCAGGAUUCUUGUUCGAGGUUAAUCAGAUGCUCCCACCCUCCCUUCUUAAUCUAUAAUAUUAAUUUUCAAUUAAAUAUUCAAUUACACAAACCAAUCACUUAUUAUAAAAGAACAAUACGCAUUCAUUAAUUUUUAUAUUGUAUUAAUAAUUGAUGAAUUUAAUAAAUUUUCAAAUAUUGUAUUAAUAUUUGACAUCCAUUGAAGAGCUGUAUCUUUCAAACAAUCACUUCCAGAUCCCAAUUUCACUUGAACCAUUUUUCAAUCACUCACGACUCAAGAGUUUCUAUGCUGACAACAAUGAAAUAAAUGCAGAAAUAAUUGAGUCGCAUUCUUUGACUGCCCCAAACUUCCAAUUAAAAUAUCUCUCAUUGUCUUCCGGUUACGGAGAUGGUGUCACAUUCCCCAAAUUCCUUUACCAUCAACAUGAUCUGGAGACUGUUGACCUCUCACAUAUAAAGAUGAGUGGAGAAUUUCCAAAUUGGUUGUUGGAAAACAACACAAACUUAGAAUAUCUUUUUUUGGUUAAUGAUUCUCUUGCAGGACCUUUUCGGUUGCCAAUUCAUUCACACAAGCGGUUAAGACUGUUGGAUAUAUCCAACAACAACAUCCGAGGCCACAUUCCAGUAGAAAUUGGAGAUGUUUUACCAAAUUUAUACGUUUUCAACAAUUCCAUGAAUGCUUUAGACGGUAGCAUUCCCUCUUCAUUUGGUAAUAUGAAAUUCCUCCAAAUUCUAGACUUAUCCAACAAUCACUUGACUGGUAAAAUCCCCGAGCACUUGGCCAUGGGUUGCGUCUACUUGAAUUUUCUUGUCUUGUCAAACAACAACCUACAAGGUCAUUUGUUCUCUAGAAAUUUUAACUUGACAAACUUGAAAUGGUUACAAUUGGAGGGCAAUCGCUUCGUAGGUGAGAUCCCAGAAAGUUUGUCUAAAUGCUCCUCACUAGAAGGAUUGUCUCUUAACAAUAAUAGUCUUUCGGGUAAGAUUCCACGAUGGUUGGGUAAUCUCACAUGGUUAGAAUAUAUUAUAAUGCCCAAUAAUCAUCUUGAAGGCCCUAUUCCAGUGGAGUUUUGUCAGCUUGAUUUGCUUCAGAUUUUGGGCAUUUCAGACAACAACAUAUCUGGAAGUUUACCAUCUUGUUUCCAUCCUCUCUCUAUCAAACAAGUUCAUCUUUCAAAAAAUAUGUUACAUGGACAGCUAAAAAGAGGUACAUUCUUUCAUUGCUCUUCCCUUGUGACAUUAGAUCUUAGCUAUAACCGCUUGAAUGGCAGCAUUCCGGAUUGGGUUGAUGGGCUUUCUCAGUUAAGCCACCUUAUCUUAGGUCACAAUAAUCUUGAAGGUGAAGUGCUAGUUCAAUUAUGCGAAUUGAACCAACUACAAUUGUUAGAUCUUUCUAAUAAUAAUCUUCACGGUCCUAUUCCUCCUUGCUUUGAUAACACCACACUUUAUGAAAGUUACAGCAAUAAUUCUAGUCUUGAUGAGCAAUUUGAAAUAUCUUGUUCCAUCGAAAGCCCUCAGGGAGAUGUAGAAAAGCAAAUCCGUGAAAAUUUUGAGUUCACAACAAAGAACAUUGCGUACAUUUACCAAGGAAAAGUGCUUAGCCUCCUAUCAGGACUUGAUCUUUCUUGCAACAAGCUAAUCGGUCCUAUUCCUCCUCAAAUUGGAAAUUUGACAAGGAUUCAAACAUUGAAUCUAUCACACAACGACUUGACAGGAUCGAUCCCAUCAACAUUUUCAAACUUGAAGCAUGUCGAAAGUUUGGAUCUUUCCAACAACAAAUUGAAUGGGAAAAUCCCUCAUCAACUAGUGGGGUUAAAGACAUUGGAGGUUUUCAGUGUGGCAUACAAUAACUUAUCAGGCGAAAUUCCAGAAUGGACUGCACAAUUUGCAACAUUCAAUGAGAGUAGCUAUGAGGGAAAUACUUUUCUUUGUGGAUUGCCAAUGCCCAUUUGCAGAUCACCAGAAACUAUAUCGGAGGCUUCAAUUGGCAAUGAACGAGAUGAUAAUUUAAUUGACAUGGACAGUUUCUUUAUCACAUUUACAACAUCGUACGUAAUUGUGAUAUUCGCAAUUAUUAUUAUUUUAUAUGUAAAUUCUUAUUGGCGACGUAGAUGGUUUUACUUUGUUGAAAUGUGGAUAACUUCAUCUUACUAUUUUGUUGUAGACAAUCUUAUUCCAACAUGAUUUUGUCAUUGAAAUUAAUUAGUAGCUUAAUUACGAUCCUUUAAGUACUAAUCAAGUUUGCUUAGGAAAUAUUUUUUUAUUAAAAUUGUAGUAGUAUUUAGCAUUAUAUAGCUUCCAACUUCCAAGCACUUCACAUUUGUCUCUACACUUAAAAAACUGAGUGAUCAUGUUUUGCAGAUCUGGAUUUGGAGCAGGAUGGAUCCAAACCCAUAUCUGUCCACCAUAACUUAUAGCUUCCCUAUACUGUGCAGCAUACUUAAAUAAGAGAACCAUCUCCAAUGUUAAAAGCAUUCACUCUAUAACAUUCAUUUAGAAACUAUAUUCAGAAUAAUUUUAUAAUUAAACACAAGAAAUGAAACACACAGAUACACUUGAUCGCCUAUUUUACUCUAAAAAAGAACGAUUACUGUGCUAUCAUCAUCUUCUUCACUAGCAACAUUAACACCAAAUCGAUAGACCCAUACAUUUCAUCAAGAAAGGUAUAUAUCCAAUAAAGUUGAAGCCUAACAAAAAAUUCAAGAAGAUUAAUGCCUCGCCACAACAAGGGGCACAACAACAUCAAAGUAGAGAUUAAGCAGUAUUCUCAAAGCUAAAACUCUCAAAUCCACCCACCAGAAUUUCAUAUCUCCUCAACAAUUUUAAGAAAUAAAGAUAAUUAGGAUUUAACAUUAGUUUUUUAUAUAUUAGUUUCAUAAUUUACAAAUCAAUGAAGAUGAAGAUUAUGCUAAUAAAUUCAAAUUAUACCAUACAUUCUCUAGAUGUUACCAAAAAUUUCUAAGUCAAUCCCACAUAUUUCAUAAUUUUAAGACUAGAAAAUUUCACUAGUUAGAAGUUUCAUUAACUUCAAGUGGAAGAUGAAGAACAUUAUACAAGUGAUUCAGAUUAUAUCAUACAUACUCCAAAUGCAACUAGAAAUUAACAAGUUCAUGCGCACAUAUUUCAUAACAUUAUGAUUGAAACGUUUCACAAAGAGAAAUUCUAAAUUCAAUCUCUUGCAUGAAGGCAGUUUGAUUGAUUUGAGUUACUUUCUUAUCAAGCUACUAAUAUAACAUUCAAGUCAGGGAGAAAAUAAAUUAAAACUGGGAAGAAAUAACAGUAAAAAUUUGUUGCUCAACAUGAUGUGUAUUUUUUUUCAAGGCAAUUUGGAAACACAAUUGUUACUACAGAUAUUCUUCUCAACUUGGAGAUAAAUACAAAUAUUAAAAUGCAUAUGAUCGCACAUAUUACUUCGAGUUUAGUAAGAUUUCAUUAAAAGAAGCAAUCAAACCACUUAUCAAUUGUCGCAGUCGUUCUAUAAACUAAAAUAGCAAUAUAAUACAAGAAAAAGAACAUAUAGAUACUUGGCAAGAGUUCAUUAAGAAGUCGCAUCACAUUCGGGUGAGGAGUUUGCUUCUGAUAUCUUGCUAGCUGGGGCUUUUUCUUGUCUUUCUACGUAUGCCGAGGGAAACCAACCAGCUUGGCCCUUGCAUUCACCUUCCGACCAUCCAAUAGGAGCCACCUUGAGAAGUUAUAACUAAAACGGUGAAUUAAACAAAAGUUGACCGUUCAAAGACCUAAGGGGAAAACUAAUUCUUUUACGUAGGAGGAGUGAAUUAGUUGUGAUCACUGAAAUAACAGCAUAACUAUGGAAGCAUAACAAGAUAUAAAUUCACACGUCUAUAAGGAUAAACUGGGUGGUUUAGAACUGAGCUAGCAACCCUACUAUAUUCUGAUUUGCACUUCAAUGUAAAAGGGAAUAUAUGGUAGGAAGAAAGAAAACCAACCAUCAUUUGUUAACUCAUUGCUUUUCAAUCAAAAUUUUAAGAACAAAAUGCCAUGUGCUUUGAACAUCAAAUAAGUAUAAGCAUUAGUUCUAAAUUCCACAUAUCAUAAGUUGUUAGAAGGAUAAGUUAAUAGCAGAGUAGAAAAAUCAAUGUGUUGGUAUUUAGAGGGGAAAGUACCUGGCGAACCACAACAUAAUCAUCAAUUGAAAGACUUAGCUCUCCAUUUGCUUGAGCAUCAAAUGGAUGUAUAACCUGCAAGAUAAUGGGAUAAAUGGAACUUAAAAAAAGCAUAACAAAAGCAGCAACAGUAGCAGCAACGUUCAUUGUAACCACUAUGAUCAUGGCCAACAAAGAUAUAUUAGAAACAAAAUUCCAUUUUUACUAUGACAUUAAUAUGUACUAUACGAUAUCAUGACGAUUGGGUUACUAAGAGCUAUCAAAGUCUAAUAAGUUCUGUAUAACUUUAUGUAGUUAUUUAAAUUAUGGAUCAGAUUUUAAAUUUGAAAUUUUGACUGCUCUCCACAAAACAUGGCCUAUGCACAAGAAAGUCAUAGAUAAUGAGGAUUACAAGUGUCCGACAUCUUUUGAGUGAUGGAUUUAACAUGAGAGCUUAUGGUCAGUCAAUUUCCUCUGCCUAGCAAUAUAAGCUUUCUCGGCCAGAUUUAUCAUCAAAUACAUAGAUUGCCCCCAAGUCACAUCCAUAUAAACAUAGUUUUUCUAGGUAAACCAAGUAAGGAGCAUCAUAAUUCAGACAUAAUCAUAAAAAGGCCCAUCUAAAUUAAGAGAAAAUCUCAAAAAGAGGGAUGCUGAGCUAUCAGUCUUGUAUCUAUAAGCAAUAUCAAGACUUUACAUCACCUGCUACAUCAUGAGUGGCUACACAACUUUCAGUGGUUUGUCUUUCUUUGGCACGCCUAACUCAGCUUUGAUGUUGCUGAGAUAUUGAUAGUAGAGACACAUGAUACUUCUAGCUCAUGCAUUCUAUCUAACUCAUCCAACAACUAUCUCUUUUUUAAUUCAUUAGUGUUUGCUAAACCUCAUGCUUAAAAGUCCUGUUCUCCUAAAUAAAGUUUCCUAAGAAUGACUUCCUUAGCACCACAGUUGGACACUUGUAGAGCAAUUUUAUUUGGGGGAAAAGAAUUUUCAAGGUGUUAACUAAUAAAUUUUAAAAAAUAAUUACAAUUUGUCCUACGAUCAUAUGACAAUUUAUCUGGGAUGAAAGGAUACAGAUAGACAUCUUCCACUUUCAAGACUAAUCACUACUUCCGUAGAUGUUGUGCAAUAAUACAAAUACUUGACCAGAUGGUAGUGAUGGUAGAAAAAAAAUUUAUUGCUCCAAAAUUAAAAUAAGAAUGCAAUAUGUUAAGCAAAAGGCUGUGCAACAUCAAAUUAAUUGAUAAGAUAGAUGCAGACAAGCAAGUUAAAAUGCAUAGUCCCAAACCUCCGCAUACAACUUCUCUAAAAUAGCAAUAACGUGUUGAUGCUAUGUUUUCUCAGCAUCUACCUGCAAAGGCCCGAGACCAGGAAAACAACAAUAAAACCACUAGCUGAAGGAGAAAGCAAAGAAAGAAAUACACUUGACAUAAAUCUUGACAAGAAGCACAAUUUAAGACAUAACAAACCCCAAUCAUAUUGUUUAGAACUACCAUUCGUUAUUUCGUUAUUGUAACAUUUCGAACAAGUGUUGACUUAAUUCAACAUUGUUGGAAAGAUAGGCUUUUAGAAGCAGAAGAAAGCCUCUCAAACCAAAGUGCUGGUCCUUGUAUUGAUCAAGGGAUGUAAACAUAUUACAUUUGCAGGAUGAGAUUUAAUCACUCCCCUGAUUUAUUUGGGUUGCAGUAAAACUAAGCGAGCAACUGUUUGACUUCCAAGCAACAGCUAAAUCAGCUAUUAAAAUUCAAAUAAAAUCAUAAUAGAAUAAUAACAGGCCCUCUUGCAUCAAAAAUUAAGUUUAAUUUGUGCAUUGUUUUCUAUAGACAUGUCAGUUUCUGCUAUUGAAAUGUUAAAAGCAUUGAAAAAUUAUUCAAUAAAUUAUGCAAGCAUUAAAAUAGAGGACAUAUUAAAAAGUUUCUAAUUACAAUGCUAAUAUUUCCUAUAUUUUAGCAUUUGCAUAUUUUAAUUUAUUUAAAAGCUACGUCGAUCAACUUUGGGCAUGAAGAUUUUAGCUUCUACGAGACUUGAUUGGAAUAUGCAUAAGGAAGAGUGUUAAAAUAUGAUGCAUCCAACGAAAGAAAACCACGUGUAGUCUUUUAAUUAAGCCAAAGUAGCAGCUCAAACAAAUGACACUUGGACCAACAUGCAAUCAUGAAGUGGCCGGAAAAAGGACAAAUGCUACUUUGGCUUAAAUAAAAAAUAACAUGUGACUUGACUUUUGCUGGACAUGCAUCAUGUUAUUACAAGACAACAGAAAUCAGUAUGAUAGUACUAAAAGUUGACAAUAACAUGAAGAUAAGAGGCAGAAUGUCAACACAUGCAUAGGCACACACAAGAAAGUAUUAACAUAUAUACCAUAGCAAAAACUCUUUUAUAUGUCAUCUGUUGCUGCUGUGAUUCAACUGACAGCAAGGCAGCUGUCGCUUCUCUACCAAGAGCCAUUAUUUUAGAUUUAAGCUCGGUCAAUCUUGCUUCUGCAUUUCGAAGCUUCACAGCACUCUCUGCUGAUAUAUCAGAUUCCCUAAUCUUUGAUCGGUGCCUAAAUACUUCAGCUGCCUGGUGAAAAUAUUCAAUAUAAAUCUAAUAUAAUUCUCAUCUUGCCUUAUACAUGCAUAUGUUACGUCAAAGCUUACCUGGGCUUCAACUUCAUGUCGAAGUUUGUCAUAACAAUGAGUCAGGUGUCGAGCAUCUUCCAAAGGUGCUCCGUUGAUUAACGCCCGUAGUGGCUCAGAUACCUACAUGUCCAAAAACCUGUAACAUAGUUAGAAAAAUGAAAAGAAAGAGCGAAACCUCAAUUAAAAAGUUCAUCCAACAUAAUCAUGGAAUUUGGGCCUACUUUAAGAAUAUAUAUAAGGAUAAUUUAUGCAAUUUUGGGUCUUAGGAUGAUUGGUAUUAGGUUAGUGUUCUUCUCUUCUGUAUUUAAGGUUAAAAUAGAAAUAAACCUAUGCAAGUAUCUAAAUUAGGCCUGUAAGACAUCCACAUGCAUCCUUCAGUCUCAUGGAUUUGAUUUUACUAUAGAUGCAAGUGUCUUUAUCGAAAAUGCUUGGAGUCAAUUGAGAGAACUCAUGGCCAAUAACUUGUCACACGCUAGUCUUUGCUAGUGAUCACAAGGUCUCUUCAACAUUUGAACCAAUAAAAUUAUUAAGUCAUGGAUGUCACUAGCAAUGAUUUUAAUAUAAAACAUUAAAUAUUUCAGAGUUGUAACUUUAAAAUGGAUUCUUUUAUUCAAUAUCAUAGAACUAAGUUUCCUUAUGAGAAGAUAAUAGUUUCGAUAAUAAUUUUACAUAUAAUUUUCUAUAUUUGAAUUAUUUUCUAGUUAGGGAUGAACUAACCUGAUCACGAAGAAUCCCGAGCAAAGUUUCCCUCUCAUUUUCCAUCAAAUCAUGUGAAGUGCCAAAUUGAAGAGCAGCUCUUGCAACGCAAGAAUUGUCACUUUGAUUCUCUACUCCAUACUUGCAACAAUCUUCAGCCAACUUUCUCGCUACAAUAUUUGAAUACAAAAAUAUUGUACACAAGAACUAUAAAAAAACUAAUGAAAAAUGCCAAGAUGGAGCAGAUGCUUCAAUACUGCCUAUACAAACCAUAAAAAACUAAUGAAAAAUAAAUAAAAUCGAGAAAUUUUACUAAUUAAAAGUCUAAAUAUAAUUUUGAAAAAAGAAAAGAAACGGACUUGCUGCUGCUUGGCGACUUGUUCUCGGAGCUUGAUUGCCUGUUUCUUGAUAGCUUCCAUACUGUUUCUUUCAAAAAGCGACGACGGCUCUGCUCAUGGAAGUGGAAAAAAAAGUGUGAUCGAGAAAAAUGAAAAGGCGUGAAUAAUUUUUGACAAAAAGCGAAAAUCAAGGAAAGCCGGCUCUUUCCAGAAAAUAAAAAAAAGAAAAAAAGAAAAAAGAAAAUCAUAAGUUUGAAAGGAGAAGAUGAUAUUGGAAGUAUGCAGUGUGGCUGCCAGGUACUUGGAUUGUAUUGUCGGGUAAGGUAAUAGUGGAGAAUUGUAAGUUUGAACGGAGCAUGUUGGACUUUUGUUGACCAAAUUCAAAAGCCAAAUGGCACGGCCCGGAAGCUUUUGAAUAGAAAAACUUGCUAGAAAGCAUCAGUUUAAAUCACUACUUAAACGCUUGCUUUAACUGCACCGCUUUGUACUGUUUUAUGUAUGUAGCGGUUGUGCGGUUGUAAUUCACGGCUGACGCUACGUGUUUGUUUGUACUGUUCUAUUCGGUGACAGAGUAUUAUUAGUUAGGCCAAAACUAUGUUGCAACAGUGGUACAGUAGCACUGUUGCUUUCAGUCAUUAGAUCUAUAGUUGUACAGUUGCAUUAACAAGAUCCAAUGACUGAAAGCAACAGUAGUACCGAACUACUGUUGCAACAUAGCUGGAGCCUAUUAGUUAUUUCAAAGGGAUAAAUAAGAUUGGUUACAACAAACCUACUAAUUUUAUAAAAUUCAAGUAACAUAGAAUAAAAUAAAAAAAUAAAUACAAAAUUGACUUUUAUUUUUUAUGGUUGACUAUAUUUUGUGUUCUCUUCGGGCACUGCUACAAUUGUUCCCUAUAUAUCAAUUACACCACAUACUAUCGACACAAGAAAUGAAAUCUAAUAUCACCUGUUUAGUUAAAAAAUCACUCAUGAAAAAAUUUUACCAUUUUGAUUUGAGGAUCCAUAUUUUAAACUACAAGCUAAUGUUCAUCAAGAAUUACUGAUGGACAAAUUAUUUUUUUUGAUAGAAGAAUUUCUUUAGGAACUACUAAAUUAUUAAUAAAAAUAUCGAACACACCCACAUAUCAUCGACACAAUUGAUUUUGAGGAUCCAUGCUUUGAACUACAGCCUAAUGUUCAUCAAGAAUAGAGUAUGGCUUAUGAGUAGAAAAUUUUCUUAUUUUGGCCCAAAAUAAAAAGAAAUUAAAUUGGAUGAGAAUCUGCCACUUUCUCAUGAAGAAAGGCAUACGGAGCAUACCAUGGUACCAUACAAUAUAAGAAGCCUCCGUUCUUUGGUUUUUCAAACUCUGAAGGGGCUAAUAUUGCCAAAUUCCCCCUUGAAAAUUCUGAUUACGACAUUAUUCAUCGCUUGAUGCAAUCAAAGUAGUGACAAAGUUAGGAAAAAUAUGAGUCCUAAGUAAUUGCUAGGCAGGGCUCCUGAGAGCAAAAUUGUCCUAAGCAUUAUAUGCAUACAUAGUGCAGUACAUAGAGCACGUUGAAUUCCCCACUAUAACACAAACCCAGAAAGACAAGUAAUAACUCAACUGAUAUAAAGACAAAAAGAAGAUAAAAUGAUAUAGAAAAAAGAAUUUCAAAGAGACAGCAACAUACAAUAGACUGAAGCCACUUGAUCUGCUCAUUGAUUGCAGCCUUAAACUUGCAAAUAGUUACUGUACGCUAGUGCUCUAAGAAGUGAAAAUGAUGCGAGCCCUGAUUCCCUUUUGACUUCCAUUUACUGUCAAACAUUCUAGUAAUACAAAAAAUUGUUUAGAUAUCUUGCUAUAAAUAUAGCCGUUUGACUGUCAUAAUAAAGUCACAAAUAACCAUUCAUAUUGAUCUACUGUCACACAGCAUGCUUUAUGCAUACAACAGCUGUAUGCAUACCAACUCCUAACCUUAUCAAUACAUUUGGCAAAAACUUAAGAAGAAAGCUAUUUCUCCAUCUCUUUUUUGAAAUUUCACAAUAACCAGCACAAUGUGAAAGCUAUGUUCUAACCUUAUGAUAAAUGCUCCAGACUCCAAAAGGGUUUUAUAUAUGAGAGUUUGUUGCAGCAGAUAUAUUGACUUAUCAAGUAUGAAUCAUUGUCUGGAUGAACUAUCUUUAGAUAAAAGAAUAUUAGAACCACUGUAGAAUAUCUUUACCCUGCUGGUUCUAACAGGAAUCUGCAUGUGGCAACAAUUGCUAGACCCACAAUUCCCCAACUUGAAAUACAUAGUUGCACACCAUGAGAUAGUGCUACAAUCUACUGAGAUCUAACUUAUAUGGUACUUUAAGCUACUAAUGUUUGCAUAUUUCUACAUGUUAAAUUAACACUAUCAUCUAUAAUCACUCCAAAACAACAAAUGAUAAGCAGCUUUUGGCCACUUAUUACUAGCAUACACAAUUAUAAAUAAGAGAUCAUGGGUUUACUUGUUGCACCUACUUAAUUAUCUGCAGUUGACAUCCUGACACAAGGUUUAAAUAGUGACUGCUUAGAACCCUUGUAGUUGGAUCUUGACCUCUCCCAUUGUAGCCAAGAUUGGUUACUCUGGUAAUGAAUCAACACUCUCCUGCUCAGGGCCAUGAAGAUCUGAAAGCUCAGCACUAGUGGAGAACUUCAUCAA